RNAcentral lists this long non-coding RNA (225728 nucleotides) under Citrus x clementina. RNAcentral's name for it is "Citrus clementina (C. clementina) long non-coding RNA (CCLE_LNC001433)". The record is from RNAcentral. Lineage: Eukaryota; Viridiplantae; Streptophyta; Magnoliopsida; Sapindales; Rutaceae.
GAGAAUGUUCGCUACUGGCUAUGAAUGUUUUCAUGAAGCACCAGAAGACAGCGUUUUAUUUGGUGGGGGUGAAGUUUUAGUACAGGAAUUGCUCGGUUUGAAAUAUUUAGAGGUAUUGGAGUUGACCUUGGGAAGUUAUCAGGCUCUCCAAAUCUUUUUGAGCUCAAAUAAGUUAAAAAGUUGUAUUCGAUCUCUUUUCCUCCAGUUGGCCGGAGAUACAAAGUCGAUUAUUGAUGCUGCGGCUUUCGCAGAUCUAAACCACCUCAAUGAAUUAUAUAUUUAUGAAGGUAUUGAGUUGGAAGAAUUGAAGAUUGAUUAUACAGAGAUAGUACGAAAAAGGCGGGAACCUUUUGUUUUCCGCAGCCUUCACCGUGUUACCAUAUUUAGUUGCGGUAAAUUGAAAGAUGUGACAUUCCUCGUUUUUGCUCCAAACCUCAAGUCUCUUGAGCUAUUGCAAUGCGAUGCUAUGGAAGAAAUAAUCAGCGUCGGAGAAAUUGCUGAGACUCCUGAGAUGAUGGGACACAUAAGCCCUUUUGAAAAUCUCCAAAGUCUUCAUUUAUCGUAUUUACCAAUUUUGAGGAGCAUCUACUGGAAGCCAUUGCCUUUCACUCAUCUCAAAAAAAUGGAGGUACGUAGAUGCGAUCAGCUUAGAAGGCUUCCGCUCGAUUCCAACAGUGCAACAGAGCGUAAUGUUGUUAUUCGUGGAUACACACUCUGGUGGAACCGACUUCAAUGGGAGGAUGAAGCCACUCAAAUUGCUUUUCGUUCCUGUUUCCAACCUCGUUCCUGAGCAGUGGUCGCAAAAUUUGAUUUCUGGUGAGUGCGUUUGUCUUUUAAAAAGAAGAAUUUAAAAGAAAUUUAUUCUUGUCGUUUUCUUCACUGUUUUUAUUUGAUUUCUGGUUAGUUUCUUUCUCUCUCUCUCUCUCUUUGUCUUCUGCAAAUCACAAUUAAAUGUUGAAUUAAUGGAAUUGAUGCUCUGGUUUUUUACUUUUUGUUGUCAAAUUUUGCCCUGUUCUAUCUUCUUAGCGAUUUAAUUUCCUGUCAAAAGACGAGCGAGAAGAACAUAUAUAUGACUUAAACCAAUUGAUACUUUAUUUAUGUGCAUUGUAUGUAAUAAAUAUUAAGUAUACUUUAUUUUUGCCCUGUUCUCUGUUUUUAUUUCAGUCUCUCUCUCUCUUUCCUGUCUUCUGCAAAAUAUAAUCAAUUAUUUUCAAAAUAUCAUUGAUGAUUUUUCUGCUCUAAUGCUAUGUAAAUAGUAUGUUAAGUAAAACAUAAUCAAUUAUUUGUGUUUUAUCUCUAAUUAGAACAUCAAUCAGUUCAGUACCUCACAAAUAAUUCGCAAUAUCUACAAAAUACUAUAAUGGCUACAAAACAAAUCCUGCUUGCAAAUUGUCAAGGAUACCUAUCCGUUCGCUUGACAAGUCAUUUGAAUAAAUAUUGUUCACAUUCCUUACUCUAUCAAUUAUCCAAAGCACCAUCAAUGGUCCUCAACUUUAGUUUGAAUAGUAUACAUGCCAUCACCAUUACCAAGAAUCAAGCAUGGAAGAGUCAUUCUAUAGAGUUAAUCGAAGCAAGGAAUGAUGUAUCAGAAAAUAUUUGGUGGAGAAUUCAGCACAAACAUAUUUUGGAUGAUCAGAAUCAAUAAAACCUGGUGGUUGCGCCAUAUAAACAUCUUCGGAAAGCUGACCUUGAAGAAAGGCGUUAUUGAUAUCCAAUUGACGAAGAGGCCAGCCAUGACUAACAUCAAUACUAAGAACAAGCCGUACUGUGGUGGACUUAACAACUGGACUGAAAGUGUCAUAAUAGUCCACACCAGGCCAUUGAUUGAACCCUUUGGCAACAAGAUGAGCUUUAAACCUGUCAACAGAACCGUUGGAAUGUCUUUUAAUACAAAAAUCCAUUUGCAGCCAACAAUAUUGGAAGGGAUGGGAGGUGGAACAAGCUUCCAUGUCCCGUUACGAACAAGAGCAUCAUACUCUUCUGACAUAGCUGGACGCCAGUGAAGAUUUUUGAUAGCUUGCGUCACAGUUGUAGGUUCACAAUCAGAAGAAGGGCUAAAAUGAGCACGGAGGUUAAGUUUUUGUAACGGCUUGUGAAUCUUAUUUUUAGCUCGGGUAGUCAUAUCAUGAUGACUUGUGGGGCAAUGAUCUAGUGGAGUUUAGGAAGAUGAUUGAACAGGAAGUGAAGAAGUGCUUUGUGUAGAGGUAGAAGUAGGUUGGGAGGAUUGCUGCGGAGAUGUUACCGGUAGAGAAGAAGGAGCAGUACACGGUGGCAACUCCAGAGGGCCCACAAUAGAUGGAGUAGGUGCCGACAAUGGAGUACUAGGAAAUGAAACAGGAAGAAUUGGUGGAACACUUGCGUAAUUAGGAGUGGUAGAUGAGCUUGUAAUGAUUUGUAUGGAAAAACAAACUCUACAAAUUUAACGUGACGUGAAAUAAAAAUUCAACCCGAUUGCAUAUUUAAGAACAUCUCAAAUGAAUUGCUUACUGCUAUCAUCAUCAUUAUUGUCUAUAUAAUAAUGGAUCUUUAUUAUAUAUAUGUUUCCACUAAAAUAUAUUUAAUUAUUCUUUAUUUUUCUAUUGUUGCGUGUAAGAUUUAUUUGAGUUCUAAGUUAUAUCAAUACAAAUGUUAUCUUAUCCAUAAAAAGUUAGAUCCAACAAUUAUGAAAAUUACUAUAGAGUUGCUUUCAAUUAUUUUUUUAAAAUACCAGGAGUAAAUAAUAAUUAGUUCAAAUGGUGGAGACUAAAAUGCGUUCACCUUUAUUUUUUAUCUGUUAUUUACUUUUGUCAUUACAUUAAUGCACAUGCUAUACAUUUGAGACAUUCCAUUAAUUGCCAAUUAUGUAUGUGAGAUAGUAAUUUAAAUUAAAAAAUAAAAGUGAAAGUUAAUCCUAUGCAAUGUGAAUAAAUUUCUUUCCUUUUUCCUUUACUCUUUUUAUUUGACAAUAAAGUUUCCAUCUAUCAUCUAUCAUCUAUGUACACAAAAUUUCUGCAACAAGUACAAAACAUAAAAAUAUAUGAAUAUUAAGGGAAACACGCAGAAGUUCAUCAUUUCAAUGUUCAGUAUUACCAAUUUUGGCAUUAAGCUUGUACGAAUAUAUUCUACUUCGAAAGCAAAAUAUUAGACUCGUGAUUUUAAUUCAUUCAUUAUCUCUCAUUUUAAUCCCAAAAUAUUCAAGAGUAUCCAAGUUACCAUAAGACUUCAGAGGCUCGAGCCUUAGCCAGAGAUGGUUAAUUGAUAGACUAUGUGCCUGGGUCGAGCACUGGAAGCCUGCAAUGCAGACUGAUUGAUUUAUCAGUUUAACGUGUGCCAGGAAUGAAGAACUGGAAUAUCACCGUCAAGCAAGCACCCUGUGGAGCAAUACCAAAGAAUGCACAAUCUGGCUUUGCUAGGUGACCCUGGAGGCUUUUUGAAAAGUGCUUCAUGCUCACUUGCACAGAUUGAGCAUCCCCUCUGGAUAUUGCCCUCUCUGAUCGAGUCUGAGCACUCAAAUUUCGGUCCUCAGAUGGAGCUACAGCUUUCUCUCCAAUAACCAACAAUUUUCUAAACUCAGCACCUAGUGUGAUCAGAGUUGUUGAUAUUUGCAAAUGGAGAUCCCCAUAUUUGCAAAUGGAGACAUUUAACAAAUCACCAACAUGCUUCAUCCGGUCCACGAAAUUCUGCAACUGAUUCAAAUCUGGAACCUGAACCAGAGUCGGAGGUAUAUCUUGAGCCAUAUCUAAAGCAGUUUGAAGUUCAAGACCUUGAGCCCUUGACAAUGGUUUUGAAAUUGGAACAUCUUGGAUUACUGCAGACUUGUACCCCUUGGUUUCAAAGGUAAGGAAAGGCAUUGCUUGAGUACAAUUUGGAGGCAGCUUCUUCACCAAUUUUAUUUGGAGGCAAUUGGCAGCGGAUCCAGCUGCACCAAUUUCAGAGCAACUACUGACACUACUUCGAACAGCACACUGACGAAGUGAUAUGUCUACGGCAAAGGCAAUGCAGUCCUCAUUUUGGCUUGAGAUGCAGUAAUCAUCGAAGAGAGUUUCCUUGUGAAACUGGGCAACACAUUGAAUCCCUUCGCCACUGAGAAGGUUGUGGAGGAAGUAAGCUGUCUCUCUAGUGAGGAAGAGGUGGCAUACCUUCCCCAUUUUGUCUAGGGCAGGUAGGAAUCUUUUUUCUAAGAGAUUUACUUCAUUCUCUGUGAGAAAUGCUUUGAACUUCAUCCCUCUGUCUCUAUCCUCACUUAUCAGGAAAUAAGUUGAAAGCACUAUGAAGAGAGAGAGAGAGAGAGAGAGAAUUAAGAUAUAUAGACAAGAAAAUAAUUAGACGUUGAUCUUACAAACUAAUACUUCAAGCAGUAUCCUAGAAAGCUAAAAACUGCAAGAUGGCUUGAAAUUUGAAAAGAGCACAUGGUUUUCCUCCUUAACUUGAGAAAAUGUUUAAUAUAGUGCACCUUACAGAAGCAUUUAAGCAAUUAGAACUUUGCACAAAAACAUCAAGAAGACUAAACAAAUCAGAUGCAGUGUAUUUGUCCAAGCACAAAUUGCAUUUUGUCCUCAACUUUAAUAUUUAUUGAUGAGAAUCAAUACAGGUCCCUCAUUUGUUAUAGAAAGCUUUCUUGUAGUCUCACCAGUUAAUUCACAGGUCUAUAAUCAUCUUGCAAAGUUAAGGGCAUUUCUUUCGAUCUAAAGUCUUUGCAUCACCACCUCAUCACACGCCAAGCCAAUAUUCCAUUUACCUCUACAACAAAAAGUUUUUAAGUAAAUAAUCCUAAUGCACGCAGCCGAAUAAAAUGCAGUAAGAAUAUUCAACUUAAAAAUCUGAAAGCCAACUUGGUGAAUUGCCUCCUUAGGUGAAGUUCCAUGCUUUACUAUAGUUGACAGAACUCAGCAAAAGCUUCCAUACAACAGAUUUUGAAAAUGAUGAUGCCAAUAGAUACUCAUUCAAUCCAUUGAAACUCCAAAGGUUCAUUGUUCAUAGAAGUUUACAGAGUUUUGGUCAUCAAAUAGCUCAGACCUAAUCCCAAACAAAAAACGAGUGAAAAUUAGAUCACGAGCAGCUAAUUGUAAAUUCUAACUUAACUCUUCAUCUCCUUUGUAAACAAGAAACAAAAUGGAGACACGCAAAAUGAAUAUGGAGAAAAUUUGAACUCAAAUGAAAUGAGGGCACGAAAGCAAACAAAUGGCAUGCACAAAAAAACCAAGCCUCGAUAAAAAACUAAUUAACCAUUAAGAAAAAAAUUGGUCAGAGAAUGAACUCCAAAUUCAGGAGUCAAGCAAGAAGCUUUCAUUAUUUCAGAAGCUCCUGUACAAAUUAAUAAGUUAUGCUCUUUGGAAGCAAACCUAAAUUCCAAGAGAAACAGAACCCAAAAAAUUUGCAAUUAUACGCAAAGGAAGUGAAGCACAGGAUUCUAUCACACAUAGGAAUUGUAUAACAAGAGAUCGAUAUAUCGAAUUAGAAAACUCAAUUCGAAUUUGUGUCAAAAAUCAAAAUUAGAAGAUUUCACAUUUCGAGAGGAACAAGCAACAGAUGAAGUUCAAAAUUUCAGCCAUAACAUGCUAAAAAUGCUACACUUAACGGUUCAUUUUCAUGGAUUUUCUCGGGAAACAAACAGAAAAUUACGGUUUAGAGAGUUGACUGACCUUUUGGCUUUUGAAAUUGACCAGAUCGCGCGCCAAAUUGGAAGAGGGAAAGUGAAAGCGCGAGUUUUAAUAUGGGUAUUAGAUAAGGAAAUUUUAUUAGGUUGCGAGGGUAAAAAAGGAAAGAGAUAUCAUUAUUUUAUUAUCGAUAAUUAUUAAAUUUUUUUCCAAAAAAAAGAACAAGCAAGGAUUUUUUAUUGUCAUCACUAAGUUAAAAAAAAUUGUUUCAAAAUUACUUGAGUCAUAUCCAAUGGACCAACAAAGUAAUCGUUUUUAUUUUUAUUGAUUUUUGCAGGAAAUUAAUAACUUAAAAAUACUGAAAGCUACUGUAAAAAUUUUUAUUAUCAACCUCAUAAUUUUUUUUUUUUGGGGAAGAGAAUUCAAACUUUUUUUUUAUGAAUAUCGCUGUUUCGUUUGAGUUGGAUGUGAAUUCAAAUCCAAAUAUUCUUUGUUUUUCAAUUUUGAACUCAAUUUCUUUUUCUCAAGAAUGUUAUGCAGAAAUAAUUUUUACUAAAUCUUUUUUGAUGAAUUGUUUAAAUUAAACAAUUGGAAUAAGAAUUGUAACGAUUUAUCAUAAGCGUGCUAAUAUGAUAACUUGUUUUACGAAGGAUUAAUUAAUCAAUUAAUAUUAAAUUAUAUAUUAGUCAAUUAGAUAUGUGUUACAUUUAUCAUGUUUUGUAGGUGAUAGUACAUCAUUUCUAAAAGAAUAUAGUACGUUAAAAUAUUAUUUUAAUGAAGAAAAUUUUAUUAUUUUAUUAUUAGGUGACACAAUAAUAAAUGGAUUUCUGUAAGAAUUGAGAUUCUUGAUAUAAUUAUUACAUAAGGAGAAGUUUAGUUGGUUCAAUUUUGACGUGAUAAGAAGACAACACAGCACAGAAAACCCAAAUUGCCACUUCCACUAAUAAAAGAUACCUGUUUGAAAAGUAAUUAUAAACUAUCUUCUUUGUGUUAUUUCUCAAAACUUUUGUGGCACAAAUGUUAUUUCCAUUGACAACAGUACGAAAUACCACCCCUUUCACUUGAGCAGGAGCAAAGCAAAGGUAUGAUGAGCUAUCUCUGUAUAAUUGAAACGCCAUUACUAAACGAUUCUUGAUGAUGGGAGCCACCGUGCCAGCUUUGUCGCUGAUUUGCAUGAUUUAUUAGUUGUCCAGAUGGCGGAUUUUGUACUGUUACCUUCGUUUCAUUCUUCAGAGCCAUGUACUGUUCUAGGAUACCAGAGAAACCAAGGUGGCAUUGAAGUUGCCCUGGUGGUUAGUUUUCCGAUCAUUUUUUUAUUCAAUUAUUUAUGUUUUUAGAAAAAUGUAGGAAAUAUGUAGAAAUGUUGACAGCUAUGAUUUUGAAACUUUUGCCUAAAAUUGUUAUCAUUACUUGUUGUUUCUUAUUUAAAGAGAAAUUCUAGAAACAUGAAAUGAUUAUUCUACGCUUGUUUUAAUAUUGUGCUAUGAAGAUUACGAAGGUUUGAUUAUAUGUCACUAUCAAUUGCCUUAAUCGUUUGUCGUAAAUCAAUUAAGCAUUUUGAUGCGAAUGAUUCCCUAUUAAAAAAUUCAAGUCAGAGCUGAAUUGCAAAGUAGUUAGUCGUGCUUGCAAUUCAAAUUAAGUAUUGUAUUUUCUCCCUGAUUUGGUUGAUUCAACUAUGUGCAUUUGCUUAUGAACGUUGCAGUAUAGAAAUCGAAAUAUCUUGUCUUUUGCUAAGCCCAGAAGCAAAUUCUUUGUAUUCUACUCAUCAGUUUUCUUCAUUCUCUUUGUUGAAAUUUUAUCUAAACAGCGGUUUCUUCGAAUUUAUGCCUUCGCUUACUCUUUUAAAUUUUAUCCAAACAACGGUUUUGAAAUUGUUUUCACUACAAUACCUUAGUCUUUCAGAUGCUCCCGUCACUGAGUUGCCAGAAGAGCUAAAAGCCUUGGUAAAUCUUAAGUGUUUGAACCGGAGUACACAAAUUAUCUCUCUACAUUUCCAAAGCAAUUGAUUUGUUACUUUUCGAUGCUACAUGUUCCGCGAAUAUUCAGUUGUGGUUAUCUUGUUCAGAUACCAGAAAAUAGCGUUAUAUUUAGUGGUAAUGAAUUCUUGGUUUGGGAGUUGCUUAGUUUAAAACGUUUAAAUGUAUUAAGCAUCAUCUUGAAAAGUUUUUCUGCUGUCCAAAAACUUAUGAGCUUCCAAAAGUUUCAAAGCUGUACACAAUGCAUGGAGCUUGUAGACUGUGAUGAUCCAAAGUCAUUUGCCGUGGCAGAGUUGAAGCAUCUUGAAAAACUAGGUUUUUCAAGUUGUGGAAAUUUGGAAGAGUUAAAGUUCUGCUGUGUCGAAGUUGCAAAGGCUCGAGAAUGUUUUCGUUUGAACAGCCCUCACUGAGUUAAGAUGAAGGCUUGUCAUAAAUUGUGGGAAGCGACAGGUUAUUCAAAUAGAAAAAUUUAUGGAGAUGGAUGUUAAUCUUAAGGUUAUUCAAUUAGAAAAAUUUGAAUAAAAUUUAUGGUAAGUGCUUUUCCAUUUAUUGCAUAUUUAUAUCUAAUUUUUAUUUUCCUUUAUUGUUAAAUUUUGGUCUCUAUUUGUUGUUGUAUGGUGGCAUUCUUGUACAAUUAUUAGCUUUUCAUUUCUCUUCUCACAUUAACUGCCCUUCUGAUCAUGUAGGAUUUGCUGAUGCAAAGAGUCAUAAUUUGGGAUACAAAUGUAAGAAUUAGACAGAUGACAUGUUGUUUUGAAGCUCUCAAAGAAGGACUAAUUAUGUCAUUGAAAGCCUCCAAUUUUGUGAUUGGUUUCUUUUUAUUUUAUUUGUUGUUUUCUCUAUUUUCAGAUCACUUAAUUGUUAGUUGUUGUAAUGUAAUGUUUUAGUAUAGCAAAUUAUAUUCGGCCAAGACAGUGAUAGGAGGGCACAUUGUGCAUGCACACUAGUGGAUUUGGCAUGCCAAAUCCAAUUAGGAUGGAUAACACUUUAUAAGCAUUAGGCUUCUCUCAUACCUGAGUAAUAUAGAAUAUGUUUAUAAGUUGUGAAUCACCCUUUACAAGUGUUAGGCUUCUGCUAUACUCAGUGAUGUGAAAUAUAUUUAUAAGCACUAAACUUCUCCCAUACACUUUAUGUUAAUAAUAAUAAUAAUAAUAAUAAUAAUAAUAAUAAAAUAAUAAUAAAUAAACCCAUUUUAACAGACUCUUUUUUCUUUUUCUAUAUGAACAAAUGCAUUCUUCAAAGCAACUGUGGGGAGAAGAAGUGAGUAGAGAAGAACUGAGCCCCUGUCAUUCCCCUAAAACCUCACCAAAACCUCUCUUGUAAGCUUCUCGGAUUUUCUUUCUAUAUUUCUUAGGAACUCAUUUUUUAUUGAAUCACUUAUUUUGCAUGCUGCAUUUUUUGGUUGUCGUAUUUGUGUAUUAUCUUAUCUGGAAUGCUGUUAUGAUUGAUGGAACAAGUAAUCGAUUUUUGGUCUAAUGGAAGUUGAUUUAUUUAUUUAUUGUUGUUUUUAUUUGAAAUUAUGUACAAUUGUAUUUCAUUCAUUUCUCUCUCUUUUGCUUUUUUCCCCCCAUAUAUUUGUUAUGUAUAAUUGCGUUUCAUUUAAUAUUGAUCAUACUGUAGGUAACCAUGUGAUUGUAGAUGGGGAUUUCGAGUUUGUUGAAUAUUCAUGUAAGUGAAGUAACCGUCACAAUACUAGUGAAAUUGGGAGCUUUAUUCAUGAGUUUGUGGUUUUGAAAAGUACCACAGUUCAACUGGUGAAGGCUCCGUUUUGGGAUUCUUCUUUUUCUAGGCUGCAAUUAGGAUAUGUACAUGAUAGACAAUCUUUUGUUGGUUUAGCAUAUCUUCGCUGAUUUUGUCUUUUAUUCCCCAAUUUUAUAAUUACACACCAUGAAUGUUGGGUGAUUGUAUAGAAAAUUUGUGUUAUAACAAAAACAUUGUGAAGGAGUUUCCGUGCUAAUAGUUAGUGGCUUCUGUUUUAUUGGCAUUGAUUGGGUAGAUUACGUGUUACAGUGAUUCAAUUUGUGUUCCAAACUUUGCUUUAAUUUUCUGUUUUCCCCAACUAUUUAUGUCAAAUUUAAAUCCAGAAGCAUGUGCUGAUUUUUUCUUUUUGUAUUAAUCUGUGAAGUUUAUUUGGAAUGGAAGUAACUGGGUCGGGUCUAAUGGAUUAAAUUAUGACAUUGAGGGGAAGGCACUAAAAGGGUUUGCUUGACACAUUUGGUUCUGUGUUUACUCUGCAAGAAAUAACUUUUGCUUAUUGCAAUGCAGGGGGAAAUCCCGAUUUGGCUGGUGAAUUUCUCUGCAACAAACAGGCAAACACCUCAACAUCUUCUGUCCAUACUUCUGCUGGGGAGGCAAGGGGUAAAGAGUCUUCAAAAUCAUCAAAUAGUUACAUCUCUGAGAAUUCAUUUUAUGGAAAUGGAAAAUCUAGAGUUUCUAAUACAAAAUGGCAUCUGGUAUCAGGACGUACCGUUUCAAGUUUUCUUGGUAAAGAUUAUGUUAAACCUGCACAGCCAGCUAAUGGCACUUUUCUGGCAUCAAAGCCAUUGAAGUUGGAUCCAAGGGAGUUUCGCAUUUCUGCACUUUCAGAGAAGAAACUAAACCGACAAUCAAAGGAUGACCAUUUGCAGAAGGAUAUGGAAGAUUUUCUUUUUAAAUUGCUAGGAGAAGGGUUCCAGCUGUACAGGGAUGUGAUUCAGGAGGUUCAUGGUAACGUCUUAAAUAUAUUGAUGCCAAUUUAAUACAUAUUGUCCUUUUCAAUGUUCUUUCUUUCUUUCUCCUCUUUUUAUUAUUCUUCUUCUUCUUUUUUCUUUUCAUGUGCAUGUGAUCACUAAUUUGGUAUUAUUCUUGACUUGCAGAUAGUUGUGGAUAUGAAAUGCAAAAGGUAAGGGCUAUAUCUUCUUGAUGGAGGCCUCUGAUUUUUUAAAUCGCAUUUUCCUUUGUGAUUGAUAUAUCAUACCAAAGUCAAGUCUUAAAUACUGCUGUCAUAUGUUAAGGUUCAACUUCCAUUUUGAUUAACGUCGAUUUGCUACUGCUUCCAAAAGUGAGAAUGAGAUACUUUGGUUAAUUUCAGUAGUUGAACUCAAUGGAGUACUUUAUUUAGAUCUUCAUGGUUCAAAGGCCUGAAAAAACUUGCCGGUAUUUGCAAAAUGACAUCUGUGCUUUUAUUUAGACUUAUUAUUAAAGACAACAUUUUAUUUCAGCCAAAAAUGUUUGUUUCAAUUAAAGACUUGAACCAUUUUCAUUUAACCUGAUUGUGAUGCUUUACAUUAUGCAUGUUCCUCUCAAUCAAUAAAAGUUGAGGUCAUGAUUUUAUAUUUCUAUUUUGUAACUUGAAAUAAUUGGUCUGCCUGUUUCUGUUGCUUGAUAACAUGAAUUUUUCCUUCUGAAGUUAAUUUGAUCAAUAAAGUAAUUCUUCGGAGAGGAUAUGCCCAUUCUAUAGUCAUUUUCUUAGCUAACAUGUUUUUUCUUCACUCUUCAAAGCAUGUCUAAACUAAUUGAUCGCUCAGCGGAGACUUUGGGUGAGAAGACAAAAUUUCUUGGUAAAUCCUCUGAAAAGGUAUGCAUAAUUCCCGAGUAUUAAAUAAUCAUUGGUCAUAAUUUUUGUACACGACUCUUGUUUUGGAGAUCGUUAAAAGUGGUUGAUGAUCUAUUUUGUAAUAUCAUAGAGGGAUCAUGAAUUCCUUUUCUUUUCUGUGGCUAGGCAACACUUUCGAGCCAAGCUAAGGAAAUCUAUUUUAGGUAAUGUGAAAACUAGUUGUAGGAUGUAAUAGUUUAUUAUGCCCUGACAAUAACUUUUUGUAUAAUUGUCAGUUUAAUGAAUACAAGAGGAACUCUGUUGGCAAGUUCAUCCAUGAUAGAUGCUAAAAUUAUUUAUGCAUACCAGUUGCCUUAACUAAUUUUUCUCAACACUGGUAUUGAACAGGAAAAUGAAUAUGCAAUUUGUAUAUUGUGCCAUUGUGGAGAAUUUGGAUAUUCUUAUUUAAGUAACAAGGAGAGUAUUUGCCUCAUCUUUAAACAAUGAAUCUUUGAGAAAUGAGGAGUGGGUGAUUGACAGUGUCUUCAUGUAAAUGUUCAUUUAUUUGUAUUUUGAACUAUUAUGAGAAUCUUUGUAUGCCAAAUUAGUAAUACAAAUGUUCAGAUGAUUUUUCCUGUUGAUCAUGCGUGUGUAUCUGCACACAACCAUUGUGUACCACUUUAUUCUGAUGCACAAAUAUCUGUAGUUUAGAAGAAAAGAAAUAAUAAUCAUAUAUUAUUGCUUGGUUCAUGAUUAUUAAAUGAUUAUGGCUUUAGAAAAUCCACAAAUCCUUUGUGUUCAUAUAUGAAUGUGCGAAGUUCGCUAUAUCUUAGAUUACCUUCUUCCAAGAUAACAAGUUCAUAUAUUUUUUUUAAUCCUUUUUCAUCACAGUUGAAUUUCAAGUGUAAGUUUUGUUAUUAAUAGCUGGUUUCCUGUUAUUAUGAUUUCAUAAACAAUGAGAGGAUAUGUGCUCUACUUUUGGAUGGCCUCCACAUAAAAGAAAAUUGCAACAAUUGAAUUCUUCUGGAGGGUAUGGUAUUUAAUUUAUUUUCUCAGCUUGUUGUAAGACUAAUAUAUUUCCUUCAGUACGCACGGCAUGGUGGGAAGGGUUUUUAUUGAAAGAAUUAUGAUAUUUCUUAGACUUUGUUUUGGAAGGGGGUGGAGGGAUUUCUCAUCCAUGUAUGGUUACUUGAUUAGCUUUUGACUGUACUGUCUCCGUCGUGCAAAGGAAAAUCCAAAUACUAACGAAGGGGAAUUGCUUAGGCACCCAAAGGACAGAAAUGAAUUACGGAAGGAGGUUUUUGCUGCUUUAUUUAGUGCUGCUGAGAAAUCUGAUGAAUUUCCUGAAAUUACGGUGAAGACGGAGUGGAGGUCCAACGCAUUAGGAAAGGUGGUGAGUGAACCGCCAGAGGAAUUAGUACCAGAAUACAAGGCUAAUGUGGUGCACUGGCAGCAAGAUGACCAGACCUGUAUGUGCUCUUAUAUUAACUAUAUUGGCUGGAUUUGUGAGUGUGUUCAUUUUUGUGUGUAUACUCACUUUUGUAUUUAUGCAUAUUCACGUGUGUAGGAUUCUCGAUUUCUGCCACUUACUGGAGAACUAGUGGAAAGCUUUAUACUGAUAUAUGUGCUAUAUAACUAAUGGAAACUACAAUAUGAAUAUUUUCUCUCACCUGGAGAGCAGUGUAACUAAUAUAAUUUGUGGCUCUGGAAUACUGAAGAUUCUGCAAUAACUAAUGGAAAAUAUGAUAUGAAUAUUUUUUCUCACCUGGAGAACUUUGUAACAGAUACAUUUUGUGCUGGAAUGUCUAAAGAAUGCUUCAGUUUAUAUCAAAUAUCUUUUAGUUAGAAAAGAUAAAAUUCUCUGAAUCUGAAAGACUGAAACAUUUUGCAUAUUUCGUGAAAGGCAAGUAUCUGUAGAUACUAGCUCAUGCAUUGAGGUAAUAUCAAUGUUAAAGAAAAACAGCAAUAAUUUAUUAUACAGAAUUAGGUUCACUUGCUUUAAAUGCUGGUCUGAUCAACCAUAUCAACCUGUAAUGGUCCUGCAGAAAUAUAUAUACGGGGAGAAACUAGCUAAUUUUCCUUUCACUUAUGGGUUUGGUCUUUUUUUCCCCAAUUUUUCAGCUUUCCUUCUCCUGAAGUAUGUUAAUAAUUGCAGAUAAUGGCGAAGAGGACUGCUUCCAGGCUACCGGCAAAAACUUUGUGAAAGCUUUGGAGUUAAACAGGGAAUUCACUUACUGCUAAGGACAAUUGGUGGCGAGCUAUUUCAUUCAUUUUAUGUCCAUACAUCUAUUUAAUUAUUAAAGAUAAUGUACGCAUUUGUAAAUUUCAGAUUGUGUGUCUCUGAAAAUAACAAUAUUUAAAAUGUCUCUUAAAUUAUUAUAAAUUUUAAUUUACUCUCGAUUUAAAAUGGAACAUGUUGGUGAAAUAUUUUUUCUUCUUAAUAAAAUUGAAAUAAAUUAUGUUAGCAGUAGUUUGAAAUAUUUUAAAGAUGAUUAUUUUAUAAGGGAGUAAUAUGAAAUGAAAUUUACUUUUCAUGCGUGAAAUGUUGAAAAAGGACAAAGCAAGUGUCCCUGCUUUUAUUUUAUUUCAAAGUGGAGUCAUCUCACAUACUUUAGCUCUAUCAUUAGGAGCCGGCUAAGUUACGUUAAACGUAAUUUACGCCAGGCACAGCAAUAAUGACAAGUCCCAUGACUAGUAUUGUUGCUGUGUCUGACGUAAGUUACGUUUAACGUAACUUAGCCAAAGCCCUAUCAUUAAUAUAUAUUUAAAUUUAACACAUGCAUGUGGGUUACUUUUCCGUAAGUUCCUUAAUAUAUAUUUAACACAAAUCAUGGAAGAGAUGGGAGUAUAUCAAGAUGAUCAAAGCAUGAAACAAAAAUAUUUAAGAAGUAAAACACUGAAAAUGGAGAAGAGAUGCAAGCAAAAGAUAUUCUAAAGAAAAGCAAUCUAUCCCCUUUCGAGGGCAAACUUAUCAGGUUUAAGAAAAGUACAUGCUUUGGAUUGGUAGUUGCAGCCUUGCAGGAUAAUUGUUUUUGCCACUAUAUUAGUUGGAGGAGUUGAACCCAGUGAAGAAUGUUAUGGAAGAGCAAAUGAUAUUUCUGAUAGACUCUAUUUGAUUAUGUAGCCUGAAUAGAUGUCUUGUUGAAAGAUAUAUCAGUGCAUUAGUUCAUCCUUGUCUGUCAAUGUGUUUUUAAUGGUUUUUCCAAUUGUUUUUUUUUUUUUUGAAACUGAUUAAGCAUCAGGUUACUGCAUUACACAGAUAUAUAUACAACUGCUAUGACAGCAGGUCAUUACACUGAUAUUUACAAUCAGAUAUAUAUACAUGGGACUUAUAUUAUUACAUUUUUAUUCUAUGAAGUACAUGCCCAUCCCAAAUACCCCUCACGGAGGAGGGAUGUCUCUACUCCACUCGCAUUUCGCAAGGGAGAAAGACGUUUAUAGAAAUCUCCACACAAUUAUGUUUAAUUGGAGGAGGUUGAGUCCGUGGGGACUCGAACCAUUGCCCUCAAAGUCAUGCUUAACUUUGAGGGCAAUGGUCCACCACUGGGCUACAAGCCCAAGUGGCGGUUUUUCCAAUUGUUUAUUGCUAUAGAUUGAUUGUAAAUUGAUGUGAACUUAAUGUUGAAAUAUUUUCUCUUUAGUGGAAUGAAAGUUAAACAUUCAAGAUUAGAUUAUUCAAGGUCCACAUAGUAUGUGUUCCGUUGUGUUGUCUGUAAUUUUGCAUUUAAAUAAAUUUGAGUGCUGCCGUUUCGCUCCCACAAUCUCUCGCCUUUUUUUAAUUUUAAAAAUUAAAAUAUUAAUAAAAAACAAUAAAGAAAAUCGAAUCCUUUAUGUCAUUCCAUCUUUACAACUCUCUCUCACAAACUCCAUCUAACAGACUUCUCUCUUACUAUCUCGGUCGAACAAGACCAGUGACAAUGAUGACACGACCGCCGACGAUGAGAUGGUCAUCGCUAAAGAAUCGGGCCGUGUAUUUUACAAUUUCUUGGUUUGUGACAACAAUGGAAAACUCCUGAAAAUUUUGAAUUUGUAGUCGAGCAAAGGAAGAAGCAAGUUAUCUUCAAAGCAUUUUCCAGUAAUAGCUGAUGAAAUUUAAUACUUCAAGCUGGCCCUUUGCUGUCACAACUAGAUGCAUUUGCACUGUCAUUACAAUUUAUGGAAAUUAAAGUAAUUAAUGGUUCUAAUUAAUAGCUUCCCAAAAAACCAAUCUGCCCUUGUGAGAACCAAAGCAUUAAUUUCUUGUAAGAGCUGCAGAAGGCCAGAGAAUUUCAGAUCGUGAAAAGGAGUGUGUGAGUGAGAGAGAGAUCGUGAAAUAGUGAGAGACAAUGAGAGAGAGAGCCGCUCGACUGAGAUGGUGAGAGAGUUGCAAAAAUGGAGUAAGGAGCAGAUAAGAUUAUGUUUUCUUUAUUAUUUUUUAUUAAUAUUUUAAUUUUUUUAAUUAAAAAAGGGCGAGAGAUUUUGGGAGUGAAACGGCAGCAUGUUCCAAUAAAUUUUUACCAAAGUUUCUCUCGUGUUUCUCUCACCUUUCUAGAUACCAAGCAUUUUCCAAUAAAUUUUUACUAAAAACUUAGCAAGCCCUUGAAACUUUGGUCAAAAUUAUUGUUAUUAUUACUUUUAGAGGAAAAACUUUUAUUAAAACCUCAUUAACACAAUUCUUAAUUAAAAUUAUAAGUUUGUGUUGGUGUAAGGAUUUGCAGGAGCAAUUACUGCCUAGCCAAGUGUCAAAAGCACAAAAUAAAUCAAGAGAAAGUAGACAUGAAUUAGGAUCCAAUGAAAUUUAAAUCCCGGAGAAAAGAAAUAAUCAUGCAGAUUAUCAAGAUUUCAAUAAGGGAUAUUGAUAUCCUAUUUUGAUUAAUAAUAUCCUUUUACUGUGUUAACUCAAAAAAUAUGUAUAUUCUAAUAUUUUACAAUAAAUAGAAAUCUAAUAUUAAAAUAAAUGUGAUAUAUAUAUAUAUAUAUUAAAUAAUUUAAAUAUAAAAAAUAUUUUAAUGUUUUACAAUCUACUACACAUAUUUUAUUAAGUUAAUAUAAUUUUUCAAAUAAAUAGGGACAUAAUAUUAAAAUAAAUUUAUAAAAAUUUAAAUUAUUUUGAAUUUAAAAUAAUUUUAAUAUUAUUAAUAUGUUAGAUAUGUUUGAUUAAUUAUAAAAAUUAUUUACGCAAAUUUUUUUAAUAUUUUCAGUAGAUAUAAAUAUAUUACUUACAUUUUGAUUAUUUAACUAUUAUUAUUCUACAAUUAUUUAUAUAAUGUUUGCACUUAUUAGAAUAUAUUUAAAGUCAAAUCUUUUGCACUUCUACCUAGCUAGAAUUAUUGGACGCAGAGAAAUAAGCAUAUAUGCUUUAUAACUUUAGAAAUCGAAUUAUCUAUACAAAUUGAUUUUAGCUGGAAAAAAAGUGAGCUGAAUGAUAUAGGCGAUUAGUGUGGUAAUAUUUCAUAGAGUUAGACUAUUGAAUUUGGCACCCCUCCAAUCUUCUCAUGAUUACCUUUUUGAGUUAUUAAUACACUUCUAAUUUUUCGUUUAAUUUUUUUUAUUGUUAUACUCAAAGUAGUAUUGUGAUAUUUUAUAUUUCUUUUGCAAUCUUAUUAUUAUUUUACACAAAAUUAAAAAGUUUUCUAGGUGAUGAACUUUUGAGUUUUGAACAUUAAUCAUUGGCUUAAAUUUCAUAUAUUUUACAUUAUAAUUUGAAAUUAAGUACGAAAAUAUUUAAUAAAUUAUGAAAAGAUUAACAGAUUAUUCUAAAUUGAUACAACUUAUUUUAGUUAAAUAAAAAGUAACAGGUAAAAAAAAAAAGGAUUGGUUAUGAAAUUUGUUGGAAAAAAAUCUGUGUGUGUUUAAUUUUUAUUUGUCCUUAAUUGUAAUUUAUUUGAAGUGAGGUUUUAUAAGGAUAAUGAAGGGGUGCCAUAGUUUCACUCUAUUUCAUAUGGAGAGAGAAGUAAAAGGUACACCUGAGGUUAAUGGAAAGGACUUCGAAAGUUUCUUUUGAUUAUAAUACUGUUUGUUCUAAUUAACUUAAAAAAUUUUACUUUAAUAUUUUAUAAUAAAUUAAAUUUUAAUCUUAAAAUAAGUAUAAUCAUAUAUUUUAAAAUAAUCUUAAAAUAAAUACAAUCAUAUAUUUUAAAAUAAUCUUAAAAUAAAUACAAUCAUAUAUUUUAAAAUAAUCUUAAAAUAAAUACAAUCAUAUAUUUUAAAAUAAUCUUUAUAUUUAAAAUUUAUUUAUUUGUACAUAUUUUAUAAUAAAUAUAACACAUACUAUUAAAAUAAUAUAUAAAAAAUUAAAGUAUUUUGAAUAUUAUAUAAAAUAACUUUAAGAUUCUUAAUAUGUAAGAUAUAUUUUAUUAAUUUAAAAUUCUAUUUAAAAUUUUAUUAAUUUAAAAUUCUAUUUAACCCAAAGAUUUAUUUAAGAUAAAUUAAUAAUCAUAUUUUUUAAAUCAUUUCAAAUAUUAAAAAAUAUUUUGAUAUUACUAGUCUAUUAAAUAGAUUAAAUAUUUUUAUUAUUUUGUACUAAUCAAAAGUUACAGCUCGAAUGAUAUUAUGAGAACAGAAUUUUUAUGUCUUUAUUAAAAAUUUGGGUUUGUAUAAUUAUUUUUUCAAAUGUUAGGGGCAUAGCUGUCUUUUUACUUUUAUAUAUGUGAACCGCGGUGGUGAAAAAGUGUGAUUUAAUAUUAGUUAUUUAAAUAAUAUCUGAAUUAAAGAUGUACAGAGAAGAAAUUUCGGUGGGCAUUUUAGUCUUUUAACGAUUAUCAUGAUUAGGGAUUAGGUCCUGCUCUUGAAACGUUGGUCAGAAAAGUUCUAAAAUGCGUACAUUAUCUUUACUUUAAAAAAGUUAUUUUAUUUUAUUACAAAUUAAUGCCGACAAGAAAAAGCAAGAUCUUAAANNNNNNNNNNNNNNNNNNNNNNNNNNNNNNNNNNNNNNNNNNNNNNNNNNNNNNNNNNNNNNNNNNNNNNNNNNNNNNNNNNNNNNNNNNNNNNNNNNNNAUAAAGAUGAAGAAAAGGGCAAAAAAAUAUUAAUGAUUAACGAAAUCUCUAUCCAAAUUGAUUUUAGCAGGAAAAAAGUGAGCUAAAUGAUGUAGACGAUUAGUGGUAAUAUUUCAUAGAGUUAGACUAUUGGCACCCUUCCAAUCUUCUCACGAAUCCUCUUUUUGAGUUAUAUUUAUUUUAUUUUUAAAAUAUCUUUUUUCUCUUUUACUACACUUCUAAUUUUUCAUUUAAUUUUUUUAUUGUUAAACUCAAAGUAGUAUUGUGAUAUUUUUAAUUUCUUUUGCAAUCUUAUUAUUACUCUGCAUAUAAAUUAAAAAGUUUUUUAGGUGAUGAAUUUUUGAAUGUUAAUCAUUAGCUUAAAUUUCACAUAUUUUACAUUACAAUUUGAAAUUUAAUAUGAAAAUAUUUAAUCAAUAAGAAUUAUGAAAAGAUUAAUAAAUUAUUCUAAAUUUAUACAACUUAUUUUAGUUAGAUCAGAAGUAGCAGGUUAACAAAAGAAAGGAUUGGUUAUGAAAUUUGUUGGAAAAAAAUCUAUGUGUGUUUAAUUUUUAUUCGUUGUUAACUCUAAUUAAGUAGGUUAAAUAUUUUUGUUAUUUUUUACUUAUCAAAAAAUUUAAGAUCAAUAUUUUUAGUUACCAUUCGAAGGAUAUUAUGACAAAAACAGAAUUUUCACUUCUUUGUUAAAAAUUUGGGGGUUUGUGUAACUAUUUUUUCAAAUGUUAGGGGCAUAUCUGUCUUUUUACUCUAUAUAUAUGAACCAUGGUGGUGAAAAAGCGUGAUUUAAUGUUAUUUAUUUAAAUAAUAUCUCAAUUAAAAAUGUAAGGAGAAGAAAUUUCGGUGGGCAUUUUAGUCUUUUAACGAUUAUCAUGGUUAGGCCCUGGUCUUGAAACGUUGGUCAGAAAAGUUCUAAAAUGCGUUCAUUUGUCUUUACGCCAACAAUAAAAAGCAAGAUCUUAGUGUCCCACAAAAGCAAAUCGUAAUAUUCCGCAAUGGAGUUAGAUCCGCAAAAGCAAACAAAUUCUUUUAUUAAACUACAAAUUAAAGUGGAAUCAUUUACUAAACAACAAAUUAAAUUUGAAAUAUUUAAAUAGUCGUGCGUUAGACGAUUAGAGACUCUUAUUAAAGGCAAGUACAAAGUAGUGAAGAAUCGAAUAUUUCUAUUGUCUAGUCUUUUUUUAAAAAAAAUUUUCUUUUAUUAUUUUUCAGAAUAUGUUUUGGUGAUUACUAUUGGGUUAUUAUUCAGAGUUAUUGUUAUCUUCCGGGGCAGUUUCUGUUCAUCGAAUUCGUUAAUAAAAUUUUAAAACUCUUAUUGAAAGAAUGUUUUUCCGUUAUCUUUUUUAUAAUCUAAUUUUAAGUGUAAGAAGUAGUCAUUUUAGAAUUUGGGUCUUGAAUCGAAUUUCAAUGCAUGAAUUAAUAUUUAAAAAAAAUUUACUACAUGCAGUUUAGGUUACAAACUAUUUUUUGCAAAGUUGACUAUGAAAUUGGAGAAAUUAAGUAAUUUAUAAUGUUUGCAAAGAAAGAGACCAACAUACUUCCAAUUACACUAUAUCUCAAUUAUCAUAAUGUUAAGAUUAAACUAACUUAAAAUAAAAUUUAUUUAAAAAGUUUAUCAAACGCAGUCUAAUUUUAUUAACUUGAAGAGAUAAUAGUUAUAGAAAUUAUUAUUCUAACUUAAUUAGUAAAAGUGGUAUAAAGGUUAAGUGUGCACUAAAUCUAUUUAAAUUUUUUUCCAGUAUAACUAACAGAGGUCAUUACUAGAAUUAUAUUACUAGUCUAUUAGAUAGAAAAAAUUAUUUAUAUUGUUUUAUAUUUAUUAAAAAAAUUUAAAGUCAAUCUUUUUAAUUACUAUUUAAAGGAUAUUAUAAUUAAAAAAAUUUUAAUGUCUUCAUUAAAAAUUUAAAAUUUUAUAUGACCGUUAUCUAAAUAUUUAAAGUGUAACUGUCAUUUUCUCAUAUAUAUAUAUAAUUUCAUCAACCCCUUAUACUUUAUGUUAUUUAUAUUUUAUUCAUGAAUAUUAUAAAUUUUUUGAAAUAUAAAAUUUCGUUUAACCCUUUAUACUCAAUUUUAUUUUAUUAAAACCCUAGAGUAUGAAUUCGUCCCUAUAAUAUUAAAUUCUCAAAAUAACUUCCAUUUAAUUAAAAAAUAUAAUUAUUAUUAAAUGAAUUAUAAUUAUUAUUAUUAUGUUAUUAUAAUCAUAAAAAGCGAGAUCAUAUUCCACAAAAGCAUAAGUGACAAAACAACCAACUGGAUUCUUUUAUUAAUCAACAAAUUGUAUAGUCUUUUUCAAAUUGUUAUAAAUUGGUGGCCCCUACAAUCCUCAAUAAUUGUACCGAAAUUCACAAGUUGGUGGGCCCUACAAUUCUGUUCCGAUAAUUUAACUGUGCAAGUGCUCAUUCACAAUCUUCCAGGUCAUGCUCUUAACAAUUGUUUUUUCUUUUCUGCACGCCCUUUCAUGCUCUUAAUAAUUGAAGAGCAUACUUUUCAAAUGUGAAGCCGCAUCUAAUGUCGCUAAUUUAAUUUGGGAUUAAAUUACGGGACUAUUAUAUUGCAGUGUGCACUAAUUUUUAUGUUUAUCUAAACUCUUCAAAUUUAAAACAUAUUAUGGCAUAAAUAAGAAUGUAACAAUAACAAAAGAGUAAGAAAGUGUAGAGAAAAUCUUGCAGAAAUAUAAAUAAUAUUUAUUUUUAAAAUAAUAUUAAUAUUUAAAAUAAUUUUUAAUAUUUUAUGGUCCAUUAGAUAUAUUUUAUUAUAUUAAAAUAAAUUUUAUAAUAAAUAAAAACAUACUAUUAAAAUGAAUAUAUAUAGAAAAUUUAGAGUAUUUUAAGUAUUAUAUAAAAUAAUUUUAAUAAAAUAUGUGAGAUAUUCAUAUUUUAUUAAUUUAAGAUACCAUUUAACCUAAAGAUUUAUUUAUGAUAAAUUAAUAAUUAUAUUUUUGAAAUUACUUCAAAUAUUAAAAAAAUUAAUAUUACUAAUAUAUUAGAUAGAUUAAAUUAUAUAUAUUAUUUUUACUUAUUAAAAAAAUUUUAAAAUUAUUUUUAAUUACUAUUCAAAAAACGUAUUCAAAAAACAUAAUGAUAAAAAAAUCUUAACAUCUUUAUUAAAAAAUUAAAAACUUAUAUGAUAAAUUCUCUAAAUAUUUACGGUAUAUGUGAACCACGGUGGAUAAGCUUUAUUUAAUAUUAUUGAUUUAAAUAAUAUGUCAAUUAAAAAUGUACAGAGAAGAAAUUUCGGUGGGUAUUUUAGUCUUUUAAGCAAUUAUCAUGAUCAGAUCAGCCUUUAGCCUUCAAACGUCGGUCAGAAAAGUUUUAAAAUUAAUGCUAAAUUGUUUUUCACUUUUAACGUUGGUGGCCUUGAAAUUGCUUGUAUUUUAUUAAAAAUUAAUGCUAACAAGAAAAAGCUAGGUCAUAUUCCACAAAAUCAAAAGUGACAAAACAACCAGCUGGUUUCUUUUACUAAACUACAAAUUAAAAUAAAUUUUUUCGAUAAAUUACAAAUUAAAGUGGAUUCUUUUGAAUACAAAUGGGACAGACGAUUAGGCUCUUUUUAUUAGAGGCAAGUAAAAACUAGUCAAGAAUCGAACAGUCUUUUUCCAAUUCUUGUUUUAUUAUUUUUCAAAACUAGUUUUUGGUAAUUACAACCGGGUCAUUAAUCAUUAUUCAGAGUUAUCUUCCGGGGCAGUUUCUGUUCAUCGAAUUCGUUAAUAAAAUGUUAAAACUCUUAUUGAAAGAAUGUUUUUCCGUUAUCUUUUUUAUAAUCUAAUUUUAAGUGUAAGAAGUAGUCAUUUUAGAAUUUGGGUCUUGAAUCGAAUUUCAAUGCAUGAAUUAAUAUUUAAAAAAAAUUUACUACAUGCAGUUUAGGUUACAAACUAUUUUUUGCAAAGUUGACUAUGAAAUUGGAGAAAUUAAGUAAUUUAUAAUGUUUGCAAAGAAAGAGACCAACAUACUUCCAAUUACACUAUAUCUCAAUUAUCAUAAUGUUAAGAUUAAACUAACUUAAAAUAAAAUUUAUUUAAAAAGUUUAUCAAACGCAGUCUAAUUUUAUUAACUUGAAGAGAUAAUAGUUAUAGAAAUUAUUAUUCUAACUUAAUUAGUAAAAGUGGUAUAAAGGUUAAGUGUGCACUAAAUCUAUUUAAAUUUUUUUCCAGUAUAACUAACAGAGGUCAUUACUAGAAUUAUAUUACUAGUCUAUUAGAUAGAAAAAAUUAUUUAUAUUGUUUUAUAUUUAUUAAAAAAAUUUAAAGUCAAUCUUUUUAAUUACUAUUAAAGGAUAUUAUAAUUAAAAAAANNNNNNNNNNNNNNNNNNNNNNNNNNNNNNNNNNNNNNNNNNNNNNNNNNNNNNNNNNNNNNNNNNNNNNNNNNNNNNNNNNNNNNNNNNNNNNNNNNNNNNNNNNNNNNNNNNNNNNNNNNNNNNNNNNNNNNNNNNNNNNNNNNNNNNNNNNNNNNNNNNNNNNNNNNNNNNNNNNNNNNNNNNNNNNNNNNNNNNNNNNNNNNNNNNNNNNNNNNNNNNNNNNNNNNNNNNNNNNNNNNNNNNNNNNNNNNNNNNNNNNNNNNNNNNNNNNNNNNNNNNNNNNNNNNNNNNNNNNNNNNNNNNNNNNNNNNNNNNNNNNNNNNNNNNNNNNNNNNNNNNNNNNNNNNNNNNNNNNNNNNNNNNNNNNNNNNNNNNNNNNNNNNNNNNNNNNNNNNNNNNNNNNNNNNNNNNNNNNNNNNNNNNNNNNNNNNNNNNNNNNNNNNNNAUUGUGGGCACUCUUGUUCGUGCAUGUUUGCUAGAAGAGAUGGAAGAUGAUAAAGUAAAAAUGCAUGACGUUGUUCGUGAUAUGGCUUUAUGGAUAGCUUGUGAAAUUGAGAAGGAGAAGAGAAACUUUUUGGUUUGUGCAGGUGCUCGAUUAGAAGAGGCACCGGGUGUUAAAGAAUGGGAAAAUGUGAGAAGAUUGUCAUUGAUGCAAAACCAAAUUGAAACUGUGUCAGAGAUUCCCGCAUGCCCUCAUCUCCAUACUCUAUUUCUUGCCUCUAAUAGGAAUUUCAGGAUGAUCACGGAUGGCUUCUUUCAAUUUAUGCCUUCUCUCAAAGUUUUGAAGAUGUCACGCUGUGGGCAAUUCGAAGGUUUUCAAUUACCUGUUGGGAUGUCAGAGUUGGGUUCAUCACUAGAACUUCUUGAUAUUUCACAUACCACCAUAAGAGAGUUACCCGAAGAGUUAAAGUUGCUGGUAAAUCUGAAAUGUUUGAAUUUGAGGUGGACAGGUGCGUUAAUUAGAAUUCCACGGGGACUAAUAUCAAAAUUUUCAAGGUUACGUGUGUUGAGAAUGUUGGGUACUGGCGGGUUCAUUUUUUAUGAAGCACCAGAAGACAGCGUUUUAUUUGGUGGGGGUGAAGUUUUGAUACAGGAAUUGCUCGGUUUGAAAUAUUUAGAGGUAUUGGAGUUGACCUUGGGAAGUUAUCAUGCUCUCCAAAUUCUUUUGAGCUCAAAUAAGUUAAAAAGUUGUAUUCGAUCUCUUUACCUCUAUUUGACCGGAGAUAAAAAGUCGAUUAUUGAUGCUACGGCUUUCACAGACCUAAACCACCUCAAUGAAUUAUGGAUUGAUAAUGGAAUUGAGUUGGAAGAAUUGAAGAUUGAUUAUACGGAGAUAGUACGAAAAAGGCGGGAACCUUUUGUUUUCCACAGCCUUCACCUUGUUACGAUAUAUAGUUGCCAUAAAUUGAAAGAUUCGACAUUCCUCGCUUUUGCUCCAAACCUCAAGUCUCUUUCGCUAUUCAAAUGCCGUGCUAUGGAAGAAAUAAUCAGCGUCGGAAAAAUUGCUGAGAAUCCUGAGAUGAUGGGACAUAUAAGCCCUUUUGAAAAUCUCAAAAGUCUUGAUCUAUCAUAUUUGCCGGAGUUGAAGAGCAUUUUCUGGAAGCCAUUGCCUUUCACUCAUCUCAAAGAAAUGGGGGUAAGAGCAUGUGAUCAGCUUAGAAAGCUUCCACUCGAUUCCAACAGUGCAAAAGAGCGUAAAUUUGUAAUUCGUGGAGAAGAAGACUGGUGGAACCGACUUCAAUGGGAGGAUGAAGCCACUCAAAUUGCUUUUCGUUCCUGUUUCCAACCUGAUUCCUGAGCGGUGGUCGCAAAAUUUGAUUUCUGGUGAGUGCGUUUGUCUUUUAAAAGAAGAAUUUAAAAGAAAUUUAUUCUUGACGUUUUCUUCACUGUUUUUAUUUCAGUCUCUCUCUCUCUCUUUUUGUCUUCUGCUAAUCACAAUUAAAUGUUGAAUUAAUGGAAUUAAUGCUUCAUAAAUUUGCCGGCACUGCCAUUACUUUUUUUUUUUUUAAUACAAAUUGAUACUUUAUUUAUAUCUUCUUAGCGAUUUAAUUUCCUGUCAAUUGACGAACGAGAAGAACAUAUGACUUGAACCAAUGCUCGCAUAAACUUGCUGUAAAAAGAUAUAAUCUCACUGAAAUGCACACGCCUAGAAUGAAUAGAAUUAAAACAGGGAAAAUAUUAAGUAUAUUAGCCCUCUUUACCGAAAAUCAAAUGACAAUAAAUUUUUUGAAGUUUUGAUUUUCUAUGGUCAAUUCCACCUUUUGCAAUUUCUUCUGUUCUAACAAAAACCAAUUUCUUUGUUCAAGUAUUUUCGUUUGGGUAUUAAUAAUUCUCCACCGAAAGAGUGAACUCUUGCUCAAGGGAUCUCUAAUCAAUAGCCGGAAGGGCGCCGAGACCUGAUCGGACCUAGGCCCAAGUUUGGUCUUAAAGCCUGGGCUUGAGCCUGGCAAUUAAAUUAAAACAGUAAUUGAUUUCUUGAAUGAAUUGUCGUGUAAUUGAUUUAUGGGGGAUGACACAUCAACAUACUUGAAAAUACACUAAUCUCAGCAUCAUCCGUUAAUAACUUUUAGAUUUAUGGGCAAUCAAUAGUUAAAUUAGUUGUCAUUAAUACUAAAUAAUUUUUACUUUUUUUGUCUCUUCUAGAGGAUCUUCUAGAAAAAUGCAUCCACAAUUAAAUUUAAUACUUUACAUAAUAAAGAAAGCAUAAAUGUUAAAUUUAAGAAACUGCAUUGUAUUUCAGCUGAAGUUGACUUUAAUAUUUAGGGUAGAAAAAAAUUAAAUCCUUAAUGUGUUUAAUUUCUAUCACUUGUGUCAUUAAAAUUUUCUAGUCACCCUAACCAAUUACAUCUCAACCCACUUUUUUUUGGAUGAUUUUAUUUUUACACUAUUAUUUUCAACAUUUUUUUUUCCUUUUAACACCAACAUUAGUGUAUGUUACGUAACAUAAUCCAUAUUUGGAUAAUUUGAAAUUUGUUUGUGUUUUAUCUCAAAAUAGAGCUUCAAUCAAUUUGUACCUCAUAAAUUCACAAUAUCUGGCAUAUUGUCAAAUGUGCUUAUCCUUUUGCUUGACAUGUCAUUUUAAAAUUGUCAUUCAAUGUCAAAAAAUCACAUCAACUAAUGGCCGACUACUUUAAUUUGAAAGCAUGCGUGCGAUCGCCAAUAAUUAUAACUUAAUUGUUAUAUUGAAAUUUUUUUCUUUAUAAUUUAAGUUUAAUACUGCUACAUGUGUGGCACAUAAGUUGGAAAAUAUAACAUAAAAUUUGAAAAAUGUGUAGUUUUCGUUCCUUUUUUUUCUAAAAAAAUGGGAAAAAAGAAUGUAAUUUUGUUUAAAUUACUGUUGUCAUAACAAUUAUUAUUUUAUUGAUUAAUUGGCAGAGAAUCGUAAUGGUUUCGCAUGGUUGUUAAAACAUUGGAAAGUCCACUACAUCAUCGGUUAAUAACUUUCAGAUUUAUGGUUAAUUAAUAGCUGAGAUUUAUUAUCAUUAAUGCUAAAUAUUUUUUCUCUCUCCUGGAGGAUCAUCCACAGGCAGGUGCUUCCUGACGAUGACAAAAUUUUGGGCAGGCAGGUGCUUCCUGACUUUCACACGGUAAUUCUCAAAUUCUGAUUUCACCAUAUUUUAAUUACUGAUUAGCAUAUAUUCAAGUGCUCUCCAUUAUAAUGGAAGCCGCCGCCUCACUCGUAAUUCCAAACUUUAUCUUUUUUUCCUUUUUUAAAUUAAUGCAAGUAGCCGCUGUCCUUUCUAUUAAUUAAUUAAUUCGGCCGCCCACAUUUCUUUUCCUAAUGUCUUCUACUGUCGAGUUUAUUUUAUUUUCUCUUUAUUAUUAAAAUAUACUUAUAAUAAUAAAAAAAUAAAAAUUAACAUAUCAAAAUAUAAUUUAACAGAAAAUUAAGAUAAAAAAUUAAAAAUAAAUAAAUUAUGAGCAUAUCAAUCAAUAAAUGAAAAAUAAUAAUUUUUAUUUUUAUUAAAUAUAAAUUUUUCAGUAUUAAUCAAUUAUCUGAAUAAAUAAAAUCAUUUAAAAAUAAAUAAAUAAAUUAUUCUUAAAAAAAAAAAAAAAACUUUUUAUAACACUCACUAUGCUGGUUGUAGGGUUGACGCUUUGGGUACUGAAGCUAGUAACUUCUACAAGUAGUCUUAAGUUGACUGGCAACAACUAUAUUGGCAUUUAGAAAUAAUGUACUGCAACCAUAUUGGCAUGUUCAAAUGUUCUUAUUAUUGUAUUGGUGUGUCAAUAUUAUCUCUAACGGUUUUAUAAAUAAAAAAAUAAUCUAAAUUUAUAAUUUAACAUAAAAUAAAAUAAUUGGUAGAAAAACAAUUAUGGUUCAUUUACUUAUCAGUAAUCAGAAUAGACUGAAAUCGAAAUGAGUUGUAUUACUGUUGAUGUGUUUAUGUUGUACUCGAAUCGAAAUGAAUUAUUUUAAAUUACUAAAAUAUCCUUGGUCUGUUAUUCUAAUUAUUAUUAUUAUUUAAUAUUUAUUAUAAUAUUUUUCAUAUCAUUAAAAAAAAAUAAUAAUGAUGAUAAUAUUCUCAUUAUUGUUUGUUACAUUAUUAUUAUUCAAAAAAAUUAUUGUUAAUAACAAUAAUUACUUUAUUUCAAUAAUAAUAAUGAUAAAAUUAAUAAUAAUAAACAUGACAACAACAAUAAUUAUUUAUUAUGCCAAAAAAUAACAAUAAUAAUAAGAAUAAUAAUCAUCAUCAUUUUUUUGCCAAAGAAGCAUUAUCAUCAUCAUUUCAAAAAAAAAAUCAUCAUCAUCAUCAUCAUUUUUGUAGUGGCUACCUAUCGGCUGCUGCUUUCAUGUGAGAUUGACUUGCGACGCUUCAACGGCUAUUAUUUCUGACAAUGUCAGGUGUUGCUAUUUCAAUUUAGGAAGAAGUUGUUUCGGUGUGCUAGCGAUGGGAGAUGUUGUGGCUGCGAUUCGGGGAGCUACUAGUUUAUUGCACUAAUAACGGCAGGUGCUGUUGCUUGAUGCGAGGUCCAUGGCCAGUUGUCAGCAGUUCGACUUUGGUAUGGGUGCUGCUGGUUCGAUUUUAGGUGUUGUCCAAUUUCAUUUUCAGGAUUUUAAUUUUAUUUUUCUUUUAUAUUUUCAUUAAUUAAUCAGGGUAAAAUUGGAUUUUAGAAUUUAGAAUGAAGGUAAUUUUGUUAAUAAUGGAAAUGAGAUUCUGAUUGUCGAGAAUGAGCUUACACAAACAACUAUAAAUUAAGUGAAAACAAAACACUUUUUCUCUUUGUGUGAUUAAAACAUGAUAUGUACCAUAAAUAAAUAAGUAAAAAAUAAAUCAACACAAUCUAAAACAGUAAACAAAUUACAAGAGGCACAGAUUUUUAUGUGAAACACCGAAAAUGGAAAAAACCACAGCAUCUUAGUUUGAUAUAAUCUUCUACUAUAUUAAUGGGAUUAUAGCACAAAUUCUUUCCUAUAUAACACUAGAGAUUAACAACAUCAAGAAUCUCAAUAAUCUUGACUUACAAUACAGCCUAAUAUUUGUCUCUCUAAUAAGUAGAUAUCUAAAAUAACAGUCUCUAAUAAGUAUGUAUCUAAAAUAAUAGUCAACAAGAGGAUAAAACAAAAAUUAAGAUUAGUAGGAUGUGUAUAAGGUGAUGCUAUCAAUUUAUCUUCUAAAUUUGAGAAAAAUAGUUAAAUUCACUUUUUCGAUUGUCCGACCAAAAAUGGAAACCCUUGCCCCAAAACCAAAGGAAUCACCAUUAUGUUUUUCUCUCUCUCUCUCUCUAUCUCGUUCUUUUCUUCUUCUUUUCUUAAUGUUAGCCAUCACUUGCUUUUAUUCUUUAUAGCAUUCAAAAAGCUACUUUUAAUGGUAAAUUUCAUUUAAGUCUGCAACUUAGUGAUAAUUGCACACCAAACAAUCCUUACAUAGUGUUUUGGGCCCUCAAAUGAGAUGAAUACAACAAAUCUCCCCCUUUAAAUCAUGUGGGGGGCACCGCAAGCCCGCUAUUUGCAUAUAGCUUUUCAGCUUCUCCUUGAAUAAUGACUUUGUCAUCAUACAUAAUCCAUUCUUCGUUGUGUAAAUCUUCUCAAGCUGUAACUGUUCCUUCUCAAGCUGUAAUUAUUCCUUCUCAAGCACGUCUCGUAUCUAAUGAUACCUUACAUCAAUAUGCUUAGAUUUCGAAUAGUAUAACAGCACUCUGACUAUCGUAGUACAUAACAUAGCUGUCUUGUUUUACACCCAGCUCUUGUAGGAAAUUCUUCGUCCACAAUAUUUUUUUGCAACCUUCAAUAAUUGUAAUAUCAUUUGCUUUAGUGGUAGAAAAGGCAACUUAUUACUAAAGUUUAGAUUGCGAUGAGACUGUUCCCCCUGCAAAAGUGAGCAAACAUCCUAGUAGGAAUUUUUCGGAAUCAACAGCUCCUGCCAUAUCUACACACUUGUAACACAGGUUUGUCACCACCAAAAUAUAAACAUGCUCUGGAAAUGCAUCUAAGAUAUCUGAGAAUUUUUCACUGUUGUCCAGUGCUCUUUACCGAGGUUGAAGAGAAACCACUGACUACACUAACUGUAUAGGCAAUAUUUGGUCUUGUACAAAUUAUGGCGUACAAUAAACUGCCAACUGCUGAAGCAUAAGGAACUCCUCUCAUGGAGAAAUGGGUUUUACUCUUGAGAUUUUUGGGACCAUGAAGAAUAAAGAUGUAAUUUCUUAUACUGCCAUUGUUUCGGGAUAUAUAAAUAGAGAACAAGUCGAUAUAGCUCGACAGUGUUUUGAUCAGAUGCCAGAACGAGAUUAUGUCUUAUGGACUACCAUGAUUGAUGGGUACCUUCGAGUGAAUAGGUUCAGAGAGGCUUUGACACUUUUUCAGGAGAUACAAACUUCAAAUAUAAUGGGAGACGAGUUUACCAUUGUUAGCAUUCUUACAGCUCGUGCGAAUCUGGGGGCACUAGAACUGGGAGAAUGGAUAAAGACUUAUAUUGACAAAAACAAAGUCAAGAAUGAUAUAUUUGCGGGGAAUGCUUUGAUAGACAUGUACUGUAAAUGUACUGUAAAUGCGGAGAUGUUGAGAAAGCUCAAAAGGUAUUCAGGAAGAUGCUUUGAAAGGUCAAAUUCACAUGGACGACCAUGAUUGUUGGCCUUGCCAUCAGUGGAAAUGGUGAUAAAGCUCUUGAUAUGUUUUCCCAAAUGCUCAGGGCUUCGAUCAAACCAGAUGAGGUAGCUUAUGUUGGUGUUCUGUCUGCCCGUACUCACAAUGGUAACGAAACUUUUGUGAUAAAUAGUUGCAACUUAAGGUGAGAACUGGAGGAAGGGAAAUAGAUUGAAGUUGUUCAAUCAUCAGUAGUUGCUACUUGGUUUUAAGUUGUUCAAUCAUCGGUCGUCUCUAUUUGGUUUUCUCCAAUAUCUCAUCUUCAAUUUUGACUCAGAUUGUAUCUUACCACUAGUAAUUACAUAGACUUGCUGCCAAAGGUAAGAAUGGGAAUAAAUUAAAUAGAUUAUGUCGAAAACGAAAUAAAUUUACUAUUGUUCUGUUCAUUCUAUUUGUUUCCUACAAAAUAUUUCUCCUGCCUAAAAUUUUUUGAAUCAGUAAGUUUUUACCUUAUGGAUGAAUUGUGUUGAGAGUAAUUCCAUUUCUCAGUCUCUUUAUGUUUCAAUGAAGACGUAAAACUUGUGUUCUAGUGCACCAACGUUUAUGCUUCUUACAAUUUGACUUUAAUUUACUUUGUAAAAUUUUUGUCAAAAAGUACUAAAAAGUAGUGCACCAAACACCAACUUUAUUACAGAGAGGACUUUAGUUAAAUUUUAAGAAAACACUCAAAAGAAAGAGUUGUAAAUUAUUAUAAAAAUAUUUCACAUAAAUAAAAGCCAUCCCAUGCUGCAAAGAUCUUGCUAUAAUCACCAAAAACUAUCGGGAGCUUUUAGGGUUUCCAUAAAAAUGCCAUUUCGUUCCAUGUAUAUGAUUCUAUAGUCUCACUGGCAAGUAAACCACAGCCCAACAGCACUGACUGUCCAUGAUGAUUCACCCCAAUGAACGAAACCAGCGUUGCAUCAUAUCUUUCUGUCAAGCAUGUAAUAUCAAUUGAUUUGAGCUAUUAACAUCAUUUCCAAAUACUCCAUUGGCAUCUACAUUACCAUUUCCCUCGGCAUCAAUGAUAAGAGUUCGAAACAGUCUAAUCUUUUGAACUUCUUCAGCACCAUCUAAGAGCAAUGUUCUUUUGGUUCCAAUACCCAUGUGCUUAUGAUAUUUGUAAAAUAAUUAUUUGUAAAAUAAUUAGUUCAAUUUUGACAUAAUACGGAAUAAACACAACCUGCCAAUCUAAGUUACUAUCUUUUCCCGUCAUCAGGUACCUGUUUGAAAAAUAAUUAUAUACAAUUUUAUUUGCGUCGUCCCUCUAAAAAUUUGGGACUCAAAUGUUAUUUCUAAUUGCUAAAAGUACGAAAUUGCCCCCUUUCUCUUCAGCUAAAGGAGUGCAAAGUCAUCUGUAUAAUUGAAUCUGCAUCAUCAGUUUCUAUUGCUGGCUGGUGUUACUGCAUGCUUACAGUUGCUUGACAAAGUGAGCCAGUUUUUUGUUUAUUAAUUUUUUUUCUUGUCGAGACAGUCACAAAGUAUUACUUGUUCUAUUUGAGAAUGAUGUGAAUCAAUUUUUCAAUUAUGCAUUCUGUGGUAAUUAUUGUGAAUUUAGUUUCAUUUGUCUUGUCUCCUGCAAAUUUUGAAGAAAAUGCAGACAUACAAAUUUACAAUAUGUAUUUGCGUUAGUAUAAAAACAAUUGUUAGAUGAUUAAAGCGAUUUAUUUUUUUUUUUACAGCAUUUGAUUGUAUUAGUUAAAAUCAUUUUUUAAGGAUAAAAAUAAAUAGAAAAUUAUUCUCAUGUAGUGUGGAAAUCUUUUCUAAUUUCUUGUUGACUUGUACAUUUAUUUCAGAAUUUCCAUUCAUUAAUUCUACUGUUUUAAUCUUUGACUUAGCUACCGUAGUUGACUUUUUAUAUCAAAGGCUUAAACAGCAUGCAUUUUUGAAUUGACUGAGAAUAAUUUGGUGGACAAAUUACUAGUAAAGGACUUCAAAUGGUUGAAUUGACUGUGGGUUUUUCAUGCCCAAGUCACUCGUCACGUCGUUUCAUCGAAACAAAGUGCCCGGUGCAAAUGGUGUGAUGUAAAACACCUUUUUAAAUUGUCAUUUUUUUUCCUUUGCUUUUGCUUUAAUUUUCUAAAUGCUCAACGCCAUAAAUCCAUGUAUUCUUAAUUUUCGUUUGCUGUAUUGAUUCCCAACCCUCUAUGUCACAAGGUUUUGAAUGCCAGUAAUUAAGUUAAAUUAAACAUAUUUUAAGUCCUACUUUAAAUUAUUGAAAAAUGUAUUAUGGUUGAACUGAAUUUUAACUAAAAAAUAUAUACAAAAUAAAAGAUUAAUCAUAUCUUUUUAUGAGGAAGGUCAGUCAUCAUUCUGACCACAGACACUUAAAAUUAAUUGAGUGGAAUAUUGCAAAAUAUAUAUAAACCAUGCCAAAACUAGAUGUUUGAGUAAUGAAAACGAGAAUUCAUAUGACUCAGAAAUAUGGUCGCUUUCCUUUUUCUGAAAGGCAAAAAAAAAGGGGGAACCAAAAAGGACCAAAAUGAACAAAAAUGGAAGGCGAAGGUAAGCAGACAUGUUAUAUGUUUUACCUAAGAUGCCAAAUGCAACUCCCCAUUGAUGGUGAUCGAACAUUAUGGCCAUUUUCUUAGUAAACAAAAAAUGAAUUUUGAACACUCAACAACGAAACUUGAGCAGAAGAUCAAGCAAGGGCCUCGAUCUCAAAGAAGAUACUAUGAAACCCUACUUAAUGGUUAAAUAACUUUCAUUCAGCUUUGGACCCUAUUUCGUGAUACGGAAAGACAAACCUUUCUUGGCCGGCAGUGUCCCAGAUCUGGGCUUUGAUGAUCUAGAGGUUGAUGGUGACAGUUCUGGUUUGGAACUCGACGCCAAUGGUUUAUUUCGAUUCAAAGCAAAACUCAUUCUUGGUGAAUCUCGAAAGAAUCUGAGACUUGCCCACGGCCGAGUCACCGAUCACCACUACCUUGAAUACAUAGUCUAUUUUGUCAGGAAUCAUAUUCUCUCGUUGUUGAUGACGAUGAUCGGUGCCAUCACCACUCAUUUCUUCGUUCAUUCAUUCUAUGUCCAUUGAUCUUUUUGAAUUAUUGAAGACAAGUGGCUCACCGCUUUUAGUAUUGGUAAAAUUCAGAUAAUCUCUAUUCCGAAAUAAUAAUAUUAAAAAUAUCUCUUAAAUCAUUAUAAACUUCAAAUCUAUUUUAAUUUUAUUUAAAAGAUAAAAGAAAAAUAAGUUAUGUUGGUGAUUUUUUAUUAUCUUUUUAAUAAAAAUAGAAUAAAUUGAUGUUUAUAAUUAUUUAAAGUAUUUUAAAGAUUGCUAUUUUAUGAGAGAAUAAUAUUUCAUUUUUUUUUUCGUGUGAAAGACCGAAAAAGGACAAAGCAAGUUUCCCUAAUUUUUAUUUUAUGUGAAAUUGGUCAUCUCAUAUACUUUACCCUUCAACACUCUAAUUUUUUUGGUUAUAAUUUUAUUAUUUUUUCUCUUUUACACAUGCAUGUGAAUUACUUUUCUUUAAGCUCCUGAAUAUUUAAGACAAAUCAUGGAAGAGAUGAGAGUAUAACAAGAUGAUCAAAAUAUGUAACAAAAAAAUUUUAGAAGUGAAAAAUAUGUUAGAGUCGAAGUAAAACUCUGAGGUGAUGUUUGAUUUGAAGAAAAUGGAGGAGAGAAAAAGAGUGGAAUGGAGAGGAAAAGAGAGAAAAGGAGAGGAGAGGAGAGGAGAGUGAACUUUUUUUCUAAUGUUUGGUUUGUCACAUAAAUAUACAAAGAAAGGAAAUCUCCAAUUUUUUAUUUAGACAAUUUUAACCUUAAUAAGUAUUAAGCUUUCAAUAUUUAUCAUGUGUAUAAUUUAAAAAAAGUAAAUGGUAGAAAGCGGUUUCUGAUUCCGGCCACAUCGCCGGCAAUGGAAGGUACUUAUCAGAACAUCAAGAACCGGCCAUCAUUCCCUAGCCAUCACUGCUGUAGGAACACUGCUAAAAAGCUGCCGAUUGAACCGCGAAAAGUCGUGGAAAUCGUUGCCUCAAAUCGGUGAGUUUCGCCUUUUUCUGGUCAUGCCGUCGCCUUGGCUUUGUCCAUCAACGCUGCCACUUCCAUUUCAACCAUCCAUAGCCACUAUUAACCGCCAAAUCGCCGCCGAUCAGCGGGAUCUGUGGAAGUUAAAAAGUUUCUAAAAUUUUUUAAUUGGAUUUGAACAACAUACAACCAUUUUUUGAUCUCAAUAACGACAUAGUAAUGUUGAUCGUUGGUCGGCAAGUCGAAUGGUAGUGGCGGUGAGUAACACGCGCCAAUGACAUCGGCGGCGGCGGCGGCACUAUCCGGCUACUGUUAAAAUUAAUAUUUUAUAUUUGUAGAUUAAAUAAAUUUAUUUUAUUAAACUUUUUAAAUCAUUAUUUAAAUUUAAUUAAUUUAAAAUUAUCUAUGAUGUUGAAUUGAUAAAAUAAAUUUAUAAAUAAUAAUUAUGUGAUUACAUUAAAUAAGUUAAAAAGUUGAAGGGUUAUUUUUGGAAGAUUUAGUUUCCAACACAAAGGGAAUUUGAAUUCUUCACUUCUUAGUGUGGAAUUCAAAUUCUAUAUUGUAAUGGAUAUUAAAUUCCAAUAGAAAUUAAAUUCUUAUAAGUUAUGUCAAACCAAACAACGGAAAUAAAAAAAAAGAAUUUAAAUUACUUUCCUUUCCUCCACCCUCUCCUUCCAACCAAAUACAUCCUGAAAAUAGAGAUAUUGAUUAAUUUAGAAGAGAUGCAAGCAAAAGAUAUUCCACAAAAAAAAAAAAGCAAUAUGUCCCUUUGGAGGGCAAACUUGUCAGUUUUAAAAAAGUACAUGCUUUGGAUUGAUAGUUGUAGGAUAUUUGUUUUGUCACUAUGUGUUAGUUGGAGAAGUCAAGCCUUGUGAAGAAUGUUAUGAAAGAGCAAAGGAUAUUCCUGAUAGCUGAUAGAGCUCUAUUUGAUUAUGUAUCCAAUGAAUGGAUGUGUUGUUGGAAGAUAUUUGAGUGCAUUAGUUCAUAUGUGUCUAUCAAUGUGAUUUUAAUGAUUUUUCCACUUGUUUGUUGUAAAAGAUUAUUGUAAAUUGAAAUGAACUUGAUGUUGUAAUAUUUUCUCCUUAGUAGAAUUUCACCUAGUAUGUAUUUAGUUGUGUUGUCUAUAAUUUUGCAUUCGAAUAAGUUUCACCUAAAAUAUUAGCAUGAGUAGUGGCCCUUGAAACUUUGGUCAAAAUUAUUGUUAUUAUUUCCGACUAGAUGUAAAUUUUUUAUUAAAUCUCGCUAACACAAUUCUUAAUUAAAAGUAUAGGUUAGUGUUGGUGCAAGACUUGCCACACCAAAUUCUGCCUAACUGUCAAAAGUGCAAAAUAAAUGAAGAGAAAGCACAAAUACACGACUUGAAUAAGGAUACAACGAAACUUAAAUUCAAGAGAAAAUGAUAGCUAUAUCUCAAGAUUUGAAAAAACGGUCAUGUAGAUUUUUAAGAUUUCAAUAAGCGACUGAGAUUCAAAUAAUAUCCUUUAAUUCUAUUAACAAAAAACAAAGACUCAAAUAUUUUAUGAUAAAUAAAAAUAUAAUAUUAAAAUAUAUGUGAUAAUAUACACAUUUUAAAUACUUUCAAUCCAAAAAAAUAGUUAUGUUUUACAAUCUAUUAGACAUAUUUUAUUAAAUUAAUAUAAAUUUUCUAUAAAAUAAGAAUAUAAUAUUAAAAUAAAUUCACAAAAAUUUAAAGAAUUUUGAAUGUAAAAUAAUUUUAAUAUAUCAAUACGUGAGUUUUUUUAUUAAUAUAAAAUUUAUUUAACUUUAAGAUUUUUUAAAAUCUUUACAAUAAGUAUAACUAUAUUAUUUACAUUUAAAAAUAUUUAAAUAUUAUUAACCUACAAUUAUAUUUGCAUUUGUUAGAAAUUUUUUAAGUCAAAUAUUUUGCACUUCUAUAUUAUUAGAAUUAUUGCACAAAAAGAAAGAAACAUACACCUUUAGAAAUUGUUUUCUUUUAAAAUAGAGAUGAUGAUUAGUAUAAGGAUGAAAAAAAGGAUAAAGAAUAUUAAUGAUUAACGAAAUCUCUAUACAAAUUGAUUUUAGUAGGAAAAGAGUGAGAUGAAUGAUUUCUUUUACAGUUAGAAACAUAGAUGAUGAUUAUUAUAACGAAGAAAAAAAGAUAAAGAAUAUUAAUUAUUAAUGGAAUCUCUAUACAAAUUGAUUUUAGUAGGAAAAAAAUGAUUAAAUGAUUUAGAGUGCGUUUGGAAUUGAGAUUGGGCAGCCAUAGAUUUUAAGUUACAACACUGAAGUGUUUAGUAAAUACUAGUUGCUGCAGAUUGAAAGUUAUGUUGAUAUGAUUUUUCACAUGUAUCAUAGAAAAUAUAUUACAUCUUUAAUAUUUUUUAAAAAUUUAUAUUUGCUAUAUAUUAUUAAUUUUUUUUUAUAGUUAUAACUUUUUUUCCACAACAGUUGUAGCUUAAAAGUCACAGCACCUCAAUCUCAAACAAAUCCUUAGACAUUCAUAGUGUGUUUAUUUUUUGGAUUGGUGAAUCAAAAUUAUUGACAACGCUAACUUCAUCUUCACUGUUCGCAAUCCAACAGCAGCAAUUGUCGCCAAUAAUGAUAUCUCCAAUGAUGAUGACAAUUAUUAUUAUUAUUUUUAUUAUUAUUAUUAUUAUUAUUAUUAUUAUUAUUAAUUAAUUAAUUAAUUAAUUAAUUAAUUAAUUAAUAUAUUAAUGUUGAUAUUAUUAUUAUUAAGAUUAACAAUAAUUAUUAGUAAUACAAUUUUUUGAAUAAAAAUAAUCACAAUAAUUAAAAUACAAAUUAAUAAUUAUGACAAUAAUUAAUUAAUGUCUUUUUAGUAAUUUGUAAUAAUCUAACUCAUUUUGGUUCUGAUUAUUACAGCUUAAGUAAACAAAUUAUUAUGAUUCCUAUUCUCCUUUCCCAUUUUAACUCACUUUGAUUCCAGUCUAUUCCGAUUUCUAUUUAAUAAAUGCACCAUUAGUGCUAAAGUAAUAUUUCAUACAUAGAAAAAUAAAAACUACGCCUAAGGUUAAGGGAAAAGACUUCAAAAUUCUCUUUUGAUCAUAAUACAUUUUGUCCUAAUUAACUUAAAGAUUUUGAAUCUAAUAUUUUAUAAUAAAUAAAAAUAUAUUCCUAAAAUAAAUAUAAUAUCAAUAUUUAAAAUAUGUUUUAAUAUUUUACAAUCUAUCAUACACAUUUUAUUAUAUUAAAGUAGAUUUAUAAUAAAUAUAUAAAAAUUUAGAAUAUUUAGAAUAUUAUAUAAAAUAAUUUUAAUAUAAUGCGUGAUAUAUAUUUUAUUAAUUUAAAAUGUCAUUUUACCUAAAAAAUAUGAUAAAUUAAUAAUUACAUAUUUGAAGUUAUUUCAAAUAUUAAAAAAAUUUAAUAUUAUUAAUCUUUUAGAUAGAUUAAAUUAUUUUUUAUAAGAGAGAUUAAAUUAUUUUAAAAUGCCUUAAUUGUUUUUACUUUUAACGUUACGGGCCUUUCUUUUAUUUUAUUGCAAAUUAAUGCUAACUAGAAAAACAAAAACAAAAGUGACAAACACAACCAGCUGGAAUCUUUUAUAAAACUACAAAUUAAAAUGGAUUUUUUUUUUUUGUUGAUAAAUUACACAUGAAAGUGGAUUCUUUUGAAUAUAAGUGGGGUAGGCUCUUUUAUUUUUUUUUUAAUACCGUAUAACAGGACUGUAGACUCUUUUAUUAAGCACAAAUAUAGAGUUGUCGAGACAAUUAGGGUCUUUUAUUAAACUACAAAUUGUAUAGUCUUUUUUAAAUUGUUCAGAUAUUUAUAAAUUGGUGGCCCCUACAAUCCUCAAUAAUUGUACCGAUAUUCACAAGCUGGUGGCCCCUACAAUCCUUAAUAAUUGUUUUUUUUUUUUUCUGCAUUCCCUUUCAUGCUCUUAAUAAUUAAAGAGCAUACUUUUCAAAUGUGGAGCCGCGGCUAAUGUCGCUAAUUUAAUUUGGGAUUAAAUUAGGGGACUAUUAUAUUGCAGUGUGCACUAAUUUUUAUGUUUAUCUAAACUCCUUAAAUUUAAGAUAUAUUAUGGCAUAAAUAAGAAUAUAACAAUAGCAAAAGAGUUAGAAAGUGUAGAGAAGAUCUUGCAGAAAUAUAAAUAAUAUUUAUUUUAAAAUAAUAUCAAUAUUUAAAAUAAUUUUUAUUAUUUUAUGAUCCAUUAGAUAUAUUUUAUUAUAUUAAAGUAAAUUUUAUAAUAAAUAAAAACAUACUAUUAAAAUGAAUAUAUAGAAAAUUUAGAGUAUUUUAAGUAUUAUAUAAAAUAAUUUUAAUAAAAUAUGUGAGAUAUUCAUAUUUUAUUAAUUUAAAAUACCAUUUAACCUAAAGAUUUAUUUAUGAUAAAUUAAUAAUUAUAUUUUUGAAAUUACUUCAAAUAUUAAAAAAAUUAAUAUUACUAAUCUAUUAGAUAGAUUAAAUUAUAUAUAUUAUUUUCUAUUUAUUAAAAAAUUUCAAAUUAUUUUUAAUUACUAUUCAAAAAAUAUGAUGAUAAAAAAAUCUUAACAUCUUUAUUAAAAAAUUAAAAACUUACAUGAUCAAUUCUCUAAAUAUUUAGGGUAUAUGUGAACCACGGUGGACAGAGGUCAUUACUAAAAUUUCUCUUCCACAGGCAAUUACAGCAGCUCCAGUUUAUCAAACUCAACCAAUUUUCUUUCUUAACAAAAUUCCAAAGAUGUGUAGCUUUUUUCAGAUCACAUGCGAUGGUGCUUUUUUCAAUCGUUGCUUGGAUUGCUUUCUUGGAAAAGCAGCAUACAUACGUAACCUCCAAGAUAAUCUUGAUGCCUUGGACACUGAACUGGGAAGACUAAUCGCAGCAAAGAACGAUGUGAUGAUUAGGGUUGUCAAUGCUGAACGGCAAUAAAUGAGAAGGCUGGACGGAGUGCAAGUGUGGGUUUCGAGUGUGGAUGCUGUUAAAACUGGAGCCGAUGAACUUAUCACAGACGGCUCUGAAGAAAUUGGCAAAUUAUGUGUUGGAGGCUACUGUUCCAAGAACUGCAGGUCAAGCUACAAAUUCGGAAAACAAGUGGCUAGAAAGCUACGAGAUGUGGAGACUUUAAUCGCCGAAGGAGUUUUUGAGGCGGUGGCUACUGAGGUGGUGCCUGAGAGAGCUCCAGAGCCUGUAGCAGAUGAAAGACCUACCGAGCGAAAAGUAGUAGGCUUGCAAUCACAACUUGAACAAGUCUGGACGUGUCUUGUGGAAGAAUCAGCGGGAAUCAUUGGCCUAUACGGUAUGGGCGGUGUUGGUAAAACCACACUAUUGACCCAUAUCAACAAUAAAUUUCUCGAGAGUCCAACCAACUUUGAUUGUGUGAUUUGGGUAGUAGUUUCAAAAGACCUGCGACUUGAAAAACUUCAAGAAGAUAUUGGGAAAAAGAUAGGUUUGGUUGGUGAUUCAUGGAAGAGUAGAAGUGCAGAGGAGAAAGCUCUCGACAUCUUCCGGAGUCUAAGAGGGAAGAGAAUUGUAUUGUUGUUAGAUGAUAUAUGGGAGCGGGUUGAUUUAACAAAAGUGGGCGUUCCACUUCCUGGACCACAAAAUACUACCUCAAAAGUCGUAUUCACAACNNNNNNNNNNNNNNNNNNNNNNNNNNNNNNNNNNNNNNNNNNNNNNNNNNNNNNNNNNNNNNNNNNNNNNNNNNNNNNNNNNNNNNNNNNNNNNNNNNNNNNNNNNNNNNNNNNNNNNNNNNNNNNNNNNNNNNNNNNNNNNNNNNNNNNNNNNNNNNNNNNNNNNNNNNNNNNNNNNNNNNNNNNNNNNNNNNNNNNNNNNNNNNNNNNNNNNNNNNNNNNNNNNNNNNNNNNNNNNNNNNNNNNNNNNNNNNNNNNNNNNNNNNNNNNNNNNNNNNNNNNNNNNNNNNNNNNNNNNNNNNNNNNNNNNNNNNNNNNNNNNNNNNNNNNNNNNNNNNNNNNNNNNNNNNNNNNNNNNNNNNNNNNNNNNNNNNNNNNNNNNNNNNNNNNNNNNNNNNNNNNNNNNNNNNNNNNNNNNNNNNNNNNNNNNNNNNNNNNNNNNNNNNNNNNNNNNNNNNNNNNNNCAGGAAGUCCUAGUGCGUGCUAUCAGAAAAGAUGCUGGGAACUGUUUCGCGAAAAUGUUGGGGAAGAAACUCUUGAGAGUGAUCAUGAGAUCGUUGAGCUAGCCCAAACUGUGGCCAAAGAGUGUGGUGGUUUGCCACUCGCACUUAUUACUAUUGGUCGAGCUAUGGCCUACAGAAAGAAAGCGGAGCAGUGGAGACGUGCAAUUGAAGAGUUAAGAAGAUCAGCUUCAGAGUUUGCAGGUUUGGGAAAAGAGGUGUAUCCUCUUUUAAAGUUUAGCUAUGAUAGUUUGCAGAAUGAUACAAUUAGAUCUUGUUUCUUGUAUUGUUGUUUAUAUUCUGAAGAUUAUGGCAUUCUUAAAUGGGACUUGAUUGAUUGUUGGAUUGGUGAGGGAUUUUUGGGGGAAUCUGACAGGUUUGGUGCAGAAAACCAAGGAUAUGACAUUUUGGACACUCUUGUUCGUGCAUGUUUAUUAGAAGAGGUGGAAGAAGAUGAAGUAAAAAUGCAUGACGUUAUUCGUGAUAUGGCUAUAUGGAUAACCAGUGAAAUUGAGAAGGAGAAGAGAAACUUUUUGGUUUGUGCAGGUGCUGGAUUAGAAGAGGCACCGGAUGUUAAAGAAUGGGAAAAUGUGAGAAGAUUGUCAUUGAUGCAAAACCAAAUUGAAACUCUGUUUGGGGUUCCCACAUGCCCUCAUCUCAUCACUUUAUUUAUUGACUUUAAUAGGGAGUUGAAGACUAUCGCGGAUGGCUUCUUCCGAUGUGUGCCUUCUCUCAAAGUUUUGAAGAUGUCAAACUGUGGAAAGCCUUAGAAAGGUUUGGAAUUACCUUUGGGGAUGUCAAAGUUGGGUUCACUACAACUUCUUGAUAUUUCACACACCUGCAUACAAGAAUUACCACAAGAAUUAAAGUUGUUGGUAAAUCUGAAAUGUUUGAAUUUGAGGCGGACAAUUUGGUUAAAUAAAAUUUCAUGGCAACUAAUAUCAAAAUUUUCAAGGUUACGUGUGUUGAGAAUGUUCGCUACUGGCUGGUUCAGUUUUCAUGAAGCACCAGAAGACAGCGUUUUAUUUGGUGGGGGUGAAGUUUUGAUACAGGAAUUGCUCGGUUUGAAAUAUUUAGAGGUAUUGGAGUUGACCUUGGGAAGUUAUCAUGCUCUCCAAAUUCUUUUGAGCUCAAAUAAGUUAAAAAGUUGUAUUCGAUCUCUUUUCCUACAGUUGUUCAGAGAUACAACGUCGAUUAUUGAUGCUACGGCUUUCGCAGAUCUAAACCACCUCAAUCAAUUAUGUAUUAGUAACGGUUCUGAGUUGGAAGAAUUGAAGAUUGAUUAUACGGAGAUAGUACGAAAAAGGCGGGAACCUUUUGUUUUCCGCAGCCUUCAACGUGUUACCAUAGAGGAGUGCCAUAAAUUGAAAGAUUUGACAUUCCUCGUUUUUGCUCCAAACCUCAAGUCUCUUUCGCUAUACGAUUGCGGUGCUAUGGAAGAAAUAAUCAGCGUCGGAAAAUUUGCUGAGACUCCUGAGAUGAUGGGACAUAUAAGCCCUUUUGAAAAUCUCCAAAUGCUUUAUUUAAUGGCAUUGCCGGAGUUGAAGAGCGUCUACUGGAAGCCAUUGCCUUUCACUCAUCUGAAAGAAAUGGAGGUACUUGGGUGUGAUCAGCUUAAAAAGCUUCCACUCGAUUCCAACAGUGCAAAAGAGCGUAAAUUUGUAAUUCUUGGAGACACACAGUGGUGGAACCGUCUUCAAUGGGAGGAUGAAGCCACUCAAAUUGCUUUUCGUUCCUAUUUCCAAACCUGAUUCCUGAGCGGUGGUCGCAAAAUUUGAUUUCUGGUGAGUGCGUUUGUCUUUUAAAAGAAGAAUUUAAAAGAAAUUUAUUCUUGUCGUUUUCUUCUCUGUUUUUAUUUCAGUUUGUUUCUCUCUCUCUCUUUUUGUCUUCUGCAAAUCACAAUUAAAUGUUGAAUUAAUGGAAUUAAUGCUUCAUAAAUUUGCCGGCACUGCCAGUACUUUUUUUUUUUUUUAAUACGAAUUGAUGCUUUAUUUAUUUCUUCUUAGCGAUUUAAUUUCCUGUCAAAAGACGAGCGAGAAGAACAUAUGACUUAAACCAAUUGAUACUUUAUUUAUGUGCAUUGUAUGUAAUAAAAUUUUCUCUGUUUUUUUCAAAUUGAGGCUUUAUUUAUAUUUUCUUCGUGAAGAGUGAUUUAAUUUCCUGCCAAAAGACAAACGAGAAGAACAUUAGAGUCAAACUAAUGCUCACAUAAAUUUCCCGUAAGAAUAUAUAUAUAAUUAGACUGGAAUGCACACCUCUAGAUUGAACAGAAUUAAAGCUGAGAAAAUAUUGAGUAUAGUAGCCCUCUUUACAGAAAAUGACGCGAAAGUUAAUUUAGAAAGAUAUAUUCUUGAUUAAUCCAUUUUCUGAAGUUUUUUAUUUUGUAUGGUCAAUUAUACCUUCAUACUAAAAAAAAAAAAAAAAAAGAGAAAAUAUGUAAUCCAUGAAUGGUUAAUUUUGUUUGUUUGUUUUUUUUUCUUAAAUAUCAUUCUUUUUCGGCCACCCAAGGACAUUUUCACAAAUACCUUUUGUGUGCAGAAGUCUUCCAAACCAUCAAUGGAAAAAUAAAAAAUAAAAAAAACACGGUCCAGUAUACCUCAAAAUAUCAUUGAUGACUUUUCUGGUCUAAUGCUAUGUAAAUAGUAUGUUAAGUAAAACAUAAUCAGUUCAGUACCUCACAAAUAAUUCGCAAUAUCUACAAAAUACUAUAAUGGCUACAAAACAAAUCCUGCUUGCAAAUUGUCAAGGAUACCUAUCCGUUCGCUUGACAAGUCAUUUGAAUAAAUAUUGUUCACAUUCCUUACUCUGUCAAUUAUCCAAAGCACCAUCAACUUUAGUUUGAAUAGUAUACAUGCCAUCACCGUUACCAAGAAUCAAGCAUGGAAGGGUCAUUCUAUAGAGUGCAGAACAUGACUCUAUGCGGUAGUCAAUUUGACACACGACGAACACCAUAUGCUGCAUAACAUACAAAUUAAUUUCCCAUAUGUGAUGCAAUUUUCUCCUCAACAUAUGCGCAAUUCUUUCCAUUCCGGCAUUUACACUCAAAUUUUCCUUCCUUUCUCUUUGUGGUUGAAUCUUACACCACAACUCAUGUGAUGCAAUCUCCUCUCGCUGCCUAAAUUGCACUCUCAGCAAAGCAGCAUAUGUAAGCAAGCUUGAAGAUAAUCUUGCUGCUCUGCAGAAGAACGGCAAAAGUUAAUCGAAGCAAGGAAUGAUGUAUCAGAAAAUAUUUGGUGGAGAAUUCAGCACAAACAUAUUUCGGAUGAUCAGAAUCAAUAAAACCUGGUGGUUGUGCCAUAUAAACAUCUUUGGAAAGCUGACCUUGAAGAAAGGCGUUAUUGAUAUCCAAUUGAUGAAGAGGCCAGCCAUGACUAACAUCAAUACUAAGAACAAGCCGUACUGUGGUGGACUUAACAACUGGACUGAAAGUGUCAUAAUAGUCCACACCAGGCCAUUGAUUGAACCCUUUGGCAACAAGAUGAGCUUUAAACCUGUCAACAGAACCGUUGGAAUGUCUUUUAAUACAAAAAUCCAUUUGCAGCCAACAAUAUUGGAAGGGAUGGGAGGUGGAACAAGCUUCCAUGUCCCGUUACGAACAAGAGCAUCAUACUCUUCUGACAUAGCUGGACGCCAGUGAAGAUUUUUGAUAGCUUGCGUCACAGUUGUAGGUUCACAAUCAGAAGAAGGGCUAAAAUGAGCACGGAGGUUAAGUUUUUGUAACGGCUUGUGAAUCUUAUUUUUAGCUCGGGUAGUCAUAUCAUGAUGACUUGUGGGGCAAUGAUCUAGUGGAGUUUAGGAAGAUGAUUGAACAGGAAGUGAAGAAGUGCUUUGUGUAGAGGUAGAAGUAGGUUGGGAGGAUUGCUGCGGAGAUGUUACCGGUAGAGAAGAAGGAGCAGUACACGGUGGCAACUCCAGAGGGCCCACAAUAGAUGGAGUAGGUGCCGACAAUGGAGUACUAGGAAAUGAAACAGGAAGAAUUGGUGGAACACUUGCAUAAUUAGGAGUGGUAGAUGAGCUUGUAAUGAUUUGCAUGGAAAAACAAACUCUACAAAUUUAACGUGACGUGAAAUAAAAAUUUGAAAGGUGGAUGGGUCAAAACAUAAAUAAGCACUUUGAGAUAAAGGAAUAUCCUAGAAAAACACAAGGCUUAGAGGGUGGUUCGAGUUUAUGUGAUGAAACACAAACAUUCAAAAAAUUUUAAGUUUAUAUUAAUUAGGAGUGGUACCAAAAAUUAAUUAGCUAUGGGGUUGUUGGAUGUGUUUUGGAUAUUUACAGUUAAGUUUGAGUAUCUCAACUUAAAAUUUGUAGUUUUCACUUGAAAAAAUUCAGUUAAAUUUUGCAAUGCAGACUGAUUGAUUUAUCAGUUUAACGUGUGCCAGGAAUGAAGAACUGGAAUAUCACCGUCAAGCAAGCACCCUGUGGAGCAAUACCAAAGAAUGCACAAUCUGGCUUUGCUAGGUAACACUGGAGGCUUUUUGAAAAGUGCUUCACGCUCACUUGCACAGAUUGAGCAUCCCCUCUGGAUAUUGCCCUCUCUGAUCGAGUCUGAGCACUCAAAUUUUGGUCCUCAGAGGGAGCUACAGUUUUCUCUCCACUAACCAACAAUAUUCUAAACUCAGCACCUAGUGUGAUCAGAGUUGUUGAUAUUUGCAAAUGGAGAUCCCCAUAUUUGCAAAUGGAGACAUUUAACAAAUCACCAACAUGCUUCAUCCGGUCCACGAAAUUCUGCAACUGAUGCAAAUCUGGAACCUGAACCAGAGUCGGAGGUAUAUCUUGAGCCAUAUCUAAAGCAGUUUGAAGUUCAAGACCUUGAGCCCUUGACAAUGGUUUUGAAAUUGGAACAUCUUGGAUUACUGCAGACUUGUACCCCUUGGUUUCAAAGGUAAGGAAAGGCAUUGCUUGAGUACAAUUUGGAGGCAGCUUCUUCACCAAUUUUAUUUGGAGGCGAUUGGCAGCGGAUCCAGCUGCACCAAUUUCAGAGCAACUACUGACACUACUUCGAACAGCACACUGAAGAAGUGAUAUGUCUACGGCGAAGGCAAUGCAGUCCUCAUUUUGGCUUGAGACACAGUAAUCAUCGAAGAGAGUUUCCUUGUGAAACUGGGCAACACAUUGAAUCCCUUCGGCACUGAGAAGGUUGUGGAGGAAGUAAGCUUUCUCUCUAGUAAGGAAGAGGUGGCAUACAUUCCCCAUUUUGUCUAGGGCAGGUAGGAAUCUUUUUUCUAAGAGAUUUACUUCAUUCUCUGUGAGAAAUGCUUUGAACUUCAUCCCUCUGUCUCUAUCCUCACUUAUCAGUAAAAUAGUUGAAAGCGCUACAAGGAGAGAAAAGAAGAGUAUUAAGAUAUAUAUAUUAUAUAGACAAGAAAAACAUUAGAUGUCGAUCUUACAAGCUAAUACUUCAAACAAUAUCCUAGAAAGCUAAAAACUGCAAGAUGGCUUGAAAUUUGAAAAGAGCACGUGCUUUUCCUCCUUAACUUGAGAAAAUGUUUAAUAUAGUGCACCUUACAGAAGCAUUUAAGCAAUUAGAACUUUGCACAAAAACAUCAAGAAGACUAAACAAGUCAGAUGCAGUGUAUUUGUCCAAGCACAAAUUGCAUUUUGUCCUCAACUUUAAUAUUUAUUGAUGAGAAUCAAUACAGGUCCCUCAUUUGUUAUAGAAAGCUUUCUUGUAGUCUCACCAGUUAAUAUGGAUAUUAGAUAAGGAAACUUUAUUAGGUUGCGAGGGUAAAAAAGGAAAGAGAUAUCAUUAUUUUAUUAUCGAUAAUUAUUAAAUUUUUUUCCAAAAAAAAGAACAAGCAAGGAUAUUUUAUUGUCAAUUGCAACCUUUAAUUUUUUUAAAUGCUAUUAGAAACACAAGAUAACAAAAAUGUAGUGAGAUGGGAUCUCCUGCAUGCCACUCUGGUUUAGAACACAAAGAAUGUGUCUGCAUAAAUAUCCUCUGAAAUUGAACAACCCACAAACACAAAGCACCUCCAAGUCGGAGGCAUUGUACAAAACAUCAAAAGCCCUUGAAUCCUUCUCGUUGCCACCAACCUCGAAUUCUUCCUUCACUAUGUAUGUUAUAGGUCCAUCAGAACUAAUAUGUUUUGUGCUAUAGUAAGAGUACAUAGCCUCCACCUCCAUCUGAAACUUCCUUAACAUUUCAUUUGUGUACAGUUUUGAGAGUUGAAAUUCAUAGUAACAUCUUGGUUUCCGGAUACAACUUGAAUUUCUUGAAUCCAUAUCUGCCAAGGCUACCAGUUGAUAAUUCGCCUGCAGUGCUUGAUCAUACUUGUCUAAGAAUUCUUUCAAAGGAGUAUUCUUAUCAAGAUAUCCUUCAAAGUAUGAAGUAGAAACCUCAUUCUGCAGGAACGAAAACACUCCUGAUAAAAAAGCUUCCUUCAAAUAAAUAGGAGCCCACCUUUUAUGAUCUUCAUAUAAAGUUUGAAUCCAUCCGUGAUCCUUUAUUCCAUGACAUUGAAUCAUGUCUUCCCAAGCUGCUUCAAAUUUCUCAGGCCUGAGAGAGUGAUAAAUUGCUCUAUGUAAUGCAGCUUUAAUAGCUUCAUAUUCAAACAAUCCUUGGAGUUUCUCUGGAAUUUUUUUGCAUGAUGCAUGACAAUGAAAAGAAAUGAUAAGCUCUUGGGAAAACAUCACCAACAGCAAUUUGCAAGAUUCUACAUUGGUCAGUGAUGAUUGUUUGUGGAGAGCGCCCUAACAUACAUGUAAGCCACGCCGUAAACAACCAUGUAUAUGAUUCUAUGGUCUCACUGGCAAGUAAACCACAACCCAACAACACUGAUUGUCCAUGAUGAUUCACCCCAAUGAAUGAAACCAGUGGUACAUCAUAUCUUUCAGUCAGGCACGUAGUAUCAAUUAAGACCACAUCACCAAAGUACCUAUAUGCAACUCUUGACCUGGUAUCAGUCCAGAAUAGGUUUUUCAAGCAUCCCUUUUCAUUUAGAUCCACUACAUUAAAAAAGUUUGGAUCUGUCAACUGCAAAUGACAAAAGAAACUCUGGACAGCUUGUGCAUCUCCUGGUUUAAGCUUCAAUUGAUUUGAGCUAUUAACAUUAUUUCCAAAUACUCCAUUAACAUCUACCAUUUCCCUUGGUAUCAAUGAUAAGAGUUCGAAACAGUUUAAUUUUUUGAACUUCUUCAGCACUAUCUAAAUGCAAUGUUCUUUUGGUUCCAAUACCUAUGUGCUUAUGUGACUUGUAAAACUUUCCGCUUCUUGGGCUUAACAAGUGGUUAUGCUCAAGCUCGACUUCAAUGAUUCUCCACCUUUUGGUUUCCAUCAACCUAAACUUUAUCAUUGCUGGACAGCCAGUUCUUGUUUCUGGUCUUGGGCGGUUUGCCUCGCUUUUCUUCUUGAAGCCUGCACUACUACAGCUCAGCUUUCCUCUAUACUUUUCUCUACUCUUUCGGUACCAUGGAUUGCUAACUCUAACACCAAAACCCUGUUCCUUGGCAUAGCAAUUGUAAAAGUAAUAUACAUCAUCAUACAUCUCAAACUCCAUUCCAACAGUAGGAGGCAAGGGAUUUUGGAUUAUCCCAGUUUGUCCAACAUAUUCAGUCAUCGCACAAUCUCCUACAACCUCAAAAUCAUCAGUGUCAUCAUCACCUACUGGUUCGGUGUUGAGAGAAACUUCAUCCAUCUACAAUGGAUGUUCAAUGAAGUGAGCUUUAAGGAGAAAAAGCAAAAUCUGUUCAAGGAAUGAUAAUAUAAUCAUACAGUUACUUUCACAAAGCUUCAUAUUUCAUCACUGCUUUACCAACAUGCAACUGCCAGAGAACAAACAGACAUGUCAUAGACGCUUGAAUUAAGUAUUGGUACAAAUGAGCACACAUCAUGUGGGACAAAAUUUCAGUCACUAAACCCAAUACCACUUUUUACAUCAUACCAAGGAACAGAUUAAACCCGACACCUUCUUUUAAACCAUACCAAGGAACAGAUUAAAUCAUCAAUGAAAAAUUAAUCACAUAAUAACUUAACCAGACAAAUGAAGAGCCUGAAACAGCACAAAACUUGAAUCUGAUUAUGAUAAUUGUUGAGUCCUUGUAUCUACAGCUUUCCUUCAAUGAUAAGACAAUGAACAUAAACGAGACACAAAAAAAUUAUUUUAAACUGACAGCCCAUGAUAUAAAUCAAACAAAAUCAACUCCUUUUUUUACACAUUACAUCUCAUAUUCAUUUACAUUGAAACACAAAAAGGAAGCAGGAGUGGGAAAAAAACAACAGCAGAGGAACUUAUUUCCAUAAGGUUUACGAAAUAAGGAAUCUAUUAAAACCCAAAACUUGAGGUCACCACUAAGAAUUUGGUUCUCAUUAUUUUUUUCUUCAUUUUUCACCAAUUGAUGAACUUAAAAUACAAUCAUAAAUGAUAAAACCCCAUCUCCAUCUUUUUGAACUAGAGCUAAAGCAAAGCAUUUUAAGAUGUUUCAUCAUUUUUUUUUUUAAAAAAAACUCAAUAGUACAAUGUUUUUCAAUGCUAAAUGCACAAUUCAAUCUUCUCCUAAUUUACUCUAAUAAUCUCUUAAUUAAGGAAGAUUAAGCUUCAGUUGUAAGCUAAAACAAAUUUCUUAAAUCAAGCCCCAAUGCUUUAUGCUAUUCAACAAGGGCUCAUAAAUGAUAAAACUACUUCUAUAAAGAUACCCAUUUUCUAAAUUAAUUUCACAAACUGAAAUCAAACUCCUGAAACGUAACGAGCAUUAAUAUAAUCAAGCCCGAACAAGAAUUGAAAAAUGAUACAUAAACUCGUUUACACAUUUCGACAGACACUUUGCAAUCAAUGAGCAAAAAAUUAAUGGAGAAGAUAAAAUUCAAACGAAACAUGCCUUACAUUGAUAAAUUAGAAGGGCAAAAGAAAUUUUAGUACGAUAUGCGAUCAGGGUCUUGCCACGGUGAUGUUAUUUGUGAAGUUCGAGCGACUCAGCAGCCUUCGAGGUUGAAAAUUUGAUUGACCAAAAGCUUCCCGUUCGUUGAUUCUCUAAUAGUAGAAACGAGACUGGCAGUAUACACAAGAAGUUCGCCGAUUUUAAAUUCCGUUGUUUGAGAUGGAAAAUUUUUUGAAAAAAUUAAUGUGUUCGAUGAAAAUCAAAAUCUCAAAAACCUCUUGUUUUUCAUUUUUUUGGAAAAAACCAUUGAGAUCCUUACUAUUUUUUCUUAUAUCAUCUUCCUUAAUAAUUUGCAAAGUCUAUCGCAUAGCACCCAUGUAUGAUGUAUGCUGCGUUGUAAUUUACAAAAUUGCACAUGAAUAAAUCCAGCUAAAAUUUGUUAAAAGAAAAUAAUAAUAACAUGUUAAAACUUUAAAAUUUGAUUAUUCGAAGAAAUUUUAAUUUAGUUAAGUAGGUGACAUGAUAAUAAAUAGAUACGUAUAAUGUCCGAGAUUUUUUAUAAGAUUAAUAAAUAUGAUAAAUUUGGAUUAGUUCAAUUUUGACAUAAUUCAUAAUAAACACAGCUUGCUAAUCUAAAUUGCCACCGUUACUCAUCAUCAGGUACCUGUUUGAAAAAUAAUUACAAACAAUUUUAUUUGUGUUGUUUCUCUAAAAGUUUGAGACACAAAUGUUAUUUCAAAUUGAUAAAAGUACGAAAAUUCCCCCUUGCUCUUCAACUAAAAAUGAAACAUGCAAAUAUACACACUAAUUUAGAUGUGUGAAUAACAAAUAUGGAACGACACAUGCAAAGUCAUCUGUAUAAUUGAAACGCCAUGCACUAGUAGUAGGUAAGAGAAACCAAGGUUGAAGUUGCUCCAAUGGUUACUGUUAAUUUAUUUUUAUUUAUGAUUUUUUUUGUAAAAUGUAAGAAAUAUGUAGAAAUGUUGCCAGCAAUGAUUUUGGAACUUUGCAUAAAAUUUUUAUCAUUAUUGUUUUUGGUAUUAAGAAAUCCGAGGCGGUGAUUAGACGUAUGUUGCAACAAUUAAGAAAUUUCUUAUUGGAGAUAAUUUGGUAGGUUUGCAGCAAUUAGAGAAUAAUUUUCCUGCCAGUUAAUCAAUCAAUAAUAAAUUUCAAAUUGCAGAAAAUAAAAUAAUACAGCCUCACUUAGAAUCAUCUUUUCUAUCUCUUUCAAUUGUGGCAAUCAUUUGCAACAAAUAAAUCAAUUUGAUGCACAUCAUUUCCCCAAUUCAAAGUUCAAGUCACUGCUCAAUUACAGAGUAGUUAGUGGACAUGCAUGCAUGUUUAAUUAAGUACUGCAUUGUAGUAUCGAAAAUCAUAACAUCUCACCAAUAUCAGAUUAUUAACCAUGGAAAUCAUAUCACAAUAUCAUAUAGAAUUCACAAAUCUGAAAAUCAUCACCAAACAAGUACCCAGAGAAAUAAUCUCGUCAUAUCCAGACCUCAACGGACGGGCAAUGACGUACUAUUUGGGUAACGUCACACCCUGGAGCUACACGGAUAAAUAGGAAAAUACCAUCUCAUAUCUCAUCAUAUUUGUGCAUGCAUAAUCUAGUCCCCAAGGGACAAAAGCGCCCAAGCACACGGCCCAAAGCCUCUAUGUGUACUCAGACGGGCCCCAAAGGCCUGUAUCUCAUAUGUAUCAUAUGUAUCAUUUGUAUCUCAAUAUCUGUUUGUAUCUCAUUUCCGUAUAUCUAUAAUCAUCAUACCGCAUGCAUAUGCCCCCAAAAGACAAAAGCGCCCAAACACAUGGCCCAAAGCCUUUAUAUGUGUUUAGACGGGUCCCAAAAGCCUCUUAUCUCAUCUUAUCUGUAUCACUGUAUCUGGAGAGAAGGGUACUGUCUAAUGAUUUAAAAAACAAUCAUUAUACUCAUAUUUACAUACCUCUUAAUCAUAUUUGAAAUCAUAUCACAUUUGAAUCCACUUUUCUAAUCUUUAAAAUAUUAUCAUGCUUUAUUCAAAGUCGAUACGCAAAAUCAAUAACCAAACAUUUUAAAUCAAAUUAUUAACCAUGGAAAUCAUAUCACAAUAUCAUAUAGAAUUCACAAAUCUGAAAAUCAUCACCAAAUAAGUACCCAAAGAAAUAAUCUCGUCAUAUCCGGACCUCAACGGACGGGCAAUGACGUACUAUCUGGGUAACGUCACACCUUGGAGCUACACGGAUAAAUAGAGAAAUACCAUCUCAUAUCUCAUCAUAUCUGUGCAUGCAUAAUCUAGUCCCCAAGGGACAAAAGCGCCCAAGCACACAGCCCAAAGCCUCUAUGUGUACUCAGACGGGCUCCAAAGGCCUGUAUCUCAUAUGUAUCAUAUGUAUCAUUUGUAUCUCAAUAUCUGUCUGUAUCUCAUAUCCGUAUAUCUAUAAUCAUCAUACCGCAUGCAUAUGCCCCCAAAAGACAAAAGCGCCCAAACACAUGGCCCAAAGCCUUUAUAUGUGUUCAGACGGACCCCAAAAGCCUCUCAUCUCAUCUUAUCUGUAUCACUGUAUCUGGAGGGAAGGGUACUGUCUAAUGAUUUAAAAAAUAAUCAUUAUACUCAUAUUUACAUACCUCUUAUCAUAUUUGAAAUCAUAUCACAUUUGAAUCCACUUUUCUAAUCUUUAAAAUAUUAUCAUGCUUUAUUCAAAGUCGAUACGCAAAAUCAAUAACCAAACAUUUUAAUAAAAUACCAAUGCAUAAAUAAAAUUCAUUUCGAGAAAUCAUUAAAUCAGAACAUUUAAAAUACUUAUUUCGCAAACAUGCUUUACUAUCAUCGCUAACUAUGAAAAUAAGUUUUGUAUAUUCCACUUUCAGUGAUGGUGUUCACGGUCGGUUAUCGUCCAUAUCUGCAGACCGAUUCUCGCUCGCGAAUCCUCCUAAAUCAAGGAAACGACAUAAUUAUUUUUUGUAAAUCGGAAUUAUGACUAAAUUUUAUGCAAUAAACUCAAAACGAACAUCUAUUCAUAAUUGACAACUCCUAUAUCCAUAAAAUUACUAAAAUAUCCUUGAGUCCGUAGAUCAUUAACAUGCUCCGAAAUCGUAAAUCACUGAAUUACCCUCGGAAUCGUAAUUACACCCGAUCCUCAAUUAUAGGAAUUACUAACAGAUCCACAGGCUUAGAAAUUACAAAAUUGCCCUCGUAGUGUGAAAUUACCAAAAGCCGGAAGUUGGUCAACAAUGGCUAGGAAGCUCAAAUCGUAAAGUUCCAAUCACGCUGAGUUCAAUGGUACCGGCGGUGAGCUCCAACGCGCGACAACGAUGCCAGAAUCUAGCUCGGCAGCCGUGAAUUCCACCAAUCGACCGGCGGCACAACAGUGACUCUCGGUGCCUAUGGAUGGUCGAAAAUGGAAGAGGGAGCCGUGGGGAACAAAAUCCAACCGGUGGUGUCACCAAAACCGGUGAAAAUCCCGGCGGAGCAAAGUGAAACAGUCGCGGGUUUCAUGCUUCGAUCGCCGGUGUUCCGAUUGGUUUUUGGCGAGGAGGAUGGCAAGGGAACGACAGCCGGCUUCUAAGCUUCAGAUUGGUACCAAGCUCGGCCGAAACGAUGGCCGGAAAUGGGAGAUAUGACCGGGUCAAGGUCGCGGGUUCCGGGUCGGGUUUUUUGGUCUGUAGUUGGGUCGGUUUGGUAGCUUCUCUCUCACUCUCUGUUACACGUGCAUAUGUUUCCUCUGUUUCCAGCUUAUUCUUUUGCUUUUACUAACUUCUUAACCGCCUCAUACUUAUUCAUUUUUAAUUCACAUAUGUUACAAUAAUUCCCGAGUAUUAAAUAACCAGUGGUCAUAAUUUUUGUACAAGAUUCUUUUUUUUUUUUGGAGAUCGUUAAAAGUGGUUGACGAUCCAUUUCGUAAUAUCAUAGAGGGAUCAUCAAUUCCUUUUCUUUUCUGUGGCUAGGCAACACUUUUUGGCCAAAGUAAGGAAAUCUAUUUUAGGUAAUGUAAAAACCAGUUGUAGGAUGUAAUAGUUUAUUAUGCACUGACAAUAACUUUUUGUAUAAUUGUCAGUUUAAUGAAUGCAAGAGGAACUCUGUUGGCAAAUUCAUCCAAGAUAGAUGCUAAAAUUAUUUAUGCAUGCCAGUUGCCUUAACUAAGUUUUCUCAGCACUGGUUUUGAACAGGAAAAUGAAUAUGCAAUUUGUAUAUUGUGCCAUAGUGGAGAAUUUGGAUAUUCUUAUUUAAGUAACAAGGAGAUUAUUUGCCUCAUCUUUAAACAAUGAAUCUUUGAGAGAUGAGGAGUGGGUGAUUGGAUGUGUCUUCAUGUAAUUGUUCAUUUAUUUGUAUUUUGAACUGUUAUGAAAAUCUUUAUAUGCCAAAUUAGUAAUACAAGUAUUCAGAUGAUUUUUCCUAUUGAUCAUGCAUUUGUAUCUGCCCACAACCAUUGUAUAUCACUUUAUUCUGAUGCGCAAGCAUCUGUAAUUUAGAAGAAAAGAAAUAAUAAUCAUAUUUUAUUGCUUGGUUCAUGAUUAUUAACGAUUAUGGCUUUAAAAAUCUACAAAUUUCUUGUGUUCAUGUAUGAAUGUGCCAAGUUUGCUGUAUCUUAGAUUACCUUCUUCCAAGGUAACAAGUUCAUAUAUAUAUAUUUUUUAAAUCAUUUUCCAUUACAGUUGAAUUUCAAGUGUUAGUUUUGUUAUUAGUACCUGGUUUCCUGUUAUAAGGAUCUAAUAAACAGUGUACGGAUAUGUGCUCUACUUUUGGAGGGCUUCCACGUGAAAGAAAAUUACAACAAUUGAAUUCUUCCGGAGGAUAUGGUAAUUAAUUUAUUUUCUCAACUUCUUGUAAGACUAAUAUAUUUCCUUCAGUAGGCACAGCAUGGUGGGAAGGGUUUUUAUUGAAAGAAUUCUGAUAUUUCUUAGACUUUGUUUUGGAAGGGGGUGGAGGAAUUUCUCAUCCAUAUAUGGUUACUUGAUUAGCUUUUGACUGUAUUGUCUCUGUCGUGCAAAGGAAAAUCUAAAUACUAACGAUGGGGAAUUGCUUAGGCACCCAAAAGGCAGAAAUGAAUUACAGAAGGAAGUUUUUGCUGCUUUAUUUAGUGCUGCUGAGAAAUCUGAUGAAUUUCCUGAAAUUACGGUGAAGACCGAGUGGAGGUCCAAAGCAUUAGGAAAGGUGGUGAGUGAACUGCCGGAGGAAUUUGUACCAAAAUACAAGGCUAAUGUGGUGCACUUGCAGCAAGAUAACCAGACCGGUAUGUGCUCUUAUAUUAACUAUAUUGACUGGAUUUGUGAGUGUGUGCAUUUUUUUGUGUAUACUCACUUUUGUAUUUAUGCAUAUUAACAUGUGUAGGAUUCUUGAUUUCUGCCACUUACUGGAGAACUAGUGGAAAGCUUUAUAUUGAUAUAUCUGCAAUAACUAAUGGAAACUAUGAUAUGAAUAUUUUCUCUCACCUGGGGAGCUGUGUAACAGAUAUACUUUGUGGCUCUGGAAUGCUGAAGAUUCUGCAAUAACUAAUGGAAAAUAUGAUAUGAAUAUUUUGUCUCACCUGGAGAACUUUGUUACAGAUACCCUUUGUGGCUCUGGAAUGUCUAAAGAAUGCUUUAGUUAGAUCAAAUAUCUUUUAGUUAGAAAAGAUAAAAUUCUCUGAGUCUGAAAGACUGAAACAUUUUGCAUAUUUUGUGAAAGGGAAAUAUCUGUUGAUACUAGCUCAUGCAUUGAGGUAAUAUCGAUGUUAAAGAAAAACAGCAAUGAUUUAUGAUAUAGAAUUGGGUUCACUUGCUUCAAAUGCUGGUCUGAUCAACCAUAUCAACCUGUAAUGAUUCUGCAGAAAUAUAUAUACAUGGAGAAAGUAGCUAAAUUUUUCUUUCAUUUAUGGGUUCGGUCUUUUUUCCCCUUAUUUUUCAGCUUUCCUUCUCCUGAAGUAUGUUAACAAUUGCAGAUAAUGAUGAAGACGACAGCUUCCGGGCUCUCCUUAGAGCCGUGAUGGAAUAUAGGGGCACAAUGAAGGAAUAUUGUAAAGCUGUAGGUACUUUUUCUCCUUUCAUUUAUGUUUUCUCACACAUUUUGUAUAUGCCCUGAACAUGCACCUUUGUAUGUAUCAAUUGACUUUUAAAUUUUAAAAGCCAUAAAGUAAGAAUACGGUUCCUUGUCAGGCUACUGAUGACAUUCGCUCAGGGGGAUCAUGUUCGAGCAGGAAAAUUUCUAGAACAGGUAAGGUUUCCAUCUACAGCCAUCCAUUGACAGCAGAUACAUUUUCAUUCAGCAGACUCUGUUAGCAUUCAAGAUGCUGGCAGAUUCACUUGAUUCUUAUUAGCUUGUUUAGUGGCAAAGCCUAUAACCUGUAUUUCAAAGCCAAGUUGUGCUAUUGAUUAUGUUAACUUUUUUGUUAACAUAAAAUGAUAUGGAGGAAAUAAUCAGUGUUGGAAAAUUAGGUGAAAAGAUGAUGUCAAAUCUUGAACCUCUUACGAAACUCUAAGUUCUUUACUUGAAGAGGCUACGAAAUUUGAACAGCGUCUACUCGAAGGCCUUGCCAUUCCCUGAUGCAUGCAGAAUUUUUGUAUUUAAAUGCCCAGAGCUUAAGAAGCUGCCACUGGAUCUUGAAGGGGCAGACCAAGGUAAAAAUCUUAUCAAGGGAAAGGAAGAUUGGUGGAAACAACUUAAUGGGAGGAUCAAGUAACUCAGAAUGCAUUGCUUCCAUUUUUUAAAUUGACUGACAAGUGAUUGAACGGGGCAUCAUCAACAUCAUCAACAGGGAUGGAGAGAUACCGGAGCAGAUCAGCAGGGUUUGAAUAUGACCUUUGGCGGUUGCUUUUUUUUUGUGAUUUUUUUUUCAUUUUUUCCUUCCUGUCAUUUUAUCAUUUCUUUCUCUGUUUCUAUUGCGGGUGUUACUGCAUGCUUACUGUUGCUUGACAAAGUUUGCUAGCUUUUUGUUUGCAGUGUUGCUAUACACUCCGAGUCAAGCCUCGAAAAUUUAUUAAACGAAGCCGUUUCGACAGUAACAAUUCUUUUCUUUUCCCUUUGCAUGUCUCUUUCAUCUGCUGUUUCUCUAUCACUUUUCAUUUUUGAUUUCCUUGCUUCUCAGCUGCCCCUAAAUUGUUAUUCUAGCAAUAUACUUUCUCAUCUUUGAAUUUUCAUCCUUGAGUACUCCCACAGCCGUAAUUUCAUCAUCAUAGACUUCACUUGGAAUGCUGUAUUUUUUCGAUUCUUGAGCUACUUCAAUUACAUCUUAGUAUAGGAUCCUCAUCUUCCUUUAUUUCUUCAUCUUAUGAGGUAAUAAAUGGAUUUCACAACUCAUCUACUUUUAAGCAAUUACAUAUUAUACCUUGAAUGAUUCAACUGUUCUGACAGUUAAAGAUUUUAUGCUCAACCUGCAGUGCUACGAACAUUGUCCAUGAAAGAUGAGUUUCAGCAUAUAAAAUGAAAUAUAGAUGUUUAAUCUAAAAUAACCCUUCACUGCCAGAAACCUAGGUCACAAAAUUCACAGAUAAUGAUAAAGAGCUAAAAAAUUUGAAAAACUCUACAGAUCACACAUCAAGCAAGAUAUCAUGUUUUUUUCCCUCAUUCAGUGGUGAUUGAUUCGCUUUUUGAUGAUGGAUAUGGUAUAAAAGUGUUGACCCAAUUUCAAGCAAACACAAAUAGAAACACAAACACAAUCGGGACUAGAGUUGUGGGCGAUUAUCUUAGGUGUACAAGUGAAACGGUGGUGGCUGUCGAUGGUGGUAGUGGGGUGGUUGGGUAUGCGUGAUGGCUAGAUUUUAGGACAAUAAUGAUUGGAGUUGACCUCAAUCAACGAAGGAAAGUGACAACAAUUUUGACAUCAAACGGUGCAUUUUUUAGCUUAGUAAAAUGGAGCCGUUUCGAUUUUGGGGUUUAAUCCGGGGUUUGACUCGGUGCAAGUAUCAUUUUCCUUUUGUUUAUUAAAUUUUUUUAUGGUCACAAAGUAUCACUCGUUCUAUUUGAGAGUCAUGUGAAUCAAUUUUUCAAAUUUUCAAUUUUAAAUUUUGUGGUCAAUGUGAAUUCAAUUUCAUUUGUCUCCUGCAAUUAUGAAAAAAUUAAAUAGUCAUAAUAUGGAAAAAUACACCGGUAAAAACUUUGUAAAAGCUUCGGAGUGAUACGGGGAAUUCACUUACUACUAAGGACAAUUGGUGGCAAGCUAUUCCAUUCAUUUUAUGUCCAUCCAUCUAUUUAGUUAUUGAAGAUAAGUGGUCCAUUUGUAAAUUUCAGAUUGUCUCUCUCUCCCUCUUGAAAUAACAAUAUUUAAUAUAUCUCAUAAAUUAUUAUAAAUUUUAAUUUACUCUCGAUUUAAAAUGGAGCAUGUCGAUAAAUUUUUUUUCUUCUUAAUAAAAUUGACGUAAGUUGUGUUUACAGUAGUUUGAAGUUUGAAAUAUUUUAAAGAUUAUUAUUCUAUAAGGGAGUAAUAUGAAAUGAUAUUUACUUUUCAUGUGUGAAAUGAAAAAGGACGAAGCAAGUGUCCCUGCUUUUAUUUUAUUUCAAGGAGGAGUCAUCUCACAUACUUUAGCUCUUAACAUUACAUUUUUUCUGGUUACAUUUUUUAUUUAUUUAUUUUUUUUUUUUUACACAUGCGUGUGGGUUGCUUUUCUGUAAGCUCCUUAAUAUAUAUUUAAGACAAAUCAUGGAAGAGAUGGGAUUAUAUCAAGAUGAUCAAAGAAUGUUAAAAAAGAAAAAAGAAAAAAAAAAGAAGUAAGACACUGAAAAUGGAGAAGAGAUGGAAGCAAAAGAUAUUCCAAAACAAAGCAAUCUAUCCCCUUUCGAGGGCAGACUUAUCAGGUUUAAAAAAGUACACGCUUUGGAUUGGUAGUUGCAAUCAAGGGAAAAUAAAUAGGAUCCAAUGAAAUUUAAAUCUCGGAGAAAAUAAAUAAUCAUGCAGAUUUUCAAGAUUUUAAUAAGGGAUACUAAUAUCUUAUUUUGAUUAAUAAUAUCCUUUCAUUGUGUUAACUCAAAAAAUAUAUAUUUUAAUGUUUUGCAAUAAACAGAAACGUACUAUUAAAAUGAAUAUAUAAAGAAUUUAGAAAAUUUUGAAUGUUAUAUAAAAUAAUUUUAAGAUAAUGCGUGAGAUAUAUUUUAUUAAUUUAAAAUGUUAUUUUACCUAAAAAAUAUGAUAAAUUAAUAAUUACAUAUUUGAAGUUAUUUUAAAUAUUAAAAAAAUUUAAUAUUAUUAAUCUUUUAGAUAGAUUAAAUUAUUUUUUAUAAGAGAUAGAUUAAAUUAUUUUAAAAUACGUUAAUUGUUUUUACUUUUAACGUUACCGGCCUUUCUUUUAUUUUAUUGCAAAUUAAUGCUAACAAGAAAAAGCUAGAUCAUAUUCCACAAAAGCAAAAGUGACAAACACAACCAGCUGGAAUCUUUUAAUUACUAUUCAAUAAUUCGAGACGAUUAGGGUCUUUUAUUAAACUACAAAUUGUAUAGUCUUUUUAAAAUUGUUAUAAAUUGGUGGCACCUACAAUCCUCAAUAAUUGUACCGAUAUUCACAAGUUGGUGGCCCCUACAAUUCUGUUCGGAUAAUUUAACUGUGCAAGUGCUCAUUCACAAUAAUUGUUUUGUUUUUUUUUUCUGCAUUCCCUUUCAUGCUCUUAAUAAUUGAAGAGCAUACUUUUCAUUUUCAAAUGUGGAGCCGCAGCUAAUGUCGCUAAUUUAAUUUGGGAUUAAAUUAGGGGACCAUUAUAUUGCAGUGUGCACUAAUUUUUGUGUUUAUCUAAACUCCUUAAAUUUAAGACAUAUUAUGGCAUAAAUAAGAAUAUAACAAUAGCAAAAGAGUUAAAAAGUGUAGAGAAGAUCUUGCAGAAAUAUAAAUAAUAUCUAUUUUAAAAUAAUAUCAAUAUUUAAAAUAAUUUUUAAUAUUUUAUGAUUCAUUAGAUAUAUUUUAUUAUAUUAAAGUAAAUUUUAUAAUAAAUAAAAACAUACUAUUAAAAUGAAUAUAUAGAAAAUUUAGAGUAUUUUAAGUAUUAUAUAAAAUAAUUUUAAUAAAAUAUGUGAGAUAUUCAUAUUUUAUUAAUUUAAAAUACCAUUUAACCUAAAGAUUUAUUUAUGAUAAAUUAAUAAUUAUAUUUUUGAAGUUACUUCAAAUAUUAAAAAUAUUAAUAUUACUAAUCUAUUAGAUAGAUUAAAUUAUAUAUAUUAUUUUCUAUUUAUUAAAAAAUUUAAAAUUAUUUUUAAUUACUAUUCAAAAAAUAUAAUGAUAAAAAAGAAUCUUAACAUCUUUAUUAAAAAUUUAAAAAUUUACAUGAUCAAUUCUCUAAAUAUUUAGGGUUAUAUGUGAACAACGGUGGAGAAGCUUUAUUUAAUAUUAUUGAUUUAAAUAAUAUGUCAAUUAAAAAUGUACAGAGAAGGAAAUUUCGGUGGGUAUUUUAGUCUUUUCAGCAAUUAUCAUGAUCAGAUCAGCCUUUAGCCUUGAAUCGUCGGUCAGAAAAGUUUUAAAAUUAACGCUAACAAGAAAAAGCUAGGUCAUAUUCCACAAAAGCAAAACUGACAAAACAACCAGCUGGUUUCUUUUACUAAACUACAAAUUAAAAGUGGAUUCUUUUGAAUGCAAGUGGGACAGACGAUUAGGCUCUUUUUAUUAAAGGCAAGUAAAAACUAGUCGAAUAGUCUUUUUCAAAUUGUUGUUUUAUUAUUUUUCCUUCAAAAGUUAGUGUGGCUCAUGUUUGCAGGUGCGAAUGUGGGUCCCGAAUCAUUACUAAAAUUUCUAUUCCACAGCCCACCGCAGCUUCAGUUAAUCAAACUCAAAUCAAUUUUCUUUCUUAACAAAAUAUUCCAAAGAUGUGUAGCAUUUUUCAGAUCACAUGCGAUGGUGCUCUUUUCAAUCGUUGCUUGGAUUGCUUUCUUGGAAAAGCAGCAUACAUACGUAACCUCCAAGAUAAUGUUGAUACCUUGGGCACUGAAUUGGGAAAUCUGAUCGCUAGAAAGAACGAUCUGAUGAGGAGGGUUGUCGAUGCUGAACGGCAACAAAUGAGAAGGCUGGACGGAGUGCAAGUGUGGGUUUCGAGGGUGGAUUCUGUUAAAACUGAAGCUGAUCAAUUUAUAAGAGACGGCUCUCGAGAAAUUGAAAAAUUAUGUGUUGGAGGCUACUGUUCCAAGAAUUGCAUGUCAAGCUACAAGUUCGGGAAAAAAGUGGCUAAAAAGCUACGGGAUGUGCGGACUUUAAUCAGUGAAGGAGUUUUUGAGGUGGUGGCUGACAGAGCUCCAGAGUCUGUAGCAGAUGAAAGACCUACUGAGCGAACAGUAGUAGGCUUGCAAUCACAACUUGAACAAGUCUGGAGAUGUCUUGUAGAAGAAUCAGCGGGAAUCAUUGGCCUAUAUGGUAUGGGCGGUGUUGGUAAAACUACACUACUGACCCAUAUCAACAAUAAAUUUCUCGAGAGUCCAACCAACUUUGAUUGUGCGAUUUGGGUUGUAGUUUCAAAAGACCUGCGACUCGAAAAAAUUCAAGAAGAUAUUGGGAAAAAGAUAGGUUUGGUUGGUGAUUCAUGGAAGAGUAAAAGUGUAGAGGAGAAAGCUGUCGACAUCUUCCGGAGUUUAAGAGAGAAGAGAUUUGUAUUGUUGUUAGAUGAUAUAUGGGAGCGGGUUGAUUUAACAAAGGUGGGCAUUCCACUUCCCGGACCAAAAAAUACUACCUCAAAAGUCGUAUUCACAACCCGUUUCAUCGAUGUUUGUGGUAGCAUGGAAGUUGACAGGAAGUUUCAAGUAGCAUGCUUAUCAGAAAAGGAUGCUUGGGAACUGUUUCGAGAAAAAGUUGGGGAGGAAACUCUUCAGAGUCAUCAUGAUAUCGAUGAGCUAGCCCAAAUUGUGGUCAAAGAGUGUGGUGGUUUGCCACUCGCACUUAUUACUAUUGGUCGAGCUAUGGCCUACAGAAAGAAAGCGGAGCAGUGGAGACGUGCAAUUGAAGAGUUAAGGAGAUCAGCUUCAGAGUUUGCAGGUUUGGGAAAAGAGGUUUAUCCUCUUUUAAAAUUCAGCUAUGAUAGUUUGCAGAAUGAUACGGUUAGAUCUUGUUUCUUGUACUGUUGUUUAUAUCCUGAAGAUUAUGGCAUUCUUAAAUGGGACUUGAUUGAUUGUUGGUUUGGCGAGGGAUUUUUUGGGGAAUCUGACAGGUCUGGUGCAGAAAACCAAGGAUAUGACAUUUUGGACACUCUUGUUCGUGCGUGUUUAUUAGAAGAGGUGGAAGAUGAUGAAGUAAAAAUGCAUGACGUUAUUCGUGAUAUGGCUAUAUGGAUAACUUGUGAAAUUGAGAAGGAGAAGAGAAACUUUUUGGUUCGUGCAGGUGCUGGAUUAAAAGAUGCACCGGGUGUUAAAGGAUGGGAAAAUGUGAGAAGAUUGUCAUUGAUGCAAAACCAAAUUGAAACUCUGGCAGAGGUUCCCACAUGCCCUCAUCUCCAUACUCUAUUUCUUGACUUUAAUAGGGGGUUGGAUAUGAUCGCGGAUGGCUUCUUUCAAUUUAUGCCUUCUCUCAAAGUUUUGAAGAUGUCAAACUGUUCGAAUUUGAAAUUACCUGUUGGGAUGUCAGAGUUGGGUUCAUCACUAGAACUUCUUGAUAUUUCAGAAAACAGCACAAGAGAGUUACCGGAAGAGUUAAAGAAGUUGGUAAAUCUGAAAUGUUUGAAUUUGAGGUGGACAGAGCAUUUAAAUAAAAUUCCACGGCAACUAAUAUCAAAUUCUUCAAGGUUACGUGUGUUGAGAAUGUUCGCUACUGGCCGGUUCAAUUUUCAUGAAGCACCAGAAGACAGCGUUUUAUUUGGUGGGGGUGAAGUUUUGAUACAGGAAUUGCUCGGUUUGAAAUAUUUAGAGGUAUUGGAGUUGACCUUGGGAAGUUAUCAUGCUCUCCAAAUUCUUUUGAGCUCAAAUAAGUUAAAAAGUUGUAUUCGAUCUCUUUACCUCGAGUUGACCGGAGAUACAACGUCAAUUAUUGAUGCUACGGCUUUCGCAGAUCUAAACCACCUCAAUGAAUUACGGAUUGAUAAUGGUAUUGAGUUGGAAGAGUUGAAGAUUGAUUAUACGGAGAUAGUACGAAAAAGGCGGGAACCUUUUGUUUUCCGCAGCCUUCAACGUGUUACCAUAGCGGAGUGCCAUAAAUUGAAAGAUGUGACAUUCCUCGUUUUUGCUCCAAACCUCAAGUCUCUUCGGCUAUUCUAUUGCGGUGCUAUGGAAGAAAUAAUCAGCGUCGGAAAAUUUGCUGAGACUCCUGAGAUGAUGGGACAUAUAAGCCCUUUUGAAAAUCUCCAAAUGCUUGAUUUACAAGGUUUGCCACAUUUGAAGAGCAUCUUCUGGAAGCCAUUGCCUUUCACUCAUCUGAAAGAAAUGGAGGUACUUAGGUGCGAUCGGCUUGAAAAGCUUCCACUCGAUUCCAACAGUGCAAAGGAGCGCAAAUUUGUUAUUCGUGGAGAAGAAGACUGGUGGAACCGACUUCAAUGGGAGGAUGAAGCCACUCAAAUUGCUUUUCGUUCCUGUUUUAAAAGUGAUGCUUUAUUUAUAUCUUAUUCGUGAAAAGUGAUUUAAUUUCCUGCCAAAAGACGAACGAGAAGAACAAUAGAGUCAAACUAAUGCUCACAUAAAUUUCCCGUAAGAAUAUAUAAUUAGAUUGGAAUGCACACCUCUAGAUUGAACAGAAUUAAAGCUGAGAAAAUAUUGAGUAUAGUAGCCCUCUUUACAGAAAAUGACGUGAAAGUUAAUUUAGAAAGAUAUAUUCUUGAUUAAUCCAUUUUCUGAAGUUUUUAUUUUGUAUGGUCAAUUAUACCUUCAUACUAAAAAUUUCUGAAGUUAUAAAUUAGUGCAACUUGACAAUUUUUACUGAUGAUAUCUUCUAUUUUUCCCUUUUUUUUUUUUUCACUUUCAUAGACUGGCAGCGGAUCCUGCGGCACCAAUUUGAGAGAAUAUACUGACACUACUUCGAACAGCAAGCAGAAGAAGUAAUAUGUCUACGGCAAAGGCAAUGGAGUCCUCAUUUUGGCUCGAGAUGCAGUAAUCAUCGAAGAGAGUUUCCUUGUGAAACUGGGCAACACAUUGAAUCCCUUCACCACUGAGAAGGUUGUGGAGGAAGUAAGCUUUCUCUCCAGUGAGGAAGAGGUGGCAUAUACCUUCCCCAUUUUGUUGAGGGCAGGUAGGAAUCUUUUUUCUAAGAGAUUUACUUCGUUCUCUGUAAGAAAUGCUUUGAACUUCAUCCCUCUGUCUCUAUCCUCACUUAUCAGGAAAUAAGUUGAAAGCACUAUGAAGAGAGAGAGAGAGAGAGAGAGAGAGAGAGAGAGAGAGAAUUAAGAUAUAUAGACAAGAAAAAUAUUUGACGUUGAUCUUACAAACUAAUACUUCAAGCAGUAUCCUAGAAAGCUAAAAACUGCAAGAUGGCUUGAAAUUUGAAAAGAGCACAUGCUUUUCCUCCUUAACUUGAGAAAAUGUUUAAUAUAGUGCACCUUACAGAAGCAUUUAAGCAAUUAGAACUUUGCACAAAAACAUCAAGAAGACUAAACAAGUCAGAUGCAGUGUAUUUGUCCAAGCACAAAUUGCAUUUUUUCCUCAACUUUAAUAUUUAUUGAUGAGAAUCAAUACAGGUCCCUCAUUUGUUAUAGAAAGCUUUCUUUCUUGUAGUCUCACCAGUUAAUUCAGAGGUCUAUAAUCAUCUUGCAAAGUUAAGGGCAUUUCUUUUGAUCUAAAGUCUUUGCAUCACCACCUCAUCACACGCCAAGCCAAUAUUCCAUUUACCUCUACAACAAAAAGUUUUAAUUAAACAAUCCUAAUGCACGCAGCCAAAUAAAAUGCAGUAAGAAUAUUCAACUUAAAAAUCUGAAAGCCAACUUGGUGAAUUGCCUCCUUAGGUGAAGUUCCAUGCUUUACUAUAGUUGACAGAACUCAGCAAAAGCUUCCAUACAACAGAUUUUGAAAAUGAUGAUGCCAACAGAUACUCAUUCAAUGCAUUGAAACUCCAAAGGUUCAUUGUUCAUAGAAGUUUACAGAGUUUUGGUCAUCAAAUAGCUCAGACCUAAUCCCAAACAAAAAAUGAGUGAAAAUUAGAUCACGAGCAGCUAAUUGUAAAUUCUAACUUAACUCUUCAUCUCCUUUGUAAACAAGAAACAAAAUGGAGACACGCAAAAUGAAUAUGGAGAAAAUUUGAACUCAAAUGAAAUGAGGGCAUGAAAGCAAACAAAUGGCAUGCACCAAAAAACCAAGCCUCAAUCAAAAACUAAUUAACCAUUAAGAAAAAAAUUGGUCAGAGAAUGAACUCCAAAUUCAGGAGUCAAGCAAGAAGCUUUCAUUAUUAUCAAAGUCAAUUAUCUUUGUUAGUAUGCGAGUGUGACGACUAUAGGUUGUUCUUUUUCUAAUGUCAUAUGAUUCCAAUUUUAGGUACAGGGCAUCUCUCUCUCUCUCUCUCAUCGCUAAGUGGAUAUUUUUCUCUUUUGUCAUAUACUUUAGUUAUUCUUCAAUUUACUAACUAAAAUGAAGGCCGCUUUAUUAAGAAGUUAUAUCCAGUUAUAUAAUUUGUUGUAUUUAAUAUAUGUUUGGGCUCAUAAUUUUUUUUAAAAAUAUAUAUUUCAUUCUCCAUAAUUUUUUCCCAUCAUAGCUACGAAACGUCUUAGUUUCGACUAAAAUCCUAAAAUUGGUCCUUAAUUGAAUAUGCAUUGCAAUUUGCAAAUGUAAUAUUGUGAAUGGGACACUGGAGAUACCAAAAUGGUCAAAUGCGAAAUAAGUUAGGAUUGUACGAUGUAGUUUGUAUUCAUAUUCAAUGCCUUUUUUUUCAAAAAACAAAUUGAAAUGCCAUUACUAAACGAUUCUUGAUGAUGGGAGCCACCGUGCCAGCUUUGUCGCUGAUUUGGUAUUAUUCUUAACUUGCAGAUAGUUGUGGAUAUGAUAUGCAAAAAGGUAAGGACUAUAUCUUCUUGAUGGAGGCCUCUGAUUUUUUCCCUUCUAUGUAAUUUAGUAAAUCGCAUUUUCCCUUGUGAUUGAUAUAUCAUACCAAAGUCAAGUCUUAAAUACUGCUGUCAUAUGUUAAGGUUCAACUUCCAUUUUGAUUAACGUCCAUUUGCUGCUGCUUCCAAAAGUGAGAAUGAGAUACUUUGGUUAAUUUCAGUAGUUGAACCCAAUAGAGUACUUUAUUUAGAUCUUCAUGGUUCAAAGGCCUGAAAAAACUUGCCGGUAUUUGCAAAAUGACAUUCUGUGCUUUUAUUUAGGCUUAUUAUUUAAGUGAUAAAAACUCCCGUAACCUGCUGUCAAGAAAAUUUCAGAUUGUUAAAAGACAACAUUUUGUUUCAGCCAAAAAUGUUUGUUUCGAUUAAAGACUUGAACCAUUUUCAUUUAACCUUGAUUGUGAUGCUUUACAUUAUGCAUGUUCCUCUCAAUCAAUAAAAGUUGAGGUCAUGAUUUUAUAUUUCUAUUUUGUAACUUGAAAUAAUUGGUCUGCCUGUUUCUGUAGCUUGAUAACAUGAAUUUUUCCUUCUGAAGUUAAUUUGAUCAAUAAAGUAAUUCUUCGGAGAUGAUAUGCCCAUUCUAUAGUCAUUUUCUUAGGUAACAUGUUUUUUCUUCACUCUUCAGAGCAUGUCUAAACUAAUUGAUCGCUCAGCGGAGACUUUGGGUGAGAAGACAAAAUUUCUUGGUAAAUCCUCUAAAAAGGUAUGCAUAAUUCCCGAGUAUUAAAUAAUCAUUGGUCAUAAUUUUUGUACACAACUCUUUUUUUGGAGAUCGUUAAAAGUGGUUGAUGAUCUAUUUUGUAAUAUCAUAGAGGGAUCAUGAAUUCCUGUUCUUUUCUGUGGCUAGGCAACACUUUCGGGCCAAGCUAAGGAAAUCUAUUUUAGGUAAUGUGAAAACCAGUUGUAGGAUGUAAUAGUUUAUUAUGCCCUGACAAUAACUUUUUGUAUAAUUGUCAGUUUAAUGAAUACAAGAGGAACUCUGUUGGCAAAUUCAUCCAUGAUAGAUGCUAAAAGUAUUUAUGCAUACCAGUUGCCUUAACUAAUUUUUCUCAACACUGGUAUUGAACAGGAAAAUGAAUAUGCAAUUUGUAUAUUGUGCCAUUGUGGAGAAUUUGGAUAUUCUUAUUUAAGUAACAAGGAGAGUAUUUGCCUCAUCUUUAAACAAUGAAUCUUUGAGAAAUGAGGAGUGGGUGAUUGGCAGUGUCUUCAUGUAAAUGUUCAUUUAUUUGUAUUUUGAACUAUUAUGAGAAUCUUUGUAUGCCAAAUUAGUAAUACAAAUGUUCAGAUGAUUUUUCCUGUUGAUCAUGCGUGUGUAUCUGCACACAACCAUUGUGUCCCACUUUAUUCUGAUGCACAAAUAUCUGUAGUUUAGAAGAAAAGAAAUAAUAAUCAUAUAUUAUUGCUUGGUUCAUGAUUAUUAAACGAUUAUGGCUUUAGAAAAUCCACAAAUCCUUUGUGUUCAUAUAUGAAUGUGCGAAGUUUGCUAUCUCUUAGAUUACCUUCUUCCAAGAUAACAAGUUCAUAUAUUUUUUUUAAUCCUUUUUCAUCACAGUUGAAUUUCAAGUGUAAGUUUUGUUAUUAAUAGCUGGUUUCCUGUUAUUAUGAUUUCAUAAACAGUGAGAGGAUAUGUGCUCUACUUUUGGAGGGCCUCCACAUGAAAGAAAAUUGCAACAAUUGAAUUCUUCCGGAGGGUAUGGUAUUUAAUUUAUUUUCUCAGCUUGUUGUAAGACUAAUAUAUUUCCUUCAGUACCCAAAAGGACAGAAAUGAAUUACGGAAGGAAGUUUUUGCUGCUUUAUUUAGUGCUGCUGAGAAAUCUGAUGGAUUUCCUGAAAUUACGGUGAAGACGGAGUGGAGGUCCAACGCAUUAGGAAAGGUGGUGAGUGAACCGCCGGAGGAAUUAGUACCAGAAUACAAGGCUAAUGUGGUGCACUUGCAGCAAGAUGACCAGACCUGUAUGUGCUCUUAUAUUAACUAUAUUGGUUGGAUUUGUGAGUGUGUACAUUUUUGUGUGUAUACUCACAUUUGUAUUUAUGCAUAUUAACGUGUGUAGGAUUCUUGAUUUCUGCCACUUACUGGAGAACUAGUGGAAAGCUUUAUACUGAUAUAUGUGCUAUAACUAAUGGAAACUACAAUAUGAAUAUUUUCUCUCACCUGGAGAACUGUGUAACAGAUAUAAUUUGUGGCUCUGGAAUACUGAAGAUUCUGCAAUAACUAAUGGAAAAUAUGAUAUGAAUAUUUUUUCUCACCUGGAGAACUUUGUAACAGAUACAUUUUGUGGCUCUGGAAUGUCUAAAGAAUGCUUCAGUUUAGAUCAAAUAUCUUUUAGUUAGAAAAGAUAAAAUUCUCUGAAUCUGAAAGACUGAAACAUUUUGCAUAUUUUGUGAAAGGGAAGUAUCUGUAGAUACUAGCUCAUGCAUUGAGGUAAUAUCAAUGUUAAAGAAAAACAGCAAUAAUUUAUUAUACAGAAUUAGGUUCACUUGCUUUAAAUGCUGGUCUGAUCAACCAUAACAACCUGUAAUGGUCCUGCAGAAAUAUAUAUACGGGGAGAAACUAGCUAAAUUUUCCUUUCACUUAUGGGUUUGGUCUUUUUUUCCCCUAUUUUUCAGCUUUCCUUCUCCUGAAGUAUGUUAACAAUUGCAGAUAAUGACGAAGAGGACCGCUUCCAGGCUCUUUGUAGAGCUGUGAUGGAAUAUAGGGGCACAAUGAAAGAAUAUUGUAAGGUUGUAUGUACUUUCUCUCUUGUCAUUUAUGUUUUCUCACACAUUUUGUUUAUGCCCUGAACAUGCAGCUUUGUAUGUGUCAAUUGCCUUUUACGUUUUAAAAGCCAUAAAGUAAGAAUACAGUUCCUUGUCAGGCUAUUGAUGCGUUCGCUCAGAAGGGUCAUGUUCAAGCAGGAAAACUUCUAGAACAGGUAAGGUUUCCAUCUACAGCCAUCCAUUGACAGCAGAUAUAUUUUCAUUAAGCAGACACUGUUAGCAUUCAAGAUGCUGGCAGAUUCACUUGAUUCUUAUUAGUUUGUUUAGUGGCAAGGCAUAUAACCUGUAUUUCAAAGCCAAGUUGUGCUAUUGAUUAUGUUAACUUUAUUGUUAACAUAAAGUGAUAUGGAGGACAUAAUCAAUGUAGGAAAAUUAGGUGAAGAGAUGAUGUCAAAUCUUGAACCUCUUACAAAGCUCCAAGUUCUUUACUUGAAGAAGCUGCCAAAUUUGAAGAGCGUCUACUGGAAGGCAUUUCCAUUCCCAGAUGUAUGCAGAAUUUUUGUAUUAAUGCCCAGUUCUUAAGAACCUGCCACUGGAUUUUCAAGGGGUGGGCCAAGGUAAAAUUCUUAUCAAGGGAAAGGAAGAUUGGUGGAAAGAACUUCAAUGGGAGGAUCAAGCAACUCAGAAUGCAUUGCUUCCAUUUUUCAAAUCAACUGACAAGUGAUUGAAGGGGGCAUCAUCAACAUCAUCAACAGAGAUGGAGAGAUUCUGGAGCAGAUCAGCAGGGUUUGUAUAUGAUCUUUGGUGGUUGCUUUCUUUUGUGAUUUUUUUUUUCUUCCUGUCAUUUUAUCAUUUCUUUGUCUCUUUUUUUAUUGCUGAUGUUAGUGUAUGCUUACUGUUGCUUGACAAAGUUCGCUUGCUUCUUGUUUAUUAAAUUUUUUAUCGUCACAAAAUAUUACUUGUUCUAUUUGAGAGUGAUGUGAAUCAAUUUUCAAUUAUAUAUUUUGUGGUCAAUGUGAAUUCAAUUUCAUUUGUCUCCUGCAAUUAUGAGAAAACUGCAGAGUCAUAAUAUGGAAAAGUACACCAGCAAAAACUUUGUAAAAGCUUCGGAGUGAAACAGGGAAUUCACUUACUACUAAGAACAAUUGAUGGCGAGUUAUUCCAUUCAUUUUAUGUCCAUCUAUCUAUUUAAUUAUUAAAGAUAAAUGGUCCAUUUAUAAAUUUCAGAUUGUCUCUCUCUGAAAAUAACAAUAUUUAAAAUAUCUCUUAAAUUAUUAUAAAUUUUAAUACACUCUCGAUUUAAAAUGGAACAUGCUGAUGAAAUUGUUUUCUUCUUAAUAAAAUUGAAAUAAAUUGUGUUUGCAGUAGUUUGAAAUAUUUUAAAGAUUAUUAUUUUAUAAGGGAGUAAUAUGAAAUGAAAUUUACUUUUCAUGCGUGAAAUGUUGAAAAAGGACAAAGCAAGUGUCCCUGCUUUUAUUUUUAUUUUAAAGUGGAGUCAUCUCACAUACUUUAGCUCUAUCAUUACAAUUUUUCAGGUUACAUUUUUAUUAUUUAUUUAUUUUCUUUUUUACACAUGCAUGUGGGUUACUUUUCCGUAAGCUCCUCAAUAUAUAUUGAACCCAGCGAAGAAUGUUAUGGAAGAGCAAAUUAAUGAUAUUUCUGAUAGAGUCUAUUUGAUUAUGUAGCCUGAAUGGAUGUCUUGUUGAAAGAUAUCUCAGUGCAUUAGUUCAUCCUUGUCUGUCAAUGUGUUUUUAAUGGUUUUUCCAAUUGUUUAUUAUUAUAGAUUGAUUGUAAAUUGAUAUGAAAAUUUGAUAUGAAUUUAAUGUUGAAAUGUUUUCUCUUUAGUGGAAUGAAUUUAAAAGUGCAAAAGAUUAUUGCACACAGAGAAAUAAACAUAUAUGCUUUAUAACUUUAGCAAUCGAUUCUUUUACAGCUGGAAACAGAGAUGAUGAUUAUCAUAAGGAUGAAGAAAAGUAGUGCGUUAGACGAUUAGACUCUCUUAUUAAAGGCAAGUAUAAAGUAGUGAAGAAUCCAAUAUCUCUAUUGUCUAGUCUUUUGUUUAAUUCUUCUUUUAUUAUUUUUCAGAAUAAUUUUUGGUGAUUACAAUCGGGUUAUUAUUCAGAGUUAUUGUUAUCUUCUGGGGCAGUUUCUGUUCAUCGAAUUCAUUAAUUAAAAUUUUAGAACUCUUAUCAGAAGAAUAUUUUUCGGUUAUCUUUUUUAUGUUCUAAUUCCAAUUGUAAGAAGUAGCCAUUUUAGAAUUUGGGUCUUGAAUCGAAUUUCAAUGCAUGAAUUAAUAUUAAAAAAAAAAAAUUCACUACUCGCAGUUUAGGUUACAAAUUACUUUUUGGAAAGUUGACUUUGGAAUGUUUGCAAAGAAAGAGACUAACAUAUUUCCAAUUACACUAAAUCUCUAUUAUGAUAAUGUUAAGACUAAAUUAAUUUAAAUAAUUUUUAUUUGAAAAUUAUAUCAAACGCAGUCUAAUUUUAUUAAUUUUAAGAAAUAAUAAUUAUAAAAAUUAUUGUUCUGACUUAAUUAAUACAAGUGAUAUAAAAGUUAAGUGUGCACUAAAUCUGUUUUAAUUUUUUCCAGUAUAACUAACAGAGGUCAUUACUAGAAUUAUAUUACUAGUCUAUUAGAUAGAAAAAAUUACUUAUAUUGUUUUAUAUUUAUUAAAAAAUUUAAAGCCAAUUUUUUUAAUUACUAUUUAAAGAAUAUUAUAAUUUGAAAAAUUUUAAUAUCUUUAUUAAAAAUUUAGAAAUUUACAGUCCUCUAAAUAUUUAAGGCGUAACUGUCAUUUUCUCAAGAAGCUUUAUUUAAUAUUAUUGAUUUAAAUAAUAUCUUAUUAAAAAUGUACUGAGGAGAAAUUUUGGUGGGUAUUUUAGUCUUUUCAGCAAUCAUCAUGAUUAACCUUUGGUUGGCCUUGAAACGUCGGUCAGAAAAGUUUUAAAAUGCUUAAUUGUUUUUCACUGUUAACGUUAGUGGCCUUGAAAUUGCUUAUAUUUUAUUAAAAAUUAAUGCUAACAAGAAAAAACUAGAUCGUAUUCCACCCCCAAAGCAAAAGUGAUAAAACAACCGGCUGUAUUCUUUUAUUAAACUACAAAUUAAAAUGGAUUUCUUUAAUUAAAGUGGAUAUCAUUUAAUUAAUGUUUGAACAUUAAAGUUCUGAUAUAUAACCACUAUGCCGACCACCUAAUUGCUGCUAUUUAAUUUCGUUCCAGUUCUCUCUCUCUCUCUUUUUCUUUUUUUUUUGGGCCAAGCAAUAAAUAGUAAAAAUUCAAUAAAAGCAAUAUUAAUGCUGCAAGUGAGUCAUGUUAUUUAUUGUCAAUUAGGAAAUGUGAACCUAAUUUGAUUGCAUCCCUUUAAUCAUUUAAUAAUUAUGUAAGCACCAUCCCUUUAAUUAUUUAAUAACUAGAAAAUAGAACACUGCGUUUCACGCGGCUUUGAAAAAAGAAUUUAGUAUUAUCUUUUUUUCUUACUUUACACUUGAUGAAACUGAUAAAAAAUAUGAAUUGAUUUUUUUUAAAGAUGAGGCAGCCUUAUAAAAAAUAAAAAAAGCUAUUAGCCAGCAAUACAAAUAAAGAAGGAAUGCAAGAUAAAGAAUAAAAUGAGAGAAUAUAUUAUAGAGUGAUCUUAUUCAUUCUAAUUGUGUGUGUACAAAACAAAAAGAUGAGCUCUCCUUUUAUAACUACAUAAUUACUUCAUGAAAUUAAUGAAAAAUUAUGAAUCAUAAUUUCUUGUGAGAUAGUGGGAGUUAUUGGGAAGCUAAAAGUUGCUAAUGGGAGAUAGUGGGGAGACUAAGAGAUAUAUAUUAUGAACAUCUACAUUUAUUUUAAUAAAUUCAUAACACUCCCCCUUAAAUGUUCAUUACAAAGAAUAUGCCUCAUUAAAAUCUUUACAUAAUUGUUAUUGUGUAAUAACAAUCAAAUUAAUUAUAAGAAGAUGAAAAGCCAAAUCUAACAGAAAAUUUCUCUAUUUAUUAGAUAAUAGAGAAUAUAGCAAGAUGAGAAAUGGUAAUGCCACAUCAUCUCCUCACGUCCCAACUUUAUAUAUAUAUAUAUAGAUAAUAUAUAUUAUUCCUGUCCUACAUUCACAUAUUUAAUUGUCCUUUUGAAAAUAUUCAUGAGUUAGGCCAAGUAAAGUCAAAGAAAUUGGGAAAAAGGAACAAAAGGACAAACCUAAAUUAAUUGAACCUAAUUCAUGAAAAUGCACACUUUUGUGUUGCGGACGGCGGACCCUAAAGCUUCGUUGUUUGCAGCUGCAAUUAAUUCUUUUCCUUCAAAAGUUAGAGGCUCGUGUUUACAGUGGGUCCCGAAUCGGACGUACCUAAUAAAUCUUUUAAAAAAAUUUGCCGUAUAAAGGACAGAGGUCAUUACUGAAAUUUCUCUUCCACGGGCAAUUACAGCAGCUUCAGUUAAUCAAACUCAAAUCAAUUUUCUUUCUUAACAAAAUAUUCCAAAGAUGUGUAGCAUUUUUCAGAUCACAUGCGAUGGUGCUUUUUUCAAUCGUUGCUUGGAUUGCUUUCUUGGAAAAGCAGCAUACAUACGUAACCUCCAAGAUAAUCUUGUAGCCUUGGACACUGAAUUGGGAAAUCUGAUCGCUAAAAAGAACGAUGUGAUGAGGAGGGUUGUCGAUGCUGAACGGCAACAAAUGAGAAGGCUGGACGGAGUGCAAGUGUGGGUUUCGAGGCUCGAUGCUGUUAAAACUGAAGCCGAUGAACUUAUCACAGACGGCUCUCGAGAAAUUGAAAAAUUAUGUGUUGGAGGCUACUGUUCCAAGAACUGCAGGUCAAGCUACAAAUUCGGAAAACAAGUGGCAAGAAAGCUACGAGAUGUGGAGACUUUAAUCGCCGAGGGAGUUUUUGAGUCGGUGGCUGAGAGAGCUCCGGAACCUGUGGCAGAUAAAAGACCCACUGAGCCAACAAUAGUAGGCUUGCAAUCACAGCUUGAACAAGUUUGGAGAUGUCUUCUUGUAGAAGAAUCAGCGGGAAUCAUUGGCCUAUAUGGUAUGGGCGGUGUUGGUAAAACCACACUGUUGACCCAUAUCAACAAUAAAUUUCUUGAGAGUCCCACCAACUUUGAUUGUGUGAUUUGGGUCGUAGUUUCAAAAGACCUGCGACUUGAAAAAAUUCAAGAAGAUAUUGGGAAGAAGAUAGGUCUGUUUGAUGGUUCGUGGAAGAAUAAAAGUGUUGAGGAGAAAGCCGUAGACAUCUUGCGGAGAUUAGGAGAGAAGAGGUUUGUAUUGUUGUUAGAUGAUUUAUGGGAGCGGGUUGAUUUAACAGAAGUGGGCGUUCCACUUCCCAGCCCACAAAAAUACUACAUCAAAGUCGUAUUCACGACCCGUUUCAUUGAUGUGUGUGGUAGCAUGGAAAGUCACAGGAAGUUUAAAGUGGCAUGCUUAUCAGAAGAGGAUGCUUGGGAGCUGUUUCGAGGAAAAGUAAGGCAAGAAACUCUUGAGAGUCAUCAUGAUAUCGUUGAGCUAGCCCAAACUGUGGCCAGAGAGUGUGGCGGUUUGCCACUCGCGCUUAAAACUAUAGGUCGAUCUAUGGCCUACAGAAAGACAGCUAAGGAGUGGAGACAUGCAAUUGAAAUGUUAAGGAGAUCAGCUUCAGAGUUUGCAGGUUUGGGAGAAAAGGUGUAUCGUCUUUUAAAGUUUAGCUAUGAUAGUUUGCAGAAUGAUACGAUUAGAUCUUGUUUCUUAUAUUGUUGUUUGUAUCCUGAAGAUUAUGGCAUUCUUAAAUGGGAUUUGAUUGAUUGUUGGAUUGGUGAGGGAUUCUUAGAGGAAUCUGACAGGUUUAGUGCAGAAAACCAAGGAUACUACAUUGUGGGCACUCUUGUUCAUGCAUGUUUAUUAGAAGAGGUGGAAGAUGAUAAAGUAAAAAUGCAUGACGUUGUUCGUGAUAUGGCUAUAUGGAUAACCGGUGAAAUUGAGAAGGAGAAGCGAAACUUUUUGGUUUGUGCAGGUGCUGGAUUAAAAGAGGCACCGGAUGUUGAAGUAUGGGAAAAUGUGAGAAGAUUGUCAUUGAUGCAAAACCAAAUUGAAACUCUGUCAGAGGUUCCCACAUGCCCUCAUCUUCUCACUUUAUUUCUUGACUUUAAUAGGGAGUUGAAGACUAUUGCGGAUGGCUUCUUCCGAUGUAUGCCUUCUCUCAAAGUUUUGAAGAUGUCAAACUCUGGAAAGCCUUGGAAAGGUUUGGAAUUAAAUUUGGGGAUGCCAAAGUUGGGUUCACUACAGCUUCUUGAUAUUUCACACACCUGCAUACAAGAUUUACCGCAAGAAUUAAAGUUGUUGGUAAAUCUGAAAUGUUUGAAUUUGAGGCGGACAAUUUGGUUAAAUAAAAUUUCAUGGCAACUAAUAUCAAAUUUUUCAAGGUUACGUGUGUUGAGAAUGUUCGCUACUGGCUGGUUCAAUUUUCAUGAAGCACCAGAAGACAGCGUUUUAUUUGGUGGGGGUGAAGUUUUGAUACAGGAAUUGCUCGGUUUGAAAUAUUUAGAGGUAUUGGAGUUGACCUUGGGAAGUUAUCAUGCUCUCCAAAUUCUUUUCAGCUCAAAUAAGCUAAAAAGUUGUAUUCGAUCUCUUUACCUCCAGUUGACCGGAGAUACAGCGUUAAUUAUUGAUGCUACGGCUUUCGCAGAUCUAAAACACCUCAAUGAAUUACGCAUUGAGUCGGCUACAAAGCUGAAAGAAUUGACGGCUGAUUAUACAGAGAUAGUUCGAAAAAGGCGGGAACCUUUUGUUUUCCGCAGCCUUCACCAUGUUACUAUACAAAGCUGCCAGAAGUUGAAAGAUUCGACAUUCCUCGUUUUUGCUCCAAACCUCAAGUCUCUUUCGAUAGUCAAAUGCAAUGCUAUGGAAGAAAUAAUCAGCGUCGGAAAAUUUGCUGAGACUCCUGAGAUGAUGGGACAUAUAAGUCCUUUUGAAAAUCUCCAAAUGAUUGAUUUACUAGGUUUGCCACAUUUGAAGAGCAUCUUCUGGAAGCCAUUGCCUUUCACUCAUCUGAAAGAAAUAUCUGUGCGUUAUUGCCCUAAUCUUAAAAAGCUUCCACUCGAUUCCAACAGUGCAAAGGAGCGUAAAUUUGUUAUUCGUGGAGAAGAAGACUGGUGGAACCCACUUCAAUGGGAGGAUGAAGCCACUCAAAUUGCUUUUCGUUCCUGUUUCCAACCCUUGUUCCUGAACAGUGGUCGCAAAAUUUGAUUUCUGGUGAGUGCGUUUGUCUUUUAAAAAGAAUAAUUUAAAAGAAAUUUAUUCUUGUCGGUUUCUUCACUGUUUUUAUUUCAGUUUCUCUCUCUCUCUCUCUCUCUCUCUCUUUUUGUCUUCUGCAAAUCACAAUUACAUUUUUAUUCUUGUCGUUUUCUUCACUGUUUUUAUUUCAGUUUCUCUCUCUCUCUCUCUCUCUCUUUUUGUCUUCUGCAAAUCACAAUCAAAUGUUGAAUUAAUGGAAUUAAUGCUUCAUAAAUUUGCCGGCACUGCCAUUACUUUUUUUUGGGGGAUCGAAUUGAUACUUUAUUUAUAUCUUCUUAGCGAUUUAAUUUCCUGUCAAAAGACGAACGAGAAGAACAUAUGACUUAAACCAAUGCUCGCAUAAACUUGCUGUAAAAAGAUAUAAUCUCACUGAAAUGCACACGCCUAGAAUGAAUAGAAUUAAAACAGGGAAAAUAUUAAGUAUAUUAGCCCUCUUUACUGAAAAUCAAAUGACAGUAAAUUUUUUGAAGUUUUGAUUUUCUAUGGUCAAUUCCACCUUUUGCAAUUUCUUCUGUUCUAACAAAAACCAAUUUCUUUGUUCAAGUAUUUUCGUUUGGAUAUUAAUAAUUCUCCACCGAAAGAGUGAACUCUUGCUCAAAGGGAUCUCUAAUAAUACAUAACAUGAUUAUUUUCGUUUGAAUAAUUGAUUUCUUGAUUGAAUUGUCGUGUAAUUGAUUUAUGGGGGAUGACACAUCAACAUACUUGAAAAUACACUAAUCUCAGCAUCAUCGGUUAAUAACUUUUAGAUUUAUGGGUAAUCAAUAGUUAAGAUUAGUUGUCAUUAAUACUAAAUAAUUUUUACUUUUUUUGUCUCUUCUAGAGGAUCUUCUAGAAAAAUGCAUCCACAAUUAAAUUUAAUACUUUACAUAAUAAACAAAGCCUAAAUGUUAAAUUUAAGAAACUGCAUUGUAUUUCAGUUGAAGUUGACUUUAAUAUUUAGGGUAGAAAAACAAUUAAUUUUAUUUUUUGAAAUGUCCAUAUUCAGAGCACAUUUCAAAAAGACUCAAUAAUUUCUCAUAAAUUUCAAUUAAAAAUAUUCAAUUUGUUGUUUCAGUUCUUUUAUUUUUUAUUUUUUCCGACAUGAAAGCGACUUAAUGUUACUAAAUUGGGUGGUCUUUGGAUUUUCAUGACCCAAUAAUUGGAACAAAACAAUUUUCUCAAGCGCUCUCCCGCAACAUUUUAUAAUUGAAGCCGCUGCCCCGCCCGUGGUUUCAAACUUUUUUCUUUCUCCUUGUUUAAAUUAAUGGGAGCAGCCUCCGUCCUUGACUAGUUGACUGCUUGUCUUCUUUUUUUUAUUAAUUAAUUAAUUCAGCCGCCCCCCUUUCUUGUCCCAAUAUCUUCUACUUUCGGUUUCCUUUUAUUAUCUCUUUAUUUUUAAAAAAUGCUUAUAAUAAUAAUAAAAUAUAAAAUAUAAAAAUAAAAAUAUAAUUUAUCAGAAAAUUAAGAUAAAGAAAUAUUAUAAGCACAUCAAUCAACAAGUGAAAAAAAAACAAUUUUAAUUUACAUUAAAUAUAAACUUUCAGUGUUAAUCAACUUUUCUAAAUAACUAAAUUAAAAAAUUAAUUGAUUUAAUUGUGGUGUAAUUGAUUUGUAGGGGAUGAAUCAGCAGCAUCAUCGGUUAACGCUUUCAGAUUUAUAGUUAAUCAAUAGUUGAGAGUUGUUAUCACUAACGCCGUGUAUUUUUUAAUGUUUUUUCUCUCUCCUACAGCAUCUUCUAGGAAAGUGCAUCCGUUGCUAAAAUUUAGUAUCGUAAAUAAUAAACCAAGAAUAAAUAUUAAAUCUAAGAAACUGUAUUGCAUUUAAUAUUUAAGGGAGAAAAAUAAUUAUAGUGUCUUUAUUAAUCAGUAAAAAAAAAAAUUAGAAUCAUAAUAAAUUGUAUUGUUAUUGAUGUAUUUAUUUUAUUUUAUACUCAAAAUAAAUUAUUUUAAAUUAUUAAAAUAAUUUAAAAUUAGUAUUUUAUUUUAUACUCAAAAUAAAUAAUUUAAAAUUUUCAUUUCUUGUUUAUUUCGCAAGUUGUUAUUGCCUAAUGCUAUGUCAACUCGAACAUUAGCAUUUUUUUUUUUGGUCCUCUUUUAACGCAAAAUUAGUGUAGGUUAAGUAACAUAAUCAAUAUUAGGACAAUUUGAAAUCCCUAUGGGUGCGUUUGGUACACUGUAUUGUAUUAUACUGUAUUGCAUUAUUUUAAUGCUGAUGUAUUGUAUUAUGUUGUAUUGCAUUAGCACUGUAUUAUAACAAUGCUAUACAAUAUUUGGUGUUACAUUGUACUGUAUUAGAUUUUAAUUAUAUUAUAUUUAGUGUUACAAUUGUUGUAACAUAAACACGACCAAAAUAAAUUGUACUAAAUAAUCUAAGUAAGAGUUCUGUAGUAUAUGUAAUAAUACUAUUUAUAUUAUUAUUAUUAAUAAUUCUAAAUUAAUAUUAUUUAAUUUUAUUCAUAUUUAAAUAUGUAUUAUUAGUUUAUUAAAUUAUUUAAAAUAAUUAAUUUAUAUAUAUUAAUUAUUGUAACUUAAUUAAAUAAUGUAAUGCUAUAUUAUAUUUUUAUAUACUAUUUAAGUAUUUAUUAUUAAUUAUAUUUAAUUAUAAAUUUAUUAAUAAAUUAUAAUAUAAAAAUAAAAAAUAAAAAUUAAUAUUGUAUAAUAUUAUAUUAAAUUAAAGUUUUAUUUUUAUUACUAUUAUUAUAAAGUAAAAAAAAAAAAAAGGGAAGCUACUGACUUUUGAAACACAAAAGUCAGUAAUACAACCUAAUCACGAGGGGGGGCGCGGGUUUUGAUAAUGCGGCAAAAGCUGCAUUGUAAUGCUGCUCAAUGCAAUCCAUUUGAUCACCAAACACAGGUAUAUUUUAACUAAUGCUGGGCCCACAAAAUAAUACAAUGCAAUUCCGCAUGCCAAACAUACCCUAUGGGUGCGUUUGGUACACUGUAUUGUAUUAUACUGUAUUGUAUUAUUUUAAUGCUGGUGUAUUGUAUUAUGCUGUAUUGCGUUAGCAUUGUAUUAUAAUAAUGUUGUACAAUGUUUGGUGUUACACUGUACUGUAUUAAUUUUUAAUUAAACUAUAUUUGGUGUUAUAUUGUAUUGUAUUAAUUUUUAUAAUUAAUUAAAUUAAAUAAUUAAAAAAUAAUAUUUAUUAAUACUUAGAAAAAUAAUAAAUAUAGAAAUCUUAAUUGUAGAAAUUUAACAAAUUUUUUAGUAAAUAUUAAAAAUUAAUGAUUAAAUUUCUAAAAUUUGUAUUAUAAUUAUGAUAAAAUAAAUUUAUAAAAUUUAAUAUUAUAUGUAAAUAAUAAAUUUAGAUUAUAAUUAAUAUUAUAAUUGUUAAUAUAAAUUAAUAAAUUAUUAUUCAAUAAUAUUCAAUUAUAUUUUAAUUUACAAUAUAUUAUUAUUUUUACAUUUUAAUAUAUUAAUAAAUUUAUAAUUUAACAUAAAUAAUUAUAAAUUUAAAUAAUAUUAAUUUUAAAAUUAAUAUUAAUGUAAAUAAUAUUAUAAUAUUAAUAUAUUAUUUUUAUAUGAAUCAUUAAUAAAUAAAAUAAUAUUAUCAUAUAAUUUAUUUUUAUAUUUUAUUCAUUAUAUUAAUAUUUAAUAAUAAAAUAAUUUAUUUUUAUAAUAUUUUAAUAAAAUAAAUUUGCCUCAAUUGAGGCAUUAACUGUUGCCUCAAUUGAGGCAAAAAGCUUCCGCAUCCCUCGGGUUUGCGUAAUGCGGCCCCAUGCCUCAUUAUGCUGCAUUAUAAUGCAGCAUAAUGAGGUGUCAAAUUUUGCCAAACAUGUUCUUGGUAAUAAACUAAUGUGAAUAGUAGUAUAAUACCACAUAAUCUCAUGCACCAAACACGCCCUAUGUGUAUUAUUCACGGUAUCUAUGAGGGCUUAUCCUUUUGCUAGAACAAACUCUAGCAAAUUGUCAAAUGUGCUUAUCCUUUCCCUUGACGACUCAUUUUAAAAUUGUCACUCAUUUUAAAAUUGUCUUUCAAUGCACAAACACAGACAUAACCGCCGACAUCGAGCACCAAGUUUGGAAUUUAAUUGAUAAGCAUACAUUUGAUAAAUUAAUGAAAAGUUUGGAGAGUAGUUUUGAUCACCCUUGAUUAGGACGGUAUUACAAAAAAGAUCAAAAAGAAAACAUCGUCUCUCUUCACAAAAAUAAAUAUUUUCCGUUAGAAUUUAAUACAAUAAUAUUUUUUUUGAUUAAAAUUUAAUUAAAUACACAAAUAAAUUAUAUAUUUUUUAAAAAAAUUUACACCCAGUCACAAGGCUGGCUAUUAAACUUAAAGGGUGGAAGCUUCGGAGACUAAAGUUGGUAACUUCUCCAAGUGGUCUUAAGUUGACCGGAACUACCCAGACUUUAUGUUUGGUAGCCUAGACCUGAUCGGACCUAGGCCCAAGUUUGGUCUUAAAGUCCACAAUUAAAUUAAAAAAAAAUUAUUUGAUUUGUAAUUGAUUUAUGGGGAAUGAAUCCGCAGCCCUAAAAUUACACCAAUCUUGACAUAAUGACAUCAUCGGUUAAAAACGUUCAGAUUUAUGGUUAAUCAAUGGUUUGAGAUUUGUUAUCAUUAAUGCUAGAUAUUUUUUAACAUUUUUUUCUAUCUCUCUUCUCCUGAAGGAUUUUCUAGGAAAAUGCAUCCACAACAAAAAUUUUAAAUUGUAAACAAUAAACAGAGUAUAAACGUUAAAUCUAAGGAACAUCGCUGCAUUUCAGCUGAAGCGAACUUUAAUAUUUUACGGAGAAAAAUAAUUAAGUCUUUAAUGUGAUUUAUUGAUUAAUAUAUAUGACUAAUUUUUUAAAAGAAGAUGAAGGAUGAAGCUUAAAAAUAUAAAUUAUAGAAUUAAUUUAUCUCUUCAAUAAAUCUAAAGUUUAUUUUUUUUAUUACAUGCUUCUAUUUUAUUUUUAUUCCAUGUUAAUGAAUGGAGAUUUAAAUCCAUUUUGGAUUUAUAAAGAUGUUUAGAUAUUUAAAUCCACGUGUGAUUCCAAACUUGAACCUUUUUUUUUUUUUUUUCUAAUUAAUGCAAACAGCCGCCUCUUUGACUGCUUUUCUUCUUUGUUUAUUAAUUAAUUAAUUCAGCUGCCCACCUUUCUUUUCCUAAUGUUUUCUACUCCCAAAUUUUUUUAAGGACAAGGCUACGUUGCAGACGCUGUACCUAACAGCUGCACCUUCGCCAGCUUAAAAAAGGGUGCAUUUGGUAAGCAACUUUUCUUUCGUGUGCAUAUGUGUCCUGCCACCAUUGGGUGUGUACGUAACAGAUAAUGUACCGUAACAAGCUCCUAUUUUUAAAUUUGUUUAUAAUGAUAAAAUAUAAAAAUUAAGAUUAAAAUGUAAUGUAAUGUAAAAUUAAAGGUGGAAGAGUAUUAAAAUAAGGCUAAACCUAUGUUACGUUUAACGUAACAUACAUUUAAAUAUAUAAAAUAUCAAUGGAAACCCUCAAAUUUUAUGGAAACUAUAUUAAUAAAAUUAAAAGAAAUAUUUUUAAAUCUGAAAGAAGAAAUAAAAGAUAUAAAGCAAGAGAUAGGAAAACUAAAAAUAGAAAUAUCUGUAAAAGAAAAAGGAAAAGAAAAAUUAGAAAUAAAAGAAACAACUCCAACUGAAUCGAAUUCAGACUAAUGGAAGAUGUAUUAGAAACUUUAACUGAAAAAUUCAGUGACAUAAAUCUUAGUGAUUUAGAAGACUUUGAAAAAGAAUAUUAGAUAAAAAUGAAUACUGCUGGAGGACCAGAAAUGAAACCUAAUGUAGCAUAACCAAGUCAUAGAUAUGGUAUAAAUAAAAUGAAAAAUAAACCUUUUUACGAGUAUAUACCUCCUAUUAAAAAUACUCCUUGGAAAAAAGAAUACAAACCAAAUCAAGAUACAUUAACCCCAAUAAAUAAUGCUGGAACAUUUUUAAAUCUAGAUUGUAAGAUAGACAUUCGAAAGGCGUUAGCAGAAUGGGUGUUACAAAUGAAAUUAUUUUUUAUAUUUAACGGGUCAAAGGAUGACUAGAAUGUAGAGACUGAAGAAGAAAAAAUAGAUAUAUUUGUUGAAAUCUUAAUAGCCAGUUUUUCAGGAAAUGUGUUUAAUUGGUGGAGAGGAUUAAGCGAUGAUACACAAAACUUAAUAAAAGAUUCAACCAAAUAGCAUUUAGAAAAAAUAAAGCCUUAGGAAUGGAAAGGAUAACUGAAUACAUAGCUAGUGAAUUUUUAGGAGAAGAUUGGCUAGAAAAAUCGGGCAUAUAUGAAAAUUUAAAAAUUUAUGAUAAAAAGAUCUUAGUGUUUUUAUUAAAAAAUUAAAAUUUACAUGACUAUUUCUUUAAAUAUUUAGGGCAUAUAUGAACCACGGAGGAGAAAAGCUUUAUUUAAUAUUUUAGAAUAGUUUUUGAUCAGUACAAUUGGGUCCUUAUUCAGAAUUAUUGUUCUCUUCCGCAACAGUUUUUGUUUAUCAAAGUCGUCAAUUAAAAUUUUAGAAUUCUUAUCAGAAGAAGUAGUCGUUUUAGAAGUUGGGUCUUGGAUCAAAUUUCUACGAGUGCAUGAAUUAACAAUAAAAAAAUUUCAUUACACACGGUUUAAGCUACAAACUACUAUUUGCACAGUUGACUAUAAAACUUACCUCCAAUUACACUAAACCUCUCUAUUUGGUAACGUUGAGACUAAAUUAAUUUUAUUAGCAUGAAAAGAUGAUAGAAAUAUAAUUAUAAAUAUUAUUGUUGUUAAUCAAUUAGUACAUGUGAUAUAAAGGUUAAAUGUGCACUAUAUUUAAUAAUUAAUUAGUGGAGCAUGUUAAACAAAAUGUUAAUGUAUAUUUAUAUAGUGUUAGGAAUAUGCAAAGUCAAGUCCUCAAUUUGCAUUAUCCUGUAUAGAAUAUUACUCUAAAAAUGUUUUACUAUAAUUGGCUUAGAACAUUUGUAAAGAAAAAUAAUAAUAAAAUAAUAAAUAACAUACACCGUCACAUAGCACCUAGACAAUGAUAGAAAAUUAUUAAAGAGAGUGCAAACAAUUAAUUAGAGAUUUUUAUGAUGACUUUUAAUAUUCAUGAUAAUAACAAAUAAAUACAUGUAUCACUUUUUUAAAAUAUUAAAUUUGACUGCUCCAUUAAUAAAUUAUUAUUGUAAUUCAGACUCUAUCUAUAUAUCCUUGCACUAAGAAUAAUUAAGGUAACGUUUGUUUUUUAACUUAAUGACUUAAAGUGACUUAACUUAAUUAAUUAAGUUAAUUAGAGGUGUUUGUUUUAUAACUUAAUGAGACUUUUUAGAUAAUUUUGACUUAAUAAAAUAAGCUAAUUUUUUUUGGCUUUUUACUUAAUGGAGAAAUCUGAAUUAAGUCAAUUACUUGCUAAUGUCAAAAAUAUCCUUGUUUUAUAAUUUAUUUUUCAUGUCUAUCCCAAAACUCGCCCGUAGAUAUUUACCCCACAUAAAAAUAUCCCUGUUUUUUUCUUUCUUAUAUUAUAUACGAUAAAAUUUGAAAUUUAUAGUAUUUUAUAUAUUAAAAUUCUAAAAUAAUUAUGUAUUCACUUGAAUAUAGUUUUACUUAUAAAUGUUAAAAUAUGAUGGUAUUUAAUAUAUUAUUUAUUUGACAUUCAAAUUUAAUAAGGAUACAAAUGUAAAAGUACAUAUUUUCAGCUUUUUAAAUUGAAAAAAAAUAACUUAAUAUUUAUUUUCUGAGAUUCAGACGAAAAAAUAAACAUAUUAUUCAGAUUCAUACAUUCAGAUCUAUUCAGAAUUCAAACUAAUUCAAGUCUAUUCAAAUUUUAGACAAAAAAAUAAACGCCACCUAAGUCAUAAUAAAAAUUUUCGUAACUACAUCUCGUUUCUUCCUCAUAAUAAUAAUUAGAUUGGUUCGAAUAUUAUAACUAUAUAGAUUUAGUGUAUAGCCACAUCCAAUUUAAAUAUUGACCCAAUUGGGAUGGUCCCCAAAAAAAAAGAUUCGUUAAAGGAUAAUUCUAAUUAUUUUUACUUCUCAAACGUUAGUGGGACGUUUCUAUUAGCGCACUCGUAAGCCAAGUUGUCAAAUAUUUAUACUAAACUACAAUUGCUAACAAGAAAAAUCAAGAUCGUGUUAAGCAAGUGGGUCCCGAAUAGGACGUGCAAAUCUCUCGUAAGUCAAGUUGUCAAAUGUUUAUAUAAAACUAACAAUUACUGACAAGAAAAAUCAAGAUCGUAUUAAAAAUGGGUCCCGAAUAGGAUUAUCUUUUUAAGAAUAUUAUUAUUUUAUUAUUAAAAUUUUAUUAAUAUAACAGUAUUAAAAUUUAUUAAAAAAUAUAUUUUAUUAUUAAAAUUUUAUACCGUUAUCAAUUUAUUAUUAUUUUAUUAAAAAAAUUAAUAUUUAACAAAAAUUGAGAUAAAAAUUAAUUUUUGUUCUCUGUCUUUAUUUAUUUAUUUAUUUUUUUGGGUCUUCUGCAAAUCACAAUCAAAUGUUGAAUUAUAAAUUUGCCGGCAUUGCUUUUUUUUUUUUUUUUGGGCCGGGGGGUGGUGUUGAAUUGAUGCUCUGGGUUUUUGACUUUUGUUGUCAAAUUUUACUCUGUUUUUCCCAAAUUGAUGCUANNNNNNNNNNNNNNNNNNNNNNNNNNNNNNNNNNNNNNNNNNNNNNNNNNNNNNNNNNNNNNNNNNNNNNNNNNNNNNNNNNNNNNNNNNNNNNNNNNNNNNNNNNNNNNNNNNNNNNNNNNNNNNNNNNNNNNNNNNNNNNNNNNNNNNNNNNNNNNNNNNNNNNNNNNNNNNNNNNNNNNNNNNNNNNNNNNNNNNNNNNNNNNNNNNNNNNNNNNNNNNNNNNNNNNNNNNNNNNNNNNNNNNNNNNNNNNNNNNNNNNNNNNNNNNNNNNNNNNNNNNNNNNNNNNNNNNNNNNNNNNNNNNNNNNNNNNNNNNNNNNNNNNNNNNNNNNNNNNNNNNNNNNNNNNNNNNNNNNNNNNNNNNNNNNNNNNNNNNNNNNNNNNNNNNNNNNNNNNNNNNNNNNNNNNNNNNNNNNNNNNNNNNNNNNNNNNNNNNNNNNNNNNNNNNNNNNNNNNNNNNNNNNNNNNNNNNNNNNNNNNNNNNNNNNNNNNNNNNNNNNNNNNNNNNNNNNNNNNNNNNNNNNNNNNNNNNNNNNNNNNNNNNNNNNNNNNNNNNNNNNNNNNNNNNNNNNNNNNNNNNNNNNNNNNNNNNNNNNNNNNNNNNNNNNNNNNNNNNNNNNNNNNNNNNNNNNNNNNNNNNNNNNNNNNNNNNNNNNNNNNNNNNNNNNNNNNNNNNNNNNNNNNNNNNNNNNNNNNNNNNNNNNNNNNNNNNNNNNNNNNNNNNNNNNNNNNNNNNNNNNNNNNNNNNNNNNNNNNNNNNNNNNNNNNNNNNNNNNNNNNNNNNNNNNNNNNNNNNNNNNNNNNNNNNNNNNNNNNNNNNNNNNNNNNNNNNNNNNNNNNNNNNNNNNNNNNNNNNNNNNNNNNNNNNNNNNNNNNNNNNNNNNNNNNNNNNNNNNNNNNNNNNNNNNNNNNNNNNNNNNNNNNNNNNNNNNNNNNNNNNNNNNNNNNNNNNNNNNNNNNNNNNNNNNNNNNNNNNNNNNNNNNNNNNNNNNNNNNNNNNNNNNNNNNNNNNNNNNNNNNNNNNNNNNNNNNNNNNNNNNNNNNNNNNNNNNNNNNNNNNNNNNNNNNNNNNNNNNNNNNNNNNNNNNNNNNNNNNNNNNNNNNNNNNNNNNNNNNNNNNNNNNNNNNNNNNNNNNNNNNNNNNNNNNNNNNNNNNNNNNNNNNNNNNNNNNNNNNNNNNNNNNNNNNNNNNNNNNNNNNNNNNNNNNNNNNNNNNNNNNNNNNNNNNNNNNNNNNNNNNNNNNNNNNNNNNNNNNNNNNNNNNNNNNNNNNNNNNNNNNNNNNNNNNGAAGGGUCUCUAAUCAAUAGCUGGAAGCAAUUGAGAAGGCGGUUGCUACAGUGAAUUCAAAUGUAAAAUGUUUGCUAUUCUUCGAUUUGGUUAAUGAUUUCGUAUGAAUAUUGUUGUUCCGUUGAGUUGCAUGCGAAUUCAAAUGCAAAAUAUUCUUCGAUUUUCAAUUUUGAAAUCAAAUUUUUUUUUCCUUCUCAAGCAUGUUAUGCAGAAACGAUUGUCAUGUUAUGCAGAAACGAUUUUUACUAAAUCAUUUUUAACAAACUAUUGAAAUUAAACCACUGGAAUAAGAAUUGUAAGGAUUUAUCGUAAGCUUACUAAUACGAUAAUUCUGAAACUAUCACCUUUUUUUUUUUAUUUGUUGCAGGGAAACCCAAAUUUUGUAUUUUGUCAAUUUCAUCUGAUAUGGAAUUUAUUUCCUCCCUAAAGAUUUAUCAAACUGCUUCUCUUCCCUGCUUCAAUAUCUUUAUGCAAUUACGAUCUCAUAGGAAAAGAGAGUUUGGGUUGUAUAUCUUAUAGUAUUUAUUUAUUUUUUGUUAAAAGAAAUUUAUUUUAAAAUAGUUUAUAGCAACAGUUUUUAUUUAACAAUAAUGAGGAAGGAUUAUUAUAGGUUCAAAUAGUUGUUAGAACAUUAUAAAAAAGUCCAUUUACUAUCAAAUGUUUUAAAUUGGUGCAACGUGAUAAUUGUCUCAUAUAAUUUUUUAAGGGUAAAAACUCGUUUCAUUCCCAUAUUUUAAGAUUAUUACUCAUUUAGUCUUUAUAUUUUUAAAAAUGUUUCAAAACAUUCAUACCCUUAAAUUAUUAACAUCUCUGCUGUUACUUUUUAUUUUUUUUUGACUUGUUUUUACAAUAUUGCCCUCUUACAAUAAUGUUUCUUUUUAUAAAAUUAAUAAAAAGAAAAAAAAUUAAAUUAUCAAUUUAACCCCAAAAAUAAAAUAAAAAUAAAAAGAAUAAAUAUUAAUUUUUGUGAAAGUUUACAUGUGUCCAAAAUAAAUUUUAUUGUAAAAAUAAUUAAAUUGCCUUUUUUUUGGACAUUAGUAAUAAAAAAAUUAAUAUAUUAAUUCCUCAGCAGUGUGUUACAAAAAAGUAAAAUAUAUUAAUUUUGUUUUUAUUUUAGACAAUGAGAUAGAGAAAAGUACAAGAUAAAGGAAAGGACUUCAAAACUCACUGUUCAUCAUAAUGCCCUUUGCCUUUAAAAAAAAAUCAUUCUAAUAUUUUAUAACACAUAAAAUAUAAUCCUAAGAUAAAUAUAAUAAUACAUAUUUUAAACUAAUCUCGAUAUUUAAAAUAUGUUUUAAUAUUUUAUAAUCUAUCAGACAUAUUUUAUUAUAUUAAUGUAAAAUUUAUAAUAAAUACAAACAUAUUAUUAAAAUAAAUAUAUAAAAAAUAUUUAUUUUUUAUAUGUUUACACUGAGGACUCUCUUUAAUUCAUUUAUUUUCUCUCUCUCCAAACAGGUACUGUCUUCAGUUAGCAAUGCUAUGAUAGUAAUCCAAUUCUCUUCUCCCCCACCUGAGCGAGAUUUGAAUUUGAAUCCCUUGUUUUUCACCCACUCUGUUUUUUUUCACGCAAGAUUUGACAAUUUGAGUUAAAAAAUAUGGUCCAAAACUUGAACACGUAUCUUUUAAUUGUAAUAAAAGUUCUUUAAGCUUUGGAGAUGGCAUAUAUAUGGCUGGAAGUGUCCUUUUCUUUGACCUAGAGGCAGCACCAAGCUAUCCAGCAUCAUCAUUUUUCAAGUGGGUCUUAAAUGCCUAGAAACGUUGGUGUUUCUUGAUUUAAAGAUGACACAUGCUAUAAGUGUGAAUGGUUUGGCUAAGCCUAAAUUUAAAGUCUACUCAAGUCGCAUUCAGGAUCAUGGAAAUUGGAAAGGGAGAGAUGAUAGCAAGAUUUAUAAUAAACAAUUAACUUGGGUCCUCAGUGUACAAAGCAAAUGCCACGCAAGCGAUAGCCGGCCCAGCCCAGAAAACCCAGUGGCGAUCCCAGAGAUGGCCUCCUCUAACGAGUGCUGGGCCCAAAAAUCUUUGCGGGUUGAGCCCAGCUCCGGCAUAGCCCUUUUGAGCAGUAACAGUUGUCGAGACAAAAACCAGAAGACCCAACACUGUUCCAAUGACAAUGCAUACGGUAAACUCUGCCAAGAGCCUUGGCUUGUCUGGAGUCAAAAGCCAUCCACACAGAAGCAAAAAGGAACACAAACGAGCAAAUUAUCUCAAGCCAAAGGGCCUGCCUAGUCCCCAAGCCGAUCUCAACAGGCCCAUCUGGCCCAGGUACGACAACAUUCAGGGUGCAGCCUCCAAGUUGUCAAAUAUUUAUAUUAAACUACAAUUGCUGACUAGAAAAAUCAAGAUCGUAUUACAAGUGGGUCCCGAAUUGGACGUGCCUAAAUCUUUUUAUAAUUUUCCCAGUGUAGCGGACAGAGGUCAUUACUAAAUUUCUCUUCCACACGCCACAGCAGCUUCGGUUAAUCAAACUCAAUCAAUUUUCUUGGCUUCUCCGCUUAUCAAUAUUACAAGGUAUGGGUAGCAUUUUUCAAAUCACAUGCGAUGGUACUAUUUUCAAUCGUUGCUUAGAUUGCUUUCUUGGAAAAGCAGCAUACAUAAGUAACCUCCAAGAUAAUCUUGUUGCCUUGGAGACUGAACUAAGGAAACUAAUCGCAGCAAAGAACGAUGUGAUGACGGCGGUUGUCAAUGCUGAACGGCAACAAAUGAGAAGGCUGGACCAAGUGCAAGUGUGGGUUUCGAGGGCGGAUGCUGUUAAAAAUGAAGCUGAUGAACUUAUCAGAGGCGGCUCUCAAGAAAUUGAAAAAUUAUGUCUUAGAGGGUUCUGUUCCAGGAACUGCACGUCAAGCUACAAGUUCGGAAAACAAGUGGCUAAAAAGCUACGAGCUGUGGAGACUUUAAUCGCCGAAGGAGUUUUUGAGGCGGUGGCUGCCGAGGUGGUGCCUGAGAGAGCUCCAGAGCCUGUAGCAGAUGAAAGACCUACCGAGCGAACAGUAGUAGGCUUGCAAUCACAACUUGAACAAGUCUGGAGAUGUCUUGCAGAAGAAUCAGCGGGAAUCAUUGGCCUAUAUGGUAUGGGCGGUGUUGGUAAAACUACACUAUUGACCUAUAUCAACAAUAAAUUUCUCGAGAGUCCAACCAACUUUGAUUGUGUGAUUUGGGUAGUAGUUUCAAAAGACCUGCGACUUGAAAAACUUCAAGAAAAUAUUGGGAAAAAGAUAGGUUUGGUUGAUGAUUCAUGGAAGAGUAAAAGUGUAGAGGAGAAAGCUCUCGACAUCUUCCGGAGUUUAAGAGAGAAGAGAAUUGUAUUGCUGUUAGAUGAUAUAUGGGAGCGGGUUGAUUUAACAAAAGUGGGCGUUCCACUUCCAGGACCACAAAAUACUACCUCAAAAGUCGUAUUCACAACCCGUUUGAUCGAUGUUUGUGGUAGCAUGGAAGCUGACAGGAAGUUCAAAGUAGCAUGCUUAUCAGAAAAGGAUGCUUGGGAACUGUUUCGAAAAAAAGUUGGGGAAGAAACUCUUGGAAGUCAUCAUGAUAUCGUUGAGCUAGCCCAAACUGUGGCCAAAGAGUGUGGUGGUUUGCCACUCGCACUUAUUACUAUCGGUCGAGCUAUGGCCUACAAAAAGACAGCCGAAGAGUGGAGACACGCAGUUGAAGUUCUAAGAAGAUCAGCUUCGGAAUUUGCAGGUUUGGGAAAAGAGGUGUAUCCUCUUUUAAAGUUUAGCUAUGAUAGUUUGCAGAAUAAGACGAUUAGAUCUUGUUUCUUAUAUUGUUGUUUAUAUCCUGAAGAUUAUGGCAUUCUUAAAUGGGACUUGAUUGACUGUUGGAUUGGUGAGGGAUUCUUAGAGGAAUCUGACAGGUUUGGUGCAGAAAACCAAGGAUACUACAUUGUGGGCACUCUUGUUCAUGCGUGUUUACUAGAAGAGAUAGAAGAUGAUAAAGUAAAAAUGCAUGACGUUGUUCGUGAUAUGGCUCUAUGGAUAGCUUGUGAAAUUGAGAAGGAGAAGAGAAACUUUUUGGUUUGUGCAGGUGCGGGACUAAAGGAGGCACCUGAUGUUAAAAGAUGGGAAAAUGUGAGAAGAUUGUCAUUGAUGCAAAACCAAAUUGAAACUUUGUCAGAGGUUCCUGCAUGCCCUCAUCUCCAUACUCUAUUUCUUGCCUCUAAUAAUAGUUUGCAGAGGAUCACCGAUGGCUUCUUCCAAUUUAUGCCUUCUCUCAAAGUUUUCAAGAUGUCAAACUGCGGGAAUUUAAUUUUGGAAUUACCUUUUGGGAUGUCAAAGUUGGGUUCAUUGGAACUUCUCGAUAUUUCACAUACCUACAUACAAGAGUUACCACAAGAGUUAAAGUUGUUGGUAAAUCUGAAAUGUUUGAAUUUGAGGUGGACAAGCGAGUUAAAUAAAAUUCCACGGCAGCUAAUAUCAAAUUCUUCAAGGUUACGUGUGUUGAGAAUGUUGGGUACUGGCUGGUUCAAUUUUCAUGAAGCAUCAGAAGACAGCGUUUUAUUUGGCGGGGGUGAAGUUUUAGUACGGGAAUUGCUCGGUUUGAAAUAUUUAGAGGUAUUGGAGUUGACCUUGCGAAGUUAUCAUGCUCUCCAAAUUGUUUUGAGCUCAAAUAAGUUAAAAAGUUGUAUUCGAUCUCUUUACCUCCAGUUGACCGGAGAUAGAAAGUCGAUUAUUGAUGCUACGGCUUUCGCAGAUCUAAACCACCUCAAUGAAUGAUUGAUUUUUAAAGGUUUUGAGUUGGAAGAAUUGAAGAUUGAUUAUACAGAGAUAGUACGAAAAAGGCGGGAACCUUUUGUUUUCCGCAGCCUUCACCGUGUUACCAUAGAUUCGUGCCUUAAAUUGAAAGAUUUGACAUUCCUCGUUUUUGCUCCAAACCUCAAGUCUCUUUCGCUAUUCAAUUGCCGUGCUAUGGAAGAAAUAAUCAGCGUUGGAAAAUUUGCUGAGGUUCCUGAGAUGAUGGGACAUAUAAGCCCUUUUGAAAAUCUCCGAAGUCUUCGUUUGUCACAUUUGCCAAAUUUGAAGAGCAUCUACUGGAAGCCAUUGCCUUUCACUCAUCUGAAAGAAAUGGUGGUACAUGGGUGUGAUCAGCUUAAAAAGCUUCCACUCGAUUCCAACAGUGCAAAAGAGCGUAAAUUUGUUAUUCGUGGACAAGCAGACUGGUGGGACCGACUUCAAUGGGAGGAUGAAGCCACUCAAAUUGCUUUUAGUUCCUGUUUCCAACCUUAACUUGAUUUCUGGUUAGUGCUGUUUCCUUAACUUUUACAUAUAUUCUCGUCGUUUGCUUCGUGCAAAAUACUAGGUCUUUUGUUCUCUGUUUUUAUUUCGCCCAUUUUUUUUUUUUUUUUUUGUCUUCUGCAAAUGACAGACAAAUGUUGAACUAAAAGGAAUUAAUGCUUUAUAACUUUGCCGGCAUUGCUUUUUUCUUUUUCUUUUUUGAUUUUUUGGGGCGAGGGGGGAUCGAAUAGAUGCUCUGGUUUUUGACUUUUUGUUGUCAAAUUUUACUCUGUUUUUUUCAAAUUGAUGCUUGAAUAUUUGAAUCAAAUUAAUGCUCACGUAAAUUUGUUCAGUUGCCGUAAAAGGAUAUAAUUACACUGAAAUACACAAACUCUAGAAUGAAUAGAAUUAAACAGAGAAAAUCUUGAGUAUAUUAGCCGUCUUCACAUAAAAUCAUAUGAAAAUUAAAUUUUGAAGUUUUUAUUUUCUAUUUUUAAUCAUACCCUUUAUAAUUUCUUCUGUUCUAACUACAAUAAAAUUUUUGGUUCAAGGAUUUUUAUGAGGGGUAUUAAUAAUAGUCCACCAAAAGAGUGAACAGUUGGAUGCUGCCCUAAGGGUCUCUAAUCAAUAGCUGGAAGCAAUUGAGAAGGCGGUCGUUACUGUGUACAAAGCCAUGCAGUAUUUGCUAUUCAUCUUAGUAAUUAUGAAGCUUUGGUAAAAUUUUCAAACAAAGUUGACAUGUUAUUUUGAGAUUUGGUUCAUGAUUUUGUAUGAAUAUCGUUGUUCCAUUGAGUUGUAUAUGAAUUCAAAUGUAAAAUAUUCUUUGGUUUUCAAUUUUGAAUUCAAUUUCUUUUCUUAAGCAUGUUGUGCAGAAAUGAUUUCUACUAAAUCAUUUUUGAUAAACUACUUAAAUUAAACAACUGCAAUAAGAACUGUUAAGGAUUUAUCGUAAGCAGACUAAUAUGAUAAUUCUGAAACUAUCAUUUUUUUUUUCAAUUUGUUGCAGGGAAAGCCAAAUUUUGUAUUUUUCAGUUUUAUCUGAUAUGGAAUUUAUUUCCUCUACACUAGCUACCUAAAGAUUUAUCAAAUUGCUUCUCUUCCCUGCUUCAAAUUAAUAUCUUUAUGCAACUACAAUCUCAUAGGAAAAGACAGUUUGGGUUGUAUUUAUUAUAGUUUUUUUUUUCGUUAAGAGCAAUUUAUUUUAAAAUCGUUUAGUAGUAACAGUUUUUAUUGAAUAAUAAUGGGGUAGGAUUAUUAUAGGUUCAACUAGUUGUUAGAACAUUAUAAAAAGUCCAUUUACUAUCAAAUGCUUUAAAUUGGUGCAACAUGAUAAUUGUCCCACAUAAUUUUUAAUAAUAUAUAUGGCCCAUAAAUUUAAUAUGAAUAAAUGAGUUUCGAUAGUUAAAUUUGAUACGAUUAUUAAAUAAGUUAUAUCCAUGUCAAUUCGACUUAAAAUCUGGUAAAUUUAGAUUUAGAGUUUAUAACAUGAUAACUUGUUUUAUGACAUGAUUUACUAAUCAAUUAAUAUUAAAUUAUAUUUUAGCCAAUCAGAUAUGUGGUACAUUUGUCAAAUUUUAAAAAUUAUUUAUUUAUAUAUGAAAUAAAUUUGACUAGACUGUGUGUAGGUAAUAGUGCAUAAUUUCUAAAAAAAUGUAAUAAUAACACGUUAAAAUGUUAUUUUUAUGAAGAAAAAUUGAAAUUUUAUUAAAUAGGCGACACAAUAAUAAAUGGGUUGAGAUUAUUUACAUUUUAAGAAUUACUCUGAACAUUAUUUUAUUUUAUAAAUUUUAUAUUACAAAAACACCCAUAGUUUAAUUUACCAUUAAGAACAAUUUUGUGCGAUUAAAUAAAAUACAUUACUCUUUACCCUUUCACUACAUCGACAUAAAUCCUAAUUGUUAUGUUUCUAAUUUCUUUGAUAUGCUUAUUGAAGUCCACAUUAUAAUCAAUUUUAAACUAUUAUACCACUUAAAUACAUUUUAGAAUGAGAAGUUUGGUUUUCUUCAUGGGCUGCCUUGCUGAUGCUGUUAUUGAAACUAUCGAACUUAAUAAUUUUAUGGCCAAAAUGAUAUAUGUUGAACCAGCUUUUACAUCGAAUUCUACCACCAUAAAAAAUCGUACUUGUAACAUCUCAAGGUUCCAAUUUAUCAAAAGUUAAUCAUUCAUAUUUGUUAGUUCCUAACAGUCACAAGAGCGUACAAGCCAAUUUUUGUAGCUCCUUUUUCUGCAGUAGAUUCAAGUAUAUUAUUAUCAAGCAUUUUUGUUACACCCUUAAUUCCUUAUCAUCAUCCCUUCAUUCAGAGCAACUAAACAGAGGUCAAUGUCAUUAUGUUAGAGUUACGAGGAAGAGUACUGCCAAAAAAGUUCUUUGUAUGGGAUUUAAUUUUCUGGGUUUGUAGUGAUGAACAAAUUGAGGGUUGUUUUGGUAUUUUCAAGAGUGUAUUGAGUGAAAAUUAUUUUUAAAAAAUUUAACAAAUGAGUGUAAUGAGUAAAAAAGUGUUUAAAGUAUUUUUUAGAGUACAAAUAGCUCCACCUUAAUAAAUGAGUUCUUGUAAAAAUUGAGAUUAUUGAUAUAAUUAUUAAAUAGGUUGGAUUGAAGUUAGUUUAAUUUUGACAAGAUAAUAAGACGACGCGACACAAAUACAACCAACCAGUCAACCCAAAUUGCAACCUUUUACUAAUAAAAGAUACCUGUUUGAAAAGUAAUUAUAAGCUAUCUUCUUUGUGUUAUUUCUCUAAAAAUUUGCGGCACAAAUAUUAUUUCCAUGGAGAAAAGUACGAAAUACCCGCUUUCACUUCAGCAGAAGCAAAGCAAAGCUAUGAGCCAUCUCUGUAUAAUUGAAACGCCAUUGCUAAACGGUUCUUGAUGAUGGGUGCCACCGUGCCAGCGUUGUCGCUGAUUUGCAUGAUUUAUUAGUUGUUCAGAUGGCGGAUUUUGUACUGUCACUUUCAUUUCAUUCUUGAGAGCCACGUACAAUACUAGGUGGCAUUGAAGUUGCCCCAGUGGUUAGUUUUCUGAUUUUUUUUAAUUCAAAUUUUUAUGUUUUAGAAAAAUGUAAGAAAUAUGUAGAAAUGUUGACAGCUACAAUUUUGAAACUUUGCCUAAAAUUAUUAUCGUUGCUUAUUGUUUCUUAGCUAAAGAGAAAUCCUAGAAACAUGAAAUUAUUAUUCUAUGCUUGUUUUAAUAUUAUACAUUAGCAGGUUAAUUAAAAAUUAGACGUGAAUACAACAAGAGAUAAGUGGAGAGAAUUUGGUAGUCGACCGCAUUUAGAAUUUAAUUUUUCUUUUAGCUGCCGAUCAUUAAAUUUUAUAUUUCAGAAAAUUAUACCUAGAAUAUUUCAAGGAUAUACUACGAAGAUUAUGAAGGUUUGAUUACAUGUCACUAUCAAUUGCCUCAAUCAUUUGUAGUAAAUUAAUUAAUCAUUUUGCUGCAAAUGAUUUCCUAUUAAAAAAUUCAAGUCAGAGCUGAAUUGCACAGUAGUUAGUCGUGCUUGCAAUUCAAAUCAAGUAUUGUAUUUUCUGCCUGAUUUGGUUGAUUCAACUAUGUGCAUUUGCAUAAUGGAGAUGCUUAUGAACGUUGUAGUAUAGAAAUCGAAACGUCUUGUCUUUUGCUAAGCCCAGAAGCAAAGUUCUUUGUAUUAUACUCAUCAGUUUUCUUCGUUCUCUUCGUUGAAAUUUUAUCCAAACAGCGGUUUCUUCGAAUUUUUGCCCUCUCUUACAUUUUUAAAUCUAUCAAAGAACGGUUACCUGAGAAGAUUGCCAUCAGGUAUUUCGAAAUUGAUUUCACUACAAUACCUUAAUCUAUCAGAUUUUAAUCUAUCAGAUGCUCCCGUCACUCAGUUGCCAAAAGUGACAAAAGCCUUAGUAAAUUUUUAGAGUAAAAACUCAUUUAUUCCUUAUAUUUUAAGAUUAGUAUCUAUUUAGUCCUUAUAUUUUGAAAAAUACCUUGAAACAUCACUGCCAUUAAAGUAUUGAUACCCUUACCGUUACUUUUUAUUUAUUUUGGCUUAUUUUUACAAUAUUACCCUUUAAUAAUAAUUUUUUUGUUUAGACAUUAAUAAAAAUAAAAUAAUUAAAUUACCAAUUUAAUCCUAAAAAAUAAAAAUAAAAAUUUAUAUUAAUUUUUAAUUGUAAAAAAUUGUAUGCAAACUACCAAAUGUGCAAACGGUGCUUGCAAAAAAAUUAAUAUAAAUUUUUUAUUUUUAGGGUUAAAUUAGUAAUUUAAUUAUUUUAUUUUUAUUAAUGUCCAAAAAAUUAGUAAUUUAAUUAUUUUCUUUUUAUUAAUGUCCAAAAAUUAUUAUAAAAGGGUAAUAUUAUAAAAGUAAGCUAAAAGAAAUGAAAAGUAACGGUAGGGGUAUCAAUACUUUAACGGUAGGGAUGUUUCGAGGUAUUUUUAAAAAUAUAAAGAGUAAAUGGACACUAAUAUUAAAAUACAGGGACUAAAUAAGUUUUUAUCCUAAAUCUUUAAGUGUUUGAAUUGGAGUACAUAAAUUAUCUCUCUACAAUUCAAAAACAACAGAUUUGUUACUUUUCAACGCUACAGGUUCCGCGAAUAUUCAGUUGUGGUUAUCUUGUUGAAACACCAGAAAAUAGCGUUCUAUUUGGUGGUAAUGAAUUCUUGGUUGGGGAGUUACUUAGUUUAAAACAUUUAAAUGUAUUAAGCAUCGCCUUAAAAGGUUUUUCUACCGUCCAAAAAUUUAUGAGCUCCCAAAAGUUUCAAAGUUGUACAAAAUGUUUGGAGCUUAUAGACAGUGAUGAUUCAAAGUCGUUUGCCAUGGCAGAGUUGAAGCAUCUUGAAAAACUAGGUAUUUCAAAUUGUGGAAAUUUGGAAGAGUUUAAGUUCUGCUGUGUCGAAGUUGGAAAAACUUGAGAAGAUUUUUGUUUGAACAGCCUUCACCAAGUUAAGAGAAAGGCUUGUCAUAAAUUGAGGGAAGUGACAUGGCUUGUGUUUGUACCAAAUCUUAAGGUUAUUCAGAUAGAAAAAUGUAUGGAGAUGGAGGUUGUUGGGAAAGAGACUACCACAAGCAGCUAAAAAUUAAGCGAAUACAAAAUUCUUUCUCUCUUUGUGUGAUUAAAAUAGGAUGUGCACCACAAACAAAUAAGCAGAAAAAUAAACCAAUAAAUGCAAAGCAAAAACCAACCACAAGAGACACCGAUUUUUAAGUAGAAAAUUUAAAUUGGGAAAAAUCACAGGAUAGUAGUCUGAUAUAAACUUCUACUAUAUUAAUGAGAUUACAACACAAAUUCUUCUCCAGAUAAUACUAGAUGCUAACAAUAUUAAAAUUCUCAACAAUCUUAGUUUAUAAUAAUAGAUCUAAAAUCUAUUUCUUCAAUAAGUGAGUAUCUCAAAUAAUAGCUACUGAGAGAAUAAAAUACAGAUCAACACCAGUAGAAAUAUAGAGGGCAAUGUCAGGAACUUACCCUCCAAAUUUAGGACUAAUCAGAGCUAAAAUAACCUUUUGAUUGUUGAAUCAAAGAUUGAAAACCAAAAAAAAAAAAAAUAUCUCUUUCUCUCGCAGUGUCUUCUCACUUUCGCAAAAUGUCUACAGCUCUCGCGAUUCUUUACUUAUUUCCUUAGUUAAUUUCAUCCAAGUCCAAAAUUUUACAAUAAUUACACAUCAAGCAAAUUAUUUUGGACUUUGAACUUUUUGGUCCACUGAAGUGAAAUGGACCUUACAAAUCUCCCCCUCCAUCUCAUCUAAGGGGCACCACCAAGCCCGCUCUCUACUUACAGCUUUCCAGCUUCUCCUUGGGUAAUGACUUUAUCAUCAUAUCUGAUGCAUUCUUCGUUGUGUGAAUUUCUCCAAGCUGCAACUGUUUCUACUCAAGCACGUCUUGUAUCCAAUGAUACUUCAUAUCAAUAUGCUUCGAUUUCAAAUGAUAUGUUGAAUUCUUUGCCAAGUGGAUGACACUUUAACUGUCACAGUACACAACAUAACUAUCUUGAUUAACACCUAGUUCUUGUAGAAAAUUCUUCAUCCACAAGGUUUCUUUGUAACUUUCAGUGAUUGUAAUAUACUCUACUUCUGUAGUAGACAAAGCAACACACUACUAAAGUCUAGACUGCCAUGAAACUGCUCCUCCUACAUAGGUGAGCAAAUAUCUUGAUAGAGACUUUCUAGAAUCAACAUCUCCUGCCAUAUAUGCAUCCGUAUCUACUUGUAAUAUAGGUUUGUCACCACCAAAACAUAAACAUGCCUUGGAAGUGCCUCUGAGAUAUAUGACAAUCUACUUUACUGCUGUCCAGUGUUUUUUACCCAGAUUAGAGGAAAACCAGUUGACUACCAACUGUUGAAGCGUACCUCAAACUACCAACUGUUGAAGCAUAAAAAACUCUUUUUAUCUCUUGCUUCUCUUUCUCACUUAUGGGACAAUGCUUGAAACUAAGCUUGAAAUGACCUGCAAGUGGAAAAUAAACAUAUUUUGCUUUGUCCAUAUUAUAUCUUUUAAGAACUUUUUCAACAUAUGCUUCCUGAGAUAACCAUAAAUUCCCAGUUUUUCUGUCACGAGAAAUCUUCAUGCCAAGAAUUUGUUUCGCCGAUCCCAAGUCCUUCAUUACAAAAGACUUGCUAAGCUCUCUCUUCAAAUUGUCAAUCUUACUAGUAUCCUUGCCAACAAUCAACAUGUCAUCCACAAAAAGUAAAAGAAUAAUAAAAUCAUUAUCACUAAACUUUUUCACAAACAUACAAUGAUCACACAUUGUCUUGCAAAAGCCAUGAUUCUCCAUAAAAGAAUCAAACUUCUUAUACCACUGUCUUGGUGCAUGUUUCAGCCCAUAUAAAGUUUUUUUCAAUUUGUACACAAGUUCUUCUUUACCUUUGACACUGAACUCUUCAGGUUGUUAUAUGUAUAUUUCCUCCUUUAAGUCAUCGUGUAAGAAAGCAGUCUUUACAUUGAAUUGUUCAAUUUCCAAAUCCAAGCUAGCUACUAAUCCCAGAGGUGCUUGCUCAAUUGGUUCUGCUGGACCAUUAUUAUUAUCCUCUCCAGCUCCCCUAUGAUCAUCAUGAACAACAUGUGGAGAAACCGAAGUUGGAAUAAUAAGAAUCUCUGGAGAUGGCUGAGACUUAUCAUUUUUUUUUCAUCACCAACUAUCUAAUUUUUAAGAAACACAACAUCUCUAAUUCUGAUUACUUUUCUUGUCACUGGAUCCCAUAAUCUGUACCCAAAUUCUUCAUGUCCAUAGCUUAAGAAAAUACAUUUCUUGGCUUUAUCAUCAAGUUUUGAUCUCUCAUCUUUAGGGAUAUGAACAUACACUCUGCACUUAAACACCCUCAAGUGUUUAUAAGAAACAUCUUUCCCAAUCCAAACUCUUUUAGGUACAUCGUCAUCUAAUGGAGCUUAAGGAGAAAGAUUAAUCAAAUCAACUACAGUACGCAUAGCCUCCGCUCAGAAGGAUUUAUAAAGCUUGGCAUCAGAAAACAUACAUCUGACUAUCUUUUCAAUUGUUCUGUUCAUUAUUUCUGCAACACCACUCUGCUGAGGGGAUUUUGGUACAGUUUUCUUAAGUUUGAUUCCAUGAGAUCUGCAAUACUGCUCAAAUGGUCCUCUGUACCCACCAUCAUUUUCUGCCCUGACACAUUUCAAUUUUUUUCUUGUCCCUCUCUCAACAUAAGCACGAAAGAAUUUAAACAUAGUAAGCACGAAAGAAUUUAAACAUAUCAAGCACUUAAUCUUUAGAUUUUAAAGCAAAAGUCCAUACUUUUCUAGAACAAUCAUUAAUAAAAGUCAUAAAAUAAAGUGCACCUCCUAUUGAUCUAUUUUGCAUCAUGCAAAUAUCAAUGUGAAUCAAAUCAAGGAUUUGUGACUUUCUAGAUGGAGAAAAGCUUUUAAAAGUUACUUUAUGUGCCUUUCCAGCUAAACACUAAACACAAGUCUUGAGGGACGUACCUACAAAGCUUGGUAGAAAUCCUUUUUUGGCAAGAGUUCCUAACCCUUUCUCACCAAUGUGACCAAGCCUUUUAUGCCAUGUCUCAAUGUCAGAAUUGUUUACAGCCAUAUUCAUAUAUUCUUUCUUGAUUUUGGCUUCUAUUACGUAGAGGGUGUUCAUUUUCUUUCCUUUAGCCAACACUAGAGAGCCUUUGGUGAGCUUUCAUUUUCCUUCACCAAAUUAGUUAGUAUAACUAUCAUCAUCAAUUUUUCUUGUGGAGAUCAAAUUAAGACGAAUAUCUAGUACAUGCAAGCUUUUUUGUGGAGAUCAAAUUAAGGCGAAUAUCUAGUACAUGUCUGACAUCUUUAAGGAGUAGCUUAUAGCCAACACUGGUUUGAAGCAAAUAUCUCCUAUGCCCACAAUCUUGGAUGCCCCCUCAUUUCCCAUCCGAACAUGGUCAUAAUUACCAUUAACAUAGGAUGUGAAGUAAUCAUGAUGUGCAGUUGUUGUGCAAAUUUUAAUGUACUCGCAAGCGCACGAAUCUAUUGUAGUAUAGAUCAAUGGUGACGAGUGUCGAUCCCACGAGGAGGUGGAUUUUAAUUGUGUAUAGAAUUAAUUUUGCAAAUGGUUGAUUGGAUUUGUGGUGGAAAUGAUUUGGAAUAUGCUAAAACUUAAAUUAAAAUGGCGAGAAUAAAUUCUAAAAUUGGAAUUGAAAUUGCGAGAAUAAAGUUGAAGAGAAUUCUAUUGAAAUGACGUACUUGGGUAUCUGGAUCCGUAUCAACAUGCAUCAUGGGCUAAAUAAUGCGUAUUAAUGCCAAUUAAAUCAUGAGGGGGGAAUCCACACCUCAUGAACCACGCUCUAAUCAAUAUGGUGCUAAGGGCUUAUCGUGCCAAAUAAUAAUAACCUUGUACUAGAGAGCCGGUGUAACCAAGGCGGUACUAGACAAGAUUAGUAUUAUUUGUCGACGAGAAGUCAAAACAUCCACAAAAACUAGAGGGGAAGAGAAAAUAAAUUUACCAAAUAAAGCCCAUGACACAUGUUGAGACUUCACCUUCAACCCAAGCUUAAAAGAAAAUUAGCUACUCAUAAUUGAACUAAGGGCAAAAUGGGAAUUUAUUAAAAUACGAAGAAAAUACAAGAUAGAGAGGGAAUUACAGAAAAUGGAUCCCAAAAAUGGAUUCAGAGAUAUCAAAUUAGGGGGGGAGGCCCCCUUUUUAUAGAUACAUGGAGUAAAUCAUGGCAAUCGGAUUAAAAACAGUUUGGACGCUCAGGAUUGCGCCACGUCAUCAGUCAACAGUCCACGGUUUGACCACGCGGAUGAACAGUAAUACGGUUUGACCCAUAUGAACAGUACGCGGUUUGACCCGGAUGAACAGUAACGCGGUUUGGUUGAAAAUAAUCCUGUGUGAUGCAUGCACCGUACGCGAGAUUUUUUGUCCACUGAUAUGCUGCCACGUCACCAUCAACAGUACAUAAGAAUUUUAGUCCAACAGGAUCGUGACACCUCAUCAGUCAAUGCCACAUCAUCGAUCCGUCUAUGUGAGCAGUGCCGUGAACAGUAACAUAUACAGUACCGUAUACGUGAAUAGUACCGUACAUGUGAAUAGUGCUAUUUUUCCUUUUAUGCUCCUCCUAAGGUUUUCGACCGUCCUGAGUUCAAAAGUGAUGUCCGUUUUACCGUCUGAUCUCUCCUUUAUUGUGAAAUCACUAUAAUACCACUAAAAUACAUAAAAUACUUAAUUAAAAUAAAACACAUGUAAUUAAAUCACAAGAAGGUUAAAUACAUAAAAGUAAGGGUUGUUAGUAAGACUUGAAAUGUAAAAUGAUGGUUUUCUCCUUUAUAAAUAUGCAUUUUCUAACACUCAACAGCAGUAACCACGAUGUGCAGUAACAUCAAACGAAGCACCCGAAUCAAUCACCCAAUUACUGGUAUGGCAAGUAAGAUUUAUAGAGCUAUCAUUAUAAGCAAUGCCCAUAUCACCAUUAAUUACGGCUGUAACAUUCUCUUUGUCAUUUUUCUGACCAUCGCCUUUUUCUUUCGCAUGUUCUCUUUUCCACAAUUUACACUACCUUUUUACAUGGCCCAUUUUCUGACAAUGAAAGCACUUAGCUUCUCCUAUGGGACUUAGAUCUUCCUCCAGGGUUAUCAUUAUUCUGAUGACGGAAAUUUCUGCUUCGACUUCUCCCCCGUCUUUUUUGGUUUUCUGAAACAAGUGUAGCUGACUCAGAGGGAACUACUUCAGCAUUCUUUCUUCGAGAUUCUUCAUUCCGCAGUCUAUCUGUAACCAUAUCCAAGUUUAAUUUACCAUUCGGUGCCGAAUUAUUCACUGACACCACUAAUGUCUCCCAACUAUCAGGUAAAGAACUAAGCAACAACAAUGCUUGUAACUCGUCAUCUAGAAUAAUCUUCAUAGUAGUCAACUGAUCAACCAAACCCUGAAACUCACUAGUGUGUUCAGUAAUACUGUGGCCUUUUUUAUAUUUCAAGUUAACAAGCCUUUUCAUUAGAUUGACUUUAUUUUGUGCUGUUGGCUGCUCAUAAAUUAUUUCUAAUUUUCUCCAAAGAACAUCAGCCUUGGAUUCCUUCGCGACAUGAUGGUACACACUCUGAUCAAUCCAUGACCUAAUAGUGCCCACGGCUUUCUGGUUCAAUUGAGCCCAUUUCUUAUCAUCUAUAUCAACAAGUUUAACUUCAUCACCUUCAAUAGGUUCAUGUAAGUCUUUCAUGUAGAGCAAAUCUUUCAUUCUAGACUUCCAAAUAUCAUAAUUCCACGACUCAAUUUAAUCAUGAACGCCAAAGACUCCUCUAUUUCAACCACAUAAGUAAUAAAAACACACAACCUGGCUCUGAUACCACUCUAUUGGGAAAACGACUACCACAAACAGCUACAAAUUAAGCGAAAAUAAAAUUCUUUUCCUCUUUGUGUGAUUAAAAUAGGAUGUGCACCAUAAACAAAUAAGCAGAAAAAUUAAUCAAUAAAUUCAAAGCAAAAAUCAACCACAAGAGACACCGAUUUUAACGUGGAAAAUUCAAAUCGGGAAAAACCAUGGGACAAUAGUCCGAUAUAAAUUUCCACUAUAUUAAUGGGAUUACAGUACAAAUUCUUCUCCAGAUAACACUAGAGGUUAACAACAUCAAGAUUUUCAACAAUCUUGGCUUACAAUAAUAGAUCUAAAAUCUAUUUCUUCAAUAAGUGAGUAUCUCCAAUAACAGCUAAUGAGAGAAUAAAAUAUAGAUCAACACGAGUAGAAAUGUAAAGGGCGAUGUCAGGAACUUAUCCUCCAAAUUUGGGAGAAAUCAAAGCUAAAAUUAUUUUUCGAUCGUUGAAUCAAAGAUUGAAAACCCAAAGAAAAAAAAUAUCUUUUUCUCUCGCAACGUCUUCUCACUUGCGCGAAAUGGCUACAUCUCUCGCGAUUAUUCACUUAUUUCCUUUAUAUUUUUUUUGGUUAAUUUCAUCCAAGUCUAAAAUUUUACAAUAAUUACACAUCAAGCAAAUUAUUUUGGACUUUGGGCUUUUGGUCCACUGAAGUGAGAUGGACCCUACAGAAGCAAUAAUCAGUGCAAGAAAAUUAAGUGAAGUUCCAGAGAUGAUGGCAGAUCUAAACCCUUUUGUAAAACUCCAAUAUCUUGGCCUCCGAAUUCUACCAAAAUUAAAAAAGCGUCUAUUGGAAUGUGUUGCCCUCUCCACAUGUCAGGGAAAUUUUUGUAUCUGAAUGCCCAAUUCUCAUUAGAGGAGAGGAACACUGGUGGAAUAAGUUGCAAUGGGAGGAUGAAGCAACCUAUAAUGCUUUUCUUCCUUGUUUUGGAUCCAUUUGAUGGGCAUCAACAUGGAUUAAUAUUUUGCAGCGAACCAAUUUGAAUAAAACUUACGGUAAGUGCUUUUCCAUUUAUUGCAUAUUUAUAUCUAAUUUUUGUUUUCCUUUAUGGUUAAAUUUUGCCCUGUAUAUGUUGUUGUACGGUGACAUUCUUGAAUCAAUUAUUAAUUUUUUUAAUUCUCGUCUCACAACCACCCUUUUGAUCAUGAGGAUAUGCCGAUAUCAAAGAGUCAUAAUUUGGGAUACAAAUGUAAGAAUUAGGCAGAUGACAUGUUGUUUCAAAGCUUUCGAAGAAGGACUAAAUAUGUCAUUGAAAGCCUCCAAUUUUGCGACUGAUUUUUUUUUAAUUUGUUAUUUUUAUAGGUGGCAAAAAUACCCGUCUGAUUUGGACUCGGCUGAUUUGGGCCGGGUACGGAGUAUGAAGCCGGGUUGGUCCUGGGCAUCACUUGAAACUCGGAACCUGGAUUUUAUUAAAAAAUAUUAUAAAUAUAUAUUAUUUUAAAUAUCUAUAUUUAUUAGACUCAUCUAUUACAUAUAUCUAAUUUCAUUGAAAUAAAUUUAAAAAUUAUAAAAUUACCAAUAUAUAUAUAUAUAUAUAAUAUUAAAAAAGUAUAAAAUCUGAGUCCUCAGAUUAAAACCCAGUUCAAGUGUCUAAAAAAUACAUGUGGACCGAGUUUGAACAUUGCGAUACCCAGACCCAAACUUGGGUUUUGCCAACCCUAGUCUUUUAAAUUGCUUGAUUGUAAUGUUUUAGUAUAGAAAAAUGAUAGCCAAGACAACAAUAAGAGGGCACAUUGUGCAUGCACAAUAGUGGAUAAUUUCGGCAUUCCAAAUCCAAUUAGGGUGGAUAACCUUUUAUUAGUAUUAACCUUCUCUCGUAUUCAAGUAAUGUAAAAUAUGCUUAGAAGCUGUGGAUCCCCCUUUAUAAGUGUUGGGCUUAUGCCAAACUCGAUUGAUGUGGGAUGCCUUUAUAGGCAUCAAGUUUUCUCCCAUACACUUUAUGUUAAAAAUAAUAAUGAUAAAAUAAAUCCAUUUUAAAAUAGACUUCUUUUUCUUUUCUAUAUAAACAAACUCAUUCUUCAAAUCAGUUGUGGGUGGAAGGAGUGAGUAGAGAAGAACUGGGCCCCUUUCGUUCCUCUAAAAACCUCACCAAACCUCUCUUGUAAGCUUCUCAGUGUCCCUCUCAAUAUUUCUUAUGAUCUCGUUUUUUAUUGAAUCACUUCUUUUGUGUGCUGCAUUUUUGUGUGUCGUAUUUGGGUUUAUCUUAUCUGGAAUCCUGUUAUGAUUGAUGGAACAAGUAAUCGAUUUUUGGUUUAUUUGGAAUGGAAUUAUGGUUUAUUUGGAAUGGAAUUAUCUGGGUGUAACGGAUUAAAUUAUGACAUUGGGGAGAAGGCACUAAGGGGUUUGCUUGACACAUUUGGUUCUGUGUUUACUCUGAAAGAAAUAGCUUUUGCUUAUCGUAAUGCAAGGCGAAAUCCCGAUUUGGGUGGUGAAUUUCUCUAUCCCAAUUGGGCUGGUGAAUUUCUCUGUGACAAAUAGGCAAACAGCUCAACCUCUUUUAUCUAUCUUCUACUAGUGAGGCAAGGGAUAAAAAGUCUUCAAAAUCAUCAAAUAGUAACAUCUUCGAGAAUUCAUUUUAUGCAAAUGGAAAAUCUAGACCUUCUAAGACAAAAUGGCGUCCAGUAUCAAGAGGUACCGUUUCAAGUUUUCUUGGUAAAAAUUAUGUAAACUUGCACAGCCAGCUAAUGGCACUUUUCUAGUUUUCUGGCAUCAAAGCCAUUGAAGUCGUAUCCAAAGGAGUUUCCCAUGUCUGCACUUUGUGGAGAAGGAACUAAACAAAAACAAUCAAAGGAUGACCAUUUGCAGAAGGAUGUGGAAGAUUUUCUGUUUAAAUUGCUAGGAGAAGUGUUCCAGCUGAAUAGGGAUGUGAUUCGGGAAGUUCCAGUAAUGUCUUAAAUAUGUUGAUGCCAAUUUAAUAUAUAUUGUCAUUUUCAAUGUUCUUUCUUUCUUUCUUUAUCUUCUUUUCUUCUACUUCUUCUUCUUUUUCUUUUCGUGUGCAUGUGAUCACUAAUUUGUUAUUAUACUUAACUUGCAGGUAGUUGUGGAUAUGAUAUGCAAAAGGUAAGGACUAUAUCUUCCUGAUAGAGGCCUCUGCUUUUUCCCUUUUAUGUAAUUUAGUAAAUCUCAUCUCCCUUUGUGAUUGUUAUAUCAUAUCAAAGUCAAGUCUUAAAUACUGCUGUCAUAUGUUAAGGUUCAACUUGCAUUUUGACUAACAUCCAUUUGUUGUCGCUUCCAAAAGUGAGAAUGAGAUACUUCGGUUAAUUUCAGUAGUUGAACCCAAUCGAGUACUUUAUCUAGAUCUUCAUGGUUCAAAGGCCUGAAACUUGCCCGUGAUUGUAAAAUGAUAUUAUGUGCUUUUAAUGCAAUAGGGGGAACAAGGUGUCAAAGGAAUUAGCAGAUUCUAUGGCAGAUUCUAUGCCUGUACAACUGUAACAAUUAUCCUUAUGAUUGUAAAUCUUAUAUGUUUUCCUUAUUUAGGAUAUACUAGCUGUAGGCUAUUUUAGAUAGUUAUGUAUAUGAUAGUUUAGCUAUGUUUAGGGCUAAACAUAAGCUUGUAUUCAUAGUAUAUAAAGGGAAUUCUCUUCUAAGAGAAAGCAUAACUUUUGCUCAAAAUUCUCUGAGUUUAUCAUGGUAUCAGAGCCUCAGUUCUGAAUUCUCUUCUUCCUAGUUCAUUCCCUUGUUCUUAGUUAUUCUUUUUUUUAUCAAGUUAUCUCAGCCUCAUGUCUUCAGACAAGUAUGAUGCUUUUUUGAUCCGUUUUAAUGGCACAAACUACUCAGCCUGGGCAUUUCAUUUCGAGAUAUUUGUCAAAGGCAAAGAUCUAUGGGGACAAGUUGAUGGCAGGAAACCUGCCCCUGAUAAAGAGAUAGACCAGGAUGGGUACGCCAAGUGGGAAGUCAAGGAUGCUCAAAUCAUGGCAUGGAUUCUAGGAUCUGUGGAAUCCAACUUCAUCUUGAAUCUUCGACCCUUCAAGACUGCAGCAGGAAUGUGGAAUCAUCUAAAGAAACUCUACAGUCACACCAACACUGCUCGUUGAUUUCAGCUUGAACAUGAGCUAGCCAAUCUCCAACAAGGCAGUCUCUCUAUUUCUGAUUUUUAUUCUAUCUUUAUGAUUAUUUGGGCUGAAUAUACUGAUAUAAUCUAUGCUACCUUACCUCCGAAGGUCUUAGUUUUGUUCAAUCUGUACAUGAAACUACUAAGAGAGAUCAAUUUAUGAUAAAACUGAUAUAUGAAUUUGAAAGCACUAGGUCCAAUCUUAUGAAUUGAGAAUCUGUCCCUUCCUUGGAUACAUGCCUCAAUGACUUAUUUCAUGAGGAGCAACGACUUCUUACUCAAAAUACCAUGAAACAAAAAAAAUCUACUUCUGUUCCUAUGGCUUAUGCAGCUCAAGGCAAGCCAAAAGGUAAGGACAUCAGUAUAGUUCAAUGUUUUUGUUGCAAAGGAUUUGGACAUUACGCUUCAAAUUGUUCAAAAAAAUUAUGCAACUAUUGCAAAAAAGAUGGACAUAUCAUUAAGGAAUGCCUUACUCGACCCCCCAAGAAAUCUGAAACAACAUAUGCUACCUCAGUUGGUUCUUCUAGUGAUGGUAGUUCUGUGGAUACAGCACAUUUGACCCAAAGUGCUCCUGUUCCUGUUCAAUCUGUGACCCCAUAAAUGAUUCAACAAAUGAUCAUUAUUGUAUUCUCCUCAUUAGGACUCUCAGGUAAAUCACCCACUAGAUCUCCUUGGUACUUUGAUUCUGGGGCUUCCCAUCACAUGACAAACAAUGCUAAAUUCUUCACCAAUGUAAGUAAAUACCUUAGAAAUCUAAAAAUUCAUACAGCUGAUGGCAACUCUUUACCUAUCACAGCCACUAGUGAUGUUUCUUUUUCUAUAACCAAUGUCUUUGUCUCUCCUGGUCUUCCUACUAAUCUUGUUUCAAUCGGUCAGUUAGUUGACAAUAAUUGUAAAGUAGAAUUCUCUAAAUCUAGUUGUGUUGUGCAGGAUCAGCAGUCAGGGAAGAUGAUUGCCAGGGGGCCUAAAAUAUGACGUCUUUUCCCUCUCCAAUUUGCUAAGUCUCCAUGUUUCUCUUUGCCUAUCAUCACUUGCAAUUUUACUAAGGUUAAUUAUCGAGCAUGGCAUAAACGUCUAGGACACCUAAACUCUAAUGUAUUUUAUGCUUUGCUAAAUUCUGGUUUACUUGGGAAUAAAAGAUCACCAUCCCUUAGUGUUGUUCAAUUUGAUUGCAAUUCUUGCAAGCUUGGAAAAAGUAAAAUUCUGCCAUUUCCCACUCACACACCGAAUGUUGUCCAGCCUUUUGAUUUGAUACAUAGUGAUGUGUGGGGUAUGGCGCCUGUUACAUCUCAUGCUAAUUACAAGUACUUUGUCACUUUUAUUGAUGACUAUAGUCGCUUCACAUGGAUUUAUUUUCUACAUUCUAAAGAUGAAGUGUUCUCUGUUUUCAAGCUUUUUCAUGCAUAUAUUCAGACCCAAUUUUCUACUAAUAUCAAAAUUCUUUGCUUUGAUAAUGGGGGUGAGUAUAUGUCUCAUUUAUUUUAAGAAUUUUUGCACACCAAUGGUAUAAUUUCUCAAAGAUCUUGUCCUUCAACCCCUCAACAAAAUGGGGUGGCUGAAAGAAAGAACUAUCACCUUCUCGAUGUUGUCUUCAUUUGUACCCUCUCGUUUUUGGUGUGAAGCUUUCUCCACUGUUGUCUAUCUCAUCAACAGAUUGUCCUCUCAUUCCUUGAACCAUGUCUCCCAUUUCUUUCAGUUAUUUGGCCAUACACUAAGUUACUCUCAUCUCCAUACCUUCAGUUGUGUGUGCUAUGUUCAUCUUCCUCCAUAUGAGCGUACAAAACUCACAGCCCAAGCUGUGAAAUGUGCUUUUCUAGGAUAUUUUAUGCACUAAAAAUGUUUUCUUUGUUAUGAUCCAAAUUUGCAUCAUAUAAGGGUUUCUCGAAAUGUGAUUUUCUUUGAAAAUCAGUAUUUCUUUUCCGCAUACCACGACGAUUCUUCGCCUUCAUUUUCUGUUUUGCCAAAGUUUACUAACCCUUCUGCAGAUUCUGCACCUUCUAAACCUAUCAUAGUCUAUCAGCGACGCAAGAAUUUAGUACCUCUCGGGCCCCCUCCAGCAACUUCCCUGAAUGUUGAUCCAGUUCCAGCAACUGCACCUGAACCUUUCAGACAUAGUACUCGGGUUCGUAGACCACCAGAUAGGUAUGGUUUCACCUCUCCAUUAUUUUUGACAGCCACUUUGUCUUCUAUUCUUAUUCCUUCAUCAUAUAAACAGGCAAUAGAGCAUGAAUUUUGGUGAAAAUCUAUUGAAUCAGAACUUCUUGCACUUGAAGAAAACCAAACUUGGGAUAUUGUUUCAUGUCCUCCAUCCGUGAAACCCCUUAGUAGUAAGCUAGUGUUUUCUAUCAAGCUGCGUUUUAAUGAAUCCAUAGAUCGUUACAAGGCUCGGUUGGUGGUUCUUGGCAACAAGCAAGAAUAUGGCCUAGACUACGAUGAGACCUUCGCGCCGGUAGCCAAAAUGACCACUGUUCGAACAAUAUUAGCCCUUGCUGCAUCACAAUCAUGUUCUUUACAUUAAAUGGAUGUAAAGAACGCUUUCCUACAUAGUGAUCUCAAGGAGGAAAUUUACAUGAAACUUCCCCACGGUAUGACUACUUCCUCUCCUAAUGAUGUUUGCAAACUAAAAUGUUCGUUGUAUGGGUUGAAGCAAGCACCGCGAGUAUGGUUUGAGAAGUUUCGAUCAACUCUUUUCAGUUUUUCAUUCACUCAAAGUCAGUAUGACUCCUCCUUUUUUUUUUCCAACAGACAUCUAAGGGCAUCAUUGUUCUCCUUAUUUAUGUGGAUGACAUCGUUAUCACUGGUUCUGAUAUGGAGGCAAUUUCUAAACUUCAGAAUUUGUUGCACUCUAUUUUUCACAUGAAAGACCUCGGUCAACUCACCUAUUUUUUGGGGUUAGAGGUGCAUUAUCUGCCUCAAGGUAUCUUCUUGAAUCAACACAAGUAUAUUCAGGAUUUAAUUUAAUUAGCUGGACUUAUGGACAAAAAUUCUGUUGACACCCCAGUGGAACUUAAUGUGAAAUAUCGACAAGACGAAAGGGAACUACUUCAAGAUCCUACUUAUCUAUCUAACUAUCACCCGCCCAGACAUCUCUUAUGCUGUCCACACCGUUAGCAAGUUCAUGCAAGCCCUUCGACAUCUCCACGUAUCCACAGUCCGCCGCAUCAUUAGAUAUAUUCUUGGCACUCUUAACUGCAGUUUAUUCUUCCCUACUGGUUCUUCACUCCAACUACAAGCCUACAAUGACGCAGAUUGGGCUAGCUGCCCGGACACGAGAAAAUCUACUUUGGGAUGGUGCAUGUUUCUUGGUGAUGCCCUUAGCUCUUGGAAAUGCAAAAAGCAAGACUCAGUCUCCAAAUAAUCCACUGAGGCAGAAUACCGCGCCAUGUCUGUAGCCUGCUCCAAGAUCAUUUGGUCGCGUGGUCUCUUAACAGAGCUUGGUUUCUCACAACAUCAACCUACUCCCCUACAUGCUGACAACACAAGUGCCAUCCAAAUUGUAGCCAACCCUGUCUACCAUGAGCGCAUGAAACACAUAGAGGUUGACUGCCACUCUAUUCGAGAGGCCUAUGACCACCAAGUUAUCACCCUCCUGCAUAUCUCCACUACUCUACUGAUUACGAAUAUCUUCACCAAAUCCAUGACAUGUCAGCGACAUAACGUUCUUGUUAGCAAAUUGAUGCUUGUAGAUUUACCAGCAUCAAUUUGAGGGGGGAUGUCAAAGGAAUUAGUAGAUCUUAUGGCAAAUUCUAUGCCUGUACAGCUGUAACAAUUAUCUUUAUGGUUGUAAAUCUUAUAUUUUUUCCUUAUUUAAGAUAUACUAGCUGUAGGCUAUUUUAGAUAGUUAUGUAUAUGGUAGUUUAGCCAUGUUUAUGGCUAAACAUAAGCUCGUAUUCAUAGUAUAUAAAGGGAAUUCUCCUCCAAGAGAAAGCAUAUGAAAGAAACUUAGUUCUAUAUUGUUUGGUAGGCUAGAAAAUGAAAGAAAAUAAAAGAAAAGCUUUGCAAAGAAAACUGUUAGAUCCUUUUAUUAUACCAAACUUACAGUUUAAUGACUAAAAAUUGAUAUUUAUAUUGAGCUACAAACUCUUCACACACACACACGAGAUUGUUGCAACACAUAACCAAUUGCUGUAUAACUAACUUGACACAUCAGCUCAACCAGCUAACUAACUUUGACAGGUCAGCUUAAUGAUUUGAUCUGAUACAACCAGCUACACAGCAACAUCAUGCUCUGCUCCAGCUUCAUCUAAUUCACUAACAACUUUUGCUCAAAAUUCUCUUAGUUUAUCACAGGGAAGUAUAGCUUUGGAAAAGGCCGGAUCAAUAACUAUGGAGAGAUUUAUAAGUGAUAAAAAUUCCCGUAACCCGCUGUCAAGAAAAUUUCACAUAGUUAAAGACGCCAUUUUGUUUCAGCCAAAAAUGUUUGUUUAAUCUGCCAAAAAUGUUUGUUUCGAUUAAAGACUUGAACCGUUUUCAUUUAACCUGAUUGUGAUGCUUUAUGUUAUGUAUGUUCCUCUCAAUCAAGAAAAGUUGAGGUUCAUGAUUUUAUAUUUCUAUCUUGUAACUUGCAAUAAUAACUGGUCUUCUUGUUUUUGUAGCUUGAUAACAUGAAUUUUCCUUCUCAAGUUAAUUUGAUCAAUAAAGUAAUUCUUCAAAGAAAAUAUGCCCAUUCUAUAAUCAUUUUCUUAGCUAAUAUGUUUUUUUUUUGUUUACUCUUCAGAGUGUGUCGAAACUAAUUGAUUGCUCGGCAGAGACUUUGGGUGACAAGUCAAAAUUUCAUGGUAAAUCCUCUGAAAAGGUAUGCAUAAUUCCUGAAUAUUAAAUAACCAAUGGUCAUAGUUUUUGUACACGACUCUUUUUGUGGAGAUCGUUAAAAGUGGUUGAUGAUCCAUUUGUAAUUUCAUAGAGGGAUCAUCAAUUCCUUUUCUUUUCUGUGGCUAGGCAUCACUUUCGUGCCAAAGUAAGGAAAUCUAUUUUAGGUAAUGUAAAAAACAAUGGUAGGAUGUAAUAGCUUAUUAUGCACUGACAAUAACUUUUUGUAUAAUUGUCAGUUUAAGGAAUACAAGAGGAACUCUGUUGACAAAUUCAUCCAAGAUAGAUGCUAAAAUUAUUUAUGCAUGCCAGUUGCCUUAACUAAUUUUUCUUAACACUUGUAUUGAACAGGAAAUGAGUAUGCAAUUUGUGUACGUGCCAUUGUGGAGAAUUUGGAUAUUCUUAUUUAAGUAAGAAGAAGAGUAUUUGCCUCAUCUUUAAACAAUGAAUCUUUGAGAAAUGAGGAGUGGGUGAUUGGAAGUGUCUUCAUGUAAAUGUUCAUUUACUUGUAUUUUGAACUAUUAUGAGAAUCUUUUAUAUGCCAAAUUAGUAAUACAAAUGUUCAGAUGAUUUUUCCUGUUGAUCACGCGUUUGUGUCUGCAGACAACCAUUGUAUAUCACUUUAUUCUGAUGUGCAAUUAUGUAUAGAUUAGAAGAAAAGAAAUAAUAGUCUUAUAUUAUUGUUUGGUUCAUGAUUAUUAAACGAUUAUGGCUUCAAAAAAUCUACAAAUUCCUUCUGUUCAUAUAUGAAUGUGCCAAGUUUGCUAUAUCUUAGAUUGCCUUCUUCCAAGAUAACAAGUUCAUAUGUUUUUUAAUCCUCUUCAAUCACAGUUGAAUUUUAAGUGUUAAGAUUUGUUAUUAAUACCUGGUUCCCUGUUAUUAUGAUUUUUAUUAUGAUUUCAUAAACAGUGUACGGACAUGUGCUCUACUUUUAAAGGGCCUCCACGUGAAAGAAAAUUGCAACAAUUGAAUUCUUCCGGAGGGUAUGGCAUUUAAUUUAUUUUCUCAACUUCUUGUAAGACUAAUAUAUUUCCUUCAGUAGGCAGGGCAUGUUGGGAAGGGCUUUUAUUGAAAGAAUUCUGAUAUUUCUUAGACUUUGUUUUGGAAGGGAGGUGGAGGGAUUUCUCAUCCAUAUAUGGUUACUUGAUUAGCUUUUGACUGUAUUGCCUCAGUCGUGCAAAGGAAGAUCCAAAUACUAAUGAAUGAGAAUUGGUUAGAGACCCAAAAGACAGAAAUGAACUACAGAAGGAAGUUUUUGCUGCUUUAUUUAGUGUUCCUGAGAACUCUGAUGAAGAUGGAGUGGAGGUCCAAAGCAUUAAGAAAGGUGGUGAGUGAACCGCCAGAGGAAUUGGUACCAGAAUACAAAGCUAAUGUGGUGCAUUUGCAGCAAGAUAACCAGACUAGUAUGUGCUCUUGUAUUAACUAUAUUGACUGGAUUUGUGAGCAUGUUCAUUUUUGUGUGUAUAAUCACUUUUGUAUUUAUGCAUAUUAAUGUUAGUAGGAUUCUUGAUUUCCUCCACUUACUGGAGAACUAGUGGAAAGCUUUAUAGUGAAAUAUCUGCAAUAACUAAUGGAAACCAUGAUUUGAAUAUUUUCUCUCACCUGGAGAGCUUUGUAACAGAUGUACUUUGUGGCUAUGGAAUACUAGAGAUUCUGCAAUAACUAAUGGAAACUCUGAUAUGAAUAUUUUCUCUCACCUGCAGAACUUUGUAACAGAUACACUUUGUGGCUCUGGAAUGUCUAAAGAUUUUGUCUGCUUCAGUUAGAUCAAAUAUCUUUUAGUUACCUACAUUAUGGAAAAGAUAGAGUUCUCUGAAUCUGAAAGACUGAAACAUUUUGCAUAUUUCGUGAAAGGAAAAUAUCUGUAGAUACUAGUUCAUGCAUUGAGGUAACAUCAAUGUUAAAGAAAAACAGCAAUAACUUAUUAUAUAGAAUUAGGUUCACUUGCUUUAAAUGCUGGUCUGGUCAACCAUAUGAACCUGUAAGUGUAUCUGCAGAAAUAUAUAUGGGGGGACAAACUAGCUAAAUUUUCCUCUCAUUUCUGGCUUUGGUCAUUUUUUCCCCUUAUUUUUCAGCUUUCCUUCUCCUGAAGUAUGUUAACAAUUGCAGAUAAUGACGAAGAGGACAGCUUGCAGGCUCUUCGUGGAGCUGUGAUGGAAUAUAGGGGCACAAUGAAAGAACAUUUUAAAGCUGUAGGUUCUUUUUCUCCUGUCAUUUAUAUUUGCUCACACAUUUUUCAUAUGCUCCAAGCAUGCAAGUUUGUAUGUGUCUUUGCCUUUUAAGUUUUAAAAACCAUAAGGUAAGAAUACAGUUCCUCGUCAGGUUAUUGAUGCAUUCACUCCGGAGGAUCAUGUUCGAGCAGGAAAACUUCUAGAACAGGCAAGGUUUUCCAUCUACAGCCAUCUAUUGACAACAGAUACAUUUUCAUUCAGCAGACACUGUUAGCAUUCAAGAUGCUGGCAGAUUCACUUGAUUCUUAUUAGUUUGUUUAGUGGUAAAGCAUAUAACCUGUUUUUCAAAGCCAAGUUGUGCUAUUGAUUAUGUUAACUUUAUUGUUCACAUAAAGUGAUAUGGAGGAAAUAAUCAUUGUAGGAAAAUUAGGUGAAGAGGUGAUGUCAAAUCUUGAACCUGUUACAAAACUCCAAGUUCUUUACUUGAAGAAGCUACCAAAUUUGAACAGGGUCCACUGGAAGGCCUUGCCAUUCCCUGAUGCCUGCAGAAUUUUUGUAUUUAAAUGCCCAGAGCUUAAGAAGCUGCCACCGGAUCUUGAAAGGGCAGGCCAAGGUAAAAUUCUUAUCAAGGGAAAGGAAGAUUGGUGGAAACAACUUCAAUCGGAGGAUCAAGUAACUCAGAAUGCAUUGCUUCUAUUUUUAAAAUCAACUGACAAGUGAUUGAAGGGGGCAUCAUCAACAUCAUCAACAUGGAUGGAGAGAUUCAGGAGCAGAUCCGCAGGGUUUAUUACGACCUGUGGUGGUUGCUUUUUUGUGACUUGUUCCCUUUCAUUUUUUCACUUCCUGUCAUAUUAUCAUUUCUUUGUCUCUGUUUCUAUUGCUGAUGUUGCUGCAUGCUUGCAGCCCUUGACAAAGUUAGCAAUGCAAUAUAGAUUUUGAAAUUAAAUUUUGUAUGUUCGGGACAGUCACAAAGUACUACUUGUUCUAUAUGGGGGUGAUGUGAAUCAACUUUUCAAUUAUAUAUUCUGUGGUAAUUGUGAAUUCAAUUUCAUUUGUCUCCUGCAAAUUAUGAAGAAAGUGCAGAGUUAGAAUAUCGAAAAGUUCACUGGCAAAUACUUUGUAAAAGCUUCGGAGUGAAACAGGGAAUGCACUUGCAACUAAGGACAAAUUGGUGGCCAGCUAAUGCAUUCAUUUUAUGUACAUUCAUCUUUUUAAUUAUUGAAGAUAAGUGGUUCGUUGCUUUUGUUGUAGAAAAAAUUCAGACGACCUCAAUUGUGAGAUGAAAAUAUUUAAAAUAUCUCUUAAAUUAUUAUAAACUUUAAUUUAUCUUAAUUUUAUUUAAAAGAUAAAAGAAAAAUGUGGUAUAUGGGUAAAAAUUUUUUUAUCUUGUUAAUAAAAUGAAAUAAAUUAAAAUUUACAAUAAUUUAAAGUAUUUUAAAAUUAUUAUUUCAUAAGAGAUUAAUAUGAAAUUAAUCCUUUUUACUUUUUGAAUGUGAAAGGACAAGAAAAGAGAAAGCUAGUGUCACUGCUUUUUAUUUUAUUUGAAAUCGGAGUUAUCCCAUAUACUUUACUACUUUAGCUCUAACAUUACAAUGUUUUUAGGCUACACUUUUAUUUUUCUUUUUCCCCCUUUUUUUAUACAUGCAUGUGGAUUACUUUUCUCUAAGCUCCUUAAUAUUUAAGACAAAUCAUAAAAGCAAUUGAAGCAUAACAAGAUGAUCAAAACAUUUAACCGAAAAAAAAAGAAAUAAAACAUUGAAAAUGGAGAUGUUGAUUAAUUUAGAAGAGAUGCAAGCAAAAAAUAUUCCCAAAAAAAAAAAAAAAAAAAGCAACGUUAGUUCAUCCAUGUCUGUCAAUGCGUUUUUUAUGGUUUUUUUUUUCCAGUUGUUUGUUGUAAUAGAUUAAUUGUAAAUUGAUAUAAACUUGAUGUUGUAAUAUGUUCGCUUUUGUGGAAAUAAAUUUCAAUAUUCAAGAUUAUUCAAGUCUUAUCUAGUAUGUGUUCGGUUGUGUUGUCGAUAAUUUUACAUUCUAAUAAGUUUUCACCUAAAAUAUUAGCAUGAGUAGUAGUCCUUAAACCUUUGGUCAAAAUUAUUGUUAUUGUUUCUUUUAGAGGAAAUUUUUUUAUUAAAGCCUCGUUAACACUAUUCCUUAUUAAGAUUAUAAGUUAGUGUCGGUGCAGGAUUUGCAGCGACAAAUCUUGUCUAGCCACGUGUCAAAAUACAAAUAAAUCAAGGGAAAGCACAUGACAUGGAUUAGGAUCCAAUAAAAUUUAAAUCCCAAGGAAAAGGACAACUGUAUCCUAAAGUUUCAAUAAGAGAUACUGGGAUAUCUUUUGACUAAUGUUAUUUUUUGGCUUUAUUAAUAAAAAGAUCCAAUAGUUUAUAACAAAUAAAAAUAUAGUAUUAAGCUAAAUGUGAUAAUUUACACAUUUUACAUAAUUUCAAUAAAAAUUUUUUUAAUGUUUUACAAUCUAUCAGACAUAUUUUAUUAAAUUAAUAAGAAUUUUCUUAUAAAUAGCAACAUAAUAUUAAAAUAAAUUUAUAAAAAUUUAAAUGUAAAAUAAUUUUAGUAUAAUUAAUACGCGGGAUAUAUUUUGUAAAUUAUAAAAUUACUUAACCCAAUGAUUUUUAAAAAUCUUUAAAAUAAAUAAAAAUAAAUUAUUCACAUUUUGAUGUAAAUAUUUAAAACAUUUUUAUACAUUAGUCCACAAUUAUUUAUGUUAUAUUUGUAUUUAUUAGAAAUUUUGAAAGUCAAAUGUUUUUUACCUCUAUGUUAUUAGAAUUAUUGCACACAGAGAAAGAGCCAUAUAUGCUUUAUAACUUUAAAAUCGAUUUGUUUUAUAGCUGGGAAUAGAGAUGAUCAUUAUUAUAAGGAUUUUUUAAAAAAAGAUAAAGAAUAUUAAUGAUUAGCGAAAUCUCUAUGGAAAUUGAAUUUAGUAAGAAAAAAUUGAGCUGAUUUUAGUGGUAUAGUAAUAUUUUAUAUAGAGAAAAGUAAAAGCUGCACCCAAGGUUAAGGGAAAUGGUCAAAAUUCUUUUUUAAUCAUAAUACCCUUUUUCCUAGAUAAUUUAAAAAUUUUACUCUAAUAGUUUAUAAUAAAUAAAAACAUAUAAUCCUAAAAUAAAUAAAAUGAUAUAUAUUUUAAAAUAAUCUCAAUAUUUAAAAUAUAUUUUAACAUUUUAUAAUCUAUUAGAUAUAUUUUAUUAUAUUAAAGUAAAUUUUAUAAUAAAUACAAAACAUACUAUUAAAAUAGAUAUAAAAAUUUUAAAGUAUUUUGAAUAUUAUAUAAAAUAACUUUAAUAUUGUUAAUGCAUGAGAUGCAUUUUAUUAAUUAAAAAUUCUAUGUAACCCAAAGAUUUAUUUAUAAUAAAUUAAUAAUCAUAUUUUUGAAAUUAUUUUAAAUAUUAAAAAAUAUUUUAAUAUUACUAACUAUUAGAUAGACUAAACUAUUUAUUUUAUUUUCUAUUUAUUAUAAAAUUUCAAAGUUAAUCUUUUUAACUACUAUUCAAAAGAUGUUAUGAUAAAAACAGAAUUUUUGUGUUUUUAUUGAAAAUUUGGAGUUUACAUCUAUUUUUUCAAAUAUUCAGGGUGUAACUGUUUUUUCCCUUUUAUAUAUACGAACGGUGGUGAGAAAGUUUGAUUUAACGUUAUUUAUUUAAAUAAAAUCUCAGUUAAAAAUGUACAGAGAAGAAAUUUCGGUUGGUAUUUUAGUCUUGGUAAUCUCUAUAUUAUAUGCAUAUAAGAUACAUCAUUCUCACAUGAAUAGUAUAUGUGUGAGAUCCAUAUAUUAUUCAUGUGAGGGAGAUGUAUCUUAAUAAGAUAGAGGGAUCCGUUAGUCUUUUACCAAUCAUCACGAUUAGGCCUUGGCCUUGAAACAUUAAUUGUUUCACUUUUAGCGCUAGUGGCGUUGAAAGUUGUCAAGAAAAAGCAAGACCAUAUUCCACAAAAGCAAAAGUAACGUAGGCUCUUUUAUUAAAGGCAAAGUAUAAAGUAGUCAAGAAUCGAAUAUCCUGUCGUCUACUCUUUUUUAAAUUCUUCUUUUAUUAUCGUUUAGAAUAGUUUUUGGUAAUUACAAUCAUUAUUCAGAGUUAUUGUUAUCUUCCGGGGCAGUCUCUGUUCAUCGAAGUCGUUACCUUUUUUUUAAUGGAUCAGUUCCAGUGGUAAGCAGUAAUUUUCUUAGAACUCGGAUCUUUAAUUCGAGUUUCUGUGUGAAUUAAUAAUAAAAAAUUUUCAUUACACGCAAUUUAAGCUACGAAUUACUUUUUGCAAAGUUGAAUAUGGAAUUGGAGAAAUUAAGUAAUUUAGAAUGUUGGUAAAAAUUGACGAACAUAUCUCCAAUUACAGUAAAACCUCUCUACAGUCAUAACAUUAUAACAAAAUUAAUUUUAUUACUAUGUUGAGGUAAUAUAGGUUUAGUUACAAAAUUAUUGUUUUAAUAUGGUUAGUGUCAAGUGAUAUAAAGGUUAAGUAUGCAGUACAUUAAUAAUUAAAUAAUGAAGUGUCAAAUCUAAUGUAUAUAUAUUAAUGAUAUAGAUAGACAUAGUUUUAAAAAACUAAUUAAUGUAUAUUUAUGUAGUGUUAUGAAUAUGGAAAGUCAAGCCUACACUUUACAUUAUCCUUAAUUUUUUCUCUCAGUUAAAUUCUACAAAUAUUGUACAAUGGUUGGGCAAGAACUCUAAAUUAAGAAUAAAUUAUUGUCACAAAUAAUUUUAGAAAAUAUUUUAUUUCGUCUUAAACCUUUAAUAUAAAUAAACAUAUAUAUAUAUAUAUAUAUAUAUAUAUAUAUAUAUAUGUGUGUGUGUGUGUGUGUGUGUGUGUGUGUGUGUGUGUGUGUGUGUGUGUGUGUGCAUAUUUUGCAACGUAUAGAUAAUUGUUAGUAUAUGGAGACAAGUCUUUUAAGGUAGGACCUAGGAAAAUUUAUAACUUACUACACUGUGGAGUUUUUAUUCCUUUUUAUAAUUGGCUCAUAUUGAUACAUUCUUACACAAAAUAUUACCAUUGACAUAUUUUACUACAAUUAGUUUAGAACAUUUGUUAGGAAAAAAAAGAAAAGAAAAGAAAACAUCCCUUGGAUGUAGCUCUCCUGACUAUUUAAAUCUUUUAAGGAAAAAAAGAAAAAAGAAAAACUGGCACAUUCAAAUCUUGAAGCAAUUACAUUAAAAUCUCUCCAUAAUGAUAGGAAUAAUCUCCAUUUAGUAAUAAAAAAUUUUGUUCGCAAUUUAGGCAGAGUUAUAAAUAAGAAUAAAAUCCUCAUUGUAAUAAGUUAUAUUUAUUAUGGAUCCCAUCCUAAGGAAUUCGUCUCUAUAUAGUAAUAAUUAUUUGCAUAUUAUAAAUAUAUAUGUUGCAUUAGAUUAAAUGAACUUGUCUCCACAUACUACUUAGACAACGAGAGAAAAUUAUUAAAGAGAACACAAAUAUUUAGAUAUUUUUAAGAUUACUUUGCAUAUUUAUAACAAUAAUACAUUGAUAUAUGUAUUAGUUUUUUGAUAUAUUAGAUUUAACAUGCUCUAUUAAUAAAUUAUUAAUACGAUGCAUAUUCAUCUCUAUAUCCUUGCAAUAAAAGUAACUAAGUUAUAACAAUAAUUAUUAAUAAAUUAUUAAUACGUUGCGUACUUCAUCUCUAUAUCCUUACAAUAAAAAUAACUAAGUUAUAAUGAUAAUUUUUGUAACUACAUACUUAUUAGGUUUUAACUACUUCAUAAUAAUAAAUUAGUUUCGUCCUAAUAUUAUAAUUAUGUAGAGUUGUAGUGUAUAGACACACCCAAUUUAAAUAGUAUAUCAAAUAAAAUUGUCCCCACGAAAAAGAAAAAAGGGGUAAAGGAUUCUCAUUUCUUCAAACAUUAGGAUCACGUUUGUACAAGUGCGAUGCCUUUCUUUUGAAGGCAACGUCAGUGGGUACCCAAUAGGACGUGUGUAAAUCUUUCCAAAAUUUCUCUGGUAUAACGGACAGAGAUCAUUACUUUUCUCUUCCAUAUACCACAGCAGCUUCAGUUAAUCAGACUCAAUCAAUUUUCUUGGUUUCUUCGCUUAUCAAAAUUCCAAAAUAUGGGUAGCAUAUUUCAAAUCACAUGCGAUGGUGCUUUUUUCAAUCGUUGCUUGGAUUGCUUUCUUGGAAAAGUAGCAAACACAAGUAAGCUCCAAGAUAACCUUGUUGCCUUGGAGACUGAAUUGGGAAAACUAAUCGCAGCAAAGAACGAUGUGAUGAUGAGGGUUGUCAAUGCUGAACGGCAACACCUGAGAACGCUGGACCAAGUGCAAGUGUGGCUUUCGAGGGUGGAAGCUGUUGAAACUGAAGCUGAUGAAUUGAAAAGACACGGCUCUCAAGAAAUUGACAAAUUAUGUGUUGGAGGCUACUGUUCCAAGAACUGCGCGUCAAGCUACAAGUUCGGGAAACAAGUGGCUAAAAAGCUACGGGAUGUGCAGACUUUAAUCGACGAAGGAGUUUUUGCGGCGGUGGCUACCGAGGUGGUGCCUGAGAGAGCUCCAGAACCUGUAGCAGAUGAAAGACCCACUGAGCCAACAAUAGUAGGCUUGCAAUCACAACUUGAACAAGUUUGGAGAUGUCUUGUAGAAGAAUCAGUGGGAAUCAUUGGCCUAUAUGGUAUGGGCGGUGUUGGUAAAACUACACUAUUGACCCAUAUCAACAAUAAAUUUCUUGAGAGUCCAACCAGUUUUGAUUGUGUGAUUUGGGCCGUAGUUUCAAAGGACUUGCGACUCGAAAAAAUUCAAGAAGAUAUUGGGAAAAAGAUCGGUUUGGUUGAUGAUUCAUGGAAGAGUAAAAGUGUAGAGGAGAAAGCUCUCGACAUCUUCCGGAGUUUAAGAGAGAAGAGAAUUGUAUUGCUGUUAGAUGAUAUAUGGGAGCGGGUUGAUUUAACAAAAGUGGGCAUUCCACUUUCCGGACCAAAAAAUACUACAUCAAAAGUCGUAUUCACAACCCGUUUCGUCGAUGUUUGUGGUAGCAUGGAAGCUGACAAGAAGUUCCAGGUGGCAUGCUUAUCAGAAGAGCAUGCUUGGGAACUGUUUCGAAAAAAAGUUGGGGAAGAAACUCUUGAGAGUGAUCAUGAUAUCGUUGAGCUAGCCCAAACUGUGGCCAAAGAGUGUGGUGGUUUGCCACUCGCACUUAUUACUAUUGGUCGAGCUAUGGCCUUCAAAAAGACAGCCGAGGAGUGGAGUCAUGCAAUUGAUGUGCUAAGAACAUCAGCUUCUGAGUUUGCAGGUUUGGGAGAAAAGGUUUAUCGUCUUUUAAAGUUUAGCUAUGAUAGUUUGCAGAAUGAGACGAUUAGAUCUUGUUUCUUAUAUUGUUGUUUAUAUCCCGAGGAUUAUAGCAUUCUUAAAUGGGACUUGAUUGAUUGUUGGAUUGGUGAGGGAUUCUUAGAGGAAUCUGACAGGUUCAGUGCAGAAAACCAAGGAUACUACAUUGUGGGCACUCUUGUUCAUGCAUGUUUAUUGGAAGAGUUAGAAGAUGAUAAAGUAAAAAUGCAUGACGUUGUUCGUGAUAUGGCUCGAUGGAUAGCUUGUGAAAUUGAGAAGGAGAAGAGAAAAUUUUUGGUUUGUGCAGGUGCUGGAGUAGGAGCGGUGUCAGAUGUUGAAGGAUGGGAAAAUGUGGGAAGAUUGUCAUUGAUGCAAAACCAAAUUGAAAUUCUGUCAGAGGUUCCCACAUGCCCUCAUCUCCUCACUUUAUUUCUUGACUUUAAUUAUAAAUUGGAGAUGAUCACCGAUGGCUUCUUCCAAUGUAUGCCUUCUCUCAAAGUUUUGAAGAUGUCAAACUGUGGGCAUGUCAAAGUUUUGAAAUUACCUUUUGGGAUGUCAAAGCUGGGUUCACUACAACUUCUUGAUAUUUCACAUACCGGCAUAAGAGAGUUACCAGAAGAGUUAAAGUUGUUGGUAAAUCUGAAAUGUUUGAAUUUGAGGUGGACACAUAUGUUAAAUAAAAUUCCACGGCAGCUAAUAUCAAAUUCUUCAUGGUUACGUGUGUUGAGAAUGUUCGCUAUUGGCUUUGAAAAUUCUAAAGAACCAUCAGAAGACAGCGUUUUAAUUGGUGGGGGUGAAGUUUUAGUACAUGAAUUGCUCGGUUUGAAAUAUUUAGAGGUAUUGGAGUUGACCUUGCGAAGUUAUGAUGCUCUCCAAUUUUUUUUGAGCUCAAAUAAGUUAAAAAGUUGUAUUCGAUCUCUUUUCCUCAAUAAGCUGGGAGAUACAAAGUCGAUUCAUGCUACGGCUUUCGCAGAUCUAAAGCAUCUCAAUGAACUAUGCAUUCGUUCGGCAGUGGAGUUGGAAGAAUUGAAGGUUGAUUAUACAGAGAUUGCGCCAAAAAGGUCGGAACCUUUUGUUUUCCGCAGCCUUCACCGUGUUACUAUGGAGCGGUGCCAUAAAUUGAAAGAUUUGACAUUCCUCGUUUUUGCUCCAAGCCUCAAGUCUCUUUCGCUAUACGGUUGCAAUGCUAUAGAAGAAAUAAUCAGCGUUGGAAAAUUUGCUGAGACUCCUGAGGUGAUGGGACAUAUAAGCCCUUUUGGAAAUCUCCAAACGCUUUAUUUAACUGAUUUGCCAGAGUUGAAAAGCAUCUACUGGAAGCCAUUGCCUUUCACUCAUCUCAAAGAAAUGACGGUACAUGGGUGUAAUCAGCUUAAAAAGCUUCCAUUCGAUUCCAACAGUGCAACAGAGCGUAAAUUUGUUAUUCGUGGAUACACACUCUGGUGGAACCGUCUUCAAUGGGAGGAUGAAGCCACUCAAAUUGCUUUUCGUUCCUGUUUCCAAUCUCAUGAAAUAUAAAUUCCUGAGCGGUGGUUGCAAAAUUUGAUUUCUAGUGAGUGCUUUUUUCUUAAACUCUUACAUAUAUUCUCGUCGUUUGCUUCGUGCAACGGACUAGGUUUUUAUUUCAGAUUCGUUUUUUGUCUCCUGCAAAUCACAAUUAAAUGUUGAAUUAUAUGGAGUCAAUGCUUUAUAAAAUUUUCAAGGCACUGCCAUUUCCUUUUUCUUUUUCUUUUUUUUUUUGGGUCGAAUUGAUGCUCUGGCUUUUUACUUUUUGUUGUCACAUUUUGCUCUGUUUUUUCAAGUUGAUGCUUGAAUAGUUGAAUUCAAUUGAUGCUCACAUAAAUUUGUUUAGUUGCCGCAAAAGGAUAUAAUUAGACUGAAGUACACACUUCUAGAAUGAAUACAAAAUGUUAAGUAUACUAGCCCUCUUUACAGAAAAUCAAAUGAAAAUCAAUUUUUUGGGGCUUUGAUUUUCUAUGGUCUAUUAUAUACUCUUUUUAAUAUCUUCUGUUCUAACUAUAACCAAAUCCUUUGUUCAAGGAUUUUUAUUUGGGGUAUUGAUAACUGUCCACCAAAAGAGUGAACACUUGGAUGCUGCUCAAGGAUCUCUAAUCAAUAGCUGGAAGCAACUGAGAAGGCGGUCGCUACUGUUUACAAAGCGAUGCAGUAUUUGCCAUUCAUCUUAAUAAUUAUGAAGCUUUGGUAAAAUUUUCAAACAAAGUUGAACACAUGUUGUUUUGAGAUUUGGUUCAUGAUUUUGGAUGAAUAUCGUUGUUCCGUUUGAGUUGGAUGUGAAUUCAAAAUCUAUAUAUUCUUUGGUUUUCAAUUCUGAACUCAAUUUCUUUUUCUCAAGCAUGUUAUGCAGAAAUGAUUUUUUACUAAAUCAUUUUUGAUGAAUUGUUUAAAUUAAACAAUUGGAAUAAGAAUUGAAAAGGUUUAUCAUAAGCAUGCUAAUAUGAUAAGUUGUUUUAUGAACGAUUAAUUAAUUAAUCAAUUAAUAUUAAAUUAUCUAUUAGUCAAUUAGAUAUGCGUUACAUGUCAUGUUUAAAAAUUAUUUAUUUAUAUUUCAAACAAAUUUGACUGGAUGUUGUGUAGGUAAUACUACAUAAUUUCAAAACAAAAAAAGUAAUAAAAACACGUUAAAUUUUGUUUUUAUGAAGAAAAAUUUAAAAUUUUAUUAAAUAGGUGAAAAUAAUAAAUGGAUUCGUGUAUGGUUUGAGAUUCUUGACAUAAUUAUGAAAUAAGCCGGAUUCGACUUAGUUCAAUUUUGACGCGAUAAGAAGACGACACCACACAAACACACGAUAAGAACCGUUACCUGAGAAGAUUGCCAUCAGGAAUUUUGAAAUUGAUUUCACUACAAUACCUUAAUCUUUCAGAUACUACCAUCACUGAGCUGCCAGAAGAGCUAAAAGCCUUGGUAAAUCUUAAGUGUUUGAACUGUACACAAAUUAUCUCUCUACAAUUCAAAAACAACUAAUUUGUUACUUUUUCAAUGCUACAUGUUCUGCGAAUAUUGAGUUGUGGUUAUCUUGUUGAAAUAUCAGACAAUAGAGUUCUAUUUGGUGGUAGUGAAUUGUUGGUUGGGGAGUUGCCUAGUUUAAAACGUUUAAAUGUAUUAAGCAUCACCUUACAAGGUUUUUCUGCUGUCCAAAAACUUAUGAGCUCUCAAAAGUUUCAAAGCUGUACAAAAUGUUUGGAGCUUAUAGACUGUGAUGAUUCAAAGUCUUUUGCCUUGGCAGAGUUGAAGCAUCUCGAAAAACUAGUUUUUUGAAUUGUGGAAGAGUUUAAGUUCUGCUUUGUUGAAGUUGGAAAAGCUCAAGAAUGUUUUCGUUUGAACAGUUUUCACCGAGUUAAUAUAAAGGCUUGUCAUAAAUUGAGGGACGUGACAUGGCUUGUAUUUGCUCCAAAUCUUACAGUUAUUCAAAUAGAAAAAUGUAUGCAGAUGGAAGUAAUAGUCAGUGCAAGGAAAUUGGGUGAAGUUCCAGAGAUGAUGGCAGAUCUAAACCCUUUUGCAAAUAUCUUUGCCAGCGAGUUCUACCAAAAUUAAAAAGCGUCUAUUGGAAUGAGUCACCCUUUCCACAUGUCAGGGAAAUUAUUGUAUCUGAAUGCCCAAUUCUCAAGAAGCUUUCACUCGGUUUUAACAAUGCAAAGGAAUCUAAAAUUGUCAUUAGGGGAGAGGAACACUGGUGGAGUGAGCUGCAAAGGGAGGAUGAAGCGACCGUUAAUGCUUUUCUUCCUUGUUUCGGUUCCAUUUGAUAGGCAUCAACAUGGAUUUAUAUUUUGCGGUGGACAACUUGUGGUAAGUGCUUUUCCAUUUAUUACAUGUUUAUAUCUAACUUUUGUUUUCCUUUAUGGUUAAAUUUUACUGUAUAUAUGUUGUUAUACGGUGACAUUCUCGCAUCAAUUAUUAGCUUUUUAAUUCUCUUCUGGCAUUAAUUGCCCUUCUGAUCAUGUAGGAUAUGCCGAUGUCAAAGAGUAGUAAAUUGGGAUACAAAUGUAAGAAUUAGCCAGAUGACAUGUUGUUUUGAAGCUCUCUCGAAGGACUAGUUAUGUCAUUCAAAGCAUCCAAUUUCGCUACUUUUUUUUUCAUUUGUUGCUUUUUAUAUUUCUAGAUAGCUUGAUAUUCGGCCAAGACAUCGAUAGGAGGGCACAUUGUGCAUGCACACUAGUGGAUGAUUUGGGCAUGCCGAAUCCAAUUAGCGUGGAUGACCCUUUAUAAGCAUCAGGCUUCUCUCAUACCAGAGCAAUGUAGAAUAUGUUUAUAAACUGUGGAUUACCCUUUAUAAGUUUAGACUUCUUCUAUACUCGAGCGAUGUGGAAUACCUGUAUAAGCAUUAAGCUUCUCUCAUACACUUUAUGUUAAAAAUAAUAAUAAUAAUAAUAAAAUAAAUCCAUUUUAAAAUAGGCUCUUUUUUUCUUUUUUUAUAUAAACAAAAUGCAUUCUUCAAAUCAAUAGUGGGUGGAAGAAGUGAGUAGAGAAGGACUAGGCCCCUUCAUUCCGCCUAAAACCUCACCGAAACCUCUCUUGUGAACUUCUCAGAUUCUCUCUCAAUAUUUCUUAUGAUCUCGUUUUUGAUAGAAUCACUUCUAUUGCAUGCUGCAUUUUGUGCGUCGUUUUUGGGUAAUAUCUUAUCUGGAAUGCUGUUAUGAUCAAUAGAACAAGUAAUCAAUUUUUGGUUUGACGGAAGUCGAUUUAUUUAUUUACUAUUGUUUUUUAUUUGAAAUUUUGACAGUUGUGUUUCAUUCAUUUCUUUCCUUCUUUUUUUAUUUUAUAUUUAUUAUGUAUAAUUGUGUUUCAUUUGAUAUUGAUCAUACUGUAGAUAACUAUGUGAUUGUAGCUGGGGAUUUUAAGUUUUGUGAAUUCAAGAAACUGUCAAAAUGCUAGUGAAAUUGGGACCUUUAUUCAUAAGCUUGUGGUUUUCAAAAGUAGCCGGGUUCAACUGAUGAAGUUCCUUUUUGGGAUUCUUUUUUUUCUAGGCUGCAAUUCGGAUAUGUACCUGAUAGACAAUCUUUUGUGAGUUUAGCAUAUCUUCUCCGAUUUUGUCUUUUAUUCCCCAACUUUACAGCUACACACCAUGAAUGCUGGGUGAUUGUACAGAAAAUUUGUGUUAGAACAAAAGCAUUGUGAAGGAGUUUCUGUGCUAUAAGUUAUUGGCUUCAGCUUUAUUGGCAUUAAUUGGGUAGAUUAUGUGUUACAGUGAUUCAAUUUGUGAUCCACACUUUAAUUUUCUCUUUUCCCCAAUUAUUUAUGUCAAAUUCAAAUCCAGAAGCAUGCGCUGAUUUUUUUUUUUUUUUGUGAUAAUCUGUGAAGUUUAUUUGGAAAGGACGUAUCUGGGUUUAAUGGAUUAAAUUAUGACAUUGAGGGAAAGGCACUAAAGGUUUUGCUUGACACAUUUGGUCUGUGUUUACUCUGCAAUAAAUAGCUUCGCUUAUCAGAAAUCCCUAUUUGGCUGGUGAAUUUCUCUGUGACAGACAGGCAAACACCUAAACCGCUUCUAUCCAUUUUUCUGCUGGUGAGGUAAGGGGUAAAAAGUCUUCAAAAUCAUCAAAUAGUAACAUCUCUGAGAAUUGGUUUUAGAAAAAUGGAAAAUCUAGACCUACUAGGACAAAAUGGCGUCCGGUAUCAGGAGGUACCGUUUCAAGUUUUCUUGGUAAAGAAUAUAUUAAACCUGCGCAACCAGCUAAUGGCACUUUUCUGGCAUCAAAGCCAUUGAAGUUGGAUCUAAAGGAGUUUUCCCAUGCCUGCAUUGUGCAGAGAAGAAACUAAACAAAAACAAUCAAAGAAUGACCAUUUGCAGAAGGAUACGGAAGAUUUUCUAUUUAAAUUGUUAGGAGAAGGGUCCCAGCUGAACAGGGAUGUGAUUCAGGAGGUUCUCGGUAAUGUCUUAAAUAUACUGAUGCCAAUUUAAUACAUAUUGUCCUUUUCAAUGUUCUUUCUUUCUUUCUUUUUUUUUUCCUUCUUCUUCUUUUUCUUUUCGUGUGCAUGUGAUCACUGAUUUGGUAUUAUGCUUAAGUUGCAGAUAGCUGUGGAUUUGAUAUGCAAAAGGUAAGGACUAUAUCUUCCUGAUGUAGGCCUCUGCUUUUUCCCCUUCUAUGUAAUUUAGUAAUUCACAUCUUCCUUUGUGAUUGUUAUAUCAUAUCGAAGUCAAGUCUUAAAUACUGCUGUCAUAUGUGAAGGUUCAACUUGCAUUUUGAUUAAGAUCCAUUUGCUGCUGCUUCCAAAAGUGAGAAUGAGAUACUUUGGUUAAUUUCAGUGGUUGAACCCAAUAGAGAACUUUAUUUAGAUCUUCAUGGUUCAAAGGCCUGAAAAAACUUGCCCGUAAUUGUAAAAUGACAUUCUGUGCUUUUUAUGCAAUAGGGAACAGGGAAGUAGAGCUUUGGAAAAGCCUGGAUUGAUAACUAUGGAGAGACUUAUUAUUUAAGUGAUGAAAAAUUCCCAUCGCCCGCAGUCAAGAAAAUUUCAGAUAGUUAAAGACUCCAUUUUGCUUCAGCCAAAAAUGUUUGUUUCAAUUAAAGACUUGAACCAUUUUCAUUGAACCUGAUUGUGAUCCUUUACGUUAUGCAUGUUCCUCUCAAUCAAGAAAAGUUGAGGUCAUGAUUCUAUAUUUCUAUAUUGUAACUUGAAAUAAUAAUUGGUCUACUUGUUUCUGUAUCUUGAUAAUAUGAAUUUUCCUUCUCAAGUUAAUUUGUUCAAUAAAGUAAUUCUUCAAAGAAAAUAUGCCCAUUCUAUAAUCAUUUUCUUAGCUCAGAUGUUUUUUCUUCACUCUUCAGAGCAUGUCAAAACUAAUUGAUCGCUUGGCAGAUACUUUGGGUAAGAAGACAAAAUUUCUUGGUAAAUCCUCGGAAAAGGUAUGCAUAAUUCCCGAGUAUUAAAUAACCAAUAGUCAUAAUUUUUGUACAUGACUCUUUUUUCUCUUUUUUGUGGAGAUCAUUAAAAUUGGUUGAUGAUCCAUUUUGUAACAUCAUAGAGGGAUCAUCAAUUCCUUCUCUUUUCUGUGGCUAGGCAACACUUUCAGGCCAAAGUAAGAAAAUCUAUUUUAGGUAAUGUGAAAACCAACGGUAGGAUGUAAUAGUUUAUUAUGCACUGACAAUAACUUUUUGUAUGGUUGGCAGUUUAAUGAAUACAAGAGGAACUUUGUUGACAAAUUCAUCCAAGAUAGAUGCUAAAAUUAUUUAUGCAUGCCAGUUGCCUUAACUAAUUUUUCUUAACACUUGUAUUGAACAGGAAAAUGAAUAAGCAAUCUGUAUAUUGUGCCAUUGUGGAGUAUUUGGAUAUUCUGAUUUAAAUAACAAGGAGAAUACUUGCCUCAUCUUUAAAUGAGGAGUGGGGGAUUGGAAGUGUCUUCAUGUAAAUGUUCAUUUAUUUGUAUUUUGAACUAUUAUGAGAAUCUUAUAUGCCAAAUCAGUAAUACAAAUCUUCAGAUGAUUUUUGCUGUUGAUCAUGGGUUUGUGUCUGCACACAACCAUUGUAUAUCACUUUAUUCUGAUGUGCAGGUAUGUGUAGCUUAGAAGAAAUGGAAUAAUAAUCAUCUAUUAUUGCUUGGUUCAUGAUUAUUAAACGAUUAUGGCUUUAAAAAGUCUACAAAUUCCUUCUGUUCAUAUAUGAAUGUGCCAAGUUUGCUAUAUCUUAGAUUAUCUUCUUCCAAGAUAACAAGUUCAUAUUCUUUUUAAUCUUUUUCCCUCACAGUUGACUUUUAGGUGUUAAGAUUUGUUAUUAGUCCCCUGUUAUUAUGAUUUCAUAAACAGUGUACGGAUAUGUGCUCUAACUUUGGAGGACCUCCACAUGAAAGAAAAUUGCAACAAUUGAAUUCUUCCGGAGGGUAUGGUCUUUAAUUUAUUUUCUCAACUUCUCGUAAGAUUAAUAUAUUUCAUUCAGUAGGCACAGCAUGGGGGGAAGGGUUUUUAUUGAAAGAAUUCUGAUAUUUCUUAGACUUUGUUUUGGAAGGGGGGUGGAGGGAUUUCUCAUCCAUGUAUGGUUACUUGAUUAGCUUUUGACUGUAUUUCCUCAGUCAUGUAAAGGAAGAUCCAAAUACCAACGAAGGAAUAUUGCCUAGACACCCGAAAGACAGAAAUGAGCUACAGAAGCAAGUUUUACUACUUUAUUUAGUGCUCCUGAGAAAUCUGAUGGAGACCGAAUGGAGGUCCAAAGCAUUGGAAAAGGUAGUGAGUGAACCGCCGGAGGAGUUGGCACCAGAAUGCAAGGCUAAUGUGGUGCACUUGCAGCAAGAUAACCAAACCGGUAUGUGCUCUUAUAUUAACUAGACUGACUGGAUUUGUGAGUGUGUGCAUUUUUUUGUGUAUACUCUUGUAUUUAUGCAUAUUAAUGUGUGUAGGAAUUUCUGCCACUUACUGGAGAACUAGUGGAAAGCUUUAUAUCGAUAUAUCUGCAAUAACUAAUUGGAAACUAUGAUAUUAAUAUUUUCUCUCACCUGAGGAACUGUGUAACAGAUAUACUUUGUGGCUCUGGAGUACUAGAAAUUCUGCAAUAACUAAUGGAAACUAUGAUAUGAAUAUUUUAUCUCAACUGGAGAACUUUGUAACUUGUAGCUCUGGAAUGUCUAAGGAAUUUUGUCUGCUUCAGUUAGAUCAAAUAUCUUUUAGUUGCAUACAUUAUAGAAAAAGAUAAAGUUCUCUGAAUCUGAAAGACUGAAACAUUUUGUAUAUUUUGUGAAAGGGAAAUAUCUGUAGAUACUAGUUCAUGCAUUGAGGUAACAUCAAUGUUAAAGAAAAACAGCAAUAAGUUAUUAUGUGGAACUAGGUUCACUUGCUUUAAAUGCUGGUCUGGUCAACCAUAUGAACCUGUAAGUUCUGCAGAAAUAUAUAUACGGGGAGAAACUAGCUAAAUUUUCCGUUCAUUGAUGGCUUUGGUCAUUUUUUUCCCCUUAUUUUUCAGCUGUCCUUCUCCUGAAGUAUGUUAACAACUGCAGAUAAUGAUGAAGAGGACAGCUUGCAGGCUCUUCUUAGAGCCAUGAUGGAAUAUAGGGGCACAAUGAAGGAACAUUGCAAAGCUGUAGGUUCUUUUUCUCCUGUCAUUUAUGUUUUCUCACACAUUUUUUAUAUGCUCCAAGCAUGCAAUUUUGUAUGUGUCAACUGCUUUCUAAGUUUUAAAAACCAUAAUGUAAGAAUACAGUUUCUUGUCAGGCUAUUGAUGCAUUUGCUCAGGGGGAUCAUGUUCGAGCAGGAAAACUUCUAGAACAGACAAGGUUUUCCAUCUACAGCCAUCUAUUGACAACAGAUAUAUUUUCAUUCAGCAAACACUGUUAGCAUUCAAGAUACUGGCAGAUUCACUUGAUUCUUAUUAGUAAUGUUUAGUAGCAAAGGAUAUAACCUGUAUUUCAAAGCCAAGUUGUGCUAUUGAUUAUGUUAGCUUUAUUGUUCACAUAAAGUGAUAUGGAGGAAAUAAUGUGAAGUGAUAUGGAGGAAAUAAUCAAUGUAGGAAAAUUAGGUGAAGAAAUGAUGUCAAAUCUUGAACCUCUUACAAAACUCCAAGCUCUUUACUUGAAUAAGCUACUAAAUUUGAACAGGGUCCACUGGAAGGCCUUGCCAUUCUCUGAUGCAUGCAGAAUUUUUGCAUUUAAAUGCCCAGAGCUUAAGAAGCUGCCACUGGAUCUUGAAAGGGCAGGCCAAGGUAAAAUUCUUAUCAAGGGAAAGGAAGAUUGGUGGAAACAACUUCAAUGGGAGGAUCAAGUAACUCAGAAUGCAUUGCUUCCAUUUUUAAAACAACCAGCAAGUGAUUGAAGGGGGCAUCAUCAACGUCAUCAACAUGGAUGGAGAGAUUCAGGAGCAGAUCAGCAGGAUUUAGUACGACCUGUGGUGGUUUCUUUUUUGUGACUUUUUUCCCUUUCAUUUUUUCACUUCCUGUCAUAUUAUCAUUUCUUUGUCUCUGUUUCUAUUGCUGGUGUUGCUGCAUGCUUGCUGUCCUUGACAAAGUUAGCUAGUUUUUUUUUUUUUAAUUAAAUUUUGUAUGUUCGGUCGGGACAGUCACAAAGUACUACUUGUUCUAUAUGGGGGUGAUGUGAAUCAACUUUUCAAUUAUAUAUUCUGUGGUAAUUGCGAAUUCAAUUUCAUUUGUCUCCAGCAAAUUAUGAAGAAAGUGCAGAGUUACAAUAUGGAGAAGUUCACUGGCAAAUACUUUGUAAAAGCUUCGGAGUGAAACAGGAAAUGCACUUGCAGCUAAGGACAAAUUGGUGGCCAGCUAAUGCCUUCAUUUUAUGUACAUUCAUCUUUUUAAUUAUUGAAGAUAAGUGGUUCGUUGCUUUUGUUAAGAUUAUAAGUUAGCGUCGGUGCAGGAUUUGCAGCAACAAAUCUUGACUAGCCACGUGUCAAAAGCACAAAUAAAUCAAGGGAAAGCACAUGACAUGGAUUAGGAUCUAAUAAAAUUUAAAUCCCAAGGAAAAUGACAACUGCAUUAUGAAGUUUCAAUAAGGGAUACUGACUAAUGAUAUUUUUUGGCUUUAUUAAUAAAAAAAGAAUAUUUUAUAACAAAUUAAAACAUAAUAUUAAGCUAAAUGUGAUAAUUAUAUACAUUUUAAAUAAUUUCAAUAAAAAAACAUUUUAAUGUUUUACGAUCUAUCAUACAUAUUUUAUUAAAUUAAUAUGAAUUUUUUUUUAUAAAUAGCAACAUAAUAUUACAACAAAUUUAUAAGGAUUUAAAUGUAAAAUAAUUUUAGUAUAAAUAAUACGUGGGAUAUAUUUUGUAAAUUAUAAAAUUAUUUAACACAAAGUUUUUUAAAAAAUAUUUAAAAUAAAUAAAAAUAAAUUAUUCACAUCUUGAUUUAAAUAUUUAAAAUAUUUUUAUAUAUUAGUCUACAAUUAUUUAUGUUAUAUUUUUAUUUAUUAGAAAUUUUGAAAGUCAAAUGUUUUCACCUCUAAGAGAAAGACACAUAUGCUUUAUAGCUUUAAAAUCGGUCUGUUUUAUAUCUGGAAACAAAUAUAUCAUUAUUGGUAAGGAUUAAAAAAAGGGAUAAAGAAUAUUAAUGAUUAAUGAAAUCUCUAUGGAAAUUGAAUUUAGUAGGAAAAAAUUGAGCUAAAUGAUUUAGACAUUUAGUGGUAUAGUAAUAUUUUAUAUAUAGAAAUGUAAAAGCUGCACCCGAGGUUAAGGGAAAUGUUCAAAACUCUUUUUUACUCAUAAUACCCUUUGUCCUAACUAACUUACAAAUUCGACUCUAAUAUUUUAUAAUAAAUAAAAAUGUAAUCCUAAAAUAAAUAAAAUAAGAUAUAUUUUAAAAUAAUCUCAAUAUUUAAAAUAUACUUUAAUAUUUUAUAGUCUAUCAGACAUAUUUAAUUAUAUUAAAGUAAAUUUUGUAAUAAAUACAAACAUACUAUUAAAAUAGAUAUAUAAAAAAUUUAAAGUAUUUUGGAUAUUAUAUAAAAGAACUUUAAUAUUGUUAAUACGUGAGAUAUAUUUUAUUAAUUAAAAAUUCUAUUUAACCCAAAGAUUUAUUUAAGAUAAAUUAACAAUCAUAUUUGUGAAAUUAUUUCAAAUAUUAAAAAAUAUUUUAAUAUUACUAACUAUUAGAUAGACUAAACUAUUUAUAUUAUUUUCUAUUUAUUAUAAAAUUUCAAAAUUAAUCUUUUUAACUACUAUUCAAAAGAUAUUAUGAUAAAAAUAAUUUUUUUGUGUUUUUAUUAAAAAUUUGGAAUUUGCAUAACUCUUUUUUUAAAUAUUGGGGUAUAGCUGUCUUUUCCCUUUUAUAUAUACAAACCACAGUGGUGAAAAAGCUUGAUUUAAUGUUAUUUAUUUAAACAACACCGAUAUUCACACCACAUUGAGCACCAUAGUUUUUUUUUUUUUUUUGAAAAGAAAGUACACCUUUCAUUGAAUUAAGAGAAAAGAAACAAAACAUCCUCUGGAAAUUCAUCCAGCCAAAUACAAGGGUCUGACUUUUUGAAAGCCAACUUUGCCAAAUCAUGCGCUAAAAAGUUACACAUCCUAAGGACGUGCUGAGCUUUAAAAUUCUGAAAGAUUUUCUUAGCUUCUAUAAUAUCAAAAAUCACCCAAAAGGUGUCUGUCAAAGUGCUUCUCUUGUUAUUGAUUAGCUCUAUCACCCCUUUAGAAUCAGACUCUAAGAUAACUGAAGUUGCCCCUGCCUUGGCAGCUGCCUGCAUUCCCCACAAAACAGCUUUUGCCUCACUCAACUCCACAUCUCCUGAGCUCUUAAAAGUGCUAACAGCUGCAGCAACUGUUUCUCCCUUAUGGUUUUUAACUACUGCUCCCAGCCCAGCAAGAUAAUUCACCCUAUCCAUAGCAUCAUCAACAUUUACCUUAAGCCAUCCUUCUUCGGGUGGACUCCAUUGGCUUUGCUGAACAUUGUUUUGUUCUGCUAAGAAAUCCUCUUCUGACAUUGAGCACCAUAGUUAAGUACAAAACGGUGCGUUUUGUUCACGCAUGUUAGUAAACACCCACGCAACUUACACACAUACGCGCGGCUCACAACACGCGCUCUCCUCGCCCUAAAUCUCACCUGAUUGAAGCCACAAAUUUGGCCACGUUCUCCCACAGCUCUCUCCGUUCUGACCGUUUACUCUUCCUCUAGCCCCAUCGAUUACAUCUCUCAUAGCACCUCAUUCAACCGACGUAAUUGCCAGAAAACAACCUACCUGGUAAUAAAAGUCGAUUCUCUUACAAUUUUGGCCCAAAAAAAAAAAUUGCACAACUGAAAAAUCAAAAUGCCACUCUUUAAAACCAAAAAUCAAUUUUGGGCCCCCUUCAUCACCGCCUUCACUCUAGAUUUUUUCAAUCCACUUUGUCGUCAAAACCGUGGUGUUCUUAAACCAUUAUUAUAUUCACCAUCCCCUUAAUCACAUCCAACCAUCCCCAUUAUUCGUUUGUCAAACACGCUGUUCUCUUCCCAAAUUAAUUAAUUAAUUAAUGACAGACAGGAACAAAAGUACUUUAAAUCUCUGCCAAAUCGUAUUGUUAUUACUUCUUCCGAGUCGAGGCCACGUCGUUCUCGAUGGAAACCAUUGCUUUUUAUUACCACUCUUGAGGAGUUCGAAGCAUUCUCGACGGAGACCCGCGCAAGCUGUGGAAAGAGAGAGAGUCAACGGUGAAAAGAGAGCAUGGUGAGAUGUGUGAGCGACGGGGGGAGAGAGAGAGAGAAAGAAAGCCGACGGAGAGAGCACAUAGAGCUGAGAUGCGUGAGUUGGGUGAAGAUUUGGUGAGCGUUGUGUCAGUUGCCCGUGUGUUGUGUGAGCUCUGUGCCAUGUGAUAUGCGUGCUACUUUGAGAAUUUAUAGAUAGCACAAAACUCAAUCUAUAUCCAAUUCAUACCUAGAUAGAUGCGGAUUUGACUCAAUUUAUAUCCAAUUCGUCAUUUGCGAACUAAAAAUUUUUAAUUCUCUCAAAUUCACAAACUAACUAAAUAAAUAAAAAUUUAAUAUAAAAAUAACUGUACUACCGAUCAAAUUUAAAAUUAAAUAAUAUUUAAAUAAAUUAAUUGUUUAAAUAAAGUUAGAAAAUACAUUCAAAAUUUUAAAAUAUAACACAGUAAAAAGAAAAAAUCUCAUUUGUUUAGACCUAUGUAUGAAAAUUAAUUGUUUAGGAAUCUAUAUUUAUUUAUUUUUAUAUUAUUAUCGGAUAAGAUAUAAUAUGGUGUUAAUGUAACUAUAUUUUAACUUAUUUAUUUAUAAGACCAAUGCUAUAUGUACAAGUUUAAUUUUUUAAUUAAAUAAAUAUUUUUUUUUGCGGAAUUGUGGAUUUUUGCGGAUUUACAAAAGUAAAUCUAUAUCCAAUCCACCGACUAUGGAUUUUCAAAUUUUCAAAAUUUCAAAUUUUCAAAUUUUCAAAAUUUCAAAUUUUCAAAUUUUCAAUCCAAUCCAAUCCACCAAUUCACAAAUUCGGAUUUUUACGGAUUAGAUUUCUACAGAUUAAACGAAUUGAGCAGACCAUAUUUGAUUUUGAACAUUGCUAAUUUGUAUGUUAAGUAUAACAUAAUCAAUUAUUUGGAUAAUCCCUUGUGUUUUAUCUCUAAUUAGAGCAUCAAUCUUCACAAUAUCUACAAAGCUACAAUGGCUACAAAACAAACCUGCUUGCAAAUUGUCAAGGAUACUUAUCCUUUCUCUUGACAAGUCAUUUGGAAAAAUACUGUCCCUUGGCGGCUCCAUGACUUCUCUGCUCCUCCUUUUGGUCUUAAUGUACGGUUGCAUAAUGAUAGUUUAGGCCCUUUAGGGACUACUUUCCCUGGGGUUGUUAAGUCUUAGCUUGUGCUAGGCUCGUUUUUCUUACCAAAAAAAAAGGGAAUACUUCUCCUAUAAGAAAUAAUCUCUAUAUAUAGGGUGGUUGGAUUCACUUGUUUACAUAACAGAUCAAUUAGUUCUCUGUAAAUAGAGAGUUUCUAGUAUAAGAGAAACGGUAGAUCUAUUGAGAGAUUAUGUGUUAUUAAAAUUUUAGUUGCGAAGAAAAGUACUAGAGUGAUUGUAUUAAUUUUUUACAUAGUAGAUUUUUCUAUCGUCAUCUUUAUGGCUGUGAUUUUUCUUCCAUAUAGAAGUUUCUCACGUAAAUUUUUAUGUUGUGUGAUUAGUUUUAUUCUCUAUCUAUUUUUUGUUUAAUAUUUUAUUUGUAAGAUGCUGGAUGGGAUUAAAAUUUCUUAACAAAUAACGGAUUAAAAAUCAUGAAGAAAAAGCUCAAGAGAUCUUCAAGAUUUGAAGUGUGCAAAAGUUCAUAUUACUGCUAGAUGAUAUAUGGGAGCGGGUUGAUUUAGUAAAAAUGGGUGUCCCUCUUCCUAGAUCAGAAAACAGCACAUCCAAAGUGAUAUUUACAAACCCGUUCUGAGGAAGUUUGCGGCUUAAUGGAAGUUCGUAGGAGUUUUAAAGUGGCGUGCUUAUCAAAUAAAAAUGCUUGGGAAUUGUUUCUAUACAAAGUUGGGGAAGUGAAAGAAAACAGAGAUGUACUGUUUGGUUGAAUAGAAAAUUACAGAGAAAAUUCUCAAUACUUGUAUUUGAUAAGAUUCAAUUCUUAAGAGCUUUUACAAAUCAGUACAAGUAUUUAUAUUAUUCCUUACACGUGAGAAUUGCUAGUAACUCACUAACUAACUAACUUUCUUUGAGCUGGAUCACUAACACUUGACUAAUCACACUGAGCUGUUAUUCUUCACUAACAACCUUCUGCUGACGUGGCUUCACCAAGCUACUUGAAUAAUGAGCAGCCUUGACAGCCCCCCUCAAACUCAAGGGACAAGACAUGACGUUGAGUUUGGCCCUAAGAUAGUUAAAAUGGAUGAAUGAGAGUGGCUUGGUCAUGAUGUCAGCUACCUGCUCCUCACUUGGUAUAUAUUGAAUGUUUAGUUCUCCAGCAAGAACUUUGUUUCUAACAUAAUGAAUAUCAAUCUCAAUAUGCUUUGUUCUUGAGUGGAAAACUGGAUUGUGAGCUAACUCUGUUGCACUGAGAUUGUCACACCAAAUAACAGGUUUCUCUAUGCAUUGUAAUUUCAACUCAGAAAACAGUGAUUGCAGCCAGCUUAUCUCGGCACUUGCUGAGGCUAGGGACCUAUACUCACUCUCUGCACUGGACCUAGCAAUAACAGGCUGCUUCUUAGACGACCAAGAUAUCAGAUUAUGACCAAGAUAGAUGCAAUAGGCUCCAAUCGAUUUUCUGUCAUCCAGAUCCCCUGCCCAGUCUGCAUCUGUGAAUCCUGUUAGUUUCAGAUCACCAUCCUUAAUAAUUUUGAGUCCAUAGUUCUGUGUAGCCUUUAGAUAUCUGAGCACUCUUUUGCAAGCCAUAAGGUGCUGCAGUGUUGGUGCAGAAACGUAUUGACUCAGCUUGUGAACACUAAAGGCAAUUUCUGGUCUUGUUAAUACCAAAUAUUGCAUCCCACCAACAAUGCUUCUGUAAUGUGUUACAUCUUCAACAUAACAACCAAGAUUACCUUGAGCUUCCUUCUGUAGCUUCAUUCCUGUACUCAUAGGAGUAUCAAUAUCUUUGCAAUUUAUCAUCUCAACUCUUGACAGCAGAUCCCUUAUGUAUUUCCUUUGAGAUAAGAAAAUACAAUCUUUAUCAUACAGUACUUCAAUGCCUAAGAAAUAAGAGAGAACUCCAAGAUCCUUCAAAGCAAACUUUGUACUGAAUUCUGUAAUGAAUUUUUCCAGCUCAAAGCUAUUUGGUCCUGUUAUUAAAAUGUCAUCAACAUAUAUAAGAACUAGAAUCAUAGAUGACUUAUUUAUUUUCAAGAAUAAGGAGGUAUCUGAGCUGGAAUUUGUGAAUCCCCACUGCAACAAACAGCCUUUCAACUUAUCAUACCAAGCUCUUGGAGCUUGUUUAAGUCCAUAAAGAGACUUGUGAAGCUUGCAUACAAAGUCUGGUUUCUCAAAGCUGAUAAAUCCCUCUGGUUGAUCCAUGAACACUUCCUCUGUUAAGUCUCCAUUAAGAAAGGCAUUAUUCACAUCAACUUGCCUUAUCUUCCACUGAUUCAUCACAGCUAAACUCAAGACUACUCUUACAGUUGCUGGUUUUAUGACAGGACUGAAAGUUUCAAAAUAAUUCACUCCUAUAAUUUGUUGAAAUCCCUUUGCAACUAACCUAGCUUUGUAUUUAGCUACACUUCCAUCAGUGUUGUAUUUAACCCUAUACACUCAUUUGUUUCCAACAACUCUUUGAUCAUUUGUUUUUGGCACUAAGGACCAUGUACCACUCUGCAUCAAAGCUGCAUAUUCUUCUUUCAUGGCUGUAAACCAUUUUGGGUUUUGCAUAGCCUCAUAUACAGAAUCAGGUUAUUUGUGAACAAGGGUUGCUGUAUAAAGCUUUGGUUUGAAGAUACCAGUUUUGCUUCUGGUAGUCAUUGGAUGUGUAUUAGGUUGGACUGGAAAAGAUAUAUCAGGUGUAGGUUGAGCUAAUAAGGAUAUGUCAGGUGCAGGUUGUGGUGAAUUUUGAGGCUCUGUAGAUGGUUCAAUAAAUGUGGUAUGUGUUUGUGAAUAGGAAUGUUGAUUGUCAGUAUGAAAUGGAUUAUCUGAAUGUUGUGAACUGCUGCUGGUAGAAAUUGCAGAUAGAGGAUUGCAUGAGCUAUUUCCAUCUGAUACUGGUGUUGUAGAUAAUAUGGUCAGAUGAAACACUGGUUGGGGUGUAAGGGAUUGACUCGAAUAAGAUGAUGAUUCAUUAGAAUGAAAAACUGAGUCUGUAGAAUAAGGAAAUGUUGACUCAUAAAAAACAACAUGUCUGGCUAUGUACAUCUUGCCUGAUGAAUGCAAGCAUUUGUAACCUUUGUGAACUGGACUGUAGCCAAGGAAAAUGCAUUUGCUUGAGUGAUAAUCAAAUUUGUGUUUGUUGUAAUCCCUUAGAUAAGGAUAACAUGUGCAACCGAAACACUUGAGCAUGCUGUAAUCAGGUUUAAGUUUAAAAAUUGUCUCAUAUGGGGUAAGAAGUUUCAGAGCUGUUGAGGGUAAUCUGUUUAUAUGGUAAACAGCUGUAAGAAAAGCAUCCCACCAAAAUUUAAAUGGUAGCUUAGCUUGUGCUAAUAGGGUUAGUCCUAGCUCAACAAUGUGUCUAUGUUUUCUUUCUACCACCCCAUUUUGGUGAUGUGUAUAAGGACAAGAAUGUCUGAAAAUGAUUCCACAUUGGUUUAAGAAUUGAGUAAAUGAUCUGUAUUCUCCCCCCCAAUCAGAUUGCAGGUUUUUAAUGGGGCUGUCAAAUUGGUUUUCAACCUGCAAUUUGAAUAGUUUGAAUACAUCUAAUGCCUCAGAUUUCAACUUAAGAGGAUAAAUCCAAGUGUAUCGGCUAAAAUCAUCAACAAAACUUAUGUAAUAGACAUAGCUAUCUCUAGAAGGUGUAGGUGAGGGUCCCCAUAGGUCUGUAUGUAUAAGCUCAAGGGGUUUUGUUGUUUUGGUUUCUGUGCUGGGAAAAUGCAGCCUAUGGGAUUUGCCCAUUUGACAUGCUUCACAGAUAUGCUCAAGUGUUUGUUUUAUGUUAUUUCUUGAGAGAUUAACUGAAGUAAUUCCUUUUAGCAAAUGCAUUAGAAUUUGAGAAUUAGGAUGGCCAAAACGUUUGUGAAGAAGAAGAAUUUUAUUAUUCAAUGCAUCACAAGAUGAAAUGUAGCUGGAAAAUUUAUUUAUUGAUGCAUUACAAACUGUGACACAACUGGAAUCAUUAUUCUGAGUGUUUUUAAGAACACUUGAAUCAAAAGAACAUGCAGAUAACAUUGACAAAGGUUGAGUGGAUGAAGGUUGACCCAUGUAAGAACAAGGAAGAGACUCAGAUGGUCUUAGAAGUAGCUUAUACAAUCCUUUCUCAGCAAUUCCUGUCAGAAGCACUUGCCUCUUCAGAGAAUCCUUCACAUAGCAAACAUUAUCAACAAAUUCAAUAGAGAUAUUGUUAUCAGCAGUUAAUUUUGAUAUGCUGAGCAGGUUCUUUGUGAUAUCAGGUACUAAUAACAUGUCAUUCAGUAAGAUAUGUGUUGGUUUAUAUGCAGCAUUUGAUCCUUUAUAAGUAAAACAUGGAUUACCAACAUGAGUUAUAGGCAAACCUUGGCCAUUGCCGAUGACAAGUUGAUUAGAUCCUCUGAAUUCCUCUCUGACAUUCAUGUUGGCCAUACUGUUAGUCAAGUGAUGUGUGGCACCAUUGUCAAGGUGCCAUCCUUCAUCAGCAGGCCCUUCAUAGUUGGUAAGAUAGGCUUCAGGAAUUACUGUGUCUGUUGAUGGAUAAGAGGAGAAGGAUAAAGGAUUGUAGCUUGAGUAGGGUGCAGCAUACUGUUCUUCAGUUGAAGGAGCAGCAUAGGUUAGAGAUGGAUCAAAGUUAGCUGUGUAUGCAGCCUUAGAUUCAAAAGAUCUGCCCCUUCCAAAAUGCCUAGGUAAUGGUUGAGGAUUGUCAUCAUAUCUAUGCCAGCAUUCAUCUGCUGCAUGUCCUGUUUUGUGGCAUAUCUGACAUAUGGUUGGUAAUUCAUCAGCAUGCAUGUUAGCUGAAGGAUGAAAGUUUGGCUUCAUAGGUGGCCUAAAAGGUUGCAUCAUCUGGCCCCUGCCAUAACCCCCAACAUUACCAACACCAGGUGAAAAACCUCUGGGAUGUGGAUUGUGAAACAUGCCUCUUCCAACAUUAAAUCCUCUAGUCAUAGGUCGACCAUAAUUUCCAUUUCCAACAACACCUCUUCUAAAAUUUCCUCUCAUAUAAGGAUGAUUCACAUUCAUUGUGCUAUAGUUUGCAUUAAACACAGUUUUGGCACUUUGAUUUUGUUCAAGUCUAGCUUCAUGAGUCAGUAAUAAUGCAUAAGCAUCAUCAUAGCUCAUCUUAUUAGCUGUGAUUAUGGAAGCUAGAUCUAGAUAACCUGAACCUAAGCCAUUCAAAACUCUCAUUAACAGAUCCUUUUCAGUGAUUACAUCACCAGCACAAGCAAGUUUGUUGGCGAGUAAUUUCAUUUUAGCACAAUAUUCCUCAACAUUCAUUGAAUCUUUUCUUAAGAUAUUCAUUUCAUAUCUGAGUUGCAUAAUCUUAGCCUCAGAUUGAACUCCAAACUGUUUUUCAAUAGAUCUCCACACAUCAAAUGAAGUGUCAUAGCUAAGAACAGAACUAAGAAUACCUUCACUUAUAGUUGAGAGCAGCCAGCCAAGGAGUAUUUGAUCUUGUGCUCUCCAGUUGCUGUAGGCUGGAUUUUCAAUGCUCUCACCAGAUCCUUCGAUCAUUGAAUCAACUAGAUACUGUUCUGGAAUAAUUUGCGGCUCUAGAAUGAAUCUUUCAAGGCGAUUUCCUCUGAUUGAAGUUACCACUUGUUUGCGCCAAAGCAAGAAAUUUGAUCGAUCAAGUUUCACAGUUGCAGCAAAAGUAAAUGAUGUUUGUGUAUGUUGAUUUGAGUUUAUGAUUGUUUGAUUUGAGAUUGUAUUGCUUGAGCUGGCCAUUUGUGGCUCUGAUACCAUGAAAGAAAACAGAGAUGUACUAUUUGGUUGAAUAGAAAAUUACAGAGAAAAUUCUCAAUACUUGUAUUUGAUAAGAUUCAAUUCUUAAGAGCUUUUACAAAUCAGUACAAGUAUUUAUAUUAUUCCUUACACGUGAGAAUUACUAGUAACUCACUAACUAACUAACUAACUUUCUUUGAGCUGGAUCACUAACACUUGACUAAUCACGCUGAGCUGUUAUUCUUCACUAACAACCUUCUGCUGACGUGGCUUCACCAAACUGCUUGAAUAAUGAGCAGCCUUGACAGGAAGAAACUUUGAACAAUCAUCCUGAUAUCCUUCAGAAAGCACAAUAGUUGUUAAGGAGUGUGGUGGUUUGCCACUUGCACAUUUUACCAUCGGUCGAUUUAUGGCAUGCAAGAAGACACAGCCGAAGAAUGGAGAUAUGCUAUUCAAGUGUUCAAUUCGUCCGCUUCCCGUUUCCAGGUCUGGAAGAAUGGAUAUAUACUCUUGUAAAAUUCAGUUAUGAUAGUUUACCCAAUGACACAAUUACACCUUGUCUGUUAUAUUGUAGUUUAUAUCCAGAAGAUUGUUGCAUUUCUAAAGAGAAUUUGGUAGAUUGUUAGAUCAGUGAAGGAUUUUUUAAUGAGAGUGAUUGGUUUGGAGAAAAAAUCAAGGAUACUUCAUUUUGGGCAUUCUUCUUCACGUUUUUUUUUGGAAAAGGGAGGAGAUUGUGAAAUGAAAAAUGCAUGCAUGACGUUAUUCGUGAUAUGGCUUUGUGGAUCGCAUGCGACUAUGAGAAGGAGAAGGAGAACUUUUUGGUUUACGCUGGUGUUGGUUUAACUAAGGUACCGGAUAUUAGAGAUUGGGAAAAGGUAAGGAGAUUGUCAUUGAUGAAAAAUAAAAUUGAGAAUCUAUCCGAGGCUCAUACAUGCCCUCAUCUCCUCACUUUCUUUCUUGACGAUAAUGAGUUUCGGAAGAUCCCCGGUGAUUUCUUCCAGUUUAUGCCUUCUCUCACUGUUUUAAACUUGUCAUGUAUUAAACUAAAGUCAGUUCCUUUAGGGACUUCAAGGUUGGUUCCACUACAACAACUCGAUCAUUCAUAUUCAAGCAUAAAAGAGUUGCAAGAAGAGUUAAAUGCCCUGAUUAAAGUUAAAUGCUUGAAUAUAGAUCAUGUAGAGGAGCUAAUUACAGUUCCACAACAACGGAUAUUUAAUUUUUAAGGUUAUAUGUGUUGAGAAUGUUCGAUACUAUUAGUUUAAAUUUUCAAGAAGCAUUAAAUAAAGACAGCAUUUUAUUUGGUGGGGAGGAAGUUUAAGCAGAGGAGUUGCUCGGUUUGGAAUAUUUGGAGGUAUUGAGCUUCACUUGAGAGGUGUUCGUGCUCUCCAAUUUAUUUUGAGCUCACAUAAGCUACGAAGUUGUACUCAAGCGCUGUUCCUCCAAUCCUUCAAUAAUUCGAUAUGGCUUGAUAUUUCACUUUUGGCAGAGUUAAAAGCACCACUGCAGAUUUAAGUAUUUUUGGCUGUAGAAAAUUGGAGGACUUGAAGAUGGAAUAUACAGGGGGAGCGAAAAACAAGCGGCAACCUUGUGUUUUCUAAGGCCUACAUACAGUUCACAUAGAGGUUUGUUCUAAAUUGAAGGACUUAACAUUCCUUGUUUCUGCUCCAAAUCUCAAGAACUUGGAAAUACAAAAUUGCCCUGCUGUGGAAGCAAUCAUCAGUGUGGGAGAAUUUGCGGAAGCUCUAGAGGUGGUGGAAAAUCUAAACCCAUUUGCAAAACUCCAGUAUCUUGGACUAGAAAAUCUGCCAAAUGUGGAGAGCAUCUAUUGCAAGCCUCUGCCCUUUCCAUGUUUGAAAAGAAAUGACUGUGGAUAGUUGCGGUUGUCUUAAAAAGCUUCCACUCUACUCCAACAGUGUAAAAGAGUGUACAAUUGUUAUUUCAUCAUUCGGAGAGUUAAUGGUGCAAUGAGAUUUGGCAGUUAACUCUCGUGGGAAGAGCUUGAAUGGGAAGACGAAGCCACUCGAAUUGCUUUUCAUUCAUGUUUCAAAUCUCUGAUUGGAUUGGAGAUUGCAUUUCGCCUCAGGUUCGUACUUUUCUUGAAUUUUUCUUGUUAACUUCAUUUGUUCAUUUAUCCAUUUUUUUUUAAAGGAAUCAGAAGGGUUAAUAAUUUUGGUUGUGUUAGGUCGACUUCUAAUCACGAGGCAGAAGGAGUUGAGAUGAAGUUUAAUUUUGGUGGAGAAAUUGUUUGAUUUAAAAAAUUUAAAUGAGUUGACCAUCAUUCUUUAGCAUAUUUGUAUGAACAGGAGUGUGUAAAUAUGCAAACUGUCCAGCUGUAUGUGUAUAGCGUAAUAAUUUUGAGGAGUUAAAACAUUGAAGAAUAUUGAUGUUUCCAUUGUCAAACCAAAUAUACUUAAUUACUUGAGGAUAAUGAUUACUGCUAAUACAUUUGCUAAUACAUUUGCAAAGAAAAAAACAUGCCUAUUGAAAAACUCAUCUUAUUAGCAACAGCAUUAUAAGUAGUAUCCAAUCAUAGUUUCAUGCAAGAUUUUGAGAUUUUUCAAAUGCUGAUUCCGGGAAUGGAGAUUAAUAGAUAAUGGAGACAGGUUGACUGCAAUGGCUAAUUGCAAGAGGGAAUUUUAGUCGUAAAAACAGACCAACUAGCAAAGCAAAUUCCAAAUCUUGGAAUGAAGUGGCAAAAAAACGAAACAAACAAAUGGCAAGAGGAAGUGACUAUACAAUAAUAACAUCGACUUGCAAUUCAACAUUUAUACAGUUUUACUCACCAAGAAAAGAGAAAAUUACAAUAGCAAUUUGGCUACUAGAAGAUGUUCAUUCAUGCUUAUGCCUGUCAUAUGGAUUUGAAACAAGGAGUAAAAGCAUUUAGAGUGGCUUCAUCCUUCCACUGCAGCUCAUUCCACCAGUGUUGCUCUCCCCUAAUAACAAGUUUGCGUUCCUUGGCGCUGUUGUAAUCGAGUGGAAGCUUCUUGAGGUUCGGGCAUCCAGAUACAAACAAUUCUAAGAGAUUUGGAAAGUGCACUUAAAUUCUUAUGAAUUGCUUAAGUAUGCAAGCAGCAGAGCAGAAAACAAACAACCUUUUCAUAUAUUAUAAUAACAUGAAUAAUCAGAUAUACACAUCCUUCACAUAUUUAUACUAAACGUGAAAAAUGGUAGCUUGCUCAAAGGGAAAACAGAAAUGAAUAAAACAAAAGAUUACAGCUGCACUAGCCAAUCAUUGGAAACAUUCUAGAAACUCCAGCUUGCAGUAUUCACGUGUAAAUAUUCUCCUGCAUAACAGUUUUGCCAGCUCAUUGAAUACACCUCAACUUCUUCAUCAGCUGGUUGCUGGAUAUGGCUGCUCAGGUGGCAUGCCAGCAUGGCCUUUGGGUCAAUUGUUGACUCAUCUUCAUAAUCUGAAUUCUCAACACCCUCUCUCAAACUUAAGGUCUUGUCGAAGACAUUAAGUUUGCUUCUAAAUUGACUGAACUUGUAAUAAGGCAAUGGCUUGGUUAAUAUGUCUGCAACUUGAUCUCUGCUGGCUACAAAACUGAUUUCCAGCUCUCCUUGAGUGACUUUGUCUCUAAUGAAAUGAAGGUCUAUCUCAAAAUGCUUUGUCUUUGAGUGAUACACUGGAUUUGUGGCUAUUGCUGCUGCACUUGUGCUAUCACUUAAGAUCAUUGGAACUCUUUGCAUCUUGAUUUCCAAUUCACCAAACAGAGAAUUUAUCCAAGUGAUUUCAGUAGUACACAAAGCUAUGGCCCUGUACUCGGACUCAGCUGUCGAUCUUGCUACCAUGCCUUGCUUUAUUGAGCUCCAAGCUACUAAAUUGUCUCCCAAAAACACACAAUAUCCACUUACUGAUCUUCUGUCAUCUGGAUCACUAGCCCAGUCAGCAUCAAUAUAGGCUAUCAAAUCUAGAUGUUCUGACUUCUGGAACUUUAAGCACAUGUUUGCAGUGCUCUUUAGGUACCUCAACACUCGUUUGCAAGCUGUCCAGUGAGAUUGUCUUGGGUCAGACAGGUAUUGGCUAAGCUUGUUCACAGAAUAUGCAAGCUCUGGUCUUGUUAGAACAGCAUAAUGUAGACUUCCUACAACACUCCUAUAAAAUGAAGGAUUGUCAAGUUUGGUGCCUUCACCCUUCUUUAGUUUCUCUGCUGUGCUGAAAGGUGACUCUAUUCCCUUGCAAUUCUCCAUCUCUGUUUUAGCUAAUAGGUCUUGAACAUAUUUAGCUUGAGAGAGCAAAAUGGAGUUCUGAUUUCUUAUAACAUGUAUCCCAAGGAAGUAGCUUAAAUUUCCAAGAUCUUUCCACUUAACUUUCCUAUCACUUCCUCAAUACCCUUGCUGUUAUUUCCAGUCACAAUUAUGUCAUCUACAUACACAAGCACAAUGAUUAUUUCAGCACUGCUUCUUUUGAAGAAUAGAGAAAUAUCACACUUGGAGUUGUUGAAUCCCCAAGAGCACAGAGCAUUCUUUAAUUUGUCAAACCAUGCUCUGGGUGCUUGUCUCAGUCCAUAAAGAGCUUUCUUGAGCUUGCAUAUGUGGUUUGGUCUUCUCCUAUCCUCAAAUCCCUCAGGUUGUGGCAUGUACACUGUCUCUGUCAAAUCUCCAUUCAGAAAUGCAUUAUUUAUGUCAACCUGCCUCAACAGCCAAUCAUUACUUACAGCCAAAGUUAAAAUGAUUCUGAUUGUUGCAGCUUUGACCACAGGGCUGAAAGUCUCAUUAAAGUCAAGUCCUGGUGUCUGCAGAAACCCCUUCAAGACAAGUCUAGCUUUGUAUCUAUUUAUGGUGCCAUCUGGAUUUUCCUUUACUUUGUACACCCAUUUGUUGCCAAUGAGUUUGUAGUUCUGGUCAUGUGGAAUUAAGGUCCAGGUUUGGUUUUUGACAAGAGCAUUAUAUUCAUCCUCCAUUGCUCUUCUCCAUUUAGGAUCUUUCAGUGCCACAGUGGAGUCAGGGGGUAAGGAAGUUUGAGAUUGAGUGGAUAUUUGAUAAACCUUUGGCUUGCAAAUCCCUGCUUUUGACCUUGUGAUCAUGGGAUGUAAGGAGGCUUGAGUGUUUGGUUAUGUUAUGAGAGGCAAGGUGCAAUUUUCUACUGAGGUGUUUGGUGAGAGUUCAACAGGUGAGUGGUUGUCUGAUAUAGAGUUGAAGCUCAAAUUCUAACAAGCUCCAUCUUAACUAAAACUUGGGAGCUGUUCUGAGUUUCCAGCAGUGGCCUGAGAUUAACUAUGAGCUGCAUUUUGCUGUGUUGACUCAGGGGGAACAGUAGUGGAGAAAGAUACAACUUGAAAUUUUUCUAGAACUGUGGGGGAAUCAUUUUGGUCAGUGAGCCUUUGCUUGCAGAAAUUUGAGUCAUUUUGAAAAGGGAAUGAAUGAUCAUUAAAUUGACACUGGCUGAAAUGUAGAUCCUCCCAGAAUGAUGCAUGCAAAUGUAACCUUUGUGACUGAUGCUAAUGCCUAGUAGUGUGCACUUGAAAGUGUGAAAAUCAAACUUAUGCUUGUUGUAGGGUCUUAAGUAUGGAUAGCAUUCACAACCGAAAACUUUAAUUUGGGAAUAAUCUGGUUUGGUGAGAUAUAACAGCUCAAAUGGAGUUUUAUUUUCAAGAAUAGGUGAGGUUAAUCUGUUUAUGAUGUAGGUGGCAUAGCUGAAAGCUUCUUGCCAAUAUCUCAAAGGCAUUUUUGCUUGGGCUAGUAAUGUUAGGCCAGUUUCCACAAUGUGUCUGUGCUUUCUCUCCACCUUUCCAUUUUGUUCAUGUAAAUAAGGGCAUGAGUGUCUUAAGGCUAUUCCUUCUUUCUUGAGAAAGGGUUCGAAAGUUUUAAACUCCCCACCCAUGUCUGUUUGUAAAGCCUUGAUUCUUAAAUUUAGCUGAUUUUCUACUUGGUUUUUAAACACAAUGAAUGUGUCAAGGGCCUGUGAUUUUGUUGUUAAGGGAAACAACCAUGUGUAUCUUGUCUUGUCAUCCACAAAUGAUAUGUAAUAUCUGUGUCCAUGGGUAGAUGGAAUAGGUGCUGGUCCCCAGAGAUCACUAUGUAUUUGUUCUAAGGCUGUGCUGGUCUUGGUUUCAAUGCUUUUAAAGUUUAGUUUUGAUUGCUUUCCAUACUGACAAGCAUUACAGAAUGAGGGAAAUAUAUUUUUAUUUAAGUUGAGCUGAUUACAAGAUAAUAGAGUAUUUUUCAGAACUGACUCAUUUGGAUGCCUCAGCCUAUGGUGCCAGAGAUCUAUUUCAUUUGUUCUAAGAUCCCUACUGCUUGUAUCAGCUCUACUGGACUCGACAACACUGGCACCAACACUGGCACCUAAAGACUCAUUACUACUGAAAUUGAAACAUGCCAUUGACAUUGGAUUGCUAAUGCAACUUAUUGACUUGGGUAUUGGAAAUGAAGAUAACUCAGCAGCAUAAGUAACCUUGUUGCCACUCAAAUGAGUUGGCAUGCAUAGCAGCUCAUAUAGUCCAUCUCUAGCCACUCCUUUCACCAGAAUUCUCCCUUGGCUCUUGUCCUUGAUGAAGCAAACAGAUUUUUGAAACUCAACAUCAAUAUCAUUAUCAUGAAGCAAUUUGGAAACACUAAUGAGAUUUUUGGUAAUAUCAGGUACAAACAAAAUAUGAUUUAAUUUGAUGUGUUUGUGUGGACUGUAAGUGGGCAAUAUAGAAUAACCAAUGUGAGAGAUAUGAAGUUUGUUACCAUUACCAACAGUGAGCUUGUCAUUACCUUGGUACUCUGAGUUCAGGUUCAUGUUUCCAAUAGCAUUGGUCACAUGAUUUGUGGCACCACUGUCAAGGUACCAGGCAUUGCUGUUUUGUCCUUCUGUUGUGGCCAUGUAGGCUCCUCUCCUCCUAUUUAGCUGUGGCACAUAAUUUUUCUUAAACCUAUGCCAGCAUUCAACAGCUGUGUGCCCCAUUUUGAAGCAGAUUUGGCAUGGACCCUUUGAUUCAGAACCUUCACCUUCUGCAGCAGCUUUGCCUUUGCCUUUGUCUUGAAUAUUUUGAUUUCCCUGACCAUGACCACCAUUGCCACCAUUUCCAGUGCCACCACCAGGAUUUCUGAAGACUAUCCCAGGUUGUUGCUGACUGCCAAAUCUUUCACCAUUGCCCCAGUUCCUCCUGCCAUUUCUCAUCUGUGUGAAGUUAGCCUCAAGAAUCCCUGGGCUGAGAUUUUGCUCAGUCCUGGUUUCUUGGCUGAGGAGCAUGCUGUAGACCUCUGACAAUGAAGGAGUUUCUGGCAUAGAGUUAAUGUUAGUGACAACAGAGUCAUAUUCAGAUCAUACUCCAGCUAAGACACACAUAAUAAAGUCCUCAUCACUCAUGUUAUUUCCAGCUGCUCUGAGUGUAUUUAGGAUAGUUUUCAUCAUGGAGUAAUAAUCAUGGAUUGUAAGAGAGCCCUUUUUAGUGGUUUGAAUCUGUGUCCUCAAAUAUAGGAUUCUAGCUCUUGUUCUUGCACCAUACUGAUUGGUAAGAGUUGUCCAAACUUCAUGUGAAGUAGAACAAUCCACCACAGUGCCGAGGACACCCUCACUGAGAGAUGAGAGCAACCAGCUCAAAAGAAUGUGGUCCUGUUUCUUCCAGAUUUGAUAUUCUGGAUUUUGGUGGGUAACGGUAGCUUGGUUAGGUCCAGGACUGGUGAAAUAUCUGGGGGGACAGGUAUAGCUUCCAUUUAUGAAGCCUUCAAGCUCAUUUGCUCGUAUGCUGGAGACCACUUGUGAUCUCCAGAGCAUGAAAUUGUUCUGUGUUAACUUGAUGGGAGUGGUGAACACAUAUGUGUUGCUGGUGAUAUGUUGGGUAGGAGAUGGGUUCAUUAUGGUCACAUUUCUUGUGUUAUUAUCUGGAUUCUGAUUGUCGAUAUUUUCAGGUUGGUUUUGAUUCAAAUCAUUUGGUUGAUCAUCUGGAUUUUCCAGAGUUUGAUUCAUGUUUGUUUGUGAAUUUCUGCUGCUUUCCAUAGCUCAAAAGUUGCUCUGAUACCAACUUAAAUUCUUAUGAAUUGCUUAAGUAUGCAAGCAGAAGAGCAGAAAAAAAAUAACCUUUUCAUAUAUUAUAAUAACAUGAAUAAUCAGAUAUACACAUCCUUCACAUAUUUAUACUAAACGUGAAAAAUGGUAGCUUGCUCAAAGGGAAAACAGAAAUGAAUAAAACAAAAGAUUACAGCUGCACUAGCCAAUCAUUGGAAACAUUCUAGAAACUCCAGCUUGCAGUAUUCACGUGUAAAUAUUCUCCUGCAUAACAGUUUUGCCAGCUCAUUGAAUACACCUCAACUUCUUCAUCAGCUGGCUGCUGGAUAUGGCUGCUCAGGUGGCAUGCCAACAUGGCCUUGGGGUCAAUUGUUGACUCAUCUUCAUAAUCUGAAUUCUCAACAAUGCAUUCAAACAGAUCUUCUUCAAAUUUCUUAGAACUUGCAACCGAAGAUAUUGGAGUUUCGCAAAAGGUUUUAGCCCUGUAACUUCUUCCACUUUCCAAACACUGAUUAUUUCUUCCAUCUCAUAACAACGUUCUACAUGGACCAUCUUCAGAUUUGGGGCAAAAACAAGCCAUGUCAUCUCCCUCAAUUUACUGCAAUAGUCUAUGGUAACACUUUGAAGGCUGUUGAAACCAUAAGUUCUCUUGUUGUUUGAACUUCUGCAUAGUCAACCUUUAGCUCUUCCAAACUUGUACAAUACACAAAAUCUAGUUUGUCAAGAUACUUGAGAUCUGCUAUGGACAAAAUAUUCCAUGACCUUGAAUCCUCACAGCGUCGAAGCUCUAAAGCAUAUUUACAACUCUUGUACUGUUGGCAGCUCAAAAGUCUUCGUAGAGCAUAAAAACUUCUUAACGUGACGCUUAAUACAUUUAAAUGUUCCAAAGUAAUCAACUCCUCUACCAAAAUUUCACUACCACCAAAUAGAACGCUAUCUUCUGGUACUGUAUUAGCAGAGCCACAAUCUAGCAUCCUCAACACCUUUAACCCAGAAAAAUUACAAAGCAGUUGCCGUGGAAUCGUAUGGAGAUAACGCAUGUACUCCAAGUUCAAACACUUUAGAUUUUUCAAGGCUUUUAAUUCAUGUGGUAACUCUUUGAUGAAAGUUUCUGAAAGAUUAAGAUAUUGUAGUGAAACCAAUUUUGAAAUUCCUGAAGGCAAUUGACUCAAGGAGCGAUUCUUUGAUAGGUUUAAAACUUUAAGAGAAGGCAUAAAAUCGAAGAAAUCACUAGGGAUAGUAUCUAACAUAUUAAUGCCGAGGAACAAAGUUAUAAGAUGAGGGCAUAUUGGAGUUAUUGGUAAAAUCACAAUUUUAUUUCUCAUCAACGAUAUCCUUCUCUUAUCUUCCCAUUGUUUAACCUCGGGUGGUUCAGUUAAUUCAAUACCGGCAGAAACCAAAAAGUUUUCAUUCUCCACUUCACAGGCUAUCCACAAGGUCAUAUCACGAAUCACAUCAUGCAAUUUUACAUAAUCUGAUCCUGCUUCUUCCAAUAGGCAUGCAUGAACAAGAACACCAAUAAUGUAGUAUCCUUGGUUAUGUACUCCAUUAAUUCCUUCAUAUUCCUUCAGAAAACCCUCACCAAUCCAACACCCUAUCAAUUCAAUUUUGCUAAUUUGAUAAUCCUCAGGAAAUAAACUACAGUAUAACAGACAAGAUCUAAGGACGUCACUAGACAAACUAUCAUAACUGAAUUUUAAAAGACGAAACACCUCUUUCUCCAUACCUGGAAAUUCAUAAGCUGAUCUCCUUAACAUCUGAAUUGCAUAGCUCCAUUCUUCGGGUGUCUUCUUGCUGCUCAUGGCACGACCGGUGGUAAUAAGUGCAAGUGGCAAACCACUACACUCCUUUGCCACAGUUUUGGCUAACUCCGGAAUAUCGGGAUGACUUUCAAGAGUCUCUUCUCCGACCUUCUUUAGGAACAAUUCCCAAGCAUCUUGAUCUGCCAAACACUCCACCUUGAACUUUUUUUGAGCUUCCAUGAGGCCACAGACGUCCACAAGACGAGUCGUAAAUGUUGAAAGUCAUGGCUGGCGCCGGCCAUCUAGAUGGCCGGUGCCAACCAUUCAACAUUCAACACGGCCCGCCAUUAUUGGUGGUGCCGUGUUGAAUGACUCCAUAAAAAAAAAAAAAAAAAAAAAGAGCCAAAAUUUUGGCUAUAUAAAGAGGGCUUCCCACCCUCAUUUAUAAUCCAAUCUUGAGAGAGCAAUUUAGGGAGUUGAGAGAGAGUUUAAGAGCUUGCAUUUAUAAGCUCUUAUUUUAGUGAUUUGAGAGUUUGGGUGUAUUGGGGUUUUGGGUAGUGAGCUAAAAUACUACAAUACUUGUAACUCCUUUUCACUAGUAAAAUAUUUCCUUCUGUCUUUGCCCAUGGACGUAGGCUAAAAGCCGAACCACGUAAUUUCUGGUGUCCUCUAUUGUGCUUGUUCUUUAUUUUAUUUCCAAUUUCAUUUUAGCUGCGGUCCUGCUUCACCCACCAAUUUCCUAACAGUGGUAUCAGAGCUAUUGGUUGUAUUUUUGGAGUCGGGAACUGUUCACGUAAGGGGUACUAUUCACGUAUACGACACUAUUCACGUAUACUGUACUGUUCACGUAUACGGGUUUGUUCACAUAUACGGUACUGUUCACGUAUACGAUACUAUUCACGUAUACGGUACUAUUCACGUGAAACGGGGAAGCGAUCCAAGAAUUUUCCGGUGCAAAGCAGGGAAUAGUAGUGUGAGAAAAGCAACUGUGGUUUUGUACAUGUCUAGGAAAGUUCUGUCACAAAGGCGAUAAGAGCUUAAGGAGUCUGGGUUUUAAGUGGGACCAUUGUGACCCCUCCAGUCUUUCCUGGGAACUUUCCUGGUGUGCAUUCUCACACAUACUCACAACUAUUCAAGGUGGUAUACUAGCUUGUGUGCAGUAUUUAUCAACAAAAUGGCGGCAAAGUAUGAAAUUGAGAAGUUGAACGGAAAUAAUUUUUCGUUGUGGAAAAUGAAGAUGAAAGCUGUAUUGAGGAAAAAUAAUUGUUUGGCAGCAAUUGGAGAAAGGCCCAUGGAGAUAACUGAUGACAAGUGGAACGAGGUAGACGGUAACGCCAUUUCUGAUCUACACUUGGCACUUGCGGAUGGUGUAUUAUCUAGUGUGGCAGAGAAAAAUACGGCGAAGGAAAUAUGGGAUACUCUCACAAAAUUGUACGAGGCCAAGUCACUACACAACAAAAUCUUCUUGAAGAGAAAACUAUAUACUCUUCGAAUGGCGGAAUCUACAAUGGUGACCGACCACAUCAACACUUUGAAGACUCUAUUUUCACAACUCACAACGUUGGGUCAUAAUAUAGAGGAGAAUGAACGUGCAGAGCUUCUACUUCAAAGUCUACCAGAUUCGUAUGAUCAACUCAUCAUCAACCUGAUGAACAACAAUCCAGUGGAAAGUCUAGUUUUCGACAAUGUUGCAGCCUCCGUAUUAAAUGAGGAGAGCAGACGGAAAAAUAAGGAAAACAGACAAGCAAGUUCGCAGCAAGCAGAGGCGCUAUCGGUGACGAGAGGGAGAUCAACGGAACGUGGCCCCAGUGGGAGUCAAAGUUAUGGUAGAUCAAAAUCCAGAAGUAAGAAAAAUGUUAAAUGCUACAACUGUGGCAAGAAAGGGCACGUCAAGAAAGAGUGUUGGAGUAACCAGAAGAGAAGAGAGGGUAAAGAACCUGAGUCAUCAAAUGCUCAGGGGUGUGUAGCAAGUACCUCGGAUGAUGGCGAAAUUCUCUACAGUGAGGCAACAACUGUUUCAGAAGGCAGAAAACGACUUUCUGAUGUCUGGCUUAUAGACUCAGGAGCUACCUGGCACAUGACCUCUAGGAGAGAAUGGUUCUACACAUAUGAACCUAUCUCAGGAGGAUCUGUAUAUAUGGGUAACGAUCAUGCCUUGGAGAUCGCUGGUAUUGGUACUAUCAAAAUAAAAAUGUUUGAUGGUACAAUUCGCACAAUUGGGGAGGUACGACAUGUCAACGGCCUAAAGAAAAAUCUAUUGUCUUUAGGACAAAUGGAUAGUCAUGGGUACAAAACUCAUGUGGAGAAUGGAAUUAUGAAGAUCGUUAAAGGCGCGCUUGUAUUAAUGAAGGCAGAAAAGAUCAGUGCUAAUCUAUUCAUGCUUAAAGGAGAAACACUACAGGAGGCUGAUGCGUGUGUCGCGUCAAAUGGAGAAGAAUCAACGAUGAUGUGGCAUCUCAAACUCGGCCACAUGUCAGAACAAGGCUUGAAGAUUCUCUCUGAGCGAAAAUUGCUUCCGGGGCUCAAAUCAGUAAGUUUACCAUUUUGCGAGCAUUGUGUUAUAAGUAAGCAGUAUAGAUUAAAAUUCAGUAGAUCUAUUGCUAGAAGUAAAUGCAUUCUAGACUUGAUUCAUUCUGAUGUUUGGGAAUCACCGGAUAUAUCCAUGGGAGGUGCAAAGUACAUGGUGACUUUCAUUGAUGAUUAUUCCAGAAGAUGUUGGGUGUAUCCAAUUAAGAAAAAGUCAGAUGUAUUUCCUGUGUUUAAAGAAUACAAAGCGCGGGUGGAACUUGAAUCUGGUAAAAAGAUCAAGUGCUUAAGGACAGAUAAUGGUGGAGAAUAUACAUACGACGAGUUUCUUGCUUUCUGUAAGCAAGAAGGUAUUCAGAGGCAAUUCACGGUGGCAUACACUCCUCAACAAAACGGAGUAGCAGAGCGGAUGAACAGAACUCUUACAGAAAGAAUAAGAGCUAUGUUGAGGACUGCUGGUUUACCCAAUUCAUUCUGGGCAGAAGCAGCCAAAACCGCCUGUUAUAUAGUAAAUCGGUCGCCAUCUACAGCUAUUGGGUUGAAGACAGCGAUGGAGAUGUGGACUGGAAAGCCAGCUGAUUAUUCCUACCUACAUGCAUUUGGAUGUCCUGUGUACGUGAUGUACAAUGCCCAAGAAAGAACAAAGCUGGAUGCAAAAUCUAGAAGAUGUAUCUUCUUGGGGUAUGCUGAUGGAGUAAAGGGGUAUCGUCUGUGGGACCCCACUGCCCAUAAGAUCGUCAUCAGCAGAGAUGUUAUCUUUGUAGAAGAUCAACUACAAAGAAAAGAUGGAGAUGAUGGCACUGUAAAAGAAAAGUCAGAGACUGUACCAGUAUAUGUCGAAAAUAAUCUAGAAGAUUCAGAUUCUUCUGAAGCAGCACCAGAGCACGAGGAACAAGAACCAGUCGAGUCUGAGGCUCCAGAAGUUCGUCGGUCAACUCGUGAGAGACGACCACCGGCGUGGCACUCGGAGUAUGUCACAGAGAUCAACGUUGCAUACUGUCUUCUAACAGAGGAUGGAGAGCCUUCAACUUUCCAUGAAGCUUUAAACAACUUAGAUGUUGCUUUGUGGAUGACAGCAAUGCAGGAAGAAAUUGAAGCUCUACACAAGAACAAGACAUGGGAACUUGUACCACUACCACACGGAAGAAAAGCCAUUGGAAACAAAUGGGUCUACAAGAUCAAACGUGAUGGCAAUGACCAAGUGGACCGGUAUCGUGCAAGAUUGGUGGUGAAAGGAUAUGCUCAGAAAGAAGGUAUUGACUUCAACGAGAUAUUUUCUCCGGUGGUUCGACUCACAACAGUCAGAAUAGUCUUGGAGAUGUGUGCUACAUUUGAUCUACAUCUUGAGCAGUUAGAUGUUAAAACUGCAUUUCUUCAUGGAGAACUUGAAGAAGAAAUAUAUAUGCUCCAACCAGAAGGUUUUGCAGAAACAGGAAAGGAGAACUUGGUUUGCAGGUUGAACAAAUCUCUAUACGGUCUCAAACAGGCGCCGAGGUGUUGGUAUAAGAGAUUUGAUUCCUUCAUCAUGAGCCUUGGAUACAACAGACUCAGUUCAGACCAUUGUGCAUAUUACAAGAGGUUUGAAGAUAAUGAUUUCAUCAUUUUACUGUUGUACGUGGAUGACAUGUUGGUAGCAGGCCCCAACAAAGAUCAAGUCCAAGAAUUGAAGGCACAAUUGGCUAAGGAGUUUGAAAUGAAGGACUUGGGACCAGCAAACAAGAUUCUAGGGAUGCAAAUUCACCGAGACAAAAAUAACAGGAAGAUUUGGCUUUCACAGAAGAAUUACUUGAAGAAAAUCUUGCGGCGCUUCAACAUGUAAGAUUGUAAGUCAAUUUCUACCCCACUUCCUGUUAAUUUCAAAUUAUCCUCAAGUAUGUGUCCUAGCAAUGAAGUGGAGAGGAAGGAGAUGUCUCGAGUACCGUAUGCAUCAGCAGUGGGAAGUUUAAUGUUCGCUAUGAUAUGUACUAGACCAGACAUUGCACAAGCAGUGGGAGCAGUCAGUCGAUACAUGGCGAAUCCUGGUGGAGAGCAUUGGAUAGCUGUAAAGAGGAUUCUGAGAUACAUCAGAGGAACCUCAGAUGUUGCAUUAUGUUACGGAGGAUCAGAGUUUACUAUCAGGGGCUAUGUGGAUUCAGAUUUUGCAGGAGAUCUUGAUAAAAGAAAAUCCACUACUGGUUAUGUGUUUACACUUGCAGGAGCAGCUGUAAGCUGGGUUUCGAAACUGCAGAUCGUUGUGGCUUUANNNNNNNNNNNNNNNNNNNNNNNNNNNNNNNNNNNNNNNNNNNNNNNNNNNNNNNNNNNNNNNNNNNNNNNNNNNNNNNNNNNNNNNNNNNNNNNNNNNNAUAUUCUUGAUUAAUCCAUUUUCUGAAAUUUUUUAUUUUGUAUGGUCAAUUAUACCUUCAUACUAAAAAUUUCUGAUGUUAUGGGGUUGUUGGAUGUGUUUUGGAUAUUUGCAGCUAAGUUUGAGUUUAUAUCUCAACUUAAAAUUUGUAGUUUUCACUUGAAAAAAUUCAGUUAAAAAUUGAUUGGUAGAAUUGUGAAGAAGUUUAAAUUUUUAGUUCAACCCGAUUGCAUAUUUAAGAACAUCUCAAAUGAAUUGCUUACUGCUAUCAUCAUCAUAAUUGUCAGAGAUGGUUAAUUGAUAGACUAUGUGCCUGGGUCGAGCACUGGAAGCCUGCAAUGCAGACUGAUUGAUUUAUCAGUUUAACGUGUGCCAGGAAUGAAGAACUGGAAUAUCACCGUCAAGCAAGCACCCUGUGGAGCAAUACCAAAGAAUGCACAAUCCGGCUUUGCAAGGUGACACUGGAGGCUUUUUGAAAAGUGCUUCACGCUCACUUGCACAGAUUGAGCAUCCCCUCUGGAUAUUGCCCUCUCUGAUCGAGUCUGAGCACUCAAAUUUUGGUCCUCAGAGGGAGCUACAGUUUUCUCUCCAAUAACCAACAAUUUUCUAAACUCAGCACCUAGUGUGAUCAGAGUUGUUGAUAUUUAUAAAUGGAGAUCCCCAUAUUUGCAAGUGGAGACAUUUAACAAUUCACCAACAUGCUUCAUCCGGUGUACAAAAUUCUGCAGCUGAUUCAAAUCCGGAACCUGAACCAGAGUCGGAGGUAUAUCUUGAGCCAUAUCUAAAGUAGUUUGAAGUUCAAGACCUUGAGCCCUUGACAAUGGUUUUGAAAUUGGAACAUCUUGGAUUACUGCAGACUUGUACCCCUUGGUUUCAAAGGUAAGGAAAGGCAUUGCUUGAGUACAAUUUGGAGGCAGCUUCUUCACCAAUUUUAUUUGGAGGCGAUUGGCAGCGGAUCCAGCAGCACCAAUUUCAGAGCAAAUACUGACACUACUUCGAACAGCACACUGAAGAAGUGAUAUGUCUACGGCAAAGGCAAUGCAGUCCUCAUUUUGGCUUGAGAUGCAGUAAUCAUCGAAGAGAGUUUCCUUGUGAAACUGGGCAACACAUUGAAUCCCUUCGCCACUGAGAAGGUUGUGGAGGAAGUAAGCUUUCUCUCUAGUGAGGCAGAGGUGGCAUACCUUCCCCAUUUUGUCGAGGGCAGGUAGGAAUCUUUUUUCUAAGAGAUUUACUUCAUUCUCUGUGAGAAAUGCUUUGAACUUCAUCCCUCUGUCUCUAUCCUCACUUAUCAGGAAAUAAGUUGAAAGCACUACGAAGAGAGAGAGAGAGAGAGAGAGAGAAUUAAGAUAUAUAGACAAGAAAAAUAUUAGACGUUGAUCUUACAAACUAAUACUUCAAGCAGUAUCCUGGAAAGCUAAAAACUGCAAGAUGGCUUGAAAUUUGAAAAGAGCACGUGCUUUUCCUCCUUAACUUGAGAAAAUGUUUAAUAUAGUGCACCUUAUGGAAGCAUUUAAGCAAUUAGAACUUUGCACAAAAACAUCAAGAAGACUAAACAAGUCAGAUGCAGUGUAUUUGUCCAAGCACAAAUUGCAUUUUGUCCUCAACUUUAAUAUUUAUUGAUGAGAAUCAAUACAGGUCCCUCAUUUGUUAUAGAAAGCUUUCUUUCUUGUAGUCUCACCAGUUAAUUCACAGGUCUAUAAUCAUCUUGCAAAGUUAAGGGCAUUUCUUUUGAUCUAAAGUCUUUGCAUCACCACCUCAUCACACGCCAAGCCAAUAUUCCAUUUACCUCUACAACAAAAAGUUUUAAUUAAACAAUCCUAAUGCACGCAGCCAAAUAAAAUGCAGUAAGAAUAUUCAACUUAAAAAUCUGAAAGCCAACUUGGUGAAUUGCCUCCUUAGGUGAAGUUCCAUGCUUUACUAUAGUUGACAGAACUCAGCAAAAGCUUCCAUACAACAGAUUUUGAAAAUGAUGAUGCCAACAGAUACUCAUUCAAUCCAUUGAAACUCCAAAGGUUCAUUGUUCAUAGAAGUUUACAAAGUUUUGGUCAUCAAAUAGCUCAGACCUAAUCCCAAACAAAAAAAGAGUGAAAAUUAGAUCACGAGCAGCUAAUUGUAAAUUCUAACUUAACUCUUCAUCUCCUUUGUAAACAAGAAACAAAAUGGAGACACGCAAAAUGAAUAUGGAGAAAAUUUGAACUCAAAUGAAAUGAGGGCACGAAAGCAAACAAAUGGCAUGCACAAAAAAACCAAGCCUCAAUCAAAAACUAAUUAACCAUUAAGAAAAAAAUUGGUCAGACAAUGAACUCCAAAUUCAGGAGUCAAGCAAGAAGCUUUCAUUAUUUCAGAAGCUCCUGUACAAAUUAAUAAGUUAUGCUCUUUGGAAGCAAAACCAAAUUCCAAGAGAAACAGAACCCAAAAAAUUUGCAAUUAUUCGCAAAGGAAGUGAAGCACAGGAUUCUAUCACACAUAGGAAUUUUAUAACAAGAGAUCGAUAUAUCGAAUUAGAAAACUCAAUUCGAAUUUGUGUGAAAAAUCAAAAUUAGAAGAUUUCACAUUUCGAGAGGAACAAGCAACAGAUGAGUUUAAUUUCAGCCAUAACAUGCUAAAAAUGCUACACUUAACGGUUCCUUGUCAGCUAUUGAUGCGUUCGCUCANNNNNNNNNNNNNNNNNNNNNNNNNNNNNNNNNNNNNNNNNNNNNNNNNNNNNNNNNNNNNNNNNNNNNNNNNNNNNNNNNNNNNNNNNNNNNNNNNNNNAAGGGUCAUGUUCAAGCAGGAAAACUUCUAGAACAGGUAAGGAUUCCAUCUACAGACAUCCAUUGACAGCAGAUAUAUUUCAUUAAGCAGACACUGUUAGCAUUCAAGAUGCUGGCAGAUUCACUUGAUUCUUAUUAGUUUGUUUAGUGGCAAGGCAUAUAACCUGUAUUUCAAAGCCAAGUUGUGCUAUUGAUUAUGUUAACUUUAUUGUUAACAUUAAGUGAUUUGGAGGACAUAAUCAAUGUAGGAAAAUUAGGUGAAGAGAUGAUGUCAAAUCUUGAACCUCUUACAAAGCUCCAAGUUCUUUACUUGAAGAAGCUGCCAAAUUUGAAGAGCGUCUACUGGAAGGCAUUUCCAUUCCCAGAUGUAUGCAGAAUUUUUGUAUUAAUGCCCAGUUCUUAAGAAGCUGCCACUGGAUUUUCAUGGGGCGGGCCAAGGUAAAAUUCUUAUCAAGGGAAAGGAAGAUUGGUGGAAAGAACUUCAAUGGGAGGAUCAAGCAACUCAGAAUGCAUUGCUUCCAUUUUUCAAAUCAACUGACAAGUGAUUGAAGGGGGCAUCAUCAACAGAGAUGGAGAGAUUCUGGAGCAGAUCAGCAGGGUUUGUAUAUGAUCUUUGGUGGUUGCUUUCUUUUGUGAUUUUUUUUUUCUCAUUUUUUUACCUUCCUGUCAUUUUAUCAUUUCUUUGUCUCUUUUUCUAUUGCUGAUGUUAGUGUAUGCUUACUGUUGCUUGACAAAGUUUGCUUGCUUCUUGUUUAUUAAAUUUUUUAUGGUCACAAAAUAUUACUUGUUCUAUUUGAGAGUGAUGUGAAUCAAUUUUCAAUUAUAUAUUUUUUGGUCAAUGUGAAUUCAAUUUCAUUUGUCUCCUGCAAUUAUUAAAAAAAUGCAGUCUCAUAAUAUGGAAAAGUCGACCGGCAAAAAUUUUGUGAAAGCUUCGGAGUGAAACAGGGAAUUCACUUACUACUAAGGACAAUUGGUGGCGAGCUAUUCCAUUCAUUUUAUGUCCCUACAUCUAUUUAAUUAUUAAAGAUAAGUGGUCCAUUUGUAAAUUUCAGAUUGUGUCUCUCUGAAAAUAACAAUAUUUAAAAUGUCUCUUAAAUUAUUAUAAAUUUUAAUUCACUCUCGAUUUAAAAUGGAACAUGCUGAUGAAAAUUUUUUUCUUCUCAAUAUUCAAUAAAAUUGAAAUAAAUUGUGUUUGCAGUAUUUUGAAAUAUUUUAAAGAUUAUUAUUUUAUAAGAGAGUAAUAUGAAAUGAAAUUUACUCUUCAUGCGUGAAAUGUUGAAAAGGACAAAGGAAAGUGUCACUGCUUUUAUUUUAUUUCAAAGUGGAGUCAUCUCACAUACUUUACCUCUAUCAUUACAAUUUUUCACGUUACAUUUUGAUUUAUUUAUUUCUUUUAACACAUGCAUGUGGGUUACUUUUCCGUAAGCUCCUUAAUAUAUGUUUAACACAAAUCAUGGAAGAGAUGGGAGUAUAUCAAGAUGAUCAAAGCAUGAGACAAAAAUAUUUAAGAAGUAAAACACUGAAAAUAGAGGAGAGAUGCAAGCAAAAGAUAUUCCAAAGAAAAGCAAUCUAUCCCCUUUCGAGGGCAAACUUAAUCAGGUUUAAGAAAAGUACAUGUUUUGGAUUGGUAGUUGCAGCCUUGCAGGAUAAUUGUUUUUGCCAUUAUAUUAGUUGGAGGAGUUGAACCCAGCGAAGAAUGUUAUGGAAGAGCAAAUUAAUGAUAUUUCUGAUAGAGUCUAUUUGAUUAUGUAGCCUGAAUGGAUGUCUUGUUGAAAGAUAUCUCAGUGCAUUAGUUCAUCCUUGUCUGUCAAUGUGUUUUUAAUGGUUUUUCCAAUUGUUUAUUAUUAUAGAUUGAUUGUAAAUUUAUAUGAAAAUUUGAUAUGAAUUUAAUGUUGAAAUGUUUUCUCUUUAGUGGAAUGAAUUUAAAUUGAUUGAUUGUAAAUUGAUAUGAAUUUAAUGUUGCAAUGUUUUCUCUUUAGUGAAAUGAACUUAAAAGUGUAAAAGAUUAUUGCACACAUAGAAAUAAACAUAUAUGCUUUAUAGUAUAACUUUAGCAAUCGAUUCUUUUACGGCUGGAAACAGAGAUGAUGAUUAUCAUAGGGGUGAAGAAAAGGACAAAAAAUAUUAAUAAAUGAUCUUAAUGUUCCACAAAAGCAAAUCGUAAUAUUCCACAAGAAAAAGCAAGAUCUUAAUGUUCCACAAAAGCGUUAUUUAUUUUUUUUGGUGAGCCACGUGGAGCUCAAUUAUCAUUGUCUUUACUUUAAAAACGUUAUUUUAUUUUAUUUUCUUACAAAUUAAUGCUAACAAGAAAAAGCAAGAUAUAAUAUUCCACAAAAGCAAAUCGUAAUAUUCCACAGAGGAAUAAGAUCCACAAAAGCAAACAACUAGCUGGAUUCUUUUAUUAAACUACAAAUUAAAGUGGAAUCGUUUACUAAACAACAAAUUAAAGUUCAAAUAUUUAAAUAGUAGUGCGUUAGACGAUUAGGCUCUUUUAUUAAAGUCAAGUAUAAAGUAGUCCAGAAUCGAACAUCUCUAUUGUCUAGUCUUUUUUUUUUUUAAUUCUUCUUUUAUUAUUUUUCAGAAUAUGUUUUGGUGAUUACUAUUGGGUUAUUAUUCAGAGUUAUUGUUAUCUUCCGGGGCAGUUUCUGUUCAUCGAAAUCGUUAAUUAAAAUUUUAAAACUCUUAUCGGAAGAAUGUUUUUCCGUUAUUUUUUUAUAUUCUAAUUUCAAUUGUAAGAAGUAGUCAUUUUAGAAUUUGGGUCUUGAAUCGAAUUUCAAUGCAUGAAUUAAUAUUUUAAAAAAAUUUACUACAUGCAGUUUAGGUUACAAACUAUUUUUUGCAAAGUUGACUAUGAAAUUGGAGAAAUUAAGUAAUUUAUAAUGUUUGCAAAGAAAGAGACCAACAUACUUCCAAUUACACUAUAUCUCAAUUAUCAUAAUGUUAAGAUUAAACUAACUUAAAAUAAAAUUUAUUUAAAAAGUUUAUCAAACGCAGUCUAAUUUUAUUAACUUGAAGAGAUAAUAGUUAUAGAAAUUAUUAUUCUAACUUAAUUAGUAAAAGUGGUAUAAAGGUUAAGUGUGCACUAAAUCUAUUUAAAUUUUUUUCCAGUAUAACUAACAGAGGUCAUUACUAGAAUUAUAUUACUAGUCUAUUAGAUAGAAAAAAUUAUUUAUAUUGUUUUAUAUUUAUUAAAAAAAUUUAAAGUCAAUCUUUUUAAUUACUAUUUAAAGGAUAUUAUAAUUAAAAAAAUUUUAAUGUCUUCAUUAAAAAUUUAAAAUUUUAUAUGACCGUUAUCUAAAUAUUUAAAGUGUAACUGUCAUUUUCUCAUAUAUAUAUAUAAUUUCAUCAACCCCUUAUACUUUAUGUUAUUUAUAUUUUAUUCAUGAAUAUUAUAAAUUUUUUGAAAUAUAAAAUUUCGUUUAACCCUUUAUACUCAAUUUUAUUUUAUUAAAACCCUAGAGUAUGAAUUCGUCCCUAUAAUAUUAAAUUCUCAAAAUAACUUCCAUUUAAUUAAAAAAUAUAAUUAUUAUUAAAUGAAUUAUAAUUAUUAUUAUUAUGUUAUUAUAAUCAUAAAAAGCGAGAUCAUAUUCCACAAAAGCAUAAGUGACAAAACAACCAACUGGAUUCUUUUAUUAAUCAACAAAUUGUAUAGUCUUUUUCAAAUUGUUAUAAAUUGGUGGCCCCUACAAUCCUCAAUAAUUGUACCGAAAUUCACAAGUUGGUGGGCCCUACAAUUCUGUUCCGAUAAUUUAACUGUGCAAGUGCUCAUUCACAAUCUUCCAGGUCAUGCUCUUAACAAUUGUUUUUUCUUUUCUGCACGCCCUUUCAUGCUCUUAAUAAUUGAAGAGCAUACUUUUCAAAUGUGAAGCCGCAUCUAAUGUCGCUAAUUUAAUUUGGGAUUAAAUUACGGGACUAUUAUAUUGCAGUGUGCACUAAUUUUUAUGUUUAUCUAAACUCUUCAAAUUUAAAACAUAUUAUGGCAUAAAUAAGAAUGUAACAAUAACAAAAGAGUAAGAAAGUGUAGAGAAAAUCUUGCAGAAAUAUAAAUAAUAUUUAUUUUUAAAAUAAUAUUAAUAUUUAAAAUAAUUUUUAAUAUUUUAUGGUCCAUUAGAUAUAUUUUAUUAUAUUAAAAUAAAUUUUAUAAUAAAUAAAAACAUACUAUUAAAAUGAAUAUAUAUAGAAAAUUUAGAGUAUUUUAAGUAUUAUAUAAAAUAAUUUUAAUAAAAUAUGUGAGAUAUUCAUAUUUUAUUAAUUUAAGAUACCAUUUAACCUAAAGAUUUAUUUAUGAUAAAUUAAUAAUUAUAUUUUUGAAAUUACUUCAAAUAUUAAAAAAAUUAAUAUUACUAAUAUAUUAGAUAGAUUAAAUUAUAUAUAUUAUUUUUACUUAUUAAAAAAAUUUUAAAAUUAUUUUUAAUUACUAUUCAAAAAACGUAUUCAAAAAACAUAAUGAUAAAAAAAUCUUAACAUCUUUAUUAAAAAAUUAAAAACUUAUAUGAUAAAUUCUCUAAAUAUUUACGGUAUAUGUGAACCACGGUGGAUAAGCUUUAUUUAAUAUUAUUGAUUUAAAUAAUAUGUCAAUUAAAAAUGUACAGAGAAGAAAUUUCGGUGGGUAUUUUAGUCUUUUAAGCAAUUAUCAUGAUCAGAUCAGCCUUUAGCCUUCAAACGUCGGUCAGAAAAGUUUUAAAAUUAAUGCUAAAUUGUUUUUCACUUUUAACGUUGGUGGCCUUGAAAUUGCUUGUAUUUUAUUAAAAAUUAAUGCUAACAAGAAAAAGCUAGGUCAUAUUCCACAAAAUCAAAAGUGACAAAACAACCAGCUGGUUUCUUUUACUAAACUACAAAUUAAAAUAAAUUUUUUCGAUAAAUUACAAAUUAAAGUGGAUUCUUUUGAAUACAAAUGGGACAGACGAUUAGGCUCUUUUUAUUAGAGGCAAGUAAAAACUAGUCAAGAAUCGAACAGUCUUUUUCCAAUUCUUGUUUUAUUAUUUUUCAAAACUAGUUUUUGGUAAUUACAACCGGGUCAUUAAUCAUUAUUCAGAGUUACUGUUAUCUUCGGGGGCAGUGGGUAAAAGAUAAUUACUAACUGUUUUUCCUUCAAAAGUUAGCGGCUCAUGUUUGCAAGUGUGAAUGUGCGAUGCUCUUUUCUUAAAGGCCAUUACAGUGGGGCCCGAAUCAGACGUGCCUAAAUCUUUUUAAAAUUUUUGCCGUAUAACGAACAGAGGUCAUUACUAAAAUUUCUCUUCCACAGCCUACAGCAGCUUCAGUUUAUCAAACUCCAUCAAUUUUCUUUCUUAACAAAAUUCCAAAGAUGUGUAGCAUUUUUCAGAUCACAUGCGAUGGUGCUCUUUUCAAUCGUUGCUUGGAUUGCUUUCUUGGAAAAGCAGCAUACAUACGUAACCUCCAAGAUAAUCUUGAUGCCUUGGACACUGAACUGGGAAGACUAAUCGCUAAAAAGAACGAUGUGAUGAGGAGGGUUGUCGACGCUGAACGACAACAAAUGAGAAGGCUGGACGGAGUGCAAGUGUGGGUUUCGAGGGUGGAUGCUGUUAAAACUGGAGCCGAUGAACUUAUCACAGACGGCUCUGAAGAAAUUGGCAAAUUAUGUGUUGGAGGCUACUGUUCCAAGAACUGCAGGUCAAGCUACAAGUUCGGAAAACAAGUGGCUAAAAAGCUACAAGAUGUGAAGACUUUAAUCGCCGAGGGAGUUUUUGAGGCGGUGGCUACUGAGGUGGUGCCCGAGAGAGCUCCGGAACCUGUAGCAGAUAAAAGACCCAUUGAGCCAACAAUAGUAGGCUUGCAAUCACAGCUUGAACAAGUUUGGAGAUGUCUUGUAGAAGAAUCAGUGGGAAUCAUUGGCCUAUAUGGUAUGGGCGGUGUUGGUAAAACCACACUAUUGACCCGUAUCAACAAUAAAUUUCUUGAGAGUCAAAACAACUUUGAUUGUGUGAUUUGGGUCGUAGUUUCAAAAGACCUGCGGCUUGAAAAAAUUCAAGACGAUAUUGGGAAGAAGAUAGGUCUGUCUGAUGAUUCAUGGAAGAAUAAAAGUUUUGAAGAGAAAGCUGUGGACAUCCUGCGGAGAUUAGGAGAGAAGAGAUUUGUAUUGUUGUUAGAUGAUUUAUGGGAGCGGGUUGAUUUAACAAAAGUGGGCGUUCCACUUCCCAGCGCACAAAAUACUACCUCAAAAGUCGUAUUCACAACCCGUUCCAUUGGUGUUUGUGGCAGCAUGAGAGCUAGGCCGGUUAAAGUGGCAUGCCUAUCAGAAAAGCAAGCUUGGGAACUGUUCCGCGAAAAUGUUGGGGAAGAAACUCUUGAGAGUGAUCAUGAGAUCGUUGAGCUAGCCCAAACUGUGGCCAAAGAGUGUGGUGGUUUGCCACUCGCACUUAUUACUAUUGGUCGAGCUAUGGCCUUCAAAAAGACAGCCGAGGAGUGGAGUCAUGCAAUUGAUGUGCUAAGAACAUCAGCUUCUGAGUUUGCAGGUUUGGGAGAGAAGGUGUAUCGUCUUUUAAAGUUUAGCUAUGAUAGUUUGCAGAAUGAGACCAUUAGAUCUUGUUUCUUAUAUUGUUGUUUAUAUCCCGAGGAUUAUGGCAUUCUUAAAUGGGACUUGAUUGAUUGUUGGAUUGGUGAGGGAUUCUUGGAGGAAUCUGACAGGUUUAGUGCAGAAAACCAAGGAUACUACAUUGUGGGCACUCUUGUUCAUGCGUGUUUGCUAGAAGAGAUGGAAGAUGAUAAAGUAAAAAUGCAUGACGUUGUUCGUGAUAUGGCUCUAUGGAUAGCUUGUGAAAUUGAGAAGGAGAAGAGAAACUUUUUGGUUUGUGCAGGUGCUGGAUUAAAAGAGGCACCGGAUGUUAAAGGAUGGGAAAAUGUGAGAAGAUUGUCAUUGAUGCAAAACCAAAUUAAAACUCUGUCAGAGGUUCCCACAUGCCCUCAUCUCCAUACUUUAUUUCUUGCCUCUAAUAUGGAGUUGGAGAUGAUCGCGGAUGGCUUCUUCCAAUUUAUGCCUUCUCUCAAAGUUUUGAAGAUGUCACGCUGCUGGAAUUUUCAAUUACCUGUUGGGAUGUCAGAUUUGGGUUCAUCACUAGAACUUCUUGAUAUUUCACAUACCACCAUAAGAGAGUUACCCGAAGAGUUAAAGUUGCUGGUAAAUCUGAAAUGUUUGAAUUUGAGGUGGACAGGUGCGUUAAUUAGAAUUCCACGGGGACUAAUAUCAAAAUUUUCAAGGUUACGUGUGUUGAGAAUGUUGGGUACUGGCGGGUUCAUUUUUUAUGAAGCACCAGAAGACAGCGUUUUAUUUGGUGGGGGUGAAGUUUUGAUACAGGAAUUGCUCGGUUUGAAAUAUUUAGAGGUAUUGGAGUUGACCUUGGGAAGUUAUCAUGCUCUCCAAAUUCUUUUGAGCUCAAAUAAGUUAAAAAGUUGUAUUCGAUCUCUUUACCUCUAUUUGACCGGAGAUAAAAAGUCGAUUAUUGAUGCUACGGCUUUCACAGACCUAAACCACCUCAAUGAAUUAUGGAUUGAUAAUGGAAUUGAGUUGGAAGAAUUGAAGAUUGAUUAUACGGAGAUAGUACGAAAAAGGCGGGAACCUUUUGUUUUCCACAGCCUUCACCUUGUUACGAUAUAUAGUUGCCAUAAAUUGAAAGAUUCGACAUUCCUCGCUUUUGCUCCAAACCUCAAGUCUCUUUCGCUAUUCAAAUGCCGUGCUAUGGAAGAAAUAAUCAGCGUCGGAAAAAUUGCUGAGAAUCCUGAGAUGAUGGGACAUANNNNNNNNNNNNNNNNNNNNNNNNNNNNNNNNNNNNNNNNNNNNNNNNNNNNNNNNNNNNNNNNNNNNNNNNNNNNNNNNNNNNNNNNNNNNNNNNNNNNNNNNNNNNNNNNNNNNNNNNNNNNNNNNNNNNNNNNNNNNNNNNNNNNNNNNNNNNNNNNNNNNNNNNNNNNNNNNNNNNNNNNNNNNNNNNNNNNNNNNNNNNNNNNNNNNNNNNNNNNNNNNNNNNNNNNNNNNNNNNNNNNNNNNNNNNNNNNNNNNNNNNNNNNNNNNNNNNNNNNNNNNNNNNNNNNNNNNNNNNNNNNNNNNNNNNNNNNNNNNNNNNNNNNNNNNNNNNNNNNNNNNNNNNNNNNCACUGUUUUUAUUUCAGUCUCUCUCUCUCUCUUUGUCUCUGCUAAUCACAAUUAAAUGUGAAUUAAUGGAAUUAAUGCUUCAUAAAUUUGCCGGCACUGCCAUUACUUUUUUUUUUUUAAUACAAAUUGAUACUUUAUUUAUAUCUUCUUAGCGAUUUAAUUUCCUGUCAAUUGACGAACGAGAAGAACAUAUGACUUGAACCAAUGCUCGCAUAAACUUGCUGUAAAAAGAUAUAAUCUCACUGAAAUGCACACGCCUAGAAUGAAUAGAAUUAAAACAGGGAAAAUAUUAAGUAUAUUAGCCCUCUUUACCGAAAAUCAAAUGACAAUAAAUUUUUUGAAGUUUUGAUUUUCUAUGGUCAAUUCCACCUUUUGCAAUUUCUUCUGUUCUAACAAAAACCAAUUUCUUUGUUCAAGUAUUUUCGUUUGGGUAUUAAUAAUUCUCCACCGAAAGAGUGAACUCUUGCUCAAGGGAUCUCUAAUCAAUAGCCGGAAGGGCGCCGAGACCUGAUCGGACCUAGGCCCAAGUUUGGUCUUAAAGCCUGGGCUUGAGCCUGGCAAUUAAAUUAAAACAGUAAUUGAUUUCUUGAAUGAAUUGUCGUGUAAUUGAUUUAUGGGGGAUGACACAUCAACAUACUUGAAAAUACACUAAUCUCAGCAUCAUCCGUUAAUAACUUUUAGAUUUAUGGGCAAUCAAUAGUUAAAUUAGUUGUCAUUAAUACUAAAUAAUUUUUACUUUUUUUGUCUCUUCUAGAGGAUCUUCUAGAAAAAUGCAUCCACAAUUAAAUUUAAUACUUUACAUAAUAAAGAAAGCAUAAAUGUUAAAUUUAAGAAACUGCAUUGUAUUUCAGCUGAAGUUGACUUUAAUAUUUAGGGUAGAAAAAAAUUAAAUCCUUAAUGUGUUUAAUUUAUAUCACUUGUGUCAUUAAAAUUUUCUAGUCACCCUAACCAAUUACAUCUCAACCCACUUUUUUUUGGAUGAUUUUAUUUUUAUACUAUUAUUUUCAACAUUUUUUUUUCCUUUUAACACCAACAUUAGUGUAUGUUACGUAACAUAAUCCAUAUUUGGAUAAUUUGAAAUUUGUUUGUGUUUUAUCUCAAAAUAGAGCUUCAAUCAAUUUGUACCUCAUAAAUUCACAAUAUCUGGCAGGGCUAAUAAGACCAAACUCUGGCAUAUUAUCAAAUGUGCUUAUCCUUUUGCUUGACAUGUCAUUUUAAAAUUGUCAUUCAAUGCCAAAAAAAUCACAUCAACUGAUGGCCGACUACUUUAAUUUGAAAGCAUGCAUGCGAUCGCCACCAAUAAUUAUAACUUAAUUGUUAUAUUGAAAUUUUUUUCUUUAUAAUUUUUAAGUUUAAUACUGCUACAUGUGCGGCACAUAAGUUGGAAAAUAUAACAUAAAAUUUGAAAAAUGUGUAGUUUUCGUUCCUUUUUUUUCUUAAAAAUGGGGAAAAAGAAUGUAAUUUUGUUUAAAUUACUGUUGUGAUAACAAUUAUUAUUUUAUUGAUUAAUUGGCAGAGAAUCGUUAUGGUUUCGCAUGGUUGUUAAAACAUUGGAAAAUCCACUACAUCAUCCGAUAAUAACUUUCAGAUUUAUGGUUAAUCAAUAGUUGAGAUUUGUUAUCAUUAAUGUUAAAUAUUUUUUUAAUAUUUUUUCUCUCUCCUAGAGGAUCAUCCACAGUUAAAAUUUAAUAUUAUAAAUAGUAAACAAAGUAUAAACGUUAAAUCGAAGAAACUGCAUUGCAUUUCAGCUGAAGCUAACUUUAAUAUUUAACAGAGAAAAGUAAUUAAGUCCUUAAUGUGCUUUAUUUACCCAUAUAUAUGGCUAAUUUUUUAAGAUAAAGGGGAAGGAUGAUGCUCAAAAAUAUAAAUUAUAGAAUUAAUUGAGCUCUCAAGUAAGUUUAAAGUUCAUUAUUUUUAAUUACAUGUUUAUAAUUUAUUUUUAUUUCGUAUUAAUCUAUAGAUCUAAAUCCACUUUGGAUUCAUAUACAUAUAUAGACAUAAUGUGUAUGUUAAUCUAUAGGUCUAAAUUCACUUUAGGUCUAUAUAGGUAUUUUGACAAAUGUACUCCAAUCAUAUUGGCAAGUUCUAACUACUAUAUUGGUAUGUCAAUAUUAUCUCUAAUUGCCCUAUACAUUCAGAAAUAAUCUAGAUAUACAAAUUAACAUAAAAUAAAAAUAAUUGGUAGAAAAUAUAAAUUAUAAACAUGUAAUUGAAAACGAUAAACUUUAAAUUUACUUAAGAGAGUAAUUAAUUUCAUAGUUAAAAUCUUUAAAUUUUACCCCUCAUCUUAACUUAAGAAAAUUAAUCACUUAUUUUAUUUAACAAAGAAGAGAUUUUUUUCCCCUAUAUUUCCCAAUUAUUUCUCUCCCUCUCGCUCCCGUAAGUUAUACAACUUGAAGUGAAAUAUGAGUGGUCUGAUUCUAGCUUAAAUAAUUUAUUGUGACAUGCUAUCUAAGGACAAUACAUUACCUAGCUCUACAUAUUUUAUUUAACCUCCGGCUCACCCUGUGCAAACUUGCCUUCCCCUACAAGACAAGAUUAAUCAAUCUAUCAAGUCUCAAAUUCAAUUUGGAAUAUGACCAUCGUACGUUCUUGUUCUUCCCUCUUUACGAGUGCAUUCCCCCCAACCUCAAGCUCCCUCUCUCGUCUUCAAUGUCACUGCCUAUAUCCUUGUGUUGUUCUAGUUUGAAAUAGUGGCUUCCACAAUUUCAGGGCCCCCAAAAAUCCAGAAACAUAGUAUUCAUCACGAUGACAAAUUUUUUGGCAGGCAGGUGCUUCCUGACUUUCACACGGUAAUUCUCAAAUUCUGAUUUCACCAUAUUUUAAUUACUGAUUAGCAUAUAUUCAAGUGCUCUCCAUUAUAAUAGAAGCCGCCGCCUCACUCGUGAUUCCAAACUUUAUCUUUUUUCCUUUUUUAAAUUAAUGCAAGUAGCCGCUGUCCUUUUUAUUAAUUAAUUAAUUAAUUCGGCCGCCCACAUUUCUUUUCCUAAUGUCUUCUACUGUCGAUUUUCUUUUAUUUUCUUUUUAUUCUUAAAAUAUGCUUAUAAUAAUAAAAUAUAAAAAUUAAAAUUAACAUAUCAAAAUAUAAUUUAACAGAAAAUUAAGAUAAAAAUAAAAAAAAUAAAUUAUGAGCAUAUCAAUCAAUAAAUGAAAAAUAAUAAUUUUUAUUUUUAUUAAAUAUAUAUUUUUCAGUAUUAAUCAAUUAUUUGAAUAAAUAAAAUCAUUUAAAAAUAAAUAAAUAAAUUAUUCUUAAAAAAAAAGAAACUUUUUAUAACACUCACUAUGCUGGUUGUAGGGUAGACGCUUUGGGAACUGAAGCCGGUAACUUCUACAAGUAGUCUGAAGUUGACUGGCAACAACUAUAUUGACAUUUAGACAUAAUGUACUCCAACCGUAUUGGUAUGUUUAAAUGUUCUUACUAUUGUAUUGGUGUGUCAAUAUUAUCUCUAACUGCCCUAUAGAUAAAAAAAUAAUCUAAAUUUAUAAUUUAACAUAAAAUAAAAUAAUUGGUAGAAAAAUAAUUAUGGUUCAUUUACUUAUCAGUAAUCAGAAUAGACUAAAAUCGAAAUGAGUUGUAUUACCGUUGAUGUGUUUAUGUUGUCCUGGAAUCGGAAUGAAUUAUUUUAAGUUACUAAAAUAUCCUUGGUUUGUUAUUCUAAUUAUUAUUUAAUAUUUAUUAUAAUAUUUGUCAUAUCAUUAAAAAGAAAUAAUAAUGAUGAUAAUAUUAUCAUUAUUGUUUGUUACAUUAUUAUUAUUCAAAAAAAUUAUUGUUAAUAAUAAUAAUUUUUUUAUUUCAAUAAUAAUAAUGAUAAAAUUAAUAAUAAAAAACAUGACAACAACAAUAAUUAUUUAUUAUGCCAAAAAAUAACAAUAAUAAUAAGAAUAAUAAUCAUCAUCAUUUUUUUGCCAAAGAAAUCAUCAAACCAGACAAGAAAUCAUCAAAAAUUGCUAUUUCAAUUUAGGAAGAAGUUCUUUCGGUGUGCUAGCGAUGGGAGAUGUUGUGGCUGCGAUUCGGGGAGCUAAUAGUUUAUUGCACUAAUAACGGCAGGUGCUGCUGCUUGAUGCGAGGUCCAUGGCCAGUUGUCAGCAGUUCGACUUUGGCAUGGGCGCUGCUGGUUCGAUUUUAGGUGUUGUCUAAUUUCAUUUUCAGGAUUUUAAUUUUAUUUUUUUCUUUUAUAUUUUCAUUAAUUAAUCAGGGCAAAGUUUGAUUUUAGAAUUUGGAAUGAAGGUAAUUUUGUUAAUCAUGGAAAUGAGAUUUUGAUUGUCGAGAAUGAACUUACACAAGCAACUGCAAAUUAAGUGAAAACAAAACGCUUUUUCUCUUUGUGUGAUUAAAACAUGAAAUAUACCAUAAAUAAAUAGGUAAAAAUUAAAUCAACACAAUCCAAAACAGUAAACCAAUUAUAAGAGGCACAAAUUUUUAUGUGAAAUACCGAAAACGGAAAAAACCACAACAUGUUAGUAUGAUAUAAUCUUCUACUAUAUUAAUGGGAUUAUAACACAAAUUCUUCCCUAUAUUACACUAGAGAUUAACAACAUCAAGAAUCUCAAUAAUCUUAACUUACAAUACAACCUAAUAUAUGUCUCUCUAAUAAAUAGAUAUCUAAAAUAACAAUCUCUAAUAAGUAAGUAUCUCAAAUAACAGUCUCUAAUAAGUAGGUAUCUCAAAUAAUAGUUAAUAAGAGGAUAAAACAAAAAUUAAGAUUAGUAGGAUGUGUAUAAGGCGAUGCUAUCAACUUAUCUUCUAAAUUUGAGAAAAAUAGUUAAAUUCACUUUUUUGAUUGUCCGACCAAAGAUGGAAACCUUGCCCCAAAACCAAAGGAGUCACCAUUGUGUUUCUCUCUCUCUCUCUCUCUCUCGUUCUUUUCUUCUACUUUUCUUAAUGUUAGCCGCCACUUGCUUUUAUUCUUUAUAGCAUUUAAAAAGUUACUUUUAAUGGUAAAUUUCAUCUAAGUCCAAAACUUAGUGAUAAUUGCACACUAAACAAUCCUUUUUGGACUAUAGACUUUUGGACCUCCAAAUGAGACGAAUACAACAAAUCUCCCCUUUUAGAUCAUGUAGGAGGCACCACAAGCCCACUCUCUGCAUAUAGCUUUUUAACUUCUCCUUGAAUAAUGACUUUGUCAUCAUACAUAACUCAUUCUCCGUUGUGUAAAUCUUCUCAAGCUAUAACCGUUCUUUCUCAAACACGUCUCGUAUCUAAUAAUACUUCACAUCAAUUUGCUUAGAUUUCGAAUGAUAUAUCAAAUUCUUUGAACGACACUCUGAUUUUCGCAGUACAUAAUAUAGUUGUCUCAUUUUAUACCUAGCUCUUGUAGGAAAUUCUUCGUCCACAGUAUUUUUUUGCAACCUUCAAUAAUUGUAAUAUCAUUUGCUUUAGUAGUAGAAAAGACAACUUAUUACUAAAGUUUAGAUUACGAUGAGACUGCUCCUCCUGCAAAAGUGAGCAAACAUUCUAGUAGGAAUUUUUCGGAAUCAACAUCUCCUACCAUAUCUAUACACUUGUAACACAGGUUUGUCACCACCAAAAUAUAAACAUGCUCUGGAAAUGCCUCUAAGAUAUCUGAGAAUUUUUCACUAUUGUCCAGUGCUCUUUACCGGGAUUGAAGAGAAACCACUAACUACACUAGUUGUAUAAGUAAUAUCUGGUCUUGUACAAAUUAUGGCGCACACCAAACUGCCAACUGCUGAAGCAUAAGGAACUCCUCUCAUGGAGAAAUGGGUUUUGCUCUUGAGAUUUUUGGGAACAUGAAGAAUAAAUAUGUAAUUUCUUGGACUGCCAUUGUUUCGAGGUAUAUAAACAGAGGACAAGUCUAUAUAGGUCGACAGUGGUUUGCUCAGAUGCCAGAACGAGAUUAUGUCUUAUGGACUGCCAUGAUUGAUGGGUACCUUCGAGUGAAUAGGUUCAAAGAGGCUUUGACGCUUUUUCAGGAGAUGCAAACUUCAAAUAUAAUGGGAGACGAGUUUACCAUUGUUAGCAUUCUUACAGCUCGUGCGAAUCUGGAAGCACUAGAUCUGGGAGAAUGGAUAAAGACUUAUGUUGAGUGUUAGAAAAUGCAUAUUUAUAAAGGAGAAAACCAUCAUUUUACAUUUCAAGUCUUACUAACAACCCUUACUUUUAUGUAUUUAACCUUCUUGUGAUUUAAUUACAUGUGUUUUAUUUUAAUUAAGUAUUUUAUGUAUUUUAGGGACAUUAUAGUCAUUUCACAAUAAAGGAGAGAUCAGACGGCAAAACAGACAUCACUUUUGAACUCAGGACGGUCAAAAACCUUAGGAGGAGCAUAAAAGGAAAAAUGGCACUAUUCACAUGUACGGUACUAUUCACGUGUACGGUACUGUCCACGUUACUGUUCACGAUACUGUUCACAUAGACAGAUCGAUGACGUGGCAUUGACUGAUGAGGUGUCACGAUCCUGUUGGGCUAAAAUUCUUAUGUACUGUUGAUGGUGACGUGGCAGCAUAUCAAUGGACGAAAAAUCUCGCAUACAGUACAUGCAUCACACAGGAUUAUUGUCAACCAAAUCGCGUUACUGUUCAUCCGGGUCAAACCGUGUUACUGUUCAUCCACGUAGUCAAACCGCGUACUGUUGACUGAUGACGUGGCGCAAUCCUGAGCGUCCAAACUGUUUUUAAUCCGAUGGCCAUGAUUUACUCCAUGUAUCUAUAAAAAGGGGGCCUCCCCCCCUAAUUUGACAACUCUGAAUCUAUUUUGGGAUCCAUUUUCUAUAAUUCCCUCUCCAUCUUGUAUUUUCUACGUAUUUUAAUAAAUUUCCAUUUUACCCUUAGUUCAAUUAUGAGUGGCUAAUUUCCUUUCAAGCUUGGGUUGAAGGUGAAGUCUCAACAUGUGUCAUGGGCUUUAUUUGGUAAAUUUAUUUUCUUUUCCCCUCUAGUUUUUGUGGAUGAUUUGACUUUUCGUCGACAAAUAAUAUUGAUCUUGUCUAGAUACCACCUUGGUUACACCGGCUCUCUAGUACAAGGUUAUUAUUAUUUGGCACGAUAAGCCCUUAGCACCAUAUUGAUUAGAGCGUGGUUCAUGAGGUGUGGAUUCCCCCCUCAUGAUUUAAUUGGCAUUAAUAAGGAUUAUAUAGCCCAUGAUGCAUGUUGAUACGGAUCUGGAUACCCAAGUGCUUCAUUUCAAUAGAUCUAUCUUCAAUUUCUUCUCGCCAUUUUAAUUUAAGUUUUAGAAUAUUCCAAAUCAUUUCCACCACAAAUCCAAUCCCCGAUUCACAAAAUUAAUUCUAUACACAAUUAAAAUCCACAUCCUCGUGGGAUCGACACUCGUCACCAUUAGUCUAUACUACAAUAGAUUCGUGCGCUUGCGAGUACAUUAAAAUUUACACAACAACUUAUAUUGACAAAAACAAAGUCAAGAAUGAUGUAUUUGCGGGGAAUGCUUUGAUAGACAUGUACUGUAAAUGCCGAGAUGUUGAGAAAGCUCAAAAGGUAUUCAGGAAGAUGCUUUGAAAGGACAAAUUCUCAUGGACGACCAUGAUUGUUGGCCUUGCCAUCAGUGGCAAUGGUGAUAAAGCUCUUGAUAUGUUUUCCCAAAUGCUUAGGGCUUCGAUCAAACCGGAUGAGGUAGCUUAUGUUGGUGUUCUGUCUGCCUGUACUAACAAUGGUAACGAAACUUUUGUGAUAAAUAGUUGCAACUUAAGGUGAGAAUUGGAGGAAAGGAAAUAGACUGAAGUUGUUCAAUCAUCGGUCGUCUCUAUUUGGUUUUCUCCGAUAUCUCAUCUUCAGUUUUGACUCAGAUUCUAUCUUACCACUUAGGGGUGGGCAAAAUCGGGUUCGGGUCAACCCGAUCGGGUUUCGGGUUGUUCGGGUUAGACAAGGAACAAUCCGAACAUAACCCGAAUUAAUGACCCGACCCGAACUUAGUUCGGGUCGGGUCAUUAAUUCGGGUUAUGUUCGGGUUGGAUUUAAAAUGGGUAGGAUUGAGUUCGGGUCAAUUUGGGUUAGUUCGGGUCAAUUCGGGUCAGUUCGGGUCAAUUCGGGUCAAUUCGGGUCGGUUGAAAUCGGGUCAGUUCGGGUCAAUUCAGGUCAGUUCGGGUCGGUUGAAAUCAGGUCAAUUCAAGUCAGUACGUUUUUUUUUUUUAAGAACCCGAUCGGGUAUUCGGGUCGGGUCGGGUUUGACCCGAACCGAUCACAACCCGAUCGGGUUUGUAAAUUUCAAACCGAUCGGGUUUCGAUCCCGACCCGAUCCGACCCGAACCCGAAAUUUAUCGGGUCGGGUCGGGUCGGGUAAAAUGCCCACCCCUAUUAAUACCACUAGUAAUUACAUAGACUUGCUGCCAAAGGUAAGAAUGAGAAUAAAUUAAAUAGAUUAUGUCGAAAACGAAAUAAAUUUACCAUUGUUCUGUUCAUUCUAUUUGUUUCCUACAGAAUAUUUCUCCAGCCUAAAAUUUUUUGAAUUAGUAAGUUUUUAUCUUAUGCAAGAAUUGUGCUGAGAGUAAUUCCAUUUCUCAGUCUCUUUAUGUUUCAAUGAAGACGUAAAACUUGUGUUCUAGUGCACCAAUGUUUAUGCUUCUUACAAUUUGACUUUAAUUUAGUUUGUAAAACUUUUGUCAAAAAGUACUAAAAAGUAGUGCACCAAACACAAACUUUAUUACAGAGAGGACUUCAGUUAAAUUUUAAGAAAACACUCAAAAGAACGAGUUAUAAAUUAUUAUCGAAAUAUUUCACAUAAAUAAAAGCCAUCCCAUGCUGCAAAGAUCUUGCUAUAAUCACCAAAAACUAUCGGGAGCUUUUAGGGUUUCCAUAAAAAUGUCAUUUCGUUCCAAAAGUCAAUGGUGGGUAGAAAGUGGUGCAAAUGAGACUCAUUGUUAAUGGUAUAAGUUUUUGCUUAAUUAUGUCUUCCCCAAAAUGAUGAUUUAAUUUCCAUUCUCAAUUAAUUUUCAAGUUUCAACACUUUUCUAUGUAGCAUGACAUUGGAAAGAUCUUGUACAGUUGUACUACUAAAAGCUAGCACCACACGUUAGUUAUUGUUAAGUUCUUUUUCAACGUGAAAUAAAGGAAGUAGUCCUUCGUUAAAACCAUUAUAGCCAAAUUUCACGUAAUUGGACAUUUACAGACUUUUAUUUCAAGUUGGAUUUUGGUCCAACAUUUCAAAGUUGGCCCAAUUAUUUUUGUCUGGUCAAGUCCUUCGCAGCUAAGCCCCUCAAUGAAUGAGGGUGAGAUUGCUAAAAAUUACGACAGGUGAUAUUUUAUUAUUAUUAUUUGUUUGAGGGAAAAAAUAGGAAAAGCAAUAGAGCGCCACGUGUCAACCAAUGGAAUGAUUCCUGCACAAUCUAAGGUACCCCACACAAUCCGAGGUACCCCAUAUAAUAUGAGGUACCCCACACAAAUAGGGGUACCCCGCGUAAUAGGAGGUACCCCAUGUAACUCGAGGUACUCGGCAAAGCGGAUGCAAGAGAAUCCUCCGAAAAUAUCCGCCAUGAGAAACGUCUCCGCCUCCUAAAAGAUAUUAUUCAAUUUUGUCAGAAUUAUGAAUAAAAAACGACGCCCUAAAAGGAGGGACAGUCGCCUGCGACCUCUGCCAAAAGUGAAGGACACUGUCCCAAGGACAGUGGUCCCCAACGCCUACCCGACAGCUACUGCAAAGGUACCCUGGACCACUCUCCAGCGCGCGCCACGUUUCCAAAAGAUGAGAUACGCCGCGAACGUGCAGAUAACUGCCCAAAAAUUAUAAAGAGGUAAAAGGACGUUAGUAAAAAAGGGUAUGCCAUGUGGCAGCUGAGGUACUCCAUAUAUAAAGGCGCCUAGGUUUCAUUCUCCAUCAUGUUCUCACUCACCAUUAACACUCGCACUCCAAAAAAUAGGUUUUCUUCAACCUUAAACCCUAAUUUACAGAGGGUUAGUCAGCUCUCUUUACCAUAAAAGCUUGAGUUUGCUAACUUGAGCGUCGAAGUGUGAACGCCGGGGUACCCCGGCUUCACCUCUAACCUCUAUUUCACUGUUUUGCAGGCGUGAAGCUCAUUUGGAAGGACACAUCUCUUAGUUCUAAACCUUUCACCAUUGUUACCACUCUCUCUCCCUUUCUCACCUCCCCUGGAUUUCAGAUACACCACACCGCACACAAUAAACUAGUGAGGUACCCCGUCUCCCAUAAAAAUACAAAUUCAUUGUUCUAGAUAGAUUUGGCUUUUUUUACCCCAAAAUCUGUUGAAAACACUAUUUUUAAUUUUGGGGGAUAAAUCCUCACCAAAGUGAGGAGAUUUUAUCAAAAUCAAAAUAAAAAUAUAACAAGAACUGAAAGUCGGGCAGCCUAAAAGCUAGAUGAACUAAAAGUCAGGCGCCUAAAAACAACCUUAUGCAAAAGAGAAGCAACAUGAGACCGAUCAAGUAAAAGAAUCCACCGCAACACCUAAAUUGGCCAAAUUAUCUGUUGGUAUUACAAGUUUCUUGUUAUAAAAGUGUAGAAUGAAGUAGGUGACAGUAGUUUUAAGUUACAGCUGCAUGCCUAAUCGCAAUAUCAAAUAAUGAUUAAAUAUCAAAUAAUGCUUAAAGUAGUUGCCUAGGCCCGCCACAAUUUAUAUUAACUCUUAAAUUUAUAAAUAAUUAAAUUUUUAAAAGUUUGGAUUUAUAUUAAAAAAUCUUCAUAUAAAUAAAUAAUAUAUGCACUUUUACAACACAGUCUUUAAAUUUAAAUUUUUCUAGAAAAAUCUUCUGUAUAUCUUUUCUAUUAAAAAAUUUCCAUAUAAAUAAAUAAUAUACCUAAUUUAAUUGGACCCAGCACAUCGCAUAUGCAUAGAACACAUUCCACAAAGCCAUGCUAUUCGGAAAUUGACGAAUGAAAAGUGAGGAGGCAGCAGUCAAUGCUAUUUGGGCUUGGCCCAAAAUUGAUUUAUCAGGUUGACGUUUGCCAGGAAUGAAGAACUGGAAUAUCACCGUCAAGCAAGCAACCUGUGGAGCAAUACCAUAGAAUGCACAAUCCAGCUUUGCAAGGUGACACUGGAGGCUUUUUGAAAAGUGCUUCACGCUCACUUGCACAGAUUGAGCAUCCCCUCUGGAUAUUGCCCUCUCUGAUCGAGUCUGAGCACUCAAAUUUCGGUCCUCAGAUGGAGCUACAGCUUUCUCUCCAAUAACCAACAAUUUUCUAAACUCAGCACCUAGUGUGAUCAGAGUUGUUGAUAUUUGUAAAUGGAGAUCCCUGUAUUUGCAAAUGGAGACAUUUACCAAAUCACCAACAUGCUUCAUCCAGUCUACGAAAUUCUGCAGCUGAUUCAAAUCCGGAACCUGAACCAGAGUCGGAGGUAAAUCUUGAGCCAUGUCUAAAGCAGUCUGAAGUUCAAGUACUUGAGCCCUUGACAAAGGUUUUGAAAUUGGAACAUCUUGGAUUACUGCAGACUUGUACCCCUUGGUUUCAAAGGUAAGGAAAGGCAUUGCUUGAGUACAAUUUGGAGGCAGCUUCUUCACCAAUUUUAUUUGGAGGCAAUUGGCAGCGGAUCCAGCUGCACCAAUUUCAGAGCAAAUACUGACACUACUUCAAACAGCACGCUGAAGAAGAGAUAUGUCUAUGGCAAAGGCAAUGCAGUCCUCAAUUUGACUUGAGAUGCGGUAAUCACCAAAGAGAGUUUCCUUAUGAAACUGGGCAACACAUUGAAUCCCUUCACCACUGAGAAGGUUGGGGAGGAAGUAAGCUUUCUCUCUCGUAAGGAAGAGGUGGCAUACCUUCCCCAUUUUGUCUAGGACAGGUAGGAAUCUUUUUUCUAAGAGAUUUACUCCAUUCUCUGUGAGAAAUGCUUUGAACUUCAUCCCUCUGUCUCUAGCCUCACUUAUCAGUAAAAUAGUUGAAAGCGCUACAAGGAGAGAAAAGAAGAGUAUUAAGAUAUAUAUAGACAAGAAAAACAUUAGAUGUCGAUCUUACAAGCUAAUACUUCAAACAGUAUCCUAGAAAGCUAAAAACUGCAAAAUGGCUUGAAAUUUGAAAAGAACACAUGCUUUUCCUCCUUAACUUGAGAAAAUGUUUAAUAUAGUGCACCUUACAGAAACAUUUAAACAAUUAGAACUUUGCACAAAAACAUUCAAGAAGACUAAACAAAUCAGAUGCAGUGUAUUUCUCCAAGCACAAAUGGCAUUGCAUUUUUUCCUCAACUGUAAUAUUUAUUGAUGAAAAUCAGUACAGGUCCCUCAUUUGUUAUGGAAAGCUUUCUUGUAGUCUGACCGGUUAAUUCACGGGUCUAUAAUCAUCUUGCAAAGUUACAGGCAUUUCUUUCGAUUUAAAGUCUUUGCAUCACCACCUCAUCACACACCAAGCCAAUAUUCCGUCUACCUCUACAACAAAAAGUUUUAAGUAAACGAUCCUAAUGCAUGCAGCCAAAUAAAAUGCAGUAAGAAUAUUCAACUUAAAACUCUGAAAGCCAUCUUGGUGAAUUGCCUCCUUAGGGGAAGUUCCAUGCUUUACUAUACUUGACAGGACUGAGCAAAAGCUUACAUACAACAGAUUUUGAAAAUGAUGAUGCCAAUAGAUACUCAUACAAUCCAUUGAAACUCCUAAGGUCCAUUGUUCACAGAGGUUUACAGAGUUUUGGUCAUCAAAUAGCUCAGACCUUAAUCCCAAACAAAAAACGAGUGAAAAUUAGAUCACCAGCAGCUAAUUGUAAAUUCUAACUUAACUCUUCAUCUCCUUUGUAAACAGGAGACAAAAUGGAGACACGCAAAAUGAAUAAGGAGAACAUUUGAACUCAAAUGAAAUGAGGGCACGAAAGCAAACAAAUGGCAUGCGCAAACAAACCAAGCCUCAAUCAAAAACUAAUUAACCAUUAAAAAAAAAAAAGUGGUCAGAGAAUGAACUCCAAAUUCGGGAGUGAAGCAAGAAGCUUUCAUUAUUUCAGAAGCUCCUGUACAAAUUAAUAAGUUAUGCUCUUUGGAAACAAACCUAAAUUCCAAGAGAAAGAGAACUCAAAAAAUUUGCAAUUAUACGCAAAGGAAGUGAAGCACAGCAUUCUAUCACACGUACAAAUUGUAUAACAAGAGAUCGACACAUCGAAUCAGAAGAACUCAAUUCAAAUUUGUCUCAAAAAUCAAAAUUAGAAGAUUUCACAUUUCGAGAGGAACAAGCGACAGGUCAGAUGCAAAAUUUUCAGCCACAACAUGCCACAAUUAACAGUUUAUUUCCAUGGAUUUAGAGAGCUGACUGACCUUUUGGCUUUUGGAAUUGAGAAGAUCGCGGGCCAAAAUGGAAGAGGGAAAGCGAAAGUGCGGGUUUUAAUAGGGUAUUGGAUUAGCAAAUUUAAUUAGUUUGCGAGGGUAAAAUAGGAAAGAGAUAUCACUAUUAACUUUUUUUUUUAUAAGAAAAAAGAAUAAUAAAGAAUAUUUUAUUGUCAUUUGCAGCCUGCAAAUGACAAUAAAUCAAAUACGUCAUACAGAAGCUUAAAGCUGAAUCUAAAAAAUCUAGAGCUCUCAACUACAAAAAUUACACUUGAUGAUCCUCUACAAGAUGAAGCUUGUUCAAUAUCUUAUCCAAAGUUUAUAAAGUAACCUUGUAACGAUCUUGAGAUUGCCUGCCUUCCUCGACGACCUGCACGAUGCGUUUGUACAAAUCAUCAUACCUGUGCACCGGAUUUUUAAUAUCAACGCCACUGCAGCUGUGAUCAAGAACAUAAGAGCGUUUAACAUCUUUUCUCCAUCGAGAAAGAAUGUAGUGAGAUGGGAUCUCCUGCAUGCCACUCUGGUUUAGAACACAAAGAAUGUGUCUGGAUAAAUAUCCUCUGAAAUUGAACAACCCACAAACACAAAGCACCUCCAAGUCGGAGGCAUUGUACAAAACAUCGAAAGCCCUUGAAUCUUUCUCGUUGCUACCAACCUCAAAUUCUUCCUUCACUAUGUAUGUUAUAGGUCCAUCAGCACUGACAUGUUUUGUGCUAUAGCAAGAGUACAUAGCCUCCACCUCCGUCUGAAACUUCCUUCACAUUUCAUUUGUGUACAGUUUUGAGAGUUGAAAUUCAUAGUCACAUCUUGGUUUCUGGAUACAACUUGAAUUUCUUGAAUCCAUAUCUGCCAAGGCUUCCGGUUGAUAAUUCGCCUGCAGUGCUUGAUCAUACUUGUGUAAGAAUUCUUUCAAAGGAGUACGCUUAUCAAGAUAUCCUUCAAAGUAUGAAGUAGAAACCUCAUUCUGCAGGAAUGAAAACACUCCUGAUAAAAAUGCUUCCUUCAAAUAAACAGGAGCCCACCUUUUACGAUCUUCAUAUAAAGUUUGAAUCCAUCCGUGAUCCUUUAUUCCAUGACGUUGAAUCAUGUCUUCCCAAGCUGCUUCAAAUUCCUCAGGCCUGAGAGAGUGAUAAAUUGCUCUAUGUAAUGCACCUCUAAUAGCUUCAUAUUCAAACAAUCCUUGGAGUUUCUCUGGAAUUUUUUGCAAGAUGCAUGACAAUGAAAAGCAAUGAUAAGCUCUUGGGAAAACAUCGCCAACAGCAAUUUGCAAGAUUCUACAUUGGUCAGUGAUGAUUGUUUGUGGAGAGCGUCCUAACAUACAUGUAAGCCACACCCUAAACAACCAUGUAUAUGAUUCUAUGGUCUCCCUGGCAAGUAAACCACAACCCAACAACACUGAUUGUCCAUGAUGAUUCACCCCAAUGAAUGAAACCAGUGGUACAUCAUAUCUUUCAGUCAAGCACGUAGUAUCAAUUAAGACUACAUCACCAAAGUACCUAUAUGCAACUCUUGACCUGGUAUCAGUCCAGAACAGGUUUCUCAAGCAUCCCUUUUCAUUUAGAUCCACUACAUUAAAAAAGUUUGGAUCUGUCAACUGCAAACGACAAAAGAAACUCUGGACAGCUUGUGCAUCUCCUGGUUUAAGCUUCAAUUGAUUUGAGCUAUUAACAUUAUUUCCAAAUACUCCAUUAACAUCUACAUUACCAUUUCCCUCGGUAUCGAUGAUAAGAGUUCGAAACAGUCUAAUUUUUUGAACGUCUUCAGCACUAUCUAAUUGCAAUGUUCUUUUGGUUCCAAUACCUAUGUGCUUAUGUGACUUGUAAAACUUUCCGCUUCUUGGGCUUAACAAGUGGUUAUGCUCAAGCUCGACUUCAAUGAUUCUCCACCUUUUGGUUUCCAUCAACCUAAACUUUAUCAUUGCUGGACAGCCAGUUCUUGUUUCUGGUCUUGGGCGGUUUGCCUCGCUUUUCUUCUUGAAGCCUGCACUACUACAGCUCAGCUUUCCUCUAUACUUUUCUCUACUCUUUCGGUACCAUGUAUUGCUAACUCUAACACCAAAACCCUGUUCCUUGGCAUAGCAAUUGUAAAAGUAAUAAACAUCAUCAUACGUCUCAAACUCCAUUCCAACAGCAGGAGCCAAUGGAUUUUGGAUUAUCCCAGUUUGUCCAACAUAUUCAGUCAUUGCACAAUCUCCUACGACCUCAAAAUCAUCAGCAUCAUCAUCACCUACUGGUUCAGUAUUCAGAGAAACUUCAUCCAUCUACAAUAGAUGUUUAAUGAAGUGAACUUUAAGGAGAAAAAGCAAAAUCAGUUCAAGGAAUGAUAAUAUAACCAUACAGUUACUUUCACAAAGCUGCGUAUUUCAUCAAUACCUUAACAACAUACAACUGCCUGAGAACGUAUAGACAUGUCAUAGACGCUUGAAUUAAGUAUUGGUACAAAUUCAUGUGGGACACAAUUUCAGUCACUAAACCCAAUGCCUUUUUUUUUCACAUCAUACCAAGGAACGGAUUAAACCCAAUACCUUCUUUUACGCCAUACCAAAGAACAGAUUAAAUCAUCAAUGAAAAAUUAAUCACAUAAUAAUUUAACUAGACAAAUAAAGAGCUCGAAACAGCACAAAACUUGAAUAUGAUUAUGAUAAUUGUUGAGUCAUUGUAUCUACAGCUUUCCUUCAACAAGAAGAUUAUGAACAUAAACUACACACAAAAAAUUUAUUUUAAACUGACAUAAAUUUAUUCAGUUACAUUGAAACCCAAAAAAGGAAGCAGGAGCUGGAGAAAAACAACAGCAGAGAAACUUAUUUCCAGAAGGUUUACGAAAUAAGGAAUUUAUUAAGACACAAAAUUUGAGGUCAACAAUAAGAAUUUGGUUCUCAUUCUCUUUUUCUUCAUUUUUCACUUAUUGAUGGAGUUACCAUACAAUCCUAAAUGAUAAAACCCCAUCUCCAUCUUUUUGAAAUAGAGUUAAAGCAAAGCUUUUUAAGAUGUUUUUCCCUAAAAGACUCAAUAGUACAAUGUUUUUCAAUAUUAAAUACACAACUCAAUCUUCCCCUAAUUUACUCUAAUAAUCUCUUAACUAAGGAAGAUUAAGCUCCACUUGUAAGCUAAAACAAGUUUCUUAAAUCAAGCCCCAAUGCUCUAUGCUAUUCAACAAGGCCUCAUAAAUGAUAAAACUACCUCUACAAAGAUACCCAUUUUAAUUUCGCAAACUAAAAUCGAACUCCUGAAACGUAACGAGCAUUAAAACAAACAAGUCCGAACAAGAACUGAAAAAUGAUACGUAAACCCGUUUCGACAAACAGUUUCCAAUCAAUGAGCAAAAAAGUUAAUGGAAAACAUGAAAUUCAAACGAAACAUACCUUAGGUUGAUAAAUUAGUAGCGCAAAAGAAAUUUUAGCGAGAUAUGGGAUCAGGGAUUUUGCCACGGUGAUGUUAAUUGCGACAUUCGGGUGACUCAGCAGCCUUCGAGGCUGAAACUUUGAUUGACCAAAAGCUUCCCGUUCGUUGAUUCUCUAAUUGCAGAAACGAAACUGGCAGUGUACAGAAGACGUACGCUGAUUUGAUAAUUCUGUGAAAAUCAUUGUUUUUUUUCAGAUUUUUAAUGUGUUCGAUAAAAUAUCAAAAUCUCAAAAACUUUUGUCUUUCAUUUUGGGGGGGAAAAACCCAUUGAGAUCCUUAUGUUUUUUCUUAUAUAAUCUGGCUUAAUAAUUUGCAAAGUCUAUUACUUAGCACCCAUGCAUGCUGCGUUCCAAUUUACAAAAUUGUACGUGAGUGCAUCCAGCUAAAAUUUGUAAAAAGAAAAUAGCAAUAACAUGUUAAAAAUGUGAUUAUUAUGAAGAAAUUUUAAUUUAGUUAAAUAGGUGACGAUGGAUAGGUAUAAAAUCUGAGAUCUUUUAUAAGGUUAAUAAAUAUGUUGAGUUUGGAUUAGUUCAAUUUUGAAAUAAUAAUAUUCAAAAUAUCUCUUAAAUCAUUAUAAACCUCAAAUCUAUUUUAAUUUUAUUUAAAAGAUAAAAGAAAAAUAGGUUAUGUUGGUGAUUUUUUAUUAUCUUUUUAAUAAAAAUGAAAUAAAUUGAUGUUUAUAAUUAUUUAAAGUAUUUUAAAGACUGCCAUUUUAUGAGAGAAAAAUAUUUCACUUUUUUUUAGUGUGAAAGGCCGAAAAAGGACAAAGCAAGUUUCCCUAGUUUUUAUUUAUUUGAAAUUGGUCAUCUCAUAUACUUCACCCUUCAACACUAUAAUUUUUUUGGUUAUAAUUUUAUUAUUUUUUCUCUUUUACACAUGCAUGUGAAUUACUUUUCUUUAAGCUCCUGAAUAUUUAAGAUAAAUCAUGGAAGAGAUGAGAGUAUAACAAGAUGACCAAAAUAUGUAACAAAAAAAUUUUAUAAGUGAAAAAUAUGUUAGAGACUUACAGUGGAAGUAAAACUCUGAGGUGAUGUUUGAUUUGAAGAAAAUGGAGGAAAUGAAAAGACUGGAAUGUAGAGGAAAAGAGAGAAAAGGAGAGGAGAGGAGAGUGAAAUUUUUUUCUAAUGUUUGGUUUGUCACAUAAUUAUACAAAGAAAGGAAAUCUCUAAUUUUUUAUUUAGACAAUUUUAACCUUAAUAAGUAUUAAGUUUUCAAUAUUUAUCAUGUGUAUAAUUAAAAAAAAAAGAAGUAAAUGGUAGAAAGCGGUUUCUGAUUCCGGCCACAUCGCCCGCAAUGGAAGGUACUUAUCAGAACAUCAAGAGCCAGCCAUCAUUCCCUAGCCAUCACUGCUGUCGGAACACUGCCGGAAAGCUGCCGAUUGAACCGCGAAAAGUCGUGGAAAUCGCUGCCUCAAAUCGGUGAGUUUCGCCCUUUUCUGGUCACGCCGUCGCCAUGGCUUUGUCCAUCAAGCCUGCCACUUCCAUUUUCAACCAUCCAUAGCCACUAUUAAUUGCCAAAUCACCGCCGAUCAGCGGGAUCUGUGGAAGUUAAAAAGUUUCUAAAUUUUUUUAACUGGAUUUGAACAACAUACGACCAUUUUUUUAUCUCGAUAACGACGUAGUAAUGUUGAUCGUUGGUCGGCAAGUCGUAUGGUAGUGGCAGUGAGUAACACGCGCCAAUCACAUCGGCGGCGGCGGCGGCACUAUCCGGCGACUGUUAAAAUAAUAUUUUAUAUUUUCAGAUUAAAUAAAUUUAUUUUAUUAAAAUUUUUAAAUCAUUAUUUAAAUUUAAUUAAUUUAAAAUUAUCUAUAAUGUUGAAUUGAUAAAAUAAAUUUAUAAAUAAUAAUUAUGUGAUUACAUUAAAUAAGUUAAAAAGUUGAAGGGUUAGUUUUGGAAGAUUUAGUUUCCAACACAAAGGGAAUUUGAAUUCUUCACUUCUUAGUGUGGAAUUCAAAUUCUAUAUUGUAAUAGAUAUUAAAUUUCAAUAAAAAUUAAAUUCUUAUAAGUUAUGUCAAACCAAACAACGAAAAUAAAAAAGAAAUUUAAAUUAUUUUUCUUUCCUCCACCCUCUCCUUCCAACUAAAUACAUCCUGAAAAUAGAGAUAUUGAUUAAUUUAGAAGAGAUUCAAGCAAAAAAUAUUCCAAAAAAAAAAGCAAUAUGUCCCUUUGGAGGGCAAACUUGUCAGUUUCAAAAAAGUACAUGCUUUGUAUUGAUAGUUGUAGGAUAUUUGUUUUGUCACUAUGUAUUAGUUGGAGAAGUCCAGCCUUGUGGAGAAUGUUAUGAAAGAGCAAAGGAUAUUCCUGAUAGCUGAUAGAGCUCUAUCUGAUUAUGUAUCCAGUGAAUGGAUGUGUUGUUGGAAGAUAUCUGAGUGCAUUAGUUCAUAUGUGUCUGUCAAUGUGCUUUUAAUGAUUUUUCCACCUGUUUGUUGUAAAAGAUUAUUGUAAAUUGAAAUGAACUUGAUGUUUUAAUAUUUUCUUCCGUAAAUUGAAAUGAACUUGAAUUAAAUCUCGUUGAAUUUAAUAUUAUCUCCUUAGUGGAAUUUCACCUAGUAUGUAUUCAGUUGUGUUGUCUAUAAUUUUGCAUUCGAGUAAGUUUCACCUAAAACAUUAGCAUGAGUAGUGGCCCUUGAACCUUUGGUCAAAAUUAUUGUUAUUAUUUCUGACUAGAUGUAAAUUUUGUAUUAAAUCUCGUUAACACAAUUCUUAAUUAAAAGUAUAGGUUAGUGUUGGUGCAAGAUUUGCCACACCAAAUUCUGCCUAGCUGUCAAAAGUGCAAAAUAAAUGAAGAGAAAGCACAAAUACACGACUUGAAUAAGGAUACAACGAAACUUAAAUUCAAGAGAAAAUGAUAGCUAUAUCCCAAGAUUUGAAAAAGUAGUCAUGUAGGUUUUUAAGAUUUCAAUAAGCGACUGAGAUUCAAAUAAUAUCCUUUAAUUCUAUUAAUAAAAAACAAAGACUCAAAUAUUUUAUGAUAAAUAAAAAUAUAAUAUUAAAAUAUAUGUGAUAAUAUACACAUUUUAAAUACUUUCAAUCCAAAAAAAUAGUUAUGUUUUACAAUCUAUUAGACAUAUUUUAUUAAAUUAAUAUAAAUUUUCUAUAAAAUAAGAAUAUAAUAUUAAAACAAAUUCACAGAAAUUUAAAGAAUUUUGAAUGUAAAAUAAUUUUAAUAUAUUAAUACGUGAGUUUUUUUAUUAAUAUAAAAAUUAUUUAACUUUAAGAUUUUUUAAAAUCUUUACAAUAAGUAUAACUAUAUUAUUUACAUUUAAAAAUAUUUAAAUAUUAUUAACCUACAAUUAUAUUUGCAUUUGUUAGAAAUUUUUAAAGUCAAAUAUUUUGCACUUCUAUAUUAUUAGAAUUAUUGCACACAAAGAAAGAAACAUAUACGUUUAGAAAUUGUUUUCUUUUAAAAUAGAGAUGAUGAUUAGUAUAAGGAUCAAAAAAAGGAUAAAGAAUAUUAAUGAUUAACGAAAACUCUAUACAAAUUGAUUUUAGUAGGAAAAGAGUGAGAUGAAUGAUUUCUUUUACAGUUAGAAAAAUAGAUGAUGAUUAUUAUAACGAAGAAGAAAAGAUAAAGAAUAUUAAUUAUUAAUGGAAUCUCUAUGCAAAUUGAUUUCAGUAGGAAAAAAAAUGAGUUAAAUGAUUUAGAGUGCGUUUGGAAUUGAGAUUGGACAGCCAUAGAUUUUAAGUUACAACACUGAAGUGUUUGGUAAAUACUAGCUGCUGCAGAUUGAAAGUUAUGUUGAUAUGAUUUUUCACAUGUAUCAUAGAAAAUAUAUUACAUCUUUAAUAAUUUUUUUAAAAUUUGUAUUUGCUAUAUAUUGUUUUUUUUAUAUAGUUAUAACUUUUUUUUUUUCCACAGCAGCUGUAGCUUAAAAGCUACAGCACCUCAAUCUCAAACAAGUCCUUAGACAUUCAUAGUGUGUUUAUUUUUUGGAUUGGUGAAUCAAAAUUAUUGACAACGCUAACUUCAUCUUCACCGUUCGCAAUCCAACAGCAGCAAUUGUCGCCAAUAAUGAUAUCGCCGAUGAUGAUGACAAUAAUAAUAAUAAUAAUAAUAAUAAUAAUAAUAAUAAUAAUAAUAAUAAUUAUUAUUAUUAUUAUUAAUAAUUAAUAUAUUAAUAUAUUAAUGUUAAUAUUAUUAUUAUUAAGAUUAACAAUAAUUAUUAGUAAUACAAUUUUUUGAAUAAAAAUAAUCACAAUAAUUAAAAUACAAAUUAACAAUUAUGACAAUAGUUAAUUAAUGUCUUUUUAGUAAUUUGUAAUAAUCUAACUCAUUUUAAUUCUGAUUAUUACAGUUUAAGUAAAUAAAUUAUUAUGAUUCCUAUUCUCCUUUUCUAUUUUAACUCACUUCGAUUCCAGUCUAUUCUGAUUUUUGUUUAAUAAACGCACCAUUAGUGCUAAAGUAAUAUUUCAUACAUAGAAAAGUAAAAACUACACCUAAGGUUAAGGGAAAGGACUUCAAAACUCUCUUUUGAUCAUAAUACAUUUUGUACUAAUUAACUUAAAGAUUUUGAAUCUAAUAUUUUAUAAUAAAUAAAAAUAUAUUCCUAAAAUAAAUAUAAUAUCAAUAUUUAAAAUAUGUUUUAAUAUUUUACACAUUUUAUUAUAUUAAAGUAGAUUUUAUAAUAAAUACAAACGUCCUAUUAAAAUGAAUAUAUAAAAAAUUUAGAAAAUUUAGAAUAUUAUAUAAAAUAAUUUUAAUAUAAUGCGUGAGAUAUAUUUUAUUAAUUUAAAAUGUUAUUUUACCUAAAAAAUAUGAUAAAUUAAUAAUUACAUAUUUGAAGUUAUUUCAAAUAUUAAAAAAAUUUAAUAUUAUUAGUCUUUUAGAUAGAUUAAAUUAUUUUUUUUAUAAGAGAUAGAUUAAAUUAUUUUAAAAUGCCUUAAUUAUUUUUACUUUUAACGUUACCGGCCUUUCUUUUAUUUUAUUGCAAAUUAAUGCUAACAAGAAAAAGCUAGAUCAUAUUCCACAAAAGCAAAAGUGACAAACACAACCAGCUGGAAUCUUUUAUAAAACUACAAAUUAAAAUGGAUUUUUUUUUUGAUAAAUUACACAUGAAAGUGGAUUCUUUUGAAUAUAAGUGGAGUAGGCUCUUUUAUUUUAUUUUUGAAUAUUGUAUAACGGGACUGUAGACUCUUUUAUUAAACUACAAAUUGUAUAGUCUUUUUAAAAUUGUUAUAAAUUAAUGGCCCCCACAAUCCUCAACAAUUGUACCGAUAUUCACAAGUUGGUGGCCCCUACAAUUCUGUUCCGAUAAUUUAACUGUGCAAGUGCUCAUUCACAAUCUUCCAGGUCAUGCUCUCAAUAAUUGUUUUUUUUUCCUGCAUUCCCUUUGGGAAAUUUACGAAAAUAAUCAUUAAUAUUUUAUUAUUUUUACAAUUAACCGUCUUAAUUUUUUUCUAUCAACAUUAGCCAAAUACAAGUCUUUCUUCCCAAAUUACCCUUCUUUACAGAACAAAACCAACAUUGUUUCUCCCAUAUCGCCAAACCAAAAGCAGCUUUUUAUUCUUAAAUCAUCAGCCAACGGCGACCGCAAAAGACAACGGUAAAAGUGAUAUCCGAUCAUAAUCUAUCCGGAUCCAACACAAAUCUACAUCACUCAGUGGUAUGAAUUAUUUUUUGAACUUACUGAACUCAGUCGGGUGAAUCUGAGUCUGGCGACAGGCUGCCUGUCGCAGUAAAACUUGGUGCGACAGGCAACCUGUCGUACCAAACCUUGGUGCGACGGGCACCCUUGGAGAUUUAUUAAAAAUGUAUUAUUUUAAUAGGACUCAAAUAAUUUUUUUUUAUAAUUUCAGGCUUAAUGGAUUCAGUUGUACUUGAAUUGUGUUACGAUGGUUGGUGGGAGACAUUAGAGAAUGGCUGUAUGGAGUACGUGAAUGGUAAAAAUCGAGCUUUUUUGGUUGGAAAAAAUUACUUGUUUGAUCAGUUAUUGGCAAGAGUAUACGAGGUAUUAAAAAUAAACCCUAAUGACUAUAGUAUCACAAUGAAGACAACUUUGAGGUCUAGUAACACAUUAUAUCGUAUAUGUGCAAUGCCCAUGGAUAUAUGUGAUGAUGAAAUGGUGAGGGUUGUGUUGCAUAUGGCAUCUGACGUAGCUAAUUUUGGAUGCAUUCCUAUAUUCGUGACCACAUCACCUCGACUUCCGAGCGAAGGUAUUGAGCCACAUGUCGAUAUAGAAACUUCGUUUAGAGCAAAUAUGUCUGGCCCCGAUAAUGAUGAAGAGGUGUUGCCAAGGACAAUAUCGCUGCAGCAAUAUUACUCUCCAAUCCACGACAAUUAUGAUAACAUUGAUGAUAAUAGCGUUACGUUACAGGAUGUUGGAGCAACGGUAUUUCCAAUAACAACGUCGUUGGAGCAACGAUAUUCUCCGUAUCACAACAAUGAUUUUCGGGACAAUGAUGAUUUUCAUAAUGAGACAGAGGAGGAUAAUGUUUGUGCAGAACCUUCUAAUAAUACGAGGCGGGGCACUCGUUUCAAUAAUGAUGGUGAUGAUGGAGGAGUCGGUCAUUCGAAUGUUCCGUCGUUUCAGCAUGAGGAUGAGUGUGAAGACAAUACUCCUGUGAAUAACAGAGGCAAUAGACCUAUUCCUUCUAUGGUUCGAUCGAGAAGGAGAAUUGACCCCCUUACAAGUCUUGCUCCAACUUUACCUUCGAACAUGGUUGCUCCAAGCUUUGUUAGCAGUUGUGACUCAGAUGAUAUCAGCGUGGGUAAGCUAUUUGUUGAGAAGAAUGAGCUUAUAUUACAACUACGCAAGGUGGCCUUUAGAGAUAAGUUUGAUUUCAAGAUUGCACGGUCUACUACGACACGUUUCGAGGCUCACUGUUGUUCAGAAUCAUGUAAAUGGCAUAUUCGAGCAACUAGAAGUUCGAACGAGCAAAAUGUUCCUUGGGUGGUGAAGAGAAUUGAUAAUGUACACACUUGUCAUAAUGAGGUAUUGAUUGAUGGACGUCAUCAAGUAAGGAGCCGGGUUGUCGGUCAUAUUAUCGCAGAAAAAUAUAUUCAAGAUAAGAGGAUUUAUACUCCCAAUGACAUAAGAGCAGAUAUGCAACAGGAAUACGGUGUUCAGUUAACAUACCAGCAGGCAUAUAGGGCGAGAGAAGUUGGUCUUGAAAUAGUUCACGGCAACCCUGCAGAGUCAUACAACUUGCUCCCUAAAUACUCUCACGUACUAACUACAACGAAUGAGGGUACAGUCACUCACCUCGAGCAGGAUGGAGAUGGUAAUUUCUUGUACUAUUUUGUAGCACUCGGAUAUUCCAUCAAGGGGUUUAUGCAGUACAUUCGGCCUGUCAUUGCUGUAGAUGGUACUCAUCUAAAGAGAUUAUAUCGUGGAAGCAUGUUCGUGGCAACAUGUCUUGAUGGUAACAAUCAAUUGUAUCCGUUAGCCAUUGGGAUCAUGGAUUCAGAAAAUAAUGAUGCUUGGGAAUGGUUUAUGAUGAAGUUACACGGAGUGAUUGGUGAUAGACCUGAGUUGGUAAUUAUCUCUGAUCGAUGCACUGCCAUAAGGAGAGCCGUUCUUAAAGUAUUUCACAAUGCAACUCAUGGCGUUUGUUUUUACCACGUCAAAGGUAACAUUAAGUCACAAUUUAGAAUGUCCAAAGCUCUUUGGGAUGAAUUUGAGCAUGCCUUUAUUAAUGCAGCAAAAGCAUAUGGCCACGAGGAAUUUAAGAGACAACUUGAAGGGUUGUGGAUGAUCCACUCGGGUGCGGCUGAUUACUUAGAAAAUAAUGUCGGCACGUGUAAUUGGGCAAGGUCUCAGUUUCAAGGUAGGAGGUACAACAUUCUUACCACCAACAUCGCGGAGAGUGUUAAUGCUUUCAUGAGGGAACCUCGAAAAUUUCCUGUUACUCAUCUUGUUGAUCACUUCAGGAAAACAUUGCAGCAAUUGUUUUAUGAUAGAAAAAUUGUGGCUGAAUCAAUGACUACUCGGCUAACAACAUGGGCGGAUGAAAUAGUCACUGAGAGGAGAACUAUAGCUGAAAGAAUGAUAGUUCGGCCGGUGUCUCCGCAUCGCUUUCAAGUUAUAGGCGGUGGGCUUAAGGAAGGGUUGGUUGACUUGCAAAAGAGAACUUGCUCCUGCAGAGUGUUUCAGCUUGAUCAGCAUGUGUGUGCUCAUGCAAUUGCGGCGUGUCUAACACACCGGGUGGAUUUUAUUAACCUUUGCUCGGACUUUUACACUACAGAAUCGUUGGCGAUGGCUUAUGCACAACCAGUGGAGCCAGUUGGUGAUGUGGCUGAUUGGGAAGUUCCAGAUGAAAUUCAGGAGAUGCAGGUAUACCCACCAGUUGAGGCACCACUACCUGGCCGUCGUAAAGAGCUCAGAAUACCCUCGACUGGCGAGGACGUUGACCGGCGGACUGUAAGAUGCGGCCGGUGUCAUGAACUAGGCCAUAAUCGUAAGCGAUGUAAGAAUCCUAUUGCGUCGACUCGAAGUUAGUUGUAUUUUGUGUGUUAUUCGUUGGUUAAAACUAUUAUUGUUUUUGUGUUACAUUGGUUAAAACUGUUAUUGUUUUUUGUAUUUCGUUGGUUAAAACUGUUAUUGUUUUUUGUGUAUUGUACACUUAUAUUCAUAAAACUUUAUUUUAUUUUAAAGUUCAAAAUGUGAGGCAUUAAAAUUAUAUAAACUUAAGUGCGGAAAUUAAAAAAAAUGCAAAUUUCAACAUUGAAAUUACUACAUAGGUCUACAAUAUAAUAUCGUCAUUAAAUAUAUCAACCGCAAUCUUCUUUCUAAAGUACUCGACAUGACUAGCGUUAAACUCCAAUCUAAGCCCGAACAUUAAAUACAUCGUAACCAUCAAUACAAAAACACUGCAAUCGCUAGUUCCGGGCUCUUGUUGUGGUGCGCUCUUAACUGCGAUAACUUUCCACGGGUCUUCACUCCGCAACUCAGGUCGGAUAUUGUAGAAGCCAACAUAUUCCAACCAUCGAGGGAAUAUAACUUCAAGUGGCUUGAAUUUCAACUUGUACUUUUUGUCGUCGCGAAAUGUGAGUAAUGAGUCAUAAAUCCAGACUUUAUUUUUCCGAAAGUCAACUCGUGCUAGUACCCAAUGCGCGCCGUCCAAGUUAACAGGGAUGAGUAACUGCAUAUAAAAAUUAAAAAAACAUGUUCGUUAUAUAUGAAAUUGAAAUACAACAAAGAAAAAGCAACAACUCGAAUAUUUUCAUUAUAGAGCAUGUGAAAUGUAAUAAAAUACACACCAUAUCGACAUCCGUCAUUAAUUUUGACAUUGUGUGCUGUCGCCCACAAAGAUAACUAUUCAAGCGGUCGUCGAAUACCAUUGAAUCAACUGCACAAUUCCUGUUAUUCCAUAACUGAUUCAAGAACACCUAGUACAUAGAUAACCAAGAAAUGCAUAAAUUAAUAAAACUUAAAGGCAAUAAUUAAACAAAUUAAAUAGUAUUUAUAAGUUUUGUCGGCACGUUACCCAAAAAAAUGUGUCAGUAUGUGUGACACGUUGGAGUAAGGCAUUUGGAUACUGCCGUUGUUUCUCGCUAAUCAAGCGGAGAUACUCGUGAAUAUGCUGUAGAGAAACAAAAAUAUUACGAUUUAAAAAAAAAUUAUACACAAAUCCACAACAGUAUACACCACGAGGAAAAUAUAAAUACCUCAUCGCCUAGCCAUCCCAUCGAAGCUGUCCCCAAAAUUAUUUGAAAGAAUGACCGCAGGUGCUGGACUCUCCGGCGGACUCUGCUAUCACCAGUGAACCAUCGAUCAAACUCAGCAAACAAACUAGAGUCCUCCAAUCCUCUCAGUGGAUUUACAUCCACACUCGUACUCAUGUCAAUCGCAUGCUCCAUCAUUUGGGGUCGAGGUAACCUCCGGACGUUCUGUCCACGCCUGACCGGAGGAAUCAUGUAAGGACUGUUAUAAACAUACGACGGUAUGUACGCGCGGCCGAACUUACUAACGCCCGGAGGCACCUCUGUGAACACCUGCAUGCUCUCCCCACUAACAUCCCCGUAUAAACUAUAAAAUGACGUGGGCGUAGACAAAUUUUCAUUGCCCACGUCAGUAUACACUCCAUAGUCAUCCGGGGCCUGUACAUUCGCCAAAAAGAACAUAUUAAAUAAUUAUCAAAUUAAAAGUUAAACGAACAUAAUUAUUUAAUUUAAAUUAGCUUACCGCAUACGAGCGUGCAGUGGGAGAAUCCUUAUUUGGAUGUUUAGAAAAUGUGUCGAUGAAGCCAACAACGGUUUCUUUAAAAUCUUUUAAUUCUGACUUUAUUUCAUACACAUUACGAUCAAUCUUAUCCAGCCGUCGUCGUACGUAAUCAUUAAACUGCUUUGUCCUCGACUAUUACAAAAGAAAAAAAUAAAACUUUAGAAUAACAAUAAAAAAAUAAUAAUUUAUAAAGGAAAAAUAUCGUAUAUUAUUUAUAACCUCAGAAUCCCGUGCGUCAUCAGAGUUGUCUGUUUGCUGCUGGUGGUCAUCAACAGCCACCUCAUCCUCAAAAGUGUCAAGACGCUGCUCUGGUAUUGGGUUUAGUAUGUCGUCAUGAUCAUCAUGCUCGUCCGAUUGUCUUGUAACCGACGGCAUCGCGUUGAUUGAGGGUUGGUGCUGUAUAAAGUAUCAUUUAAAAUUACUAAAUGAAAAGUCAAAAAUUUCGAUAAAAAAAUUUUUAGUACUUACAGUAUACCGACCUUAUGAAUCCAAUCUGGAAUGCUUGGCAAGUAAUCCUUCACAGAGAGUCAAUAUUUUCUGCUACUCUCUUUUGAAUUUGGCUCAAGAGUUUGUAAAAUGUCCGUCUGCCAUAAAUUCAAUUGAAAAAUUUAAGUAAGUAUACCCAACUUAAAUUUAGUAAAGUUAAAAAAUAAGUAAUACAUAUUACUUACAAGACGAGAUUCGUCGUUGAAGAACGAAUAAACCUCCGCAAAGUUGAUUCUCGAAGACGUCAUGGGCUUCCAUUGCAGAAUGCGGGGAAUCUUACUCUUCGUUUUGACGACCCAUGUUGAUGGCAACCCUCCGAUUGCUUCGUAAAUCCAAGCCUACAACAAACCAAAGUGAAAAAUCAAAUAAAACAACUAUCAAAUAUUUAAUACUAUAAAACUUAUUAAUAAACAAAAAAAAGCACCUGCACCCCAGACGUAAAGCCGUAAAGAUUAUAUUUUUCAAUAUUAUGAUCUGAAUUUUUCAACCGAGUCUUCUUAAAUUUCUCGUCUUUCUCGAACAGUGCAUUGUCAAGACUCUCGUAAAUCAUUUCCCACGACAAUAGACCCCAUGGCGCUUUCGGAAGUACUGUAUAUCAUCAACUUGGUCAAGCCAAUCGAAAUUAAUUUGACAGUGAUUUUUUCUUGCAUUUAGUACUCUGUCCGCAAAAUAAAACAGCGCAAUCUUUAAUGCGUCCAUAUCGUCCAUUUCCUCGAAAUUCAACUCCUUAAAUACUGCAUCAAAUUGCUUCACAUUAAUCUUACGAUGCACACCACCAAAAUACGUAUUCCGUAGCCUCUGCUCCAUUUCAUCAUUUUUUUCAUUGGUAUCAACACCAAAUGAAAGUCCAGUAACCAAGCACCAUUCGAUAAUUGACAAGCGAAUCAAAUGCUUACCAAUUUGAAACCAUAACUGAUCCUCACAGCUAUCUUCUUCAUGGGCCACUUGCCGCAGUAAACGAUUGUGCAAAAUUACCCCACUAAAUGGAAAACUUCGGCACUCCAAGAAAUGCCCAAAUAUAUCCUUUUUGAACAUACUCAACUGCCGCUUUGUUAAUUUUUCCUCGAUGGCUUUUACGACCGAAGAUAACAUACACAUGCUCGAAAUUCGACCAGGAAAGUGAUCAGCAUAACGAAAAUACAUCUUGCCUACUUCAAUAUCCGGUGAUUCUGAUUUCGCCAUGUAUCUGUAAUAUUUAUAAAAUUAUUACAUUACAUUUACAAAAUUAUUACCAAACUCUAAUUUUUUGGUGCGACAGGCGCCUGUCGCUCCAAAAAACUGCCUGUCGCACCACAGCUGGUGCUCCAAAAUCGAAAACAAUACUCCCAAACACUACCAACUACCACAAACAUCAUCACCACCACUAUUAAUCUCAAGCUAUAACUAUUAUUAUUCUAAAAUCUCAUUUUAAAUUAAUGAAAAUAAGAAAAAUGACUAACCUAGGUUUUGUUGAAGGUUGUAGAUCGUAGAUCGGAUGCCGGUGAGAGAUGGAGCCGCCGCCGACGAGGGUUGAUGUCGCCGCCGAUGAUGGGAGUUGGAUCGGUUUGGGAGAGAUGAGUGAAAAAGGGAGUGUUGGGGAAGAGAUGAGGGAUGGGUAUUUUGGUCUCAAAUGUUGUUUUAUGGCUAAUGUUGAUAGAAAUAUUUUUGGGGGGUUAAGAUGAAAAAAAACAAAUUUGUUUUGGUUAUUACUGUAAAUUUCCCAUUCCCUUUCAUGCUCUUAAUAAUUGAAGAGCAUACUUUUCAUUUUCAAAUGUGGAGCCGCAUCUAAUGUCGCUAAUUUAAUUUGGGAUUAAAUUAGGGGACCAUUAUAUUGCAGUGUGUACUAAUUUUUGUGUUUAUCUAAACUCCUUAAGUUUAAGACAUAUUAUGGCAUAAAUAAGAAUAUAACAAUAACAAAAGAGAUGCCGGAGCAGAUCAGCAGGGUUUGAAUAUGACCUUUGGCGGUUGCUUUUUUUUUGUGAUUUUUUUCAUUUUUUCCUUCCUGUCAUUUUAUCAUUUAUUUGGCUCUGUUUCUAUUGCGGGUGUUACUGCAUGCUUACUGUUGCUUGACAAAGUUUGCUAGCUUUUUGUUUGCAGUGCUGCUAUUCACCCCGAGUCAAGCUCCGAAAAUUUAUUAAACAACGCCGUUUCGAUAGUAACAAUUUUUUUCUUUUCCCUUUGUCUGUCUCUUUCAUCUGCUGUUUCUCUAUCACUUUUCAUUUUUUAUUUCCUUACUUCCCAGCUGCCCCUAAAUUGUUAUUCUAGCAAUAUACUUUCUCAUCUUUGAAUUUUCAUCCUUGAGUACUCCCACAGCCGUAAUUUCAUCAUUAUAGACUUCACUUGGAAUGCUGUAUUUUUUCGAUUCUUAAGCUACUUCAAUUACAUCUCCCAGUAUAGGAUCCUCAUCUUCCUUUAUUUCUUCAUCUUAUGAGGUAACAAAUGGAUUUCACAACUCAUCUACUUUUAAGCAAUUACAUAUUAUACCUUGAAUGAUUCAACUGUUCCGACAGUUAAAGAUUUUAUGCUCAACCUGCAGUGCUACGAACAUUGUCCAUGAAAGAUGAGUUUCAGCAUAUAAAAUGAAAUAUAGAUGUUUAAUCUAAAAUAACCCUUCACUGCCAAGAAACCUAGGUCACAAAAUUCACAGAUAAUGAUAAAGAGCUAAAAAAUUUGAAAAACUCUACAGAUCACACAUCAAGCAAGAUAUCAUGUUUUUUUCCCUCAUUCGGUGGUGAUUGAUUCGCUUUUUGAUGAUGGAUAUGGUAUAAAAGUUUUGACCCAAUUUCAAGCAAACACAAAUAGAAACACAAAUAGAAACACAAACACAAUCAGGACUAGAGUUGUGGGCGAUUAUCUUAGGUGUACAAGUGAAACGGUGGUGGCUGUCGAUGGUGGUAGUGGGGUGGUUGGGUAUGCGUGAUGGCUAGAUUUUAGGACAAUAAUGGUUGGAGUUGACCUCGAUCAACGAAGGAAAGUGACAACAAUUUUGACAUCAAACGGUGCAUUUUUUAGCUUAGUAAAAUGGAGCCGUUUCGAAUUUGGGGUUUAAUCCGGGGUUUGACUCGGCGCAAGUAUCAUUUUCCUUUUGUUUAUUAAAUUUUUUAUGGUCACAAAGUAUUACUCGUUCUAUUUGAGAGUGAUGUGAAUCAAUUUUUCAAUUUUAUAUUUUGUGGUCAAUGUGAAUUUAAUUUCAUUUGUCUCCUGCAAUUAUGAAAAAAUUGCAGUCAUAAUAUGGAAAAGUACACCGGCAAAAACUUUGUAAAAGCUUCGGAGUGAUACGGGGAAUUUACUUACUACUGAGGACAAUUGGUGGCAAAGCUAUUCCAUUCAUUUUAUGUCCAUCCAUCUAUUUAGCUAUUGAAGAUUAGUGGUCCAUUUGUAAAUUUCAGAUUGUCUCUCUCUCUCUCUCCCACUUGAAAUAACAAUAUUUAAUAUAUCUCUUAAAUUAUUAUAAAUUUUAAUUUACUCUCGAUUUAAAAUGGAGCAUGUCGAUAAAAAAUUUUUCUUCUUAAUAAAAUUGACGUAAGUUGUGUGUUACAGUAGUUUGAAGUUUGAAAUAUUUUAAAGAUUAUUAUUCUAUAAGGGAGUAAUAUGAAAUGAUAUUUACUUUUCAUGUGUGAAAUGAAAAAGGACGAAGCAAGUGUCCCUGCUUUUAUUUUAUUUCAAGGAGGAGUCAUCUCACAUACUUUAGCUCUUAACAUUACAUUUUUUCUGGUUACAUUUUUUAUUUAUUUAUUUUUUUUUUUUUACACAUGCGUGUGGGUUGCUUUUCUGUAAGCUCCUUAAUAUAUAUUUAAGACAAAUCAUGGAAGAGAUGGGAUUAUAUCAAGAUGAUCAAAGCAUGUAAAAAAAGAAAAAAGAAAAAAAAAAAUUAAGAAGUAAGACACUGAAAAUGGAGAAGAGAUGGAAGCAAAAGAUAUUCCAAAACAAAGCAAUCUAUCCCCUUUCGAGGGCAGACUUAUCAGGUUUAAAAAAGUACAUGCUUUGGAUUGGUAGUUGCAAUCAAGGGAAAAUAAAUAGGAUCCAAUGAAAUUUAAAUCUCGGAGAAAAUAAAUAAUCAUGCAGAUUUUCAAGAUUUUAAUAAGGGAUACUAAUAUCUUAUUUUGAUUAAUAACAUUCUUUUAUUGUGUUAACUCAAAAAAAAUAUUAUAAUGCUUUACAAUAAAUACAAAUGUCCUAUUAAAUGAAUAUAUAAAAAAUUUAGAAAAUUUAGAAUAUUAUAUAAAAUAAUUUUAAUAUAAUGCGUGAGAUAUAUUUUAUUAAUUUAAAAUGUCAUUUUACCUAAAAAAUAUGAUAAAUUAAUAAUUACAUAUUUGAAGUUAUUUCAAAUAUUACUUAAUUGUUUUUACUUUAAACAUUACCGGCCUUUCUUUUAUUUUAUUGCAAAUUAAUGCUAACAAGAAAAAGCUAGAUCAUAUUCCACAAAAGCAAAAGUGACAAACACAACCAGCUGGAAUCUUUUAUAAAACUACAAAUUAAAAUGGAGUUUUUUUAAAAAAAUUGUUAUAAAUUGGUGGCCCCUACAAUCCUCAAUAAUUGCACCGAUAUUCACAAGUUGGUGGCCCCUACAAUUCUGUUCCGAUAAUAAUUGUUUUUAUUUUUCUGCAUUCCCUUUCAUGCUCUUAAUAAUUGAAGAGCAUACUUUUCAAAUGUGGAGCCACAGCUAAUGUCGCUAAUUUAAUUUGGGAUUAAAUUAGGGGACCAUUAUAUUACAGUGUGCACUAAUUUUUGUGUUUAUCUAAACUCCUUAAAUUUAAGAUAUAUUAUGGCAUAAAUAAGAAUAUAACAAUAACAAAAGAGUAAAAAAGUGUAGAGAAGAUCUUGCAGAAAUAUAAAUAAUAUCUAUUUUAAAAUAAUUUUUAAUAUUUUAUGAUCCAUUAGAUAUAUUUAUUAUAUUAAAGUAAAUUUUAUAAUAAAUAAAAACAUACUAUUAAAAUGAAUAUAUAGAAAAUUUAGAGUAUUUUAAAUAUUAUAUAAAAAAUUUUUAAUAAAAUAUGUGAGAUAUUCAUAUUUUAUUAAUUUAAAAUACCAUUUAACCUAAAGAUUUAUUUAUGAUAAAUUAAUAAUUAUAUUUUUGAAAUUACUUCAAAUAUUAAAAAAUUAAUAUUACUAAUCUGUUAGAUAGAUUAAAUUAUAUAUAUUAUUUUCUAUUUAUUAAAAAAUUAAAAUUAUUUUUAAUUACUAUUCAAAAAAUAUAAUGAAAAAACAUAAUGAUAAAAAAAUCUUAACAUCUUUAUUAAAAAAUUAAAAACUUAUAUGAUAAAUUCUCUAAAUAUUUACGGUAUAUGUGAACCACGGUGGAUAAGCUUUAUUUAAUAUUAUUGAUUUAAAUAAUAUGUCAAUUAAAAAUGUACAGAGAAGAAAUUUCGGUGGGUAUUUUAGUCUUUUAAGCAAUUAUCAUGAUCAGAUCAGCCUUUAGCCUUCAAACGUCGGUCAGAAAAGUUUUAAAAUUAAUGCUAAAUUGUUUUUCACUUUUAACGUUGGUGGCCUUGAAAUUGCUUGUAUUUUAUUAAAAAUUAAUGCUAACAAGAAAAAGCUAGGUCAUAUUCCACAAAAUCAAAAGUGACAAAACAACCAGCUGGUUUCUUUUACUAAACUACAAAUUAAAAUAAAUUUUUUCGAUAAAUUACAAAUUAAAGUGGAUUCUUUUGAAUACAAAUGGGACAGACGAUUAGGCUCUUUUUAUUAGAGGCAAGUAAAAACUAGUCAAGAAUCGAACAGUCUUUUUCCAAUUCUUGUUUUAUUAUUUUUCAAAACUAGUUUUUGGUAAUUACAACCGGGUCAUUAAUCAUUAUUCAGAGUUACUGUUAUCUUCGGGGGCAGUGGGUAAAAGAUAAUUACUAACUGUUUUUCCUUCAAAAGUUAGCGGCUCAUGUUUGCAAGUGUGAAUGUGCGAUGCUCUUUUCUUAAAGGCCAUUACAGUGGGGCCCGAAUCAGACGUGCCUAAAUCUUUUUAAAAUUUUUGCCGUAUAACGAACAGAGGUCAUUACUAAAAUUUCUCUUCCACAGCCUACAGCAGCUUCAGUUUAUCAAACUCCAUCAAUUUUCUUUCUUAACAAAAUUCCAAAGAUGUGUAGCAUUUUUCAGAUCACAUGCGAUGGUGCUCUUUUCAAUCGUUGCUUGGAUUGCUUUCUUGGAAAAGCAGCAUACAUACGUAACCUCCAAGAUAAUCUUGUAGCCUUGGAGACUGAACUGGGAAGACUAAUCGCAGCAAAGAACGAUGUGAUGAUGAGGGUUGUCAAUGCUGAACGGCAACAAAUGAGAAGGCUGGACGGAGUGCAAGUGUGGGUUUCGAGGGUGGAUUCUGUUAAAACUGGAGCCGACGAACUUAUCACAGACGGCUCUGAAGAAAUUGGCAAAUUAUGUGUUGGAGGCUACUGUUCCAAGAACUGCAGGUCAAGCUACAAAUCGAAAACAAGUGGCUAGAAAGCUACGACAUGUGAAGACUUUAAUCGCCGAGGGAGUUUUUGAGGCGGUGGCCACUGAGGUGGUGCCCGAGAGAGCUCCGGAACCUGUAGCAGAUAAAAGACCCACUGAGCCAACAAUAGUAGGCUUGCAAUCACAGCUUGAACAAGUUUGGAGAUGUCUUGUAGAAGAAUCAGUGGGAAUCAUUGGCCUAUAUGGUAUGGGCGGUGUUGGUAAAACCACACUAUUGACCCAUAUCAACAAUAAAUUUCUUGAGAGUCCCACAAACUUUGAUUGUGUGAUUUGGGUCGUAGUUUCAAAAGACCUGCGACUUGAAAAAAUUCAAGAAGAUAUUGGGAAGAAGAUAGGUCUGUCUGAUGAUUCAUGGAAGAAUAAAAGUUUUGAAGAGAAAGCUGUGGACAUCCUGCCGAGAUUAGGAGAGAAGAGAUUUGUAUUGUUGUUAGAUGAUUUAUGGGAGCGGGUUGAUUUAACAGAAGUGGGCGUUCCACUUCCCAGCGCACAAAAUACUACCUCAAAAGUCGUAUUCACAACCCGUUCCAUUGGUGUUUGUGGCAGCAUGAGAGCUAGGCCGGUUAAAGUGGCAUGCCUAUCAGAAAAGCAAGCUUGGGAACUGUUCCGCGAAAAUGUUGGGGAAGAAACUCUUGAGAGUGAUCAUGAGAUCGUUGAGCUAGCCCAAACUGUGGCCAAAGAGUGUGAUGGUUUGCCACUCGCACUUAUUACUAUUGGUCGAGCUAUGGCCUACAGAAAGACAGCCGAGGAGUGGAGUCAUGCAAUUGAUGUGCUAAGAACAUCAGCUUCUGAGUUUGCAGGUUUGGGAGAGAAGGUGUAUCGUCUUUUAAAGUUUAGCUAUGAUAGUUUGCAGAAUGAUACGGUUAGAUCUUGUUUCUUGUACUGUUGUUUAUAUCCUGAAGAUUAUGGCAUUCUUAAAUGGGACUUGAUUGAUUGUUGGUUUGGCGAGGGAUUUUUUGGGGAAUCUGACAGGUCUGGUGCAGAAAACCAAGGAUAUGACAUUUUGGACACUCUUGUUCGUGCAUGUUUAUUAGAAGCGGUGGAAGAUGGUGAAGUAAAAAUGCAUGACGUUAUUCGUGAUAUGGCUAUAUGGAUAACUUGUGAAAUUGAGAAGGAGAAGAGAAACUUUUUGGUUCGUGCAGGUGCUGGAUUAAAAGAGGCACCGGAUGUUAAAGGAUGGGAAAAUGUGAGAAGAUUGUCAUUGAUGCAAAACCAAAUUGAAACUGUGUCAGAGGUUCCCACAUGCCCUCAUCUCCUCACUUUAUUUCUUGACUUUAAUCAGGAGUUGGAGAUGAUCGCGGAUGGCUUCUUCCAACUUAUGCCUUCUCUCAAAGUUUUGAAGAUGUCAAACUGUGGACAGAGGAGGUUGAAAUUACCUGUUGGGAUGUCAGUGUUGGGUUCAUCACUAGAACUUCUCGAUAUUUCAUGUACUGGCAUAACAGAGUUACCAGAGGAGUUAAAGAAGUUGGUAAAUCUGAAAUGUUUGAAUUUGAGGUGGACAGGUGCGUUAAUUAGAAUUCCACGGCAACUAAUAUCAAAAUUUUCAAGGUUACGUGUGUUGAGAAUGUUCGCUAUUGGCUAUGAUCGUUUUCAUGAAGCACCAGAAGACAGCGUUUUAUUUGGUGGGGGUGAAGUUUUGAUACAGGAAUUGCUCGGUUUGAAAUAUUUAGAGGUAUUGGAGUUGAGCUUGGGAAGUUAUCAUGCUCUCCAAAUUCUUUUGAGCUCAAAUAAGUUAAAAAGUUGUAUUCGAUCUCUUUGCCUCGAGUUCGCCGGAGAUACAGCGUCAAUUAUUGAUGCUACGGCUUUCGCAGAUCUAAACUACCUCAAUGAAUUAAAUAUUUAUAGUGGUUUUGAGUUGGAAGAGUUGAAGAUUGAUUAUACAGAGAUAGUACGAAAAAGGCGGGAACCUUUUGUUUUCCGCAACCUUCACCGUGUUACUAUACAUAGCUGCCAGAAGUUGAAAGAUUUGACAUUCCUCGUUUUUGCUCCAAACCUCAAGUCUGUUCAGCUACUCGAUUGCUAUGCUAUGGAAGAAAUAAUCAGCGUCGGAAAAUUUGCUGAGACUCCUGAGAUGAUGGGACAUAUAAGCCCUUUUGAAAAUCUCCAAAUGCUUGAUUUAGAAGAUUUGCCACAUUUGAAGAGCAUCUUCUGGAAGCCAUUGCCUUUCACUCAUCUGAAAGAAAUGGCGGUAAGUGGGUGUGAUCAGCUUGAAAAGCUUCCACUCGAUUCCAACAGUGCAAAGGAGCGUAAAUUUGUAAUUCGUGGAGAAGAAGACUGGUGGAACCGACUUCAAUGGGAGGAUGAAGCCACUCAAAUUGCUUUUCGUUCCUGUUUCCAACCUUAUUCCUGAGCGGUGGUCGCAAAUUUUGAUUCUCUGUUUUUAUUUCUGGUUAGUUUCUCUCUCUCUCUUUCUCUCUCGCUCUCUCUCUUUUUGUCUUCUGCAAAUCACAAUUAAAUGUUGAAUUAAUGGAAUUAAUGCUUCAUAAAUUUGCCGGCACAGCCACUACUUUUUUUUGGGGGGGGGGGGGGGGGGGGUCGAAUUGGUGCUCUGGUUUUUGACUUUUUGUUAGCGAUUUAAUUUCCUGUCAAAAGACGAGCGAGAAGAACAUAUAUAUGACGUAAACCAAUUGAUACUUUAUUUAUGUGCAUUGUAUGUAAUAAAUAUUAAGUAUACUUUAUUUUUGCCCUGUUCUCUGUUUUUAUUUCAGUCUCUCUCUCUCUCUCUCUGCUGUCUCCUGUCUCCUGCAAAUCACAAUUAAAUGUUGAAUUAUAUGGAAUUAAUCCUUCAUAAAUCUGCCUGCGCUGGCUUUUUUUUUUUUUUUGUGGGGGUCGAAUUGAUGCUCUGGUUUUCGACUACUUUUUGUUGUCAAAAUUUUCUCUGUUUUUUCAAAUUGAUGCUUUAUUGAUAUCUUCUUCGUGAAAAGUGAUUUAAUUUCCUGCCAAAAGACGAACGAGAAGAACAUUAGAGUCAAACUAAUGCUCACAUAAAUUUCCCGUAAGAAUAUAUAAUUAUUAAGAUAGAUCUGCUCUUUCAUUAAAUAUAUAUUCCUUUUUCACAUAUUAAUUGACCUUUAUUUAAUUUGUUUAAAAAGUUUAAUUAAUUGUUGUUUGCAGAGAAUCAUCUACGCCGCUCGCCGAUAAAAGUUGAGGUGUUCGAGCAGGUGCUUGCCUUUUUUUUUUUCUUUUUCUUUUUUCCCUGUUUUAAUAUUUCUUUAAAUUUUGAAAUUGUUUAAUUAUUCUUCUGGUUUGGAAUGUUGAUAAUAGUGUUGUGAAAUUAAUUUUUACAGGAUAAAAGGUUGUGGGACAUUUAUUAUCCAUGUCCUAUGUAUCUCAAGCUUAAAGGUCUCAGUGGUCCUCUAUUGGAAAAAGCAAGUUUAAUAUAUAUUAAUUGGAUAUCGUCGCCUGUAUAUAUAUGUAUAUACAUACAUACACAGCCACUCAUCGAUUAUAGACUUAAUUAUUUAAUUGAUUAUGUAAUCUCUCGUAGUUUCUUUGUGCAUUUUUAGUUAAUUUAAUGAAUAAACUCAAAUACAUUGUAAAUAAAACCAAAUUAAAUGUUCCCUAAAAUAUACGUAUAUGCCUCUCGAUGGCACACAAGGUUAAAUGUCAGCCCAUCGCGGGUAAUAUUAUUUCUAGCCGCCUUCAUUACGAGUUAAGAGUCAAUUAUUACUAAACUAAACUAGUCAAAACUCGUAAGUGCUAGAAAGUAGAAACGUUUGAUUCUAUAUAAAUGACUUCAAUUCAAUAUGUACCAAAGAGUAUCGAUAAUUGAACCCCAAAAAACUUUAAAAAAGAUUGACAAAAUUAAUUAUAUUAUUGUGUGUUUUUAGAAGAAAAAAUAAAAUAAUUAAUUAAUGUUAUAACACUAUGUUAGGUGAAAAGUCAGCUGUCUGGAAGAGAACAAACUUACUAAGAUAAGAGCCUUCUUCAGUAAUCAACCGAACGAAAAAGUCAUCUCUUUUCUUAUUUAUUUAGUAAAAAUAAGUAAAGGCCGAAAAUUUCCUAAAAUAUCUAAAUCCCUCUCUUUAAAAGAACACCAUAUGCUGCAUAACAUGCAAAUUAAUUUCCCAUAUGUGAUGCAAUUUUCUCCUCAACAUAUGCGCAAUUCUUUCCAUUCCGGCAUUUACACUCAAAUUUUCCUUCCUUUCUCUUUGUGGUUGAAUCUUACACCACAACUCAUGUGAUGCAAUCUCCUCUCGCUGCCUAAAUUGCACUCUCAGCAAAGCAGCAUAUGUAAGCAAGCUUGAAGAUAAUCUUGCUGCUCUGCGGAAGAACGGCAAAAGUUAAUCGAAGCAAGGACUGAUGUAUCAGAAAAAUUUUGGUGGAGAAUUCAGCACAAACAUAUUUCGGAUGAUCAGAAUCAAUAAAACAUGGUGGUUGCGCCAUAUAAACAUCUUCGGAAAGCUGGCCUUGAAGAAAGGCGUUUAUUGAUAUCCAAUUGACGAAGAGGCCAGCCAUGACUAACAUCAAUACUAAGAACAAGCCGUACUGUGGUGGGCUUAACAACUGGACUGAAAGUGUCAUAAUAGUCCACACCAGGCCGUUGAUUGAACCCUUUGGCAAUAAGACGAGCUUUGAACCUGUCAACAGAACCGUUGGAAUGUCUUUUAAUACAAAAAUCCAUUUGCAGCCAACAAUAUUGGAAAGGAUGGGAGGUGGAACAAGCUUCCAUGUCCCGUUAAGAACAAGAGCAUCAUACUCUUCUGACAUAGAUUGACGCCAGUGAGGAUUUUUGAUAGCUUGCGUCACAGUUGUAGGUUCACAAUCAGAAGGAGGGCUAAAAUGAGCACAGAGGUUAAGUUUUUGUAACGGCUUGUGAAUGUUAUUUUUAGCUCCGGUAGUCAUAUCAUGAUGAUUUGUGGGGCAACGAUCUAGUGGAGUUUGGGAAGAUGAUUGAACAGGAAGUGAAGAAGUGCUUUGUGUAGAGGUAGAAAUAGGUUGGGAGGAUUGCUGCGGAGAUGUUACCGGUAGAGAAGAAGGAGCAGUACACGGUGGCAACUCCAAAGGGCCCACAAUAGAUGGAGUAGGUGCCGACGAUGGAGUACUAGGAAAUGAAACAGUAAGAAUUGGUGGAACACUUGCGUAAUUAGGAGUUGUAGAUGAGCUUGUAAUGAUUUGUAUGGAAAAACAAACUCUACAAAUUUAACGUGACGUGAAAUAAAAAUUUGAAAGGUGGAUGGGUCAAAACAUAAAUAAGCACUUUGAGAUAAAGGAAUAUCCUAGAAAAACACAAGGCUUAGAGGGUGGUUCGAGUUUAUGUGAUGAAACACAAACAUUCAAAAUUUUUUAAGUUUAUAUUAAUUAGGAGUGGUACCAAAAAUUAAUUGGCUAUCGGGUUGUUGGAUGUGUUUUGGAUAUUUACAGCUAAGUUUGAGUAUCUCAACUUAAAAUUUGUAGCUUUCACUUGAAAAAAUUCAGUUAAAAUUUGCAAUGCAGACUGAUUGAUUUAUCAGUUUAACGUGUGCCAGGAAUGAAGAACUGGAAUAUCACCGUCAAGCAAGCACCCUGUGGAGCAAUACCAAACAAUGUACAAUCCGGCUUUGCUAGGUGACACUGGAGGCUUUUUGAAAAGUGCUUCACGCUCACUUGCACAGAUUGAGCAUCCCCUCUGGAUAUUGCCCUCUCUGAUCGAGUCUGAGCACUCAAAUUUUGGUCCUCAGAGGGAGCUACAGUUUUCUCUCCACUAACCAACAAUUUUCUAAACUCAGCACCUAGUGUGAUCUUGAGCCAUAUCUAAAGCAGUUUGAAGUUCAAGUACUUGAGCCCUUGACAAUGGUUUUAAAAUUGGAACAUCUUGGAUUACUGCAGACUUGUACCCCUUGGUUUCAAAGUAAGGAAAGGUAUUGCUUGAGUACAAUUUGGAGGCAGCUUCUUCACCAAUUUUAUUUGGAGGCGAUUGGCAGCGGAUCCAGCUGCACGAAGACUAAACAAGUCAGAUGCAGUUUAUUUGUCCAAGCACAAAUUGCAUUUUGUCCUCAACUUUAAUAUUUAUUGAUGAGAAUCAAUACAGGUCCCUCAUUUGUUAUAGAAAGCUUUAUUGUAGUCUCACCAGUUAAUUCACAGGUCUAUAAUCAUCUUGCAAAGUUAAGGGCAUUUCUUUCGAUCUAAAGUCUUUGCAUCACCACCUCAUCACACGCCAAGCCAAUAUUCCAUUUACCUCUGCAACAAAAAGUUUUAAGUAAACAAUCCUAAUGCACGCAGCCAAAUAAAAUGCAGUAAGAAUAUUCAACUUAAAAAUCUGAAAGCCAACUUGGUGAAUUGCCUCCUUAGGUGAAGUUCCAUGCUUUACUAUAGUUGACAGAACUCAGCAAAAGCUUCCAUACAACAGAUUUUGAAAAUGAUGAUGCCAAUAGAUACUCAUUCAAUCCAUUGAAAAUCCAAAGGUUCAUUGUUAAUAGAAGUUUACAGAGUUUUGGUCAUCAAAUAGCUCAGACCUAAUCCCAAACAAAAAACGAGUGAAAAUUAGAUCACGAGCAGCUAAUUGUAAAUUCUAACUUAACUCUUCAUCUCCUUUGUAAACAAGAAACAAAAUGGAGACACGCAAAAUGAAUAUGGAGAAAAUUUGAACUCAAAUGAAAUGAGGGCACGAAAGCAAACAAAUGGCAUGCACAAAAAAACCAAGCCUCAAUCAAAAACUAAUUAACCAUUAAGAAAAAAAUUGGUCAGAGAAUGAACUCCAAAUUCAGGAGUCAAGCAAGAAGCUUUCAUCAUUUCAGAAGCUCCUGUACAAAAAAACCAAGCCUCAAUCAAAAGCUUUCAUUAAUAAGUUAUGCUCUUUGGAAGCAAACCUAAAUUCCAAGAGAAACAGAAGCCAAAAAAUUUGCAAUUAUACGCAAAGGAAGUGAAGCACAGGAUUCUAUCACACAUAGGAAUUGUAUAACAAGAGAUCGAUAUAUCGAAUUAGAAAACUCAAUUCGAAUUUGUGUGAAAAAUCAAAAUUAGAAGAUUUCACAUUUCGAGAGGAACAAGCAACAGAUGACGUUCAAAAUUUCAGCCAUAACAUGCUAAAAAUGCUACACUUAACGGUUCAUUUUCAUGGAUUUUCUCGGGAAACAAACAGAAAAUUACGGUUCAGAGAGUUGACUGACCUUUUGGCUUUUGAAAUUGAGAAGAUCGCGCGCCAAAUUGGAAGAGGGAAAGUGAAAGUGCGAGUUUUAAUAUGGGUAGAUAAGGAAAUUUUAUUAGGUUGCGAGGGUAAAAAAGGAAAGAGAUAUCAUUAUUUUAUCAUCGAUAAUUAUUAAAUUUUUUUCCAAAAAAAAGAACAAGCAAGGAUAUUUUAUUGUCAUUACUAAGUUAAAAAAAAUUGUUUCAAAAUUACUUGAGUCAUAUCCAAUGGACCAACAAAGUAAUCGUUUUUAUUUUUAUUGAUUUUUGCAGGAAAUUAAUAACUUAAAAAUACUGAAAGCUAUUGUAAAAAUUUUUAUUAUCAACCUCAUAGUUUUUUUUUUUUGGGGGAAGAGAAUUCAAACAUUUUUUUUUUAAAUUUCCAAGAAUUCUUGACACCCGUCUUAAUUAAAAGCUAUAUUUUUAUUCAAGAGUCAUGCUAUUCAUUCACUCACAGACCAAAGGCUUUCCGCAGCAAUAUUAUUAUUUAAAUUACAACAAAGGGGAAAUCAAAUACGUCAUACAGAAGCUUAAAGCUGAAUCAACAAAAUCUAGAGCUCUCAACUACAAAAAUUACACUUGAUGAUCCUCUACAAGAUGAAGCUUGUUCAAUAUCUUAUCCAAAGCUUGUAAAGUAACCUUGUAACGAUCUUGAGAUUGCCUGCCUUCCUCGACGACCUGCACGAUGCGUUUGUACAAAUCAUCAUACCUGUGCACCGGAUUUUUAAUAUCAACGCCACUGCAGCUGUGAUUAAGAAAAUAAGAGCGUUUAACAUCUUUUCUCCAUCGAGAAAGAAUGUACUGAGAUGGGAUCUCCUGCACGCCACUCUGGUUUAGAACACAAAGAAUGUGUCUGCAUAAAUAUCCUCUGAAAUUGAACAACCCACAAACGCAAAGCACCUCCAAGUUGGAGGCAUUGUACAAAACAUCGAAAGCCCUUGAGUCUUUCUCAUUGCUACCAACCUCGAAUUCUUCCUUCACUAUGUAUGUUAUAGGUCCAUCAGCACUAACAUGUUUUGUGCUAUAGCAAGAGUACAUAGCCUCCACCUCCGUCUGAAACUUCCUUAACAUUUCAUUUGUGUACAGUUUUGAGAGUUGAAAUUCAUAGUAACAUCUUGGUUUCUGGAUACAACUUGAAUUUCUUGAAUCCAUAUCUGCCAAGGCUUCCAGUUGAUAAUUCGCCCGCAGUGCUUGAUCAUACUUGUCUAAGAAUUCUUUCAAAGGAGUAUUCUUAUCAAGAUAUCCUUCAAAGUAUGAAGUAGAAACCUCAUUCUGCGGGAACGAAAACACUCCUGAUAAAAAAGCUUCCUUCAAAUAAAUAGGAGCCCACCUUUUACGAUCUUCAUAUAAAGUUUGAAUCCAUCCGUGAUCCUUUAUUCCAUGACGUUGAAUCAUGUCUUUCCAAGCUGCUUCAAAUUUCUCAGGCCUGAGAGAGUGAUAAAUUGCUCUAUGUAAUGCAGCUUUAAUAGCUUCAUAUUCAAACAAUCCUUGGAGUUUCACUGGAAUUUUUUGCAUGAUGCAUGACAAUGAAAAGCAACGAUAAGCUCUUGGGAAAACAUCGCCAACAGCAAUUUGCAAGAUUCUACAUUGGUCAGUGAUGAUUGUUUGUGGAGAGCGCCCUAACAUACAUGUAAGCCACGCCCUAAACAACCAUGUAUAUGAUUCUAUGGUCUCACUGGCAAGUAAACCACAACCCAACAACACUGAUUGUCCAUAAUGAUUCACCCCAAUGAAUGAAACCAGUGGUACAUCAUAUCUUUCAAUCAAGCACGUAGUAUCAAUUAAGACUACAUCACCAAAGUACCUAUAUGCAACUCUUGACCUGGUAUCAGUCCAGAACAGGUUUCUCAAGCAUCCCUUUUCAUUUAGAUCCACUACAUUAAAAAAGUUUGGAUCUGUCAACUGCAAACGACAAAAGAAACUCUGGACAGCUUGUGCAUCACCUGGUUUAAGCUUCAAUUGAUUUGAGCUAUUAACAUUAUUUCCAAAUACUCCAUUAACAUCUACAUUACCAUUUCCCUAGGCAUCAAUGAUAAGAGUUCGAAACAGUUUAAUUUUUUGAACUUCUUCAGCACUAUCUAAAUGCAAUGUUCUUUUGGUUCCAAUACCUAUGUGCUUAUGUGACUUGCAAAACUUUCCACUUCUUGGGCUUAACAAGUGGUUAUGCUCAAGCUCGACUUCAAUGAUUCUCCACCUUUUGGUUUCCAUCAACCUAAACUUUAUCAUUGCUGGACAGCCAGCUCUUGUUUCUGGUCUUGGACGGUUUGCCUCACUUUUCUUCUUGAAGCUUGCACUACUACAGCUCAGCUUUCCUCUAUACUUUUCUCUACUCUUUCAGUACCAGGUAUUGCUAACUCUAACACCAAAACCCUGUUCCUUGGCAUAGCAAUUGUAAAAGUAAUAUACAUCAUCGUACAUCUCAAACUCCAUUCCAACAGCAGGAGGCAAGGGAUUUUGGAUUAUCCCAGUUUGUCCAACAUAUUCAGUCAUCGCACAAUCUCCUACGACCUCAAAAUCAUCAGUGUCAUCAUCACCUAUUGGUUCGGUGUUGAGAGAAACUUCAUCCAUCUACAAUGGAUGUUCAAUGAAGUGAGCUUUAAGGAGAAAAAGCAAAAUCAGUUCAAGGAAUCAUAGUAUAAUCAUACAGUUACUUUCACAAAGCUUCAUAUUUCAUCACUGCUUUACCAACAUGCAACUGCCAGAGAACAAACAGACAUGUCAUAGACGCUUGAAUUAAGUAUUGGUACAAAUGAGCACACAUCAUGUGGGACAAAAUUUCAGUCACUAAACCCAAUACCACUUUUUACAUCAUACCAAGGAACAGAUUAAACCCGACACCUUCUUUUAAACCAUACCAAGGAACAGAUUAAAUCAUCAAUGAAAAAUUAAUCACAUAAUAACUUAACCAGACAAAUGAAGAGCCUGAAACAGCACAAAACUUGAAUCUGAUUAUGAUAAUUGUUGAGUCCUUGUAUCUACAGCUUUCCUUCAAUGAUAAGACAAUGAACAUAAACGAGACACAAAAAAUUUAUUUUAAACUGACAGCCCAUGAUAUAAAUCAAACAAAAUCAACUCCUUUUUUUACACAUCACAUCUCAUAUUCAUUUACAUUGAAACACAAAAAGGAAGCGGGAGUGGGAAAAAAACAACAGCAGAGGAACUUAUUUCCAUAAGGUUUACGAAAUAAGGAAUCUAUUAAAACCCAAAACUUGAGGUCACCACAAAGAAUUUGGUUCUCAUUAUUUUUUUCUUCAUUUUUCACCAAUUGAUGAACUUAAAAUACAAUCAUAAAUGAUAAAACCCCAUCUCAAUCUUUUUGAACUAGAGCUAAAGCAAAGCAUUUUAAGAUGUUUCAUCAUUUUUUUUUUAAAAAAAACCUCAAUAGUACAAUGUUUUUACUCUAAUAAUCUCUUAAUUAAGGAAGAUUAAGCUUCAGUUGUAAGCUAAAACAAAUUUCUUAAAUCAAGCCCCAAUGCUUUAUGCUAUUCAACAAGGGCUCAUAAAUGAUAAAACUACUUCUACAAAGAUACCCAUUUUCUAAAUUAAUUUCAAAAACUGAAAUCAAACUCCUGAAACGUAACGAGCAUUAAUAUAAUCAAACCCGAACAAGAAUUGAAAAAUGACACAUAAACUCGUUUACACAUUUCGACAGACACUUUGCAAUCAAUGAGCAAAAAAUUAAUGGAGAAGAUAAAAUUCAAACGAAACAUGCCUUACAUUGAUCAAUUAGAAGGGCAAAAGAAAUUUUAGUACGAUAUGGGAUCAGGGUCUUGCCACGGUGAUGUUAUUUGUGAUGUUCGAGCGACUCAGCGGCCUUCGAGGUUGAAAAUUUGAUUGACCAAAAGCUUCCCGUUUGUUGAUUCUCUAAUAGCAGAAACGAGACUGGCAGUAAACACAACAACUUCGCUGAUUUUAAAUUCCGUUGUUUGAGAUGGAAAACUUUUUGAAAAAAUUAAUGUGUUCGAUGAAUAUCAAAAUCUAAAAAACUUUUUGUUUUUCAUUUUUUUGGAAAAAACCAUUGAGAUCCUUACUAUUUUUUCUUAUAUCAUCUUGCUUAAUAAUUUGCAAAGUCUAUCGCAUAGCACCCAUGCAUGAUGUAUGCUGCGUAACUGCGUUGUAAUUUACAAAAUUGUAAAUUUGUUAAAAGAAAAUAAUAAUAACAAGUUAAAACUUUAAAAUUUUUAUCAUUCGAAGAAAUUUUAAUUUAGUUAAGUAGGUGACAUGAUAAUAAAUAGAUACGUAUAAUGUCCGAGAUUUUUUAUAAGAUUAAUAAAUAUGAUAAAUUUGGAUUAGUUCAAUUUUGACGUAAUUCAGAAUAAACACAUCUUCCUAAUCUAAAAAUAAUUACAAACAAUUUAAUUUGUGUUGUUUCUCUAAAAGUUUGAGACACAAAUGUUAUUGCAAAUUGAAACGCCAUGCACUAGUAGAAGGUAAGAGAAACCAAGGUUGAAGUUACUGUUCAUUUAUUUUUAUUUAUGAUUUUUUGUAAAAUGUAAGAAAUAUGUAGAAAUGUUGCCAGCAAUGAUUUUGGAACUUUGCAUAAAAUUUUUAUCAUUAUUGUUUUUGGUAUUAAGAAAUCCGAGGCGGUGAUUAGUCGUAUGUUGCAACAAUUAAGAAAUUUCUUAUUGGAGAUAAUUUGGUAGGUUGCAACAAUUAGAGAAUAAUUUUCCUGUCAGUUAAUCAAUCAAUAAUAAAUUUCAAAUUGCAGAAAAUAAAAUAAUACUGUCGCACUUAGAAUCAUCUUUUCUAUUUCUUUCAAUUGUGACAAUCAUUUGUAACAAAUAAAUCAAUUUGAUGCACAUCAUUUCCCCAAUUCAAAGUUCAAGUCACUGCUCAAUUGCAGGGUAGUUAGUAGACAUGCAUGCAUGUUUAAUUAAGUACUGCAUUGUAAUAUAGAAAAUCAUAACAUCUCACCAAGCCCGGAAGCAUAGCUCUUUAUCUUGUAAAUGUUGAAAUCUUAUGCAAACUAUGGGAAACAUGAUCUCACUCUCAGUGCCACUUGAUUCCAUUUUCUUUGUUGGGAAUGCUACGAAGUCUAAGCUUGAAGAUAAUCUCGAUGCCUUGCGGACUGCAAUGGAAAAAUAAGCGGAAACGAGAAAUGAUGUGAUAAAUUGUGAGCCAACAAUAGUGGGCAUGGUGUCGACUUUUGAGAAAGCCUGGAGAUGCCUUGAAGAAGAAUCAGUUGGAAUUAUUGGCCUGUAUGUUAAUGGGGGAGUUGGAAAAUAUUUACUCAAAUCAACAACAAGUUCCUUGAUGGUCCAAAUAAUUUUGAUGUUGCGAUCUGGGUAGUGGUCUGCCAAGAUUUACAACCCCAGAAGUUUCGGGAAAAGAUUGGGAAAAAGAAAGGCUUGUUCGAUGAGUCAUGGAAGAACUGAAGUUUUGAAGAGAAAGCACUCGACAUAUUCAAGAAUUUAAGCAAGACGAAGUUUGUAUUACUGCUGGAUGAUAUAUGGGAGCAGGUUGAUUUAAUUAAAAUUGGUGUCCCUCUUCCAAGCACAAAAAUUACAUUCAAGAUAGUCUUCACAACUCGUUUUAUUGACAUUUGUGGCCUCAUGGAAGCUCACAACAAGAUUAAAGUGGAGUGUUUAAAUGACGAAGAAGCAUGGGAAUUAUUCUGCAAGAAGGUUGGAGAAGAUGUGGCGACUCUGUCCAAGUGCUAAGGAGAUCAGCCUCAGAAUUUCUAGGUAUGUAAAAAUGAGUAUAUAUAUCCACUUUUGAAAUUCAGUUAUGAUAAUUUACCUAGCGAUAAAAUUAGAUCGAGUCUGUUAUACUGUAGUUUGUUUCUGGAAGACUUUCCAAUUAGCAAAACGGAAUUGAUACAUUGUUGGAUAAGCGAGGGCCUUUUGGAUGAAACUAAUAGUUCUGAGAUAUGAAAUCAAGGAUACUACAUUAUUGGUGUUCUUGUUCCUUUAUGUUUAUUGGAAGAAGAGGCUCCACUAUAUGUAAAAGUGCAUGAUGUGAUACGCGAUAUGCUUCUGUGGAUCGCAUGUGAAGUUUUUUUUUUCUUUUUGAUAGGGAUAGCAUGUGAAGUUGAGAAGGAGAAAGAGAAUUUUUUGGUUCGUGCAGGUGCAAGGAUUAACUGAAGUGCCAGACAUUUGGAAAUGGGAAGGGUUGAGAAGGGUGUCUUUCAUGAGCAACAAAACUGAGAAGUUAUCAGAAAUUCCUUCAGAUCCCCAUCUACCGACUUUGUUGCUUCAACGUAAUUAUUUAGAGAUGAUCAAUAAUGACUUCUUCCAAUCUAUGAAUUCCCUUAGAGUUUUGAACUUAUCAUGUAAUCAUUCUCUAAUUGAUAAUUUCAAAGUUAGUUUCCCUACAACAUCUUAAUUUAUCAAUGACUAACAUACGAGAGUUGCCGAAUGAGUUAAAGUUUGUAGUGAAUCUAAAGUUUUUGAAUGUGGAGUAUGCACGGUUUCUUCAUUCAAUUCCAGGGCAAGUGAUAUCCAGUUUUACGAUGUUACACGGUUUGAAGAUGUUUGGUUGUGGGAGGUCAUCUUCUGAUCAUGAGCCACACUAGAAGAUAGAGUUUUAUUUGAAGGCUGUAAACUUUUGAUUGUGGAGUUGUUUGGUUUGAGAGACAUCUAGAUGUGUUGACCAUCAUCCUAACAAGUUCCCUUGCUCUGAAAAGAUUUUUGAGCUACAACAAACUUCAAAGUCGUACUCAAUCUCUCUAUCUUAAAUGCUUUGAUUCAAAUCUUCUUGUUUUUUCCAUAAAACAUUGCCAUGAUAUGGAGGAAAUACUCAGUGUCGGAAAAUUAGGUGAAGAGAUGAUGUCAAAUCUGGAACCUCUUACAAAACUCCAAGUUCGUUGCUUGAAGAAGCUACCAAAUUUGAAGAGCGUCUACUGGAAGGCCUUGCCCUUGCCCAAUGUAUGCAUAAUUUUUGUAUCUAAAUGCCCAGAACUUAAGAAGCUGCCGCUGGAUUUUGAAAGGGCGGGCGAAGGUAAAAUUCUUAUCAAGUGAAAGGAAAAUCGAUGGAAACGACUUCAAUGGGAGGAUCAAGCAACUCAGAAUGCAUUGCUUCUGUUUUUCAAAUCUAGUGAUUGAAGGGGGCAACAUCAACAUCAUCAGCCUGGAUGGGGAGAUUCUGGAGCAGAUCAGUAGGGUUUGAAUCUACAUCAUUAACAUCAUCAGGGUCUGUAUUUCUAUUGCUGGUCUUAAUGCUUGCUUACUGUUGCUUGACAAAGUGAGCCAGUUUUUUGUUUAUUAAAUUUUGUCUUGUAGAGACAGUCACAAAGUAUGGGUUGUUCUAUGUGAGAGUGAUGUGAAUCAAUUUUUCAAUUAUAUAUUCUGUGGUCAUUGUGAAUUUUGUUUAGAGAUGCAAACUUAGAAUAUGGAAAAGUUCAUCGGCAAACAUUUUGUAAAAGCUUCCAACUGAAGUUUUCAUAAUUAAAUAAUAAAAAAAUAGGAAGUGACGAAAAAAUUAUCCUAGGUGUUACGAAAAAACAUGAGCUCCGAAAAUAUUGGAAGUGACGAAAACUUAGGGCUAGGGUUUGAGAACUCUAACCCGCCACCACUGCAAGAGGACAGGACGACUAAGAAGGCCCGGUUUCGGGCUGAGGGAAUUGAUGCUGAUAAUCCUCAUAAACCCUCUUGGAGAGAUAAGGCUAUGGAGGCAGUCACGGUGAUGGCAGGUCAGACAGGAAGGAUUGGAGAGUUGGGUUACGGCAGUGUAUGCUAGCCCUAUUCCAACAGUCCUGCGUGAAUUAUGGUAUCACCUUGCAAGUAUUGCUUCUCAAAUGUUGGAUCCGUGGUUGGUGGGCGGAGAUUUCAAUGCUAUCUUAUACGCACAUGAGAAGAAAGGGGGCUCGAACCGAAUAAGUGGCACUUGCAAUUUAUUUAAUCAUUGGUUUCAUUCUUGCAGGAUGCUUGAUCUAAAGUUCUCCGGCCCUCGCUUCACUUGGUCUAGGGGAAACCUUUCUAAACGAUUGGAUAGAGCGGUUUGCAAUAAUGGAUGGCUAAUAAAACAUGCAAAUAGUAGUGUCAUGCAUCUUCCAAAAAUUGAUUCCGAUCAUCGGCCUAUUCUAGUCAAGUUCCAGAACAUGGAUUCCAAGCAUGGGGGCCCGAGGCCAUUUCGAUUUUUGGCUGCAUGGCUCACAGAUGAGAGAUUUGGGAGUUUUAUGAAUGAUAGCUGGAAUAAGGGAGAGAAUUUUCUUGAGGCAGUGGCUGAUUUUACUCAACAAACUAGGUGGUGGAAUAAGGAAAUUUUUGAAAAUAUUAUUUAUCGGAAGCGGAAAUUGUUGGCUAGAAUAGGUGGGAUCCAAUGAAUUUUGGAAGCCAAGCCUAACCAUAGCCUUACUAGACUUGAAGUUAAGCUUCAGAAGGAGCUCGAAGAGGUUCUCACUCAGGAAGAAUUAUUGUGGCUUCAGAAAUCCAGGAGAGAUUGGACUUUGUAUGGUGACCGCAACACUGCUUAUUUCCAUAAAAAAAUGCUAACCAGGCAUCGCCAGAAUCGGAUUACUGCAAUUCAAAAUGAUACUGGGCAGUGGAUACACGACGUCGAGAUCAUUAAGCAACGUGCAGUCAAUUUCUUUUUGGAAUUAUACACGCCUGAACAAGGGGUGCAUAGAACAUAUAAUGUCAGGGGGUGUUUCCCUGAGACGUCAGAUGAUAUUUGUUUAAGUUUGAUGUCUGCGGUAACAGAUGAGGAAAUCAGACAUACUAUUUUCAGUAUGAGUCCUUUUAAAGCUCCUGGAGUUGAUGGCUUUCAUGCUAGUUUUUACCAAGCGCAAUGGAAUACAGUUGGUAUGUCUUUGAGCUCUUUAAUCAAAAAUAUUUUUAAUUCUAAUCAUAUCCCUGCAGAGAUCAACAGAACCUUGCUGGUGCUCAUUCCUAAAGUGUAUCAUCCAACAAGCCUCAAGAUGUUUCGGCCGAUCAGCCUUUGCACAAUUCCGUAUAAAACGGUGACGAAAAUUAUUGCAAAUAGGUUACAGGUUUUUCUUCCAGAUCUCAUUGGACCCCAACAAACCAGUUUUGUACCGGGUCGGCAUAUUACAGAGAAUAUUGUUAUUGCUCAAGAGGUAAUCCAUACAAUGAAGAAAAAUGUGGGGGGUAAAAGAAUGAUGGCGGUUAAAGUGGACUUGGAAAAGGCUUAUAACCGGUUGAGUUGGCGAUUUGUUCAGGAAACUUUACAGGAAGUUGGGCUACCGGAGCGAUUUAUUCACCUCAUAAUGGAGUGUUUGUCCACAGCCCAAAUGAAUGUUUUGUGGAAUGGAGAAAUGACUGAAGAUUUUCGGCCAGGGAGAGAAAUUCGACAAGGAGACCCUCUUUCGCCUUAUAUUUUUGUGCUUUGUAUUGAAAGAUUAAGUCAUGGGAUUAUCCAGGCGGUUAAUCAAGGUAGAUGGAAACACAUUUGACUGACUCGAACUGGCACUCCUCUAAGUCAUUUAUUUUUUGCGGAUGAUCUGCUUCUCUUUUUGGAAGCAAGUUACGGCCAAGUUGAUGUAUUGAAUGAUGUGGUGGAGAAUUUCUGUAGGAGCUCGGGCGCUAGAGUUAGUAAUCAAAAGACCCAAGUCUUCUUCUCCAAAAAUGUCCCGGUCACUUUAGCCAAUGGAAUUGGCAAGGCUUUAGGCUUCUCGGUUACAAAUAAUUUGGGAAGAUAUCUUGGCAUGCCUCUUCUUCACGAUCGGGUUUCUAAGAAAACGUAUCAGAGUAUCAUUGACAAAAUUGAUCAGCGGCUAUCAGGAUGGGCAGCAAAGCAAUUGUCUCUGGCAGGGAGAGUUACUCUCACUCAAUCGGUGCUUCAGGCAAUCCCGAUUUACGCUAUGCAAACCACGUACCUCCCAUCUAGUGUCAGAGUUAAAAUUGAUCAAUUAUGUAGAAGAUUCAUUUGGAGUGGGGCUGGUUCUCAACGCAAGUUAAGUUUGGUUAGCUGGGACAACAUUUGUAGGCCUAAGAGCAAUGGAGGGCUCGGUUUCAAGGACAUGGAACUUAUGAACAAAGCCUUACUAAUGAAAGUGGCUUGGGAUUUAUUCAUAAAUCCUAGCAAGCUGUGCUCCCAGGUUUUAAUUUCUAAUUAUGUUGCGCCUUGUGAUAUGAUUACUACUGAUGCUUCAUUUAAAAAUGGUUCCUAUUUAUGGCGCUCUAUGGGUAAGAUUUGGAAAGACUUCCAGAAGGGUUUGCGUUGGAGUAUUGGAAAUGGCCAACGGGUGAAGUUUUGGGAUGAUAUUUGGGCUACAAAUGGUGAUCCCUUAAUCAACUAUACGGUGGCUUCAAUUCCGGAUAGCAUGCGAAAUAUGUUGGUGGCGGAUUGUGUGGAUCAAAAUGGGAAUUGGUUGUGGAACAUAUUCAACUCUUUUUUGAAUAACCAUGCUGUUUUAAGGAUUGCUUCCAUGGCUCCUCCGUCGUCAAUGAGAGGCGAGGAUAGGAUGUAUUGAGGUGCAUCAAAUACUGGCAAUUUUACAGUCCAAUCAGCUUACCAAGUGCUUACGAAUUUUUGCCCCGCUGAAGACUGUCAAGACUGGCAACAUUUGUGGAAAUGGAAGAGGCCUCAAAGCGUAAGAAUUUUUCUAUGGUUAUUAUGCCAUGAUCAAUUGAAGACGGGAUGUGAGCUUGCUAGAAGGCAUCUGGACGUCGAGGCUUUAUGUGGGAGGUGCCAUGCAGACGUUUAGAAUUCUUUGCAUGCAAUUCGAGAUUGUGAUUAUUCGAGAGGUGUUUGGCGGAAGCUUGUUCCCGCGCUUAGACAACAUGACUUUUUUAGUUAUCCUCUUUGGCAAUGGAUCAUGACAAAUCUUAGGAGAAGAGUCUGUGAUAUGGGGAGCUUAUUUUGGCCGAUUAUGUUUGGUAUUGCGGCUUGGAGAAUUUGGUAUUGGAGGAACCAGGUGAUGUUCAACAACAAGAGCUGGAAUGGUGAUUUGAUCGUUCGAGAUAUUAAGGCAAGGACUGAGAGUAUUUGUUCUACUCUUUCAAGCAUAGGCUAUCGAAGAAAUGAAAGGAUUCAGAAAUGGAUUCGUUGGGCUCCUCCACCAUGGCCUUUCUUGUGCUUAAAUACGGAUGGUGCAAGGAAAGGAAAUGGAGAGGCGAGUGCAGGUGGGCUGCUGCGGGACUGUCAUGGUAAUUUUAUUCAUGGUUUCAGCGCACAUCUCGGAGUUUGUUCAGUUCUAAAGGCUGAACUUUGGGGUGUCUUGCAUGGGUUAAGAAUGGCAUGGGAUCUUGGCUAUAGACGUAUCCAAGUUGGAGUAGACAACUGUAGUGUGGUGCAAAUUAUAAGGGAAAAUAAUGCUCAUGUCAACGAAAUUUCGAAUAUAAUCGAGAUGAUUAGAGAACUCAUGAGGAGGGAUUGGAGGAUUCAAAUUGAUCACAUCUACCGCGAAGCAAACUCGGCAGCUGAUUUCCUUUCUACGCAUGCUUUGAGUUUACUUGUUGGAGUACAUUUUCUUCAUUCUGCACCUUUAGGUUUGAGAUCUAUUUUAUAUUUGGAUAUGUAUGGGGUGGCACACUCCCGGUUUGUGCCCCUUUAGCUCUUCUCUUUUAGAGCCUUUUGUUUAUCAAAAAAAAAAAAAAAGCUUCCAACUGAAAUAGGGAAUGCACUUACUACUAAGGACAGUUGGUGGCCACCUAAUGCAUUCAUUUUAUAUCAAUUCAUCAUUUUAAUUAUUGAAAACAAGUGGCUCAUCGCUUUUACUUUAGGUAAAAUUCGGAUAAUCUCUAUUAUGAAAUGAUAAUAUUCUCUUAAAUUAUUAUAAACCUCAGCCAAUCUUAAUUUUAUUUAAAAGAUAAAAGAAAAAUAGGUUAUGUUGGUGACUUUUUUCUUAUCUUUUUAAUAAAAAUAAAAUAAAUUGAUGUUUAUAAUUGUUUAAAAUACUUUAAAGAUUGUUAUUUUAUGAGAGAGUAAUAUUUUACUUUUUUAUUGUGAAAUGCUAAAAAGGACAAAGCAAGUGUCCCUGGUUUUUAUUUUAUUUGAAAUUGGUCAUCUCAUAUACUUUACGUUUCAACACUACAAUUUUUUUGGUUAUAUUUUUAUUAUUUUUUUCUUUCUUACACAUGCACGUAAAUUUUCUUUCUUUAAGCUCCUGAAUAUUUAAGACAAAUCAUGGAAGAGAUGAAAGUAUAACAAGAUGAUCAAAAUACGUAACAAAAAAUUUACAAGUGAAACAUACGUUAGAGUCGAAGUAAAACUCUGAAAAUAGAGAUAUUGAUUAAUUUAGAAGAGAUGCAAGCAAAAGAUUUUCUUAAAAAAAAGAAAAGCAAUUUGUCCCUUUCCAGGGCAAACUUGUUAGUCUCAAAAAGGUACAUUCUUUGAAUUGAUAGUUGCAGGAUUUUUGUCUUGUUUUUGUUGUUGUGCAUUAGUUGGAGAAGUCAAGCCUAGUGAAAAAUGUUAUGAAAGAGCAAAGGAUAUUUCUGACAGCUUUAUUUAAUUAUGUAUUCAUUUAAUGGAUGUAUUGUUAGAAGAUAUUUAAGUGCAUUAGUUCAUCCGUGUCUGUUGAUGUGCUUUUAGUGAUUUUUCCAGCUGUUUGUUGUAAAAGAUGAUUGUAAAUUGAAAUGAACUUGAUGUUGUAAUAUUUUCUCUUUUGUGGAAUCUCAGUUGUGUUGUCUAUAAUUUUAGUCAAAAUUAUUGUUAUUAUUUCUUACUAGAGGUAAAUUUUUUAUUAAACCUCAUUAACACAAUUCUUAAUUAAAAGUAUAGGUUAGUGUCGGUGCAGGAUUUGCAGCACCAGAUCCUGCCUAGCUACGUGUCAAAAAUACAAAAUAAAUGAAGAGAAAGCACAAAUACAUGACUUGGAUUAGGAUAGAAGGAAACUUAAAUCUUAAAGAAAAUGAUAGCUAUAUCCCACUAUUUGAAAAAAUGGUCAUGUAGAUUUUUAAGAUUUAAAUAAGGGACGGAGAUCUUCUUUUGACAAAUAAUAUCUUUUAGCUCUCUCAAGUAAAAAAAAAAUUAAAUAUUUUAUAAUAAAUAAAAAUAUAAUAUUAAAAUAUACGUGAUAAUAUAUACAUUUUAAAUAAUUUCAAUCCAAAAAAAUAGUUAUGUUUUAUCGAAUCUACCUAUGUUACAAUAGUAGUAUGGUACCACAAUAUUUGUUCUUAUCCAAUGUAAUCAUUGGAUGAUUUAGAGCUUAAUCUAACGGCUUAAAUUAUUUUUCUGAAUAUUUGAAGCAACAACUUGCAACCGUUGGAGCCGGUUGCAUAUUAAUUUAAUAUCAUUUGGGGAAGCGUACGGUCAGGAAGUUUCUUAGUAUGCCACCAAUGGAAUUUGAUUUCAUCUCAAAUCGAUCUGCAGGCAGCAAUUGGGAAAUUACACUCACGGUCUUCCUCUUCUUCACUUCCUCUCUACUCUUCACUUUUCUCACUCUCGCGAUGUUUACAGCAUGAUAAGUACAAUUACAAACCAGGAAAUGCCAUUAACAAUUUUCAUUUGUCUUAGUCGUUUUUUUUUUUUUUAGUAGAAAGCCAAAAAAGAAAACGGGUGGGAGGUUGGGGCGUCGUGAUGAAAUGGUUUUGAGUUUUUGACGGAAUGUUUGUUUUUGUGAUUCAUUUAGGGUUUGAAUUCAGGCUUGUACGAACUCGGAUCUAUUCGAGAUCCGUAUUGGCGCUGAAAUCAGAUCCUUUGAAGCCUUGGUUUGAAUUCAACCUUGAGAACUCCAAGCUUGUUAGAAUCUUCAUUGAUCUCUCCAGAAAUUACACGGAUCUUAUUACUAAACCCUACAUAUAGGGCUGCAAUGGAGUCCGAUUCUCUCACAAUUGAUGAAUCAAUAUUGAGACAGUUCGAAAAGGAAGUAAAAAAGAGAAUCAACUUGACUGGCUAAAUAAUUGCGGAGGCCAAAGAGUCUUUUGAUAAUCAAUUGAAGAUUUAGAAGUUAAAAGACACUAUUUUUACUAUGAACGAACAAUUGACUAAGGCGAAAAAGCAAGGAGCUUUUUUGAGUUUGAUUGCUGCGAAAUCGAUGCCUUAGAGUUUGCAUUGUUUGGCCAUGAGGUUGAUGAAAGAGCGAGUUGUUCAUCCGGAGAACUAUAAUGAAGAAGGGAAGCCCACACAUGCAGAAUUCGAGGAUCCCAAACUUUAUCAUAAUGCUAUUUUUUCUGGGUAAUAUGCUUGCAGCUUCGGUGGUGGUGAUUGGUGAAUUUAGCUGUUAAGAACUCGAAGGAGCCUUGGAAACAUGUGUUUCAUGUUGUGAUGGAUCAAAUGUUUAAAUUGAAGGAUUAUAAUGGAGCACAUUUAGGCACGAAGGCUGUUGAGGAUUAUAAGUUUUUGAAUUCUCACAUGUCCCUGUGUUAAGGCAGCCGGGGUUUGCUAAUUUGCAAAGGUUUUACUUCGGGAAGUAGCUUGAGAAUGCUACGAAAGAUGCUACUAACAUGAAGUUUAGGAAUCCCAAUUACUUGUUGAUACUGUAUCAUUUGAGGUUCUGGAUAAGAUUUCAAUGAUGGCCGCUUAAAACAAAUAAUAAAAAAAAAGAACUUGUACUGUAUUUGGAUCUUUACUUAUUUGAUAUAGUUUUCUGCAAUCUCUCCAUGCAACCGGUUACUUUAAUUAUCCACUAACUCAUCUCAACCGUUUGAUGGACUCACUUUAUAUCCAACGGCAGUUUUAAAUGAAGACAAAAAGUGUGGUAUGUUGCAAUUGUUGCAACAUAUGUGAGUCUUGUUUUACAAUCUAUUUAACAUAUUUUAUUAAAUUAAUAUAUUUCUAUGAUAUAGGAACAUAAUAUUAAAAUAAAUUUACAAAAAUUUAAAGAAUUUUGAAUGUAAAACAAUUUCAAUAUAUUAAUAAUGAGAUUUUUUUAUUAUUAUAAAAAUUAUUUAACCCAUAGAUUUUUUUAAAUCUUUACAAUAAGUAUAAAUAUAUUAUCUUCACUUAAAAAUAUUUAAAUAUUAUUAACCUAUAAUUAGGUUUGCAUUUAUUAGAAAAUUUUAAAGUCAAAUAUAUUGCACUUUUGCAUUAUUAGAAUCAUCACAGAGAAAGGAGCAUAUAUACUUUAUAACUUUAAAAAUUGGUUUCUUCUGGAAACAGAGAUGAUGAUUAUUAUAAGGAUGAAAAAAAAAAGAUAAAGAAUAUUAAUGAUUAACGAAAUCUCUAUGCAAAUUGAUUUUAGUAGGGAAAGAGUGAGAUGAAUAACUUCUUUUACAGCUAAAAACAGAGAUGAUGAUUAUUAUAAGGUUGAAAAAAAAAGAUAAAGAAUAUUAAUUAUUAAUGGAAUCUCUAUGCAAAUUGAUUUUAUAGGAAAAAAGCGAGCUAAAUGAUUUAGACAUUCAUAGUGUAUUUAUUUUUGAAUUGGUGAAUAAGAAUUAUUGACAACGCUAACUUCAUCUUCACCGUUGGCUAUCCAAUAGCGGCAAUUGUCGCCGAUUAUGAUAUCUCCAAUGAUGAUGACGGUUUUUUUAUUAUUAUUAUUGGUGACCCCUUGGAAAGUUAACUGCAACUGCCAAUCAGAGAAAAGUCGUCAUGCACAAUCCUCAAUCGAACCAAUCAUCUACGUUACAGAAUCUGAAACGUACACACUGUUAACAUAUAUGUUUCCAUAAUGUUGAUUUUGAUGAUAACAAACAAGAUUAAGAAUGAUUAAUCUUUUAAGCUCAAAUUAUUUUUAUGCAUUUUAAAUAAAUCAUUAUUUUUACAUUAUAAAGGUUCUAUAUUUAAUGGAAAAAUGAUUUUAUGAAAUUGAUUGUUUUUUAUUCUUUUUAAAUAAAUCAUUAUUUUCACAUUAUAAAUGUUUCAUAUUCAAUGGAAAAAUGAUUUUAUGAAAUUGGUUGUUUUUCAAAGUUUAUGGUUUAAUUGAAAGAAUUUUGAAAACUUUGAAAUAAACAAGUAUUGCUUGAAAUUUCAGAUUUGGACUUAUUUGAAACUAUUUAAAUGUUUUUAGGCUAUUCUAUAAUUUCACAAAGUUUGGGCGAAAUUAUAAUUUCAGAACGUUGUGGGAUUGACAAAGUAUUAUUCUAAAAUUCUGAAAUUGGACUUAUUUGUAAAUUUUCAUAACGUUUUGGGUUAUAGUAUAGUUUUAUAAAGUUUUGGGGUCAAAUUAUAAUUUCAGAAAAUAGUGCACUGUGCAGGUUACUGUGGCAUCCGGCUUACCGGAUAUAAAAAUCGGAAAACCGGAUACGGGGCAGAAUGUAUCCAGAAUGUAAACGGCUUACCGGAUUUCGUAACCAGCAAGCCGGAUAGGCAAAAUUCAAAUUUUUGCCUUAACGGUAACAUAAAUCCAGCUUAUCGGAUUCCAUAAAUGGCAAACCGGAUACGCCCAGAAUGUGAGUAACGGCUAGUUUUUGAGUUCAAACUAUAUAAACUCAAAACCAAUUCAUUUUUGGUAAUCCAAGCAAGAAAGAACAAGUGCACAUAACAUAUAUUGAGCUUCAAUUUCGUAACUCAUCAUUUAUUAAAUCAUCUUUGUUUUUCAAUUUGUAUAUCCACUCUUAAAGAGAGAUUCAUUGUUGUAUUUUUCAUUUCUCAUCAAAUUGUGAGUGUACAAGUGUGAGAAACACUUGGGGUGAAGAGAUUGGAGAGAUAAUCUCUUGUUGUAAAGGUUCAUUAACACAUUGAAGUCAAUUGUAAACGUUUGAAGCCUUGGAAAUGCUUGGAUAGUGAAAUCCUCAAGCCCGGUGUGCUUGGAAGCGUGGACGUAGGCGGAGAUUACCGAACCACGUAAAAAUCCUUGAGUUUGCUUUCUCUUCCCUUACUCUUUAAUUAUUGUGCUUUGAUUGAACUUAUUGCUUUCAAUUUUUAUUAAGACAUUAGAUUAAAUUGUUGUGUGGUUUGCCUAGGAUAAUUUUUAAAAUCUCAAUUCACCCCCCUCUUGAGUUGCCUAGUUAGUAUUUCACACACCCAAUGGGAAGCAGCACACGUGUUCUGAGGAGAGAGAGAAAAAACCGUGCAAAUGCAAGCAAUAGGUAUUGGCUACAGUUGGAUCUGUAAGUUACAGAAUCUGUAACUUAGCCAACUCCCUCAAUGAUCAAUAUUGUUUCCGAUAUUUAUAAAUUGGUGGCCCCUUGGAAAUUUAACUGGAAGUUUGCAAGUGUCAAUCAGAAAAAAAUCGUCAUCCAUUGUUUUUUUUUUUCUGCAUUCCCUUUCAUGUUCUUAAUAAUUGAGGACAGGUUGUUCAUAACAUUUAUACUUUUCAAAUGUGGAGCUGCAUUUAAUGUCGCUAUUUUAAUUUGGGAUUAAAUUAGGGGAACACUAACUUUUAUAUUUAUCUAAACUCCUUAAAUUUAAGACAGAUUAUGGCGUAAAUAAGAAUAUAAUAAUAACAAAGGAAUUAAAAAGUAUAAUGACGAUCUUGCAGAAAUAUAAAUAUUAGCGUUGAAUUAAAUAACAUAGAACACAUGAAUUGAAUAGUGAUUAUCAAGACGGUGUUACUUGCACUCCUAUUUAUAAAAAAUCUUGGUUCUGUUCCAUUAGAUUUUUUAUCUUCAAAAUCUUGCAAAGUUUUGACAACCCAAAGGCUCAGUUUGGUUGUUCUAUAUUUGUAUGAUAUGAAUUCAAAUUUUUGUGUUCUGUUUUUCUUAAUUCUGAACACGGAUUCUUCUCUUCUCGUGCAAACCAGAAAGAAAUGUUGUCUUACAAAAAAAAAAGGGGAAUAACUUCAUGAGAACAAAAAUUCAGAAAAAUAAUAUAAAGUUUAUAUUUAGACUUUUGUGGUAUAUUUUAAUUUUCAACAAUGAGUUAAAGAAAAUAAUAAAUAAAGUAAAUAAAAGUUUAGAGAUUCAAAUUUUUAGUAUUGGAUUCUUUAAUUCAAAUACCUCUCAUUAAUUAACACUUAAAAGAGAGUUCACUAUUAUAAUUUUAAGUUUUUUGAUUUAUUAUUGAUAUAUAAAUUAGGAGUUUAAGCUUACUUUUUUAUUUUUCCAUUUUUUUUCAAAUUUGAAAUUAUUAUUUAAAUUUAUAAUUUUUUUUAAAAAAAUAGAGGGCUUGAGCCUGGCUUGGGUAUUGUUUCCUAAACCCUUAUCCGGCCCUGGCUUUUUUGCCAGCCCCAAUGAUGAUGAUGAUGAUUAUUUUAUUAUUAUUAUUAAUGAUGAAAAGUAUUAUAAUUAAUUAAUAUAUUAUUGUAUUGUUAUUAAGAUUAACAAUAAUUAUUAAUGAUAACAAUUUUUUGAAUAAAAAUAAUCACAAUAAUUAAAAUAUAAAUUAAUAAUUAUAACAAUAGUUAAUUAAUGUAUUUUUAACAAUUUGUAAUAAUUUAACUCAUUCUAAUUUCGAUUAUUAUAGUUAAGUAAACAACUUAUUAUAAUUUUCAUUCUCCAUUUUAAUUUCAGCUCAUUUCGAUUUCAGUCUAUUCCAAUUUUCAUUUAAUAAACGUUCCAUUAAUGCUAUAGUAAUAUUUCAUAUAGAAAAAAAUAAAAGCUACAACUAAGGUUAAGGGAAAGGACUUCAAAACUCUCUUUUUGUCAUAAUACAUUUUUUCCUAAUUAACUUAAAGAGUUUGAAUCUAAUAUUUUAUAAUAAAUAAAAAUAUAUUCCAAAAGUAAAUAUAAUAUAUCUAUUUUAAACUAAUCUCAAUAUUUAAAAUAUAUUUAAUAUUUUACAAUCUAUUAGACAUAUUUUAUUAUAUUAAAAUAAAUUUUAUAAUAAAUAUGAACAUACUGUUAAAAUGAAUAUAUAAAAAACUUAGAGUAUUUUGAAUAUUAUAUAAAAUAAUUUUAGUAGAAUACGUGAGAUAUAUUUUAUUAAUGUAAAAUGCUAUUUAAUCUAAAGAUUCAUUUAUGAUAAAUUAAUAAUUAUAUUUUUAAAAUUAUUUUAAAAAUUAAAUUUUUUUAAUAUUAUUAAUCUAUUAGACAGAUAAAAUUAUUUAUAUUAUUUUGUAUUUAUUAAAAAAAUUUAAAGUCAAUUUUUUUAAUUACUAUUCAAAGGAUAUAAUAAUUAAAAAAAUCUUAGCGUUUUCAUUAAAAAUUUAAAAAUUUACAUGACUAUUUCUGUAAAUAUUUAAGGUAUAUAUGAACUACGGUAGAGAAGCUUCAUUUAAUAUUAUUGAUUUAAAUAAUAUCUCAAUUAAAAAUGUACAGAGAAUAUAUUUCGGUGGGUAUUUUAAUCUUUUUAGCAAUUAUCAUGGUUAGCCCUUGGCCUUGAAACGUCUGUCAGAAAGGUUUUCAAAUGCUUUAAUUGUUCUUAUUAAAAAAAAAAUCUUUAAUUGUUUUUUCACUUUUAACGUCAGCGGCCUUGAAAGUGCUUUUACUUUAUAACAAAUUAAUUAAUGCUGACGAGAAAAUAUCUCUUCCACAGCCCACAGCAGCUUCUGUUAAUCAAACUCAACCAAUUUUCUCUCUUAACAAAAUUCCAAAGAUGGGUAGCAUUUUUCAGAUCACAUGCGACGGCGCUUUUUUCAAUCGUUGCUUUGGAUUGCUUUCUUGGAAAAGCAGCAUACAUAAGCAACAUCCAAGAUAAUCUUGUAGCCUUGGAGACUGAACUGGGAAGACUAAUCGCAGCAAAGAACGAUGUGAUGAUGAGGGUUGUCAAUGCUGAACGACAACAAAUGAAAAGGCUGGGCCAAGUGGAAUGGUGCGUUUCGAGGGUGGAUGCUGUUAAAAUUGAAGCUGAUGAACUUAUCAGAGACGGCUCUCAAGAAAUUGACAAAUUAUGUGUUGGAGGCUACUGUUCUAAGAACUGCACGUCAAGCUACAAGUUCGGGAAACAAGUGGCUAAAAAGCUACGAGAUGUGGAGACUUUAAUCGCCGAAGGAGUUUUUGAGGCGGUGGCUACCGAGGUGGUGCCUGAGAGAGCUCCAGAGCCUGUAGCAGAUGAAAGACCUACCGAGCGAACAGUAGUAGGCUUGCAAUCACAACUUGAACAAGUCUGGAGAUGUCUUGCAGAAGAAUCAGUGGGAAUCAUUGGCCUAUAUGGUAUGGGCGGUGUUGGUAAAACUACAUUACUGACCCAUAUCAACAAUAAAUUUCUCGAGAGUCCAACCAACUUUGAUUGUGUGAUUUGGGUAGUAGUUUCAAAAGACCUGCGACUUGAAAAAAUUCAAGAAGAUAUUGGAAAAAAGAUAGGUUUGGUUGGUGAUUCGUGGAAGAGUAAAAGUGUAGAGGAGAAAGCUGUCGACAUCUUCCGGAGUUUAAGAGAGAAGAGAUUUGUAUUGUUGUUAGAUGAUAUAUGGGAGCGGGUUGAUUUAACAAAGGUGGGCGUUCCACUUCCCGGACCAAAAAAUACUACCUCAAAAGUUGUAUUCACAACCCGUUUCAUCGAUGUUUGUGGUAGCAUGGAAGCUGACAGGAAGUUCCAAGUGGCGUGCUUAUCAGAAAAGGAUGCUUGGGAACUGUUUCGAGAAAAAGUUGGGGAAGAAACUCUUCAGAGUCAUCAUGAUAUCGUUGAGCUAGCCCAAAUUGUGGCCAAAGAGUGUGGUGGUUUGCCACUCGCACUUAUUACUAUUGGUCGAGCUAUGGCCUGCAAAAGGACAGCCGAGGAGUGGAGACAAGCAGUUGAAGUGCUAAGAAGAUCAGCUUCUGAGUUUGCAGGUUUGGGAAAAGAGGUGUAUCCUCUUUUAAAGUUUAGCUAUGAUAGUUUGCAGAAUGAGACGAUUAGAUCUUGUUUCUUAUAUUGUUGUUUAUAUCCCGAAGAUUAUGGAAUUCUUAAAUGGGACUUGAUUGAUUGUUGGAUUGGUGAGGGAUUCUUAGAGGAAUCUGACAGGUUUAGUGCAGAAAACCAAGGAUACUACAUUGUGGGCACUCUUGUUCAAGCAUGUUUAUUAGAAGAGUUAGAAGAUGAUAAAGUAAAAAUGCAUGACGUUAUUCGUGAUAUGGCUCUAUGGAUAACCAUUGAAAUUGAGAAGCAGAAGAGAAACUUUUUGGUUCGUGCAGGUGCUGGAUUAAAAGAGGCACCGGCUGUUAAAGAAUGGGAAAAUGUGAGAAGAUUGUCAUUGAUGCAAAACCAAAUUAAAACUCUGUCAGAGGUUCCUUCAUGCCCUCAUCUCCAUACUCUAUUUCUUGCCUCUAAUGAUAAUUUGAGGAUGAUCACGGAUGGCUUCUUUCAAUUUAUGCCUUCUCUCAAAGUUUUGAAGAUGUCAAACUGUGUGGAUUGGCCAGUUUCGAAAUUACCUUUGGCGAUGUCAAAGUUGGGUUCACUACAACUUCUUGAUAUUUCACAUACCGGCAUAGAANNNNNNNNNNNNNNNNNNNNNNNNNNNNNNNNNNNNNNNNNNNNNNNNNNNNNNNNNNNNNNNNNNNNNNNNNNNNNNNNNNNNNNNNNNNNNNNNNNNNGAAGAGUUGAAGUUGUUGGUAAAUCUGAAAUGUUUGAAUUUGAGGUGGACAUUUGAGUUAAAUAAAAUUCCAUGGCAACUAAUAUCAAAAUUUUCAAGGUUACGUGUGUUGAGAAUGUUCGCUACUGGCUUUGCACGUUUUGAUGAAGCAUCAGAAGACAGCGUUUUAUUUGGUGGGGGUGAAGUUUUAGUACAGGAAUUGGUCGGUCUGAAAUAUUUAGAGGUAUUGGAGUUGACCUUGGGAUGUCAUCAUGCUCUCCAAAUUUUUUUGAGCUCAAAUAAGUUAAAAAGUUGUAUUCGAUCUCUUCUCCUCCAGUUGGCCGGAGAUACAACGUCGAUUAUUGAUGCUACGGCUUUCGCAGAUCUAAACCACCUCAAUGAAUUAUGCAUUGAUAGGGCUAAGGAGUUGGAAGAAUUGAAGAUUGAUUGUAAAGAAAUAGUACAAAAAAGGCGGGAACCUUUUGUUUUCCGCAGCCCUCACCGUGUUACUAUACAUAGCUGCCAGAAGUUGAAAGAUUUGACAUUCCUCGUUUUUGCUCCAAACCUCAAGUCUCUCGAUCUAGACCGUUGCGAUGCUAUGGAAGAAAUAAUCAGCGUCGGAAAAUUUGCUGAGACUCCUGAGAUGAUGGGACAUAUAAGCCCUUUUGAAAAUCUCCAAAUGCUUGAUUUAGAAGAUUUGC